CAGUCCCUUCUCCCCUUCUUAUUUGUUUUCCACUCUAGACCACCAAGGUUCUAACCUCCUUUUUACAUGACGGAGCAGGCGUUUGGGUUCUCGUCGCUGAAGAUCUGCGGCGGGUAGGGUGGGUAGGCCGGCGGCGGAGGGUAGGCGGCGUAUCCCGGCCUCGGCGGGUAGUACCCUCCCGGGAACGCAAACUGAGGGUAGUGCAUGUAGAGGUUGGCUGCUGCGAUGGCGCCGGGGUCUUUCUCCUUCUCCUUCUCCUCGCCGCCGGCGCUGGCAUCCUCCUUGUCUUUCUCCUCUUUCUUCUCAUCUGAUGCGCCAUCCUUGUCAUCCUUCUUCUCCUCCUUGUCGUCCUUCUUCUCCUCGCCGCCUUCCGCUGCCUUCUUUUCAUCCUUGGCUUCGCCGUCUCCGGCUUUCUCGGCCGGGGCAGCCGGCUCGGACUUGAUAAUGGCUGCAUGCUUGCCGGUGCGCUUGUGCACGUACUCAGCCAGCUUGGUCUCCUCAAACACGCCCUUCACCGUCACUUCCGAGGCCUUCAGGUCUGGCUCUGCAGAUUGCACUCCUGCAUAAUUUCGAACCAAAAUCAUCAGCAAUACUACACAGCAAGUAUUACUGAGCUCAACGUUCGAAAAGUAUUACUGAGCUCGAGGAUGGACCUAAUCUUGUGUGAUUUUAGGCAGAAUAAUUCUUAUACAAUCAAGAUUAAUCUUGUCACGGUAUAUAGGCAGACAGGUAGGUGAAGGAGUGAAUCUUAUCUGCACCACAGUUGUGCAUCUUUUGCAAGAAAAGGAACUACACGUACAAGGCCCACAUUUUGCCUUUGUUUCAGCCAUCCACCUAAAGAGGGAAUCCCUCUCUUUUUCAUCAUUGCAACAGAGAAAAGAUUUGCUUGACCUUUGCUCAAUCACUAGGUAGAUCCUAAGUAAUUCAUCAAACAUGAGACAUACUGGUACACUAAUUCUAGGAGGACCUAGUGAAAACAAAUACAGUAGUGUAUAAGAGAAAGGCCAUAGAUGUUUUUGUCCUGAUGAAAAUGACGCGAGAGAGAAAUGAAAAAAGGACAAGCAAUCCCACAGCAGCCCAUUACGCACCUUUCAUCUUUUCGAUCCUCUUCUUUAUGACCUGCGCGCAGGCCUCGCAGUGCAUGUGCACCUUCAGCACCACAGAGAUCACCGGUGGCUUCAAAACGAAACAUCAUCCAGUCAGUUUUGCCAAAUCUGAAAUGAAACGAAAAUUACCAUACAGACUACUGCAUUGCGUGCAUUUGUUAAGGUCCUUCACCUCCUUCUUCUCUUCAGGUUUCGGCGGCUCAGGCUCCUCCUUCUUCUCCUCUUCCUUUUUCUCCUCCGGCGGCGGCGGUAACGGCGAGAGGAGCUCCACCUUGCGGCCUGUCUUCUUCUGAACACGCUCGACCACCUUCAUCGGGUCGGCAGCCGCCUUCUUUCCUUUCACAACCACCUUGUGUGCCUUAGAGUCGGCAAUGACGUCCUCUACUCCUGAAUCCGCACAAAAAGGUUUUCAGAUGUGGUACUAGGUAGAACAGAGAAAAUGAAUCUUUGAGCCAAAGAAUCUUAAUUUUUCCCUUGAUAGCAACAACUAGUAGUGCAUGGAGAAUAUGCAGAGGUGCUUGGAACAUUUUGAGCAGUAUUUGGAGAUGAUUGAGGAAUCAGCUUAACUUUUGAGGACAUGUGGCCUCAAGGGCAUUGUAUACUCAAGGCUGUCAUUCUCUUGGAAUGUACUCCAACCUUUUGGAGUGAAAAGUCAUCCCCCUCACAAUUAAUCAACCACUAGAUUCAUGUGCGGCUGAUGAGAAAGGAGGAGGAUCCUAUUAAUUAGGUGAAUCUGAUUAUUAAAAAGCUUAGCCCACCUAUUGACCUAAUCCUUACAAUAUCACUUAAUUGGACAUCAGAACAGCACAGAGAAAAACACAAAAUCUGGACCUUUUUGAAAAAAAAUAAGGAGACAAGGAGAAAUAGUAAACAAAAUUAGAGCAAACCAACCACAUCAUCAUGUCUCCUAAAUCUGAUGACCAAAGCUUCCUUCCCAUAACCGCAAGGAUGACACAAGUUGACCACUAACUAUGAUGAUUCGUGAAUCAAGAUACACUAAGCACGCACUCCCUAAUAAGAUCAGUAACAAAAAAAAAGUGCUGAACGAACUUGAUAAAACUGUCCCUGUGCUAAGGAAAUCAAACCCACGUGACAGCAAGCAUACUAGUUCAAAAAACGAAAAGAUCUUUUUUUCUCAAACGAAGACGAAAAGAUUUACUCUGACGGCGAAUCCUGAUGCAGCAAAGCGGAGGAAACUACGGGGCAGGGAUUAAUUAGAUUAGAUGAGGCGCAUUACCAUCGAAUCUCUUGAGGAUUUUCUUGACCUUCCUGGCGCAGCCCUCGCAGUGCAUGUAGACCCGCAUCACGACCUCCUCCGGCGGNGGCGGCGGGGGCGCCGCCUCCUCCUCCUUGGGCUUCUCCCCCUCCCCUUCCCCCUCCUUGGGCUUGUCGUCCUUGGGCUUGUCCUCCUCUCCCUCCUUGGGCUUCUCCUCCUUCUUCGGCUCCUCCUCCUUGGGCUUCUCCUCCUCCUUGGGCUUCUUCUCCUCCUGCGUGCGAAAACACCACAACACGACGGCGUCAGUCAGUCAAGAUUCAGUCCGCCUCACCGCCGCCGCCGAGGAAUGCAGCACCAAGCAGGCGUCCUUGCUUACCUCGCCCAUGGCGUCCGUCCCUCCUCUGUCCCGCUCCCGCGGCCCUGCUUCCUGGUGGCGUUGGGUGGUGGUGGUGGCUCUGUGCCGCUCCCUGUGGGUGUGUCGCUCGCUACAAGACUAGCAGUGUGGGGGUGGAGGGGGUGGCCUCACUCACUCGCCUUAAGUAGCGGGUGGGCACCGCAAGGGAGUGGGCUGCGAUGCGAGAUCCGCAUGGAAAUGAUUUGGCAUCUCUAUCUCCGGGAUUUCUUUUUUCUUCUCGUUUUGGUGCUGCUCCCUUCCUUUUUCUCGCUCACUCUAUCUCUGCUUUUUUUUUCGGUGCAAACAAAAGAAAAACGUGCUUUGUAUUUGGGUGCCAGGAAGUAUACGAACGUUCCAGUACACCCGGUGACGUGUCAUACCAGCGGCGCCCUUGGGCUCAUGAAUGAAUGAAUUACGGACGGUUAAGAUCUGGAGUACCAGAAAGAUUGUGAUUUCUUUUCUUUGAUGAUGGAACCUCAUUUUACACUGUCCUGCCUCAAGGUUAGUGCAGCAUCCAUGCAUCGAAUGCCACAAAACUAGAGGCAAGGAGCCUACCUUGCACGGUUUCAAGACCUCGCCUCGUGUGGCCGUGCGCCCCUCUCAAAGCGGCUUUCCUUUCCUUUUUUUUCUUUGGGAUGCUGGGUUAAGGACUAACUAACUACUCCCUCCAUUCCUAAAUAGUAUAAAUCUUUUAAGAGAUUUUAUUAGGAGUCUACAUACAGAGAAAAAAGUGAAUCUACACUUUAAAUUAUGUCUAUAUACAUCCGUAUGUAGUCUAUUAGUGGAAUCUUUAGAAAAACUUAUAUUUAGGAACGGAUGGAGUAUUACUUUCGUCCUAAAAUUAUUGUCUUAGGUUUGCUUAGAAAAGGAUGUAUCUAAAUACUAAAAAGUGACUAGAUACAUUCAUAUCUAGACAAAUGUAAGACAAGAAUUUUGGGACGGAUGGAGUAUAAAUUAGCAAAAGGUUUGCAAAGAACAAAAAUCUACGAAAUCAUAAUGGUUUUAUUUCAGUUAUUAAUUGGCAUUAAGAACCAUUUAUUUCUCUCCCAAAAAAAGAACCAUUUAUUUCUCCCAGCUCAUAGACAGAAGAGCAUUAUUCGUCCAUGGGCAAAUACUUGUCACCUGACUUAGAGGUUUGAACCGCACUAUUGUUUCCCAAAAUCAAAAAAAGUUUAUUCUCAAGAAAACAAGACCCACGACAGUUUUCAAUUUUUUUAGUUACUCUCGGCAAUCAGAACUAUUUAUUUUCCCAACUAAAAGAAAAGGAGAGCAUGGCUUGUGCCUGCACAAACACUUGUCACCUGACUUGAAGCUUUGGACUAUAGUUUUCUUUUAUUGCUGCUUUUCUUCUCCUUUUGUCACCGGUAUUAGCGUGGCAACAAAAUGUUGUUAUAGUCUUUUCGUAAAAGGAAGAAAUACAUAGGUUAAAGAAUACAAGGAAGGGUUUCUUUUACGACCAAGAAACUUGUGAGGCUUCCUAGAACAACUUUUCUAGAAGAAAUACGCAAACACGGCAAUCAAAACUAUUUAUUUUUCCAAUUCAGAGAAAAGGAGAGCAUGGCUCGUGCCUGCACAAACACUUGUCACCUGACUUGGAGCUUUGGACCAUAGUUUUCUUUUAUUGCUGCUUUUCUUCUCCUUUUGUCACCGGUAUUACCAUCGCAACAAAAUGUUGUUAGAGUCUUUUCAUAAAAAGGAGAAAUACAUAUAUUAAAGAGUACAAGGAAGGGUUUCUUUUAUGACCAAGAAACUUGUGAGGCUUCCUAGAACAACUUUUCUAGAAGAAAUACGCAAACAAGUAGGGUUGCUAUGGAUGACGUGUAUUUUCACACAAUGGCAAUGAGAUCCUACCUCAUCGAAAGGUUGAUCCUUUUCAAGUUAUUCAUAGUGGAAACAUUUCAUGUUUUGAUGUGAGUGAAUGUGUUUCUGUUGGUACGAAUAAAUUCAUAGCGGCAUGUUAGCGGGAGUUCAAGAGUAACUUCGAAGGUAUUCUAUGCUCCUCCCGUAAAUCGGAUUAAUCAUAGUAAAUUAAUUUUCCAAUCCUUUUCCACUUGCUACUCCAUUAUUUUGUUAGCUCAAGGGCGUGUAUGUGUGCAUGCACAAACACUUGUCAGAUGACUUUGAGGUUUGGAGAGCAUCCUUUUUUACCCCUGCUUUUCUUAUUCUUUUGUUACUGGUAUUAGCAUGCAACAAAAAGAUAAUAAAAUCUUCCAUGAAAAGAAGAAAUGUAUAUUGAAGAGUAUAAAUAAGGGUUUUCUUUUGUGAUUAGGAAACUUGUGGGGCUUCCUAAGACAACAACAACUAGUAGAAAUACACUUUCCAAAUUCACAAGAAGUUUAUCUCAAUAAAACAAAAAUUACAAUAGUUUUCGGGCUUUUUUUAGUUACUAAUUGGCAUUUAGAAUCAUUUAUUUUUCCAUCUCAGAAACACGAGAGCAUGGCUCGUGCAUGCACAAACACUUGUCACCUCACUUGGAGUUUUAAACCAAAUAUUUUUUUCUGCUUUUCUUCUCUUUUUCUUGACGACAUCGGUGUCGCAACAAAAGGGUUGUUAAGAGUAUUUUCAUAAAAGGGAGAAAUAUAUUGAAGAGUAUAAGGAAGGGUCUCUUUUGCAAUCGAGAUACUUGUGAGGCUUCCCAGACAACUUUUGGAGAAGAAAUACAUGAAGAAGUGUGGUUGCUAUGGAUGACGAGUAUUUCCACACAAAGGCAAUGAGAUCCUACUUCAUAUAAAGGUUCAUUAUUUUUGUAGUGUUCAUAGUAGAAACAUUUUCAAUGUUGUUAUACGAGGAAAUGUGUUUCCCUUGAUAGGAAUGAAUUCAUAGUUAGCGGGAAUCCCACAAUAACUUUGAAGAUAUUCUACCGCUUGAGUCGUAAUUCAAAUUGAUCACAAUAAAUUAAUUUCCAAUCUUUUCGAGUUACUAAUCCAUUAGUUUGUGAGUUGAGAGACAAAAGAGCAUGUACGUGUGCAUGCACAAACACCUAUCACCCCACUUAGAGUUUUGAACCACAUCUUUUUAUCGUUGCUUUUCNNNNNNNNNNNNNUCUUUUCUUUUUUGUAUGUACUAGUAAAUGUGUAUGGACAUGCACGUUGAAUUUUGUACAAUAUUAAUUGCAUGCUAAUAUUACGUAGGAUAUUAAUUGCAUGUUUAUUUUAUUAUUUGUGUUGAUAUUGAUGGUUGUUAUGAUAUUAAUUACAUGCAAAUAUGUUGAGCCUUUGCUAUUGGAGCACUGUAGGUCGUUGGACUCGCAUGGUUUGGUGGCUCAUACUAAUUCAAUAUGUCAUCUUGGGUGUUUUUAUAUUGGUAUAGAUAUAUAUGUAUUACCAUCGCAACAAAAAGAUAAUGAUAGUAGAUUUUUUCGUAUAAAAAAGAGAAAACUAUAUUGAAAAGUACAAGGAAGGGUUUUGUUUUAUGAUCGAGAAACUUGUGAGGCUUCCUCGAACAACUAUUUUAGAAAAAAGUACGCGAACAUACGUGAUUGUUGUCGAUGUGGUGUAUUUAAAAAAAUGCAACAAGUCCCUAGUUCGGAGAAAAGGUUGUUUCUUUUCAUAUUAAUGGCGAGAACAUUUCAAUCUAAGGCAUUUCGAGUGCUCCAUCUUGUACAUGUGCUAAAUCUGUCAUGUAGACGAAAAAAUUGAUGUGACAAGAUAAUUAAGAGGGGAUAGUGAGUUUGGUGACCCAGGAAAAACAAUGUCAAACACGUGAACCUAGACAAAACAACUAAAUGAAAGAAAUUCAUCAAUGCAUGAAGAAGUUUAGAGGGUUCUUGGAUCCAAGAGACUAAAACUAGUCUCUUUAAGAGGCUAAAGUUCCAAGCACCCCUGACUAAAGAGAGGCUAAAACUAGUCUUGAGGCUAAUAUCUUUUAGUCAGGGGUACCCCUGCUAAAAUGUGCAUUAGUCCUCUCUCUCCUCAUUUAACUCCUCAUGCAAGUUCUGGAUUGGAGGGUUUGGAGGUGCUUGGAUACGUUUUAGUCCCAUGACUAAAAGUAAUGAGACUAAAACUUGCUAGCCUCACCCAUGCUUGGAUCCAAGUACUAAAGAGACUAAAAUCAAGUUAAUGAGCAUUUAUUAUCCUCCAAACCCUCCAAUCCAGAACUUGCAUGAAGAGUUAAAUGAGGAGAGAGAGGACUAAUGCACAUUUUAGUAGGGGUACCCCUGACUAAAAGAUUUUAGCCUCAAGACUAGUUUUAGCCUCUCUUUAGUCAAGGGUGUUUGGAACUUUAGCCUCUUAAAAAGACUAGUUUUAGUCAGACUAGUUUUAGUCUUUUGUAUCCAAGCACCCUCUAAAUCGUUAAAUGAGAAAAGCUUAGCAACAAGUAAACACCUAUGCAUUGAAAGUUUUAUUAGUUACUAUUUGUGUUUAGCACCUCAUCUAAGCAACUAUGCAUUGAAAGAAACAUAAUUUCUCCAUCUUAAAAUAAAUGUCAUAGAUUUAAUAUUAAAUUAAAAUAAAUUUUAUAUUAUUAGAUUAACGACAAUAGUUUUGGGAUGGAGGAAGUAUUAGAGUACCUUCAUGGAUAGGCAAAUGCAUCCCCCUUUGACAGGAAUGAAUUCGGAGCGGCCCGUUGGUUGGAAUCCAACAAUAACUUUGAAGAUACUCCCUGCCAUAAAAAUCGAAUUAAUCGCAGUACAUUUAAUUUUACAGCAAAUGGAAAGUUGUCACUCGCUCACCUCAAAACUGGCAGUUAGGGUUUUGUUUCUCACUAAAAAAAUACUAAUAGUACUACGAUGUUUUGGCGCAUCCAUGCAGAUUAAGGAUGAUAAUGGUAGUAGUAGUACAGUACUAAUUAAGUAAUUAAGCAGCAACGGCUAGAAAAACCAACGGCGGGGAUGCUAGUACGGGUACUCCUACACCUUCUUUUCUUAUUUGGAAGGAAAUUAAUUGGCUUUCAGGUCUCGGCAUCAUAUUGAGACUGGGGUUUUGCUUGCUACGGGCUGGAGGACGGCGGUUCAAUUUUCUGUCGAGCAUUGAUGGACUUACCGAGCUGUCCUUUCACAUGCAUACACAGUGCCCUGCAAACUUUCACCGGACUGGAACAGGCAGGCAUUAUGUGCAGUGUCAUUUUCCGGAAGGUUAUUUUAUUUGCCAUUAAUAGCACGUCCGUGCAGGCAAAGGACCUGUCUCUUCUUGUUUCCCAACUCUGGCUCCUGCUACAGUCGAUCUUGGUGCGUGUUUUUUUGAAAUAAAAGCAAUUUGCAUCUAUUGUGUAUAAUGUUUGCAGAAAACUCCUCGCAAAAAAAAAAGUUUGCAGAAACCACUUUUUUCAGGAAAUCUUUCGAUCUAUUCAUCAAUUGUUAAGGUAGUGUAAAAAAUAUCAUAAGUAAAAAAAUAAAUUCAGGUAUAUAGACCAUCUAACAACGAUUACAAGCAAUGGUGUGAGCCAAAGACGAAUCGCCGUCAUCGUCCCUCCCUCAUUAGAGCCAGGCAAACCUUAUUGUAGUAGACAGGUGCUAAAACCAUAUAUGACAAAUGCAUUAGAACAUUUACCGCCGUUGGUGAAGAGAACCGUAAAUCGAAAAUAUUCAAUAGGUAAAAAUACGAACGCACACGAACGAAGAUCGGAUCCAUGUGGAUCCACAUGCAUCUAUUGUGUAUAAUGUUUGCAGAAACUACUCUAUAACUAUAGACUGAAGUAAAUGACCUAGAAAAAGUGUUUUGUAAAUAGUACCUUUGCCUUUGUAAUUCCCUCAUAUUUGUUUGGUAUGUUCAUUGUUUCUUGUUUACUUGUAACCUGUUUUGCAUUAGAAAUUGAAGCCAAGAUGACAGGGUGAUGUGCACUCUCUUCCCAACCAAGUAAGCAACGCUCACUUCCUUUGCAUUUUGGUGUUACAAGGAGAGCUCGUUCAACCUUGUUUUACUUGCUUUCAUACAUAACAUNNACAUAACAUAGUCUCCAUGAAAAUUAGUUGACAAAUAUAUUGGUUAGCAAGGAAACAUGUAUAUAAUAACGGCAAAGUAGUGCCCACUAUCCAUAGUAAAAACAAUAUUUCGAUUUUGGCCGAAGGAGGAUGAAAAGCUCUAGAUUUCCUAAUGGUAAGAAAUAAGUUGAACAUAUUUUGUGCCGAACAUAUUUUGUGUGGUGUCUUAACAAAUACUAAUAUAAGAACAUCUCUAGCCGAUCUUUUCAAAACUUUAGAGAAGUAGAAAUUUAUUUAAUGGACUAUCGGGCCUAACUGAUCCCUUAUGGAUUUUAGAGGAGGAAAAAGCUUCCCUUCCCCUCAUGUAACUCCACGCCAAAGCUUCCGGUUUAUAGCCGUUGCACAUAGGAUCUAACCUUUGUCCUUGCUCGUGUGUAUAUGGGAUUAACUUCUCAAUCGAUCAUCCAUUCUAAAAUUUUCUAAGCCAAACACACAUAAUUUUAAAGUUUUUCUCACAUGGGCUACCAAAAAAGAAGGUGCACCUUAUGUGACGCCCCAUCUUAAUCGCACACUAAUCAUACACGCAAAGGCAUACGAUCAAGAUCAGGGACUCACGGAAGGUAUCACAACACAACUCUAGACACAAAUAAAAUAAUACAAGCUUUAUAUUACAACCCAGGGGCCUCGAGGCUCGAAUACAUAAGGUCGAAUACAAACGAGUCAGUGAAAACAACAAUAUCUGAAUACAUACAUAAACAUACAAAUUUGCCUUAAGAAGGCUAGCACAAAUACAACAUGGAUCGAAAAGGCAAGGCCUCCUGCCUGGGAGCCUCUGAACUACUACUGGCCGUCGGCGGCCUCCACAUAGUAAUAAACUCCGUUAGGGUAGUAGUAAUCUUCAAUGGGAUCAGCUGGCUCCUGGGCUCUGACAUGUGUUCGCGGAAAUCGUAUCGGAAAAGUGAAGCAAAGCAACGGUGAGUACUCAUCCAAAGUACCCGCAAGACUUACAUCGAGACUAUGCUAAGCAUGCAUCGGUAUCAAAGGAAUGGGGCGAUAUCUUGGGACUGAACUAAAGCCCCCCCCCCCCCAGAGAGAGAGAAAGACCUAGUCCUAUCAAAGACUAGCAUCUUGCAACAUUAGAAGAGUACAGGUUCGUAAAACAUAUAAAAGCAUGCAGUAGCAAGGCCUAGAGAUCCUUACUCGACUUCGUGCGACGAAGCGAUCCCGGAGCCAUCAUUUCCAUUUCAUGUCUCCAGUAUCCAGUUCUAGUUAUAUAGACCGGGAUACUUUCCCAGCAUGCGUUAUUGUGGACACGACUAUUCGAAUAGAUAUACUUCCCUGCAGGGGUGCACCAACUUAGCCAACAUGCUCGAUUAACUCCGGCUAGACACACUUUCCUGGGCCAUGCUUGGCCUCAGCUGAUCGACACGUUGCAGUCCUACCUAGGAUCAGCACAGAGGUCAACACGUUCGUCUACUCCUAAGUGCUCAAGGGUCUUGGGCCCAAAGCCCUUUGCACUCCUGCGCAUUACAAGGACGACCGAUAUCAGUACUAGCUACCUCUAAAUCCAAAGUAGGUGCCUAAAUCGACCACCCGGGCGCGUGCCGCCCACUGUGGAAUCUGAAGAACUUUCAAGAGAAUGUACGACGAAGAGUGCCCAUACUUAUUCCCGCGUGCGGUUAGUGCGAUAAAGGCGAGAGGCCUACUCGGAUCACAUAUCCACACCCGUUAGUAUCUUCGGAGCUUGCGGUAACGAUCAGUGAUCCUCCCGAUCCCGUCGCCCGUCUCGUGGACUUACGGCGAGGGGAAACAAUGCCUGUCCAUGCCACGUAAUUAUCUCACGGGUACCUCCAGGUCAACCCGACUCACCACAAGACCGUCGAGAACUCAGGUCCACCUCAACCGGGGUGAUACCACCCGUCCCAUCAGUCCCACAAUAGGAAUAAUACGGGCAAUAGGUAACGAUAACAGUGUGUCCUUGUCAUCAAGGGGGAAUUCUGAAGAAUCUCCCUUGAUGGAUUUCCAUUGAUGUAACCGUGAGGGUGAAACCUAAGGUACCACUUUCAACAGUCAGUAGUAGUUCUGUAGCGUCGUACAUCCAAGGGUGUGUGCGAUGAUGUGUUAGUCUUGUCUCAUCAAUCACCUGGAUUAGAUCUUCCAUCACCCUCGAUAGUCGAUAGUAGCUCGGAAGAGUCGUACAACUAAGGGGGUGUGAUGUGAUGUGUCGGGCUCAGGACGUCGAUCAGUUUGAUCGCGUCAUCAAUGAUGACGCGGGGGCAACAAGGACAAAGUGAGGGGGGUAGUGAUGGUUCACUAUCCACCCUAUACUAAGCAUAUAGGAUCAUCAGGUAGGUAACAACAACAAGUUAUAAAAUCAGGUUAUGCAUCCGAAUAGGUGCUAUCAAAGACAGUAACAAAUUCUAAUGCAAGCAUGAGGGAGAAAGAAUUGGGGGAUAUGAGAAUGAUCAAGGGGGGGGGGGGGGACUUGCGUGAAAGCUGUGCAGACAGAUACGAAUCCUCGAUGGUAGAGUAGUCCAUCAACGGAUCAACAACGGUCUCGGUGUCUACCCUAAAGGAAGUAAUGAAGGGGAAACACAGUAAAUUAAAGAACAACCAAAUGCAUCACAAAGCAUGAUAUGGUAAUACACCAUGCUAGGGGCGACCUAACACAUUACUAAGCGUUACAAACGGAGCGGGAAAAUGUCUAUGGAUAUUUCCCGGGUGUGUGGCAUUUAUCGGACACACGAUUCAGAGGGGAAGAUUCCAUGUUCAUCAUGCUAGAUGCAUGUGAGAGAUGAAUGGAUAGCGUAUUGGGAUUAAUUAUAUUUUUGGGAUAACUGCAUUUGUGCCCCUAGUUGGGUCACACUCGACUGAUCUGCCCCUAAUUUUUCAAUAAAUGCGGUUUUGCCUAGCUCAAUUCACUCGCCUUGUGUUUUUGCCAUUCCGGCACGGUUCCGUCCAGUCACGGUUCGCCACGUGGCGACUGAUAACUAGACGGAACCGUGCCGGAAGGGCAAAAACACAAGGCGAGUGAAGUGAGCUCGGAAAAACCACAAUUAUUGAAAAAAUAGGGGCAAAUUAGUCGAGCGUGACCCAACUAGGGGCACAAAUGCAAUUAUCCCUAUAUAUUUUUUGAUUGUUUUUCAUAUAUAAAUUGUUUUCAUUCGAGUUAUAGACUAUUUUAUAUGAUUUUUCGAAGUUUAAAUGAUUUUCUGAAAUUAUUAUUAUCUGUUAAAUUCUAAUUUUAAACAACGCAAUUAGUUUUAUACAUAGCACUAGCCAACCAAAGUGAAUGACGUGUUGGGGCAAGGAGUGUGCUAAGUCAACAGUGAAUAGUUUGACUAUUGACUUGUAACCUAACCAGUGGGCACAAGAUGUCAUAGAAACAUAUGUUAACUCGAGUUAUUAAUUAUUUUAACUUAAUGAGACUAAAUAAUCCCUAAAUGAAUCUAAUAUAAUCCUACUCUAAUUUAUGUUGGAAAUAUGCCCUAGAGGCAAUGAUAAAUAGUUACUAUUAUAUUUCCUGUUUAAAGAUAUUCAUUUAUUAUCCAUGCUAUAAUUGUAUUGAAUGAAAACAUAGAUACAUGUGUGGAUACAUAGACAAAACAAUGUCCCUAGCAAGCCUCUAGUUGGCUAGCAAGUUGAUCAAUGAUAGUCAAGGUUUUCUGACUAUGUGCAAGUGUUCUCACUUGAUAACUAGAUCACAUCAUUAGGAGAAUCAUGUGAUGGACUAGACCCAAACUAUGAACGUAGCAUAUUGAUCGUGUCGUUUUAUUGCUAUUGUUUUCUGCGUGUCAAGUACUUGUUCCUAUGACCAUGAGAUCAUAUAACUCACUGGCACCGGAGGAAUACCUUGUGUGCAUCAAACAUCACAACGUAACUGGGUGACUAUAAAGGUUCUCUACAGGUAUCUUCGAAGGUGUCCGUUGAGUUAGUAUGGAUCAAGAGUGAGAUUUGUCAGUCCGUGUGACGGAGAGGUAUCUCGGGGCCCACUCGGUAAUACAACAUCACACACAAGCCUUGCAAGCAAUGUGACUAAGUGUAAGUCACAAGAUCUUGUAUUACGGAACGAGUAAAGAGACUUGCCGGUAACGAGAUUGAAAUAGGUAUGCGGAUACCGACGAUCGAAUCUCGGGCAAGUAACAUACCGAAGGACAAAGGGAAUGACAUACGGGAUUAUAUGAAUCCUUGACACUGAGGUUCAACCGAUAAGAUCUUCGGAGAAUAUGUAGGAUCCAAUAUGGGCAUCCAGGUCCCGCUAUUGGAUAUUGAUCGAGGAAUGCAUUGGGGCAUGUCUACAUAGUUCUCGAACCCGCAGGGUCUCCACACUUAAGGUUCGAUGAUGUUUUAGUAUAGUUGAGUUAUAUGUGUGGUUACCGAAUGUUGUUCGGAGUCCCGGAUGAGAUCAUGACAUCACGACGGUUUACGGAAUGGUCGGGAAACGAAGAUUGAUAUAUAGGAUGGCAUCAUUUGGUUACCAGAAGGUUUUCGGGCAUUAUCGGGAAUGUACCGGGAGUGACGAAUGGGUUCCGGAAGUUCACCGGGAGGGGGGCAACCCACCCGGGGGAAUCCCAAUGGUCCUAGGGGUGGCGCACCAGCCCUUUGUGGGUAGGUGGGACAUCCCAAGAGGGCCUUGGCGCCAUAAGAAGAAAACCAAUAAAAAGGGGAGGUGGGAAGGAAGAGAAGGACUCCACUUUCCAAUCCUAGUUGGACUAGGAUUGGAGUAGGACUCCUCCUCUCCCUUGGCCGGCGCACCCUUGAGGGCUUGGCCCUCAACGCAAGACUCCUCCCCCUCCCUCCUAUAUAUAGUGGUGAUUUAGGGCUGAUUUGAGACAACUUUUGCCACGUGCAACUCAGAUCUAGACACCAUAGUUUUACCUCUAGAUCAUAUUUCUGCGGAGCUCGGGCGGAGCCCUGCAGGAGUAGAUCCUCACCACCACCGGAGCACCAUUACGCUGCCGAAGAACUCAUAUAAUUCUCCGUCUUGCUUGCUGGAUCAAGAAGGUCGAGAUCAUCGUCGAGCUGUACGUGUGCUGGACGCGGAGGUGCCGUCCGUUCAGCACUAGAUCGGAAUGGGUCAUGGGACGGAUCGCGGGACGGUUCGUGGGGAUGACCGAGGGACGUGAAGACGUUCCACUACAUCAACCGCAUUUCUUAACGCUUCCUGCUGUGCGAUCUACAAGGGUACAUAGAUCCAAAUCUCCUCUCGUAGAUGGACAUCACCAUGAUAGGUCUUCGUGUGCGUAGGAUUUUGUUUUGCUUCCCAUGGAACAUUCCCCAACAGAUGAGCUAGGUUCAUGCGUAGAUGUUAUCUCGAGUAGAACACAAAGGGUUUUGUGAACGGUGAUGUUCAAUUUGCUGCCCUCCUCGGUAUUUUCUCGAUUCGGCGGUAUUGUUGGAUUGAAGCGGCCCGGACUGACAUUAUUCGUACGCUUACAAAAGACUGGUUGCAUCGAUUGACAUGCAACCUCGUUGCAUAAAGAUGACUGGAGGGUGUCGGUUUCUUCAACUUUAGUUGAAUUGGUCUUGACCGAGGCGGUCCGUGGAGAGGUUAAAUAGAAAUUUGCACAUCUCCGUUGUGGUUUUUGCGUAAGUAAGAUGCGAUCUACUAGAUACCGAUAGCAGCCACGUAAAACAAGAAACAACAAAUUAGAGGACGUCUAACUUGUUUUUGCAGGGUAUGCUUGUGAUAUGAUAUGGCCAAUGACGUGAUGUGAUAUAUUGGAUGUAUGAGAUGAUCUUGUUGUAAUAGUUAAUAUCGACUUGCACGUCGAUGGUACGGCAACCAGCAGGAGCCAUAGGGUUGUUUUAAACUAACGUUUAUGUUUGCAGAUGCGUUUACUAUAUUGCUAGGACGUAGCUUUGGUAGUAAUAUCAUAAGUAGCACGAAAACCCCGAUGGCGACAUGUUGAUGGAGAUCAUGAUGAUGGAGAUCACGGUGUGGCGCCGGUGACAAGAAGAUUGUGCCGGUGCUUUGGUGAUGGAGAUCAAGAAGCACAAGAUGAUGGCCAUAUCAUGUCACUUAUGAAUUGCAUGGGAUGUUAAUCCUUUUAUGCACCUUAUUUUGCUUAGAACAAGGGUAGCAUUAUGAGGUGAUCUCUCACUAAAAUUUCAAGACGAAAUUGUGUUCUCCCCGACUGUGCACCGUUGCUACAGUUCGUCGUUUCGAGACACCAUGUGAUGAUCGGGUGUGAUAGACUCAACAUUCGCAUACAACGGGUGCAAAACAGUUGCACACGCGGAACACUCGGGUUAAGCUUGAUGAGCCUAGCAUGUAUAGACAUGGACUCGGAACACAUGAGACCGAAAGGUCGAGCAUGAAUCGUAUAGUUGAUAUGAUUAGCAUAGAGAUGCUUACCACUGAAACCAUCCUCAACUCACGUGAUGAUCAGACUUGAGUUAGUGAAUUUGCAUCAUGUACCACUCAAAUGACUAGAGAGAUGUACUUUUUGAGUGGGAGUUUAGCAAGUAAUUUGAUUAGUUAAACUCUAAUUAUAUUGAACAUAGUCUAAGUCCACUUUGAAAAUAUUUGUGUUGUAGAUCAAUGGCUCAUGCGACAGUCACCCUGAAUUUUAAUACGUUCCUAGAGAAAGCUAAGUUCAAAGAUGAUGGAAGCAACUUUGUAGACUGGGCUCAUAAUCUUAAGUUGCUCCUACAACCUGGGAAGAAGGAUUAUGUCCUUAAUGCUGCACUGGGAGAUGAACCAUCCGCCGCGGCUGACCAAGAUGUUAAGAACGCUUGGUUAGCACGCAAGGAGGACUACUCAGUAGUUCAAUGUCUUGUAUGGCUUAGAGCCCGGACUUCAACGUUGCUUUGAGCGUCAUGGAGCAUUUGAGAUGUUCCAGGAGUUGAAGUUUAUGUUUCAGAAGAACACCCAGAUCGAGAGGUAUGAGACCUCCGAUAAAUUCUAUGCUUUCAAGAUGGAGGAGAAUUUGUAUGUCAGUGAACAUGUGCUCAAAAUGUCUGGGUACUCAAACCGUCUAGCUGAGCUGGGGAUUGAACUCCCGCAAGAGGCUAUCACUGACAGAAUUCUUCAAUCACUGCCACCAAGCUACAAGAGCUUUGUGUUGAACUAUAACAUGCAAGGGAUGAACAAGUCACUCAGCGAGUUAUUCGCGAUGCUGAAAGUCGCAGAGUCAGAACUUCGUAAAGAGCAUCAAGUGUUGAUGGUGAAUAAGACCACUCGUUUCAAGAGAAAUGACAAAGGAAAGAAGGGUAAUUCCAAGAAGAGCAGCAGGCCUGUUUCCAAUCCGAUGAAGAAACCCAAAGCUGGACCUAAGCGUGAAACGGAGUGUUAUUUUUGCAAGGGUAUGGGUCACUGAAAGCGCAACUGCCCAAAGUAUCUGGCUGAUAAGAAGGCGGCCAAGGAAAAAUCAGGUAUAUUCGAUAUACAUGUUAUUGAUGUGUACUUAACCAGCUCUCGUAGUAGUGUCUGGGUAUUCGAUACCGGUUCUGUUGCUCAUAUUUGCAACUCGAAACAGGAACCGCGGAAUAAGCGAAGGCUGACGAAGGAUGAAGUGACGAUGCGCGUGGGAAAUGAUUCCAAGGUUGAUGCAAUCGCCGUCGGCACAGUUUCACUUCAGUUACCAUCAGGAUUAGUUAUGAACUUAAAUAAUUGUUAUUUAGUGCAUGCGUUAAGCAUGAACAUUAUAUCUGGAUCUUGUUUAUUGCGAGAUGGUUACUCGUUUAAGUCAGAGAAUAAUGGUUGUUCUAUUUCUAUUUGUAAUAUCUUUUAUGGUCAUGAACCAAAUGUGAGAGGAUUGUUCAUAUUGAAUCUUGAUAGCAAUGAUACACAUAUACAUAACAUUGAGACCAAAAGAGUUAGAGUUAACAAUGAUAGUGCCAUGUUUUUAUGGCACUGCCGCUCAUGUCAUAUUGGUGUAAAGCGCAUGAAGAAACUCCAUACCGAUGGACUUUUGGAGUCACUUGACUUUGAUUCACUUGACACCUGCGAACCAUGCCUCAUGGGCAAGAUGACUAAGACUCUGUUCUCCGGAACAAUGGAGCAUGCAAGUGACUUGUUGGAAAUCAUACAUACUGAUGUGUGCGGUCCGAUGAGUGUGGAGGCGCACAACAGAUAUCGUUAUUUUCUCACCUUCAGUAACGAUUUGAGUAGAUAUGGUUAUGUCUACUUGAUGAAGCACAUGUCUGAAACGUUUGAGAAGUUCAAGCAAUUUCAAAGUGAAGUUGAAAAUCAUCGUAACAAGAAGAUCAAGUUCCUAUGGUCUGAUCGUGGGGGUGAAUAUCUGAGUUUCGAGUUUGGUGCUCACUUAAGACAAUGUGGAAUUGUUUCAUAGUUGACACCGCCUGGAACACCACAACGUAAUGGUGUGGCCGAACGUCGUAAUCAUACUUUAUUAGAGAAGGUGCGAUCUAUGAUGUCUCUUAUCGAUUUGCCAUUAUCGUUUUGGGGUUAUGCAUUGGAGACAACUGCAUUCACUUUAAAUAGGGCACCAUCAAAAUCCGUUGAGACGACACCAUACGAACAAUGGUAUGGCAAAAGACCAAAACUAUCGUUUCUUAAAGUUUGGGGAUGUGAUGCUUAUAUCAAAAAGCUUCAGCCUGAAAAGCUGGAACGCAAAGCGGGAAAGUGCGUCUUCAUAGGUUACCCAAAAGAGACAGUUGGGUAUACUUUCUAUCUCAAAUCCGAGGGCAAAGUGUUUGUUGCUAAAAAUGGAGCUUUUCUUGAGAAGGAGUUUCUCUCGAAAGAAUUGAGUGGGAGGAAGAUAGAACUUGAUGAGGUUAUCGAACCUCUAAUCCCUCUAGAUGGUGGCGUAGGGCAAGGGGAAACCCCUGUUGCUGCGGUGCCGGUUGAGGAGCAAGUUGAUGAUGAUGAUCAUGAAACUUCGAAUCAAGUUGCUAUCAGACCUCGCAGGUCGACAAGAUCAUGUACUACUCCUGAGUGGUACGGUAAUCCUGUCUUAACAAUUAUGUUGUUGGACAACAAUGAACCUGCGAAUUAUGAAGAAGCAAUGGUGGGCCCAGAUUCCAACAAAUGGCUGGAGGCCAUGAAGUCCAAGAUAGGAUCCAUGUACGAGAACAAAGUGUGGACAUUGGAAGUACUACCUGAAGGCCGCAAGGCUAUUCAGAACAAAUGGAUCUAUAAGAAGAAGACGAACGCAAACGAUAAUGUGACCGUUUAUAAACUUGACUUGUGGCAAAGGGUUUUUCACAAGUUCAAGGAGUUGACUACGAUAAGACUUUCUCACCGCUAGCGAUGCUUAAGUCCGUCCGAAUCAUGUUAGCAAUAGCCGCCUUUUACGAUUAUGAAAUGUGGCAGAUGGAUGUCAAAACGGCGUUCCUUAAUGGUUUUCUUUAGGAAGAGUUGUAUAUGAUGCAACCCGAAGGUUUUUUCAAAUUCAAAGAAUGCUAACAAAGUAUGCAAGCUCCAUCAAUCCAUUUAUGGACUGGUGCAAGCAUCUCGGAGUUGGAAUAAGCGCUUUGAUGAGGUGAUCAAAGCAUUUGGGUUUAUACAAGUGGUUGGAGAAUCUUGUAUUUACAAGAAAGUGAGUAAGAGCUCUGUGGCGUUUCUAAUAUUAUAUGUGGACGACAUAUUGUUGAUUGGAAACAACGUGGAGCUUUUGGAGAGCAUAAAGGAUUACUUGAAUAAAAGUUUCUCUAUGAAGGACCUAGGAGAAGCUGCUUACAUUCUAGGCAUUAAGAUCUAUAGGGAUAGAUCGAGACGCCUGAUAGGACUUUCACAAAGCACAUACCUUGAUAAAGUUUUGAAGAAGUUCAAAAUGGAUCAGUCCAAGAAAGGGUUCUUGCCAGUAUUACAAGGUAUAAAAUUGAGUAAGACUCAGUGCCCAGCAACUCCGGAAGAUAGAGAACAAAUGAGUUCCGUCCCCUACGCUUCAGCCGUAGGUUCUCUCAUGUAUGCAAUGUUGUGCACUAGACCAGACAUCAGUUUGGCCAUAAGUAUGGCAGGCAGGUUUCAUAGUAAUCCAGGAGUGGAUCACUGGAUGAUGGUCAAGAAUAUUCUGAAGUACAUGAAAAGUACUAAGGAAAUGUUUCUCGUUUAUGGAGGUGACAAAGAGCUCAUCGUAAAGGGUUACGUCGACGCAAGUUUUGACACCGAUCCGGAUGACCCUAAGUCACAAACCGAAUAUGUGUUUAUUCUUAAUGGGGGUGCAGUAAGCUGGUGCAAUUCCAAGAAGAGCGUCGUAGCAGAUUCUACAUGUGAAGCAGAGUACAUGGCUGCCUCGGAGGAAGCAAAGGAGGGUGUCUGGAUGAAGCAGUUCAUGACAAAUCUUGGAGUUGUGCCAAGCGCACUAGAUCCAUUAACUCUGUUAUGUGACAACGCUGGUGUCAUUGCCUUAGCAAAGGAACCAAGGUUUCACAAGAAGACCAGACACAUCAAAUGAUGCUUCAACCUCAUCCGCGACUACGUCGAAGGAGAGGACGUGAAUAUUUGCAAAGUGCACACGGAUCUGAAUGUAGCAGACCCACAGACUAAACUUCUUCCACGGGCAAAAUAUGAUCAAUACCAGAACUGUAUGGGUGUUCGAUUUAUUACAAUGUAAAUCACAUGGCGAUGUGAGGACUAGAUUAUUGACAAUAGUGCAAGUGAGAGACUGUUGGAAAUAUGCCCUAUAGGCAAUGAUCCCCCCCCCCCCCCCCCUUUAAAGAUAAUCGUUUAUUAUCCAUGCUAUAAUUGUAUUGAAUGAAAACAUAGAUACAUGUGUGGAUGCAUAGACAAAACAAUGUCCCUAGCAAGCCUCUAGUUGGCUAGCCAGUUGAUCAAUGAUAGUCAAGGUUUUCUGACUAUGUGCAAGUGUUGUCACUUGAUAACUGGAUCACAUCAUUAGGAAAAUCAUGUGAUGUACUAGACGCAAUCUAUGAACGUAGCAUAUUGAUCCUGUCAUUUUAUUGGUAUUGUUUUUUGCGUGUCAAGUACUUGUUCCUAUGACCAUGAGAUCAUAUAACUCACUGGCACUGGAGGAAUACCUUGUGUGCAUCAAACGUCACAACGUAACUGGGUGAAUAUAAAGGUGCUCUACAGGUAUCUCCGAAGGUGUUCGUUGAGUUAGUAUGGAUCAAGACUGGGAUUUGUCACUCCGUGUGACGGAGAGGUAUCUCGGGGCCCACUCGGUAAUACAACAUCACACACAAGCCUUGCAUGCAAUGUGACUAAGUGUAAGUCACAUGAUCCUGUAUUACGGAACGAGUAAAGAGACUUGCCGGUAACGAGAUUGAAAUAGGUAUGCGGACACCGACGAUCGAAUCUCGUGCAAGUAACAUACCGAAGGACAAAGGGAAUGACAUACGGGAUUAUAUGAAUCCUUGACACUGAGGUUCAACCGGUAAGAUCUUCGGAGAAUAUGUAGGAUCCAAUAUGGGCAUCCAGGUCCCGCUAUUGGAUAUUGACCGAGGAGUGCCUCGGGGCAUGUCUACAUAGUUCUCGAACCCACAGGGUCUGCACACUUAAAGUUCGAUGAUGUUUUAGUAUAGUUGAGUUAUAUGUGUGGUUACCGAAUGUUGUUUGGAGUCCCGGAUGAGAUCACGGACGACACGAGGGUUUCCGGAAUGGUCGGGAAACGAAGAUUGAUAUAUAGGAUGGCUUCAUUUGGUUACCGGAAUGUUUUCGGGCAUUACCGAGAAUGUACUAGGAGUGACGAAUGGGUUCCCGAAGUUCACCGGGAGGGGGGGGGGGAACCCACCUCGGGGAAGCCCAAUGGUCCUAGGGGUGGCGCACCAGCCCUUAGUAGGCUGGUGGGACAGCCCAAGAGGGUCUUGGCGCCAUAAGAAGAAAACCAAAAAAAAGGGGAGGUGGGAAGGAAGAGAAGGACUCCACUUUCCAAUCCUAGUUGGACUAGGAUUGGAGUAGGACUCCUCCUCUUCCUUGGCCGGCGCACCCUUGAGGGCUUGGCCCUCAAGGCAAGCCUCCUCCCCCUCCCUCCUAUAUAUAGUGAUGAUUUAGGGCUGAUUUGAGACAACUUUUUCCACGUGCAACUGAGAUCUAGACUCCAUAGUUUUACCUCUAGAUCGUAUUUCUGCGGAGCUCGGGCGGAGCCCUGCAGGAGUAGAUCCUCACCACCCCCGGAGCGCUGUCACGCUGCCGGAGAACUCGUCUACUUCUCUGUCUUGCUUGCUGGAUCAAGAAGGCCUAGAUCAUCGUCGAGCAGUACUUGUCCUGAACGCGGAGGUGCCGUCCGUUCGGCACUAGAUCGGAAUGGAUCGUGGGACGGUUCGCGGGACGGUUCGUGGGACGGUUCAUGGGGCUGAUCGAGGGACAUGAAGACGUUUCACUACAUCAACCGUGUUUCUUAAUGGUUCUUGUUGAGCGAUCUACAAGGGUACGUAGAUCCAAAUCUCCUCUCGUAGAUGGACAUCACCAUGAUCGGUCUUCGUGUGCGUAGGAUAAUUUUUGUUUCCCAUGCAACCAUCCCCAACAAUUCAAACAGGGAUGGGGCAAAAGGCACGAGACAUGCCUCACCUAGUUGGUCACGCACGCACGCACGGUUAGCAGUAGCCGCGGGCGACGAUGGAGGCAUGCAACAUCGACGCUAGGUAGCAGUAGCGACAUCGGCAUGCGCAUUAAUAGAAAAAGCAGGAGCGAGCAGCGGCUAUAGGAGCUGCGGACACGGGUUGCAUCAGCAGCAGAAGCAACAAUUAGCUACGCAGCAAGGAGCAACAACAACACAGCAAGCUGCCGCCAUAGCAAGCAGCCGCGCAGCAGCAGUAGCAUCAGAAGUGUAGAAGCUUGCAGCAACGGCAUGCAAAGCAGUAACUAGCGGCACCAAGCGUUAUGGUAGCAGUGAUAGGCAACAUCGGUGGUAAGGAGUAGCAGGCAGCAGCCGCAGCAACAGAGCAAGCAACAACGCAUUGUGGCAGUGGGCGAGCGGGCAUAGGGGGCGGUUAGGGUGGAACAGGGAGCAGCGACACAUGGGAGUGGGGUGUAGGCGGGCAUGUGGCUAGUAGCGAGCGAGCGCAUGGGCUGGGCGAGGCGGAGCGCGGCUAGGGGAAUGGCAGGAGCGGGCGAGCACGCACGAUGACUGGAUCUCCGGCCAUGACGGACAACGACCUGCACAGUCAUCUAUGGCAACAUAUCGAGAUGGGAGAAAGUGGGGAAACGGAGAGGAGCUCACCGCGGUUCCAACGGAGACGACGGGGAAGCCGGAGGUGGACCGGAGGCAAUCGAUGACGGGGCCGGGGAUGUACACGACAGAAACAAGCUCGAUGACGUGUGUAUGGGGUAGCCCCACCCGAUUUGAUUCCCGAGAUGGACGAAGUCGACGGUGACGGUCCUCCUGGACGUCUUGGCGCGGCGAGGGGAGCGCGGUGGUCGUGGAAUCGAUGACGGGCGGCGAUGGGGAUGCUCGGGAUAAGUGGGAGAGAGCGAGGGGAGAGGGAAGAGUGGCCUAGGGUUGUCUCACGUGUCGGGGAGGGCCUUAUACACCGCAGGGCUCGCUAUAGGGUCGACACGGCGGCCAUAGUGGCCAUGGCAGGGUGGAUGGUGAAAGCACAAUUUCUCCCUAAGGUGGUUUUGGAAAUUAAUAACAACAUAUGUGUCAUUGAACUAAGGAUUCUAUCUAGUAUAUUUGAGGAAAAGUUCAAUGAUGCAUUGGCUAAGGAUUGUGAGGAGGACCCGUGGAUGCAAGGAACAUAUAUUGGCAACAAGCUUGAAGACUCUACAUUUUAUAUUUUGUGAGGUGACUAUGAUGAUCUGGUUGCUCAAGUGCUUAGAGAUAGCCACAAAAAAUACUCAUGAAAUUCUCUCACAAAUAUUCUGUCAAAAUCCACAAAGUCCAAAAUUCAGUGCCACCAACUUUCCAUUCGGCCCUAUCGAGUUUUCCACCAGGCAGAACCUUUGACAAACCUUAGCAUCUCGGUGCCACCAGCAUUCCAUUCGGUGACACCGAAAUCAAUGACCAACUUUCUUGUUAUCCAUUUUCACUAGUCGUAAUUUCCGAGUUUUGGAAUCAGUCUCACCGAGAUUUGGAAACUGCCCUAGGUCACCCAUAUCGAUAUCAUUGAGAUUUCUAUAUCGGUCUCACCGAUAAGACAAAAGUUGCCACAUUUUAUACUAGUCGCUGCCAUCGAGUUUCACUUCGGUUUCACUGAGUUGGGCAAUAAUGUUGUAACGAUUGGAUUUUUGAAGAUGCCUAUAUAUACCCAACCACCACCUCUCAUUCAUAGAGGAAGCACUUAGAACACACGUACACUUUCCAUAUCCAUUUUUCUGAGAGAGAGCCACCUACUCAUGUGUUGAGAUCAAGAUAUUCCAAUCCUACCAUACAGAUCUUGAUUUCUAGCCUCUCCAAGUUGCUUUCCACCAAAUCAAUAUCUUUUGCCCAAGCCAAAUCUGUGAGAGAGUGAUUGAGAGUUGAGGAGACUAUGUUUUGAAGCACAAGAGCAAGGAGUUCAUCAUACUACCGCAACUAUUACCUUUUUAGGGUGGUGCCUCCUAGAUUGGUUAGGUGUUGCUUGGGAGCCUCCUACUUCGUGUUGUGGAGUUAAACCAAGAAGUGUGUAAGGGCAAGGAGAUCGCGUACUUCGUGAAGAUCUACCCCAAGUGAGGCUAGUCCUUCAUGGACGUAAGCCAUGAUGGAAUAGACAAGGUUGCUUCUCCAUGGACCCUUCAUGUGUUGAGCCCUUUGUGGACUCUCGUGGCCGUUACCCUCCGUGGGUUGAAGUCUCCAUCAACGUGGACGUACGAUAGCACCACCUAUAGCAACAACGCCAAGAAUCACCGUGAAAAUCUUUGCGUUUGAUCUUCCUAUCCCUACCCUCUAUUUACAUGUGCAUGUCUUUACUUUCCGCUGCUAUACUCUUAGACUUGCAUGUGUAGGGUGCGAUUGACUCAAAAAAUUUGCUAAAACUUGCCCACAACUAAAAUUGGGAAAGGGCUAAGUUUUUAUUUGGUCAAGUAGUCUAAUCACCCCCCCUCUAGACAUACUUCGGAUCCUACAGAUGGCUACCACACCUUGCCCCUGCCUCCUCCUCUGUUACGAGGUAGGAGAAAGGCCAGUCGAUGUGGGCUGAGCUGCACAGUAGAGGUGUUGAGCAAAGUUCACAAUGCUCCCUUUUGUUUUUUGAUUUCUAUUUUAGCUAUGGUUUUGUAUUUUGUUUUUACACCAAAUGAUUUUGCUUGCCUAUGAGAUUUGGCAUAUAAAACAAAGGCAAUAUCCUGAAGUGUCUCACAAAGUUUGGGGACAUUUGGAAUUGUAUAAAUAUUUUUUUAUUUUGAAAAAGGCUAUUUUAAUUGUUGAUGGGCCACUUUAUAAUUUCUUAGGGGUUAAUUGUUGGAUCAAAUAAUGUUGGGUUCAACAUGACAAUGAUCACGGGAAUUUAUAGAAUAUUAUGAACACAUUGGUUUUACUAAUUGAAAAAACAACUUAUUUGACUUUAAUUUAAAUUUGAAAAUGGCUUUGAUUUUUAUCAAGUGGGAAAUUGGCUUAGUUAAACUUGAUGAGAUGGAACCAUUAGUGUGAGGUCAUUGUAGCAUGACACUCGGUGUUACAAAUCUCCUCCACUACAAUAAGUCUCGUCCCGAGAUUUAAGAGGUGGAGUAAGGGGGUUCUGGUUACAAAAUUCUAACACAUUUCCUCGUCCUUGGUUGAUCUUCUCGGAGAAGUUGAUCCCUUUAAUAUACGUCAUCAAUUAUGCGUUUCAGGUCAUACUGAUGAAGUCAUCAUCCUUUCAUGGGAUCUUCAUCCUCCUACAAAUGCGAUAAGAGGGAAAAACUCUGGAAGGACGCAUCUCCACAAAGUUGGGCAUCUAACGCUGAAAUCAGGGAAGAAGACAUGAAUUAUUUCUCGACUCAUAACUCACGAAAUUCAUUGAGAGCCAUAUGUGAUGGUCCAAAAGUUUCAAAUGGACAGACAAUCAUUCGAUGCUAAAUCAGAAGGUGAAAGUGAUUCAGAGCAACGAAAAUAAAUAUUGGGUAUGAUACUAAAAUAGAUCAUCCCUUGGACGGUGGCUCGGGAAUUACAUACGAAGCCAAGUGCAAAAGAUACUUUGGAAACAAAUAUUCACAUAAGAGUCAGGUUUCAAUCUUCUGGAACUGUGGGUUAUGGCCCACCAUUUGGGUUAAGAGUAGGAAGAGUGGUGACAUCUUGCACGGUCAUGGUAGCAAGACAUGUUAUGUUGGCAACAACGCCGGUACCAAGUGCGAGGAACUAUAAGAACCAUUUUCCUACUUGUUGAAACAAGGUAGACCAAUAGGCAAAGUUUGCGUCCACCGGCGGUCUGAGCAUCAGGUCGAAUCAAUUAAAGCGGUAUUCGAGAAUACCCCGUUGAAGUGAUAUUGAAUAUGAUUCAAAUCAACUUCAAACCUAAUAAAUGUUAGCUAUAUUAUCAUACCACCUUGCAUCCUCAUACCAUGCUCAUGCAUCAUCUUGUUGCAUAUGAUUGAUAUUGAUUGUUGUCAUUUUCUUCGGUAGGCUCCGCUCCUCCGGAUUCCACCGAAUAUCCGACUCAUGGAUAUUGUCCCUCCUCUGAGCAACAAGGCAAGCAACCAUUUUGAUCAUCCCGAUAGAUCCCAUGUUCUCGCUCCUGCACUUACUUAUUGCAUUAGGAUCAAAUGCUUCAAAUGCUUUUGCCACGUUAGUUGAACCCACUUCCUUUGCAAGACCUGUCCUUGUCACAGUAAAUAGCUGAACCUUGCAACCUAACAUACCUGGUAGUUGCUUGAGCCAUGAUGUGCCUUAUCCUGCUAUGCAUGCUAUGCUUGGAGUUGUGUAUGGUCUGUCAUCUGGGAGAUGAACAGAAUUGUGAGAAUGUGUUCAGUAAGUAAAGGUUGUGUGUUGAACCUGAUUUGGUGAAGGUACCGGUGAAAUGCUAUGUAGGAGUACAUGGCGGAUUGUUUCAUUGGAACCGUCCUUAGGAACUGAGUUCGGUGUAUGUAAACCAAGAUGAGAUACUACCACAUGCUGGGCCCUGAAAUAUGACCCCGCUCGACUUAUUAAUCGCUUAGUACUCGGUCCAGGAGUUGCAAGUAGUUUCUGGUGUUUAUAGUCAUGCUGGAGGCCGUGCAUAGCGCUGACCUGAGAGGUGGGCCGUGAUGCGGUAGGCAGUGGCACAGUGUACCAAGUGGCACCCGGAUGGUGGGCUUGGGAACCCUGCGCACAUCGUUUGGGGCCGUGGAGGAAACCUCGGCCGGACUUCCGUGCGGGUUACCCUCAGAUAGGCGAUUGACCUGGACCAAGUAUUAGCGUGGUUAACGGUUGUGGCCGACUCCCUCGCUGGGCUUCCGCUAGAAGGUUGCCGAGGUGCAUGACGUGCACAUGGCGAUAAGUGGCGNGCUCCGCUCCUCCGGAUUCCACCGAAUAUCCGACUCAUGGAUAUUGUCCCUCCUCUGAGCAACAAGGCAAGCAACCAUUUUGAUCAUCCCGAUAGAUCCCAUGUUCUCGCUCCUGCACUUACUUAUUGCAUUAGGAUCAAAUGCUUCAAAUGCUUUUGCCACGUUAGUUGAACCCACUUCCUUUGCACGUCCUGUCCUUGUCACAGUAAAUAGCUGAACCUUGCAACCUAUCAUACCUGGUAGUUGCUUGAGCCAUGAUGUGCCUUAUCCUGCUAUGCAUGCUAUGCUUUGAGUUGUGUAUGGUGUAUCAUCUGGGAGAUGAACAGAAUUGUGAGAAUGUGUUCAGUAAGUAAAGGUUGUGUGUUGAACCUGAUUUGGUAAAGGUACCGGUGAAAAGCUAUGUAGGAGUACAUGGCGGGUUGUUUCAUUGGAACCGUCCUUAGGAACUGAGUUCUGUGUAUGUAAGCCAAGAUGAGAUACUACCACAUGCUGGGCCCUGAAAUAUGACCCCGCUCGACUUAUUAAUCGCUUAGUACUCGGUCCAGGAGUUGCAAGUAGUUUCUGGUGUUUAUAGUCAUGCUGGAGGCCGUGCAUAGCGCUGACCUGAGAGGUGGGCCGUGAUGCGGUAGGCAGUGGCACAGUGUACCAAGUGGCACCCGGAUGGUGGGCUUGGGAACCCUGCGCACAUCGUUUGGGGCCGUGGAGGAAACCUCGGCCGGACUUCCGUGCGGGUUACCCUCAGAUAGGCGAUUGACCUGGACCAAGUAUUAGCGUGGUUAACGGUUGUGGCCGACUCCCUCGCUGGGCUUCCGCUAGAAGGUUGCCGAGGUGCAUGACGUGCACAUGGCGAUAAGUGGCGAGAGCAUGUGUGACGAAGUACACCCCUGCAGGGUUAUGAUCUAUUCGAAUAGCCGCGUCCGCGGAUAUGGACUACUUGGAGACAUAUGUUGUUCAUAGAUAACUUCAAUGGCUACUCAUAAAAUUGUCAAGAUAAGCGUGAGUGUCGUGGACAGCAUUUCCGUAUGGAGACGGAAUGAUUCCACGAUGGAGUAUUGUUGUGGUGUUAGUGGAUCAUGUGCGAGAAAUCAAGUUGUCAAAAAUUGUUUUAAAAUGCAAGUUGUCUAGCCACGAGUCAAAUGCUGGCUUUCCGCAUGAAACUCCACAAUUCCUUAUUGAUACUUGCAUGAGUAGAUAGUUAUCCUAAAGUCUUGCUGAGUACCUCCGUACUCAUGUUUGCUUAAUAUUUGUUGCAGAGGUUGUUAAUGACCCUAAUGAAGGGUUCUUCCUAGACAUCGACGACGACGAGUAGCUGGUAUCCCAGCUACGAUCUGGCCCUAGGGUGGGUCUGUAGUAUAGUCAGGCCAUGUGCCUUCUAGUUUCACCUGUCUGUACUCAGACAGCUUAUCUACUUCCGCUGGCUUGUAACUUGAAUGACUGUUAUGAUGGGUCGUGAGACCCCUACCGUGUAAUAUUAUGUGUGAGGCUCUUCCGAGCAUUUUAAAUAAAGCUUGUAUGUUUAUGGUUAUGUUGUGAUGCCAUCGAUGUAUCUAUACAUAUCGGUAUGCCAUGCGUACGUGUGUCGUACUUGAUAUGUAUGGGGUUCGAUUACCUAGCCGUAGACUUUAGUAGCAUUCCUUACAGGGAAAUGCCCCUUUGUGAUCCAACGAGCCAUGGUAGCUCGCUACUGCUCCGGACACAUUGGUUGACCGGCGUGUGUCCUUCUUACCUGUUGUGUCUGUCCUCUUUGGGGAAAUGCCACGCGAUGUAAUGGAGUCCUUGUAGCUUGCUACGACUCGUCUACAUUCGCUGGUGACCGACACCUGCUUUGCUGGGUCAUGUAUGCCUGUCCCUGUGCGGAACUGCAACUUUGGUUUAUGACUGGACAUGUCGAUCCGGGUUCUUUGUCAUUGGAUUGCUAGCGACACAAUUGCAUACGCGAGUCAAAAGGCGCAAACGGUCCCGGGUAAGGUAAGGCUGCAGCCGUGGGGUUAACCGUGCGUGAGACCGCAAAGAGAUGCGAUGUGUUACAGGCUGGAUUCCUAUGGCUUAGGAUCAGGGCCCCGACAGCGUUGUAGAAUAAUGAAUAAGUUAAAUUUUAUAAAUGCUAUGGAGAUGGAAUUUGAAAAUAAUUUGAAUUCCACUUCAAAUGCUAUGAUCAAACAUUGUUCAAUCACAACCAGCAACUUAACAUAUCAUUUCCAUGCAUGUUAAAACCAAGUUGAUCUGAGCAUCAGGUUGAAUCAAUUAAAACGGUAUUCGAGAAUACCCCGUUGAAGUGAUAUUGAAUCUGAUUCAAAUCAACUUCAAACCUAAUAAAUGUUAGCUAUAUUAGCAUACCACCUUGCAUCCUCAUACCAUGCUCAUGCAUCAUCUUGUUGCAUAUGAUUGAUAUUGAUUGUUGUCAUUUUCUUCGGUACGCUCCGCUCCUCCGGAUUCCACCGAAUAUCCGACUGACGGAUAUUGUCCCUCCUCUGGGCAACAAGGCAAGCAACCAUUUUGAUCAUCCCGAUAGAUCCCAUGUUCUCGCUCCUGCACUUACUUAUUGCAUUAGGAUCAAAUGCUUUUGCCACGUUAGUUGAACCCACUUCCUUUGCAUGGCCUGUCCUUGUCACAGUAAAUAGCUGAACCUUGCAACCUAGCAUACCUGGUAGUUGCUUGAGCCAUGAUGUGCCUUAUCCUGCUAUGCAUGCUAUGCUUAGAGUUGUGUAUGGUUUUUCAUCUGGGAGAUGAACAGAAUUGUGAGAAUGUGUUCAGUAAGUAAAGGUUGUGUGUUGAACCUGAUUUGGNGCUCCGCUCCUCCGGAUUCCACCGAAUAUCCGACUGACGGAUAUUGUCCCUCCUCUGGGCAACAAGGCAAGCAACCAUUUUGAUCAUCCCGAUAGAUCCCAUGUUCUCGCUCCUGCACUUACUUAUUGCAUUAGGAUCAAAUGCUUCAAAUGCUUUUGCCACGUUAGUUGAACCCACUUCCUUUGCAGGCCCUGUCCUUGUCACAGUAAAUAGCUGAACCUUGCAACCUACCAUACCUGGUAGUUGCUUGAGCCAUGAUGUGCCUUAUCCUGCUAUGCAUGCUAUGCUUCGAGUUGUGUAUGGUAUCUCAUCUGGGAGAUGAACAGAAUUGUGAGAAUGUGUUCAGUAAGUAAAGGUUGUGUGUUGAACCUGAUUUGGUCAAGGUACCGGUGAAAGGCUAUGUAGGAGUACAUGGCGGUUUGUUUCAUUGGAACCGUCCUUAGGAACUGAGUUCCGUGUAUGUAAUCCAAGAUGAGAUACUACCACAUGCUGGGCCCUGAAAUAUGACCCCGCUCGACUUAUUAAUCGCUUAGUACUCGGUCCAGGAGUUGCAAGUAGUUUCUGGUGUUUAUAGUCAUGCUGGAGGCCGUGCAUAGCGCUGACCUGAGAGGUGGGCCGUGAUGCGGUAGGCAGUGGCACGGUGUACCAAGUGGCACCCGGAUGGUGGGCUUGGGAACCCUGUGCACAUUGUUUGGGGCCGUGGUGGAAACCUCGGCUGGACUUUCGUGCGGGUUACCCUCAGAUAGGCGAUAGACCUGGACCAAGUAUUAGCAUGGUUAACGGUCGUGGCCGACUCCCUCGCUGGGCUUCUGCUUGAAGGUUGCCGAGGUGCAUGACGUGCACAUGGAGAUAAGUGGCGAGAGCGUGUGUGACGAAGUACACCCCUGCAGGGUUAUGAUCUAUUCGAAUAGCCGCGUCCGCGGAUAUGGACUACUUGGAGACAUAUGUUGUUCAUAGAUAACUUCAAUGGCUACUCAUAAAAUUGUCAAGAUAAGCGUGAGUGUCGUGGACGGCAUUUCCGUAUGGAGACGGAAUGAGUCCACGAUGGAGUAUUGUUGUGGUGUUAGUGGACUCGUGUGUGAGAAAUCAAGUUGUCAAAAAUUGUUUUAAAAUGCAAGUUGUCUAGCCACGAGUCAAAUGCUGGCUUUCCGCAUGAAACUCCACAAUUCCUUAUUGAUACUUGCAUGAGUAGAUAGUUAUCCUAAAGUCAUGCUGAGUACCUCCGUACUCAUGUUUGCUUAAUAUUUGUUGUAGAGGUUGUUAAUGACCCUAAUGGAGGGUUUUUCCUAGACAUCGACGACGACGAGUAGCUGGUAUCCUACAUGUUUGGUCCAGUAACAUUUUCAAACAUGUUUAGCUUAUAAAAUUUAACUUAUUCAUUAUUCUACAUGUUUGGUCAUAAAAUUUAACUUAUAAAAUUUAACUUGGUUUUGACAUGCAUGGAAAUGAUAUGUUAAGUUGGUGGUUGUGAUUGACAAUGUUUGAUCAUAGCAUUUGAAGUGGAAUUCAAAUGAUUUUCAAAUUCCAUCUCCAUAGUAUUUAUAAAAUUUAACUUAUUCAUUAUUCUACAUGUUUGGUCGAGUAACAUUUUCAAACAUGUUUGAAAAUGACAUAUUCAGAUUCCUUGGAUUUUUCUGAUACUUUUUCAUAUAUAAAUUGUUUUCAUUGGAGUUACAGAUUAAUUUCUAUGAUUUUUAGAAGUUUUGGCAUUUUUCUGGAAUUCUUUUAAAUCAGAAAAUCUUUACUGCAUCAGCAUGACAUCAGCAGGUCCAACUGGCCGUUGAAAGUCAAACCUGACCAGUGGGACCCACUGGUCAGUGAUUCUGAUCAGUUUUAGAUUAGUUUUAAACUUAAUUAGCUAAUUAAUAGUACUGGUCCCACAUGUCAGUGACUUAUUAGAUUAAUUAACUUUAUUUUUAUUAAUCCAAAACAUCCAGAGGCUGGCCCCACGCGUCAGUAGCUCAGGCCAGCUGAGAUCCACCGGUGGCGAGGUCGUCCUCGCCGGCGGGGAGCGUCCGACGACCAACAGAACGACGGAGGGCAUCGGGAACUCGUCUCCGACGACCAAACGCACGACAGAAGCCACAGGGAGAUCGGCCACUCGAUGGCGCGCACGAUGGGGCAAACCCCACGGGCUGGGGUGGCCGGAAUCGACGCUGACGACGAGCUGCAGCGGCAACCAAGUUCGGCCAUCGUCGAGGUCAUAGGAAACAGGGUCAAAUAGUGCGGGGCUGGGAUCCUAAAGCAUCUACGCGACGGCCUGAAGCUGCUGGUGGCCUCAGAUGGACCAACCGUUCACCGGAGGGCUACCGGCGACGAGCUGCAGCGGCGGUCCUCGUCGGGCUCCAGUGGAACUAGGCCUAGAGGAAGAGAUCGACGGGAAAAACUUGGCGGAAAGCUGCGCAAGCUCACGAGGAGUGCAGUGGUGGCGCUAGCUUGCUCGGGGAGGCGCUGUUGGCGACGAAUCAAUCGGAGCUCGCCGGCGGCCGAAGCUUGGAGACGACGGUGCCGUGGGCGUUGCAGGGCUCGGGGGAUCUUCGGCUUUUGCAGGAAGGACCAGCUCGUCGAGGCGGAGCAAAUGGUGCACUCGGGGGAGAGAACUAGUGGCCAGAGGCACGGGCAGCUCGAGCUCGAGCUCCUGUCAAUGGCGGCAGUAGGGGAGGAAGGAACCGAGAGGAGAGGGGGGAAAUGGUGCACGGGAAUGGAUAGGCCAGAGCUCGGGGAGGUUAUCCCUGCUGUCGCGCUGUCCUAGGGAGCACCGGAGCGUGCCACGGUGAAGCAGGAGGUGGAGGAGACGCCGUGGGCGUGCGCUGCUCUGCGAGAAGGCAGGAGGAAGAAGAUGCCCCUGCCCCUGGUGGGCUGGGCCUCCUCAGGGCGACAGGUAAGCUUCUUCCCCUUUUUUCUGUUCUGUUUUCUGUUUUACUAGCUAUUUGAUUUGCUAGUUAUUUCAGCUCCAAAAUAGUUUACAAAAAAAUAUUUUGAACACACCAGAAUAUUUGUUGGAAUAUAUCCAACCAUUCCUGAAGUUUUCAACAUUUUUGAAAACUUAAAGUUUUUGAAUUCAAGUUUAAACUUGAAUCCAGUGGCUUUUGCUUUUAAAUAAAAUGCCAAAUGUGUUAUGAAAGUAGUUUUCUUCACUGCUUAUUUGCUUCCAUGAAUUAUCAAAAAAUUUGAACUUUUCUUGAGGCCAUUUUGGGUUCAUUGAUUUGAACAAGUUUAUAAUUUCUUUGAAUUUGAGAAGUGGCUAGAGUUUUUGAGUUUUUAUUCACCACUUGCUUUGUUCUUGUUGAAAUUUUCUUGGAUGCAAUGCAAAGAAGAUAUGAGCACAAUGCUAACUUGAUUAGGGUUUCAGGGAUGUGACAUGCGGUUACCGGGAUGUUAACCAUAAUAGUAAUAGGGUCUUAAUGACAGAGUUGUACACCAGGGUGUUUACUUAAACAUGGAUUUAUUACGACUUACGUCAUAUAAAUCACAAGAAAGGUUAAAUGAACCAAUGGAAAGGAAACAAGUGAUAAUCAAAUUUAUACAGACCAAUGGAAAGGAAAAUGUGUAUACAUGAUCAUUAGGUGUAUAUCCUUCCCAAGAGCAAGCAGAGCGGGAUAAUCAUGACAGGACUCCAAGUACAUAACCAUCUAGAUAAAGGGGUAAGGAACUUAUGAUGUUUACCCAUACAAUGGUGUUUGGAUAAUUGAUCAAGAAAUAUUUUAGCAUUACGCUUCCAAUGUUCCCGUUGAUAUUCGGAAUACCAUGAACAUGCUUCGGGAUAGCAUUAACAUGGUCAUCACGUAGAGGUCGGACUUUGGAUACACAAAGGAUCCAUGAGGAACAACUUAUAAAAUAAGUCUUACAACUUCCUCAUGGAAGAAUGGCUAACCUCACAGAGAAUAUACCAUAGCAAUAGGUCCUCUGGCUAGGUGUACUAGCCAUAACAUCACCUUACCAUGUAACACACAGACCAAUGUUAUAGUUCUUGGAAAAAAUGUUCCAACCAUCAUAUUUGUCCGAGAUUUAGAUCUGAUAGAUGCCAAGAUACCUCAUACUCAGGAUUCCUGACAAGAAAAGGGGGCAACACAAAUUGACGAGAUGAUGAUGCAAGAUUCUUAGGAUAUGAACUACGGAAGCAAGCCUUGAAUCAUGACUUGGAUUGAAAGACACAUUAACACAAUGCCAAGACAUUCAUGAUCAUAUUGAAGUCUUUAGAAUGGAAUGCAAUUAAGUUCUGGUUGGGAACCAUCAUAGAGGACAUGAAAGUUCCAUGUGUAAGUCUGGAUUAGCUCUUAUGAAGGAAUUUAUUUUCCUUUAACAACUCAAUCACUUGCUUGGCGUGCUAGGAAAUACAUAUGGAGUGAAGGUGUUAAACUAUGAAACCAUAGAAUACUUCGCACAUGCGUGAAUGAAUUGAGAUAAUUCCACAGGAAGCAAAACAAAACUUCCUCGUGUUCAGGGCGGAAAAAAUGCACAUGAACUUAGAAAAAGACACUUCUUUUAUCAAACAUAUUCUUCAUGAACUAGGCACAAAGAUAAUGCUUUCAAAAGUCUCCAACACUAGCUUAAAUGUUCAUCAUGAACCAACGAGAAGAUGAGGAUGUGACCGAUGGGCUCAACAACAAUUCCUCGAGAUUUCCUUAAAUGGAACUCCAUAAUUAUAUGAACAAGAUUAUAGCAUCGGUCAUAUCAAAAGAUAUAAUGAUUAAUGUUCGAGGCAAAAGAUCCACGAAUAAACAUUGAUUGAAAAUUACAUCCAAAAAUAUGGAUUAGGUAGCAAGAUCAAUGUUAGAAUGUUGGUUAAGCAACCAACACACUAAGAAUUAACUUAUCAUCCAUUAACUUCAAAGCAAUAGGGUUGCUAGAAGCAUUGAAAUCACACUUCAAAGCUCACUUGUUGUUAUCCCAGUUAGAAACACUACAGGGAUCAAGAAAUGAAUGGUGAUGGAGGGAAGCAUCACAACAUCAAGAAUUCAUAAGAGGUGGUGUAAUUGUCAUGGUAUCUUGACAUAAUAUAUGGAAAUAUGCUAAGGUAGAAUAGAACAUAAGUUGGAUAUCAAGGAAAUCAAGGUACCACAAAAAAUAUGAACAAGUUUGUGUUGGAGGGAAGUCAAUACUGUUACUGUUGAUAAGACAAAUCAUCGAGGGGCAAGGAUGGUAUUUUUCAUCAUGAAUUUGAUUGAUAUCCUGGAAGAGCCCAGAAUGUUGAUGAUGAUCACGACAUAUUUGUUGAGAUGCUUCAUGAAGAUUUAAUUGAUAAGUGAUGACAUCAAGCAAAGGAAUGGUGAAAGGAAAGGUUGUUGGAACCACAAAUAAGAUUGCUAGCUCAGAAUCGUAAUUGCCUUUAAAGACAACUAACAUGAUGUUCAAAGCUUUAUGUAAGCUCACUGCACUAUUGGAAUUGUGUUUUGAGGACGAAGGAGAUAUAUAGCAUGGUCAAGCUUUAGCAUGAUGAUGAUGAUGUAGCCAAUCAACUCGGAAUGACACGAUCGAGUACAAACUUGUAAGCAAAUAAGAUUACUAAGAGUUGUUGACCCACAGUGCAGACUCGAUUCAGUUCUUGGUGUCCUUGAGUGUCCAACAACUUAGGACCCAAGAAAAAAUGGAAUCAUAGAGAAAUAAUACCCGAUGAAGACUCAAAAUAAGCAACAUGGUUGCAUGAAAUUAUUGAGAUACCGAAGGGUAAUACUUGAAGGUAGAGCAUGAUAGAAGUUGGACAGAUGCGUUGAUCUGCACAAGACAAGUGCUUUAACUUGUCGAAGAAAUGGGGUCAAAGAAGAACAAUCAUGGUCGAAACAAUGAUUACAAAGGAUCAAAUCAACACACAAGAUGAAUUUUAACAAGGGGAGAAUUGUUAUUACCAUAAGCUUCUAUGAUAAGAAUUACAUUGUGUCCAUCAGCAUGAACAAAAAGUUCAAGGUUAACUCCCUCUUCUUCAAUGCAUAACCUAUCAUUCACUUCUCGCUUUCCACGAAGUUGUAGUGUUCAAAUUGUAUCGGAAAAAUACCAAAUGAGUAUGACUCGUCAAAACUCUCUGGUUCGCACGGAUUAGGGAAGAUGUAGGUUCAACAAAUAGGGGCAUCUUAGGAACAUAUACCACACAUUUCAAGAGUAAAUAACCCCUGCACAAAGGUAUAGCAUGGUUGACAAAAGUAGAGGAUGCGAUUUACCAAGGGAAUUAAGUAUCAGGGAAAGAAGUCACAAGAUUUUUGAAUGCGAAGAACACUAUCAGAUGAUAAUGCAACAAUGAAUAUAACAAGCCAUAACAGAGCUCAUGUGAGUAUAUGUACUCAAUCAGAUGAAGAAGGAAUGCAAGGGAAUCGUGUUAUAGAACAUCUGAAUAAUUCGGUGCUUAAUUAACAAAGGAAUUAUGAAUUCCACAUUGGUGUAUCAGAAUCAGAUGCUCCGACCAAAUACAAGUAAGUUGAAUGGUCUUAGAUCGACAAUUAAUCAAUGUUUGAUUUGCCUAGAACCAGCUCAUGCUUGGAAAAAUGCCUAAGACGAAAAGAUAAUUUAUAAGGAUCAACUGAUGAUUGCGUGCAUUCACACACAUGCUGAAUUGGUAUGAUCAGAAUGAUGAUCACAAAUGUUUUUUAAUGAAUAUCGCUAGACAUAUGGAAUUAAACAUAGUGCAAGCAGGUAAGGAAGGUGGAGAGUAAAUAGCAUGUCAAAGAAUUUUGUGAAACACAUGUCAACUAAGGAUGAACUAAUCCUCGGUAAGUGUGAGGAAUUAUUAGUAGAUGUAUUCAUGCGGAAAAGGAGCUGCAAGGCAGCAGACACAAUGAAUUCCUGGAAUAUAGGAAAAUGUUUCAGGGUACCUUGUAAUAACAAGAGCUACGGUAAAUGAGAGUAUGAAUGACAGGUGUAUGUAGUUAUCCAUAGGGGUUGAUGGUGGAAGGGAAUUUGCAGAAGCGAUGCAGAUAAGUUCUCGGGAAAACAUCGAAGAGUAGCUUUGGAGUCUUCUGAUGAAUCAAGUCAUCAUCUGGAAUGAGAAGCUCUCUAGGAGGAAGUAGUUACGAGAACCUAAGUUAGAGUUAGAAAAAUCUUUAACCCGAAUAGAAGAGAGACCGGAACCCAAAGUAAAGAAGAGGAGUAAAAUAUACUAAUACCACCCAUUUGUGAUGUGGGCCUGUAAGCCACACAACAAUGUUAGUAAAAUAGGUUUUCAAAGACUAGACUCAACUUUGACCAAGGAGUUGGAAAGGGGCUUCCUAGAGGCAUCUGGAUCUGAUACCAACUUGUGACGCCCCUGCCCUAAUCGUACACUAAUCAUACACGAAAUGCGUACGAUCAAGAUCACGAACUCACAGGAAGAUAUCACAACACAACUUUAGACACAAAUAAAAUAAAACAAGCUUUAUAUUACAGGCGAGGAGCCCCGAGGGCUCGAAUACAUAAGCUCGAGACCAAACGAGCCAGUGGAAGCAACAAUAUUUGAGUAUAGACAUAAACAAACAAGUUUGCCUUAAGAAGGAUAGAAAAAAAAUGGAUCGAAAAGGAAAGGCCUCUUGCCUGGGAGCCUCCGAACUACUCCUGGUCAUCGUCAUCCUUCACAUAGUAGUAGAUUCUGUUGGGGUAGUAGUAACUGUCAAUGAGACCAGCUGGCUCCUGUGCUCCAUCAUCUCCUCACGACAAUUGUACCGAAAGGGGAAAGUGGAGCAAAGCAACGAUGAGUAUUCAUCCAAAGCACUCACAAGACUUUCAUGAGAACUAUGCUAAGUAUGCAUUGAUAUCAAAGGAAUGAGGCUAUAUCUUUGGACUGAACUGCAGAAAUGCCAGAACAAAGAGGAAGGCCUAGUCCUAUCAAAGGCUAGCAUCUUCAACGUCUUUCUGAGAGUAUAGAUUGGUAAAACAUAUACAAGCAUGCAGUAGAAAGGGCCAGAGAUCCUUCCUCGAGUCCGUGCGAGGAAGCGAUCCCGGAGCCACCAUUUCCAUUUCAUGUCUCUAGUAUCCAGUUCUAGUUGUAUAGAUUGGAAUACUUUCCAAGCUUCCAUUACCGUGGACACGACUAUUUGAAUAGAUAUACUUCCUUGUAGGGGUGAACCAACUUGGCCAACACGCUCGAUUAACUCCGGCCGAACACACUUUCCUGGGUCAUGCCCAACAUCGGCUGAUCGACACGUUGUAGUCCUACCUAGGCUCAAUAGAGAGGCCAACACACCAGUCUACUCCCAAACAGGUGCCUACACGGACCAAUCGUGCGCAUGCCGCUCACUAUGGCAUCUGAAGAACUUUGUGGAGAAUGUACGACGAAAAGUGCCCAUACUUAUUUUUGCUUGGUGGUUAGUGGGCUAAAGGUGAGAGGCCUACUCAGAACACAUAUCCAAACCCAUUAGUAUCUUGGGAGCAAGUGGUAACAAUCAAUGAUCCUUCCGAUCCCAUCACCCCGUCUCGCAGACUUGCGGCACGGGCAAAGAAUGCUCAACCAUACCGCAUAAUUAUCUCGCGGGUACCCUUCACGUCAACCCGACUCACCAUGAGACUGUCGGGAACUCAGGUCCACCUCAAUCGGGGUGGUACCGCAUGUCCCUUCAGUCCCACAAUUCUAGUAAUAGGGGCAACAGGUAACGGUAAUAGUGUGUCCUUGUCAUCAAGGGGGAAUUCUGAAGAAUCACCCUUGAUGGAUUUCCAUUGAUGUAACUGUCACAAUGAACUCUACGGUACCACCCUCAACAGUCGAUAGUAGUUCUGUAGCGUCAUACAUCCAAGGGGUUGUGCGAUGAUGCAUUAGUCUUGUCCCAUCGAUCACUUGGAUUGGAUCUUCCAUCACCUUCGACAUUCGAUAGUAGAUUGACAGAGUCGUACAACUAAGGGGGGUGAUGUGAUGUGUUGGGUUUAGGACGUCGAUUAGGUUGAUAGCAUCAUCAAUGAUGCAACAGGGGCAGCAGGGACAAAGUGAGGGGUCACUGAUGGUUCACUAUGCACCCUGUACUAAGCAUAUAGGAUAAGCAAGUAGGUAACAAUAGCAGGUUACAAAAUCAGCCUACACAUCGGAAUAGGAGCAAGCAAAGAUAGUAUCAAAGUCUAAUGCAAGCAUGAGGGAGAAAGAAUUGGAUGAUAUCAGAAUGAUCAAGGGUGGGGGUUGCUUGCUUGAAAGUUGUGCACAUAGAUAUAGACCCUCGACGAUGAAGUAGUCGAUCACUGAAUCAAAAAUUGUCUCGGGGUCUACCAGAGAGGAAGUAACCGAGGGGAAACACCAUAAGUAAAGUAAUCAAAUUCAUCACAAAGCAUGAUAUGUAAUACAUUGUGCUAGGGGUGACCUAACAUAGUAUUAAACAUUGCAAACAAAGCAGGAAAACAUAUGUGGAUUUUUCUCGGACCUGAAGCAUUUAUUGGACAUACGAUUUGGAGGGGAAAUUACAUGUUCAUCUUGCUAGAGGCAUGUGAGAGAUGAAUGGAUAGCAUAUUCGGAUUGAUUAUACUUUUAUAACCGUUUUCCAUAUAUAAAUUAUUUUCAUUCGAGUUACAAACUAUUUUAUAUUAUUUUUCGAAGUUUAAAUGAAUUUCUAAAAUUAUUAUUAAAUUUUAAGUUCGACUUUAAAGAUCAGAAUGAUACUUGUGAUCUGCGGUUGGUUUUCCGUAAAGAGGAAUGGGUUACCGCAGCAUAGUGUGGGUUAGUAUUUCCCUCAGUCAUGAAACCAAGGUUUAUUGAACCAAUAGGAAUAUCAACCACAACCGUAUUUAGCGUCUGCACACAAAAGAACAAACAACUUGCACCCAACGCGGGCAAGAGGGUUUACAAUCCUCUUGUUUGUUAUUUGCAAGCGAGUGAGGUGUAUAGCAUACUGUAGAUAGCAAGAUAAAAUAAAAACAAGCAAAUGGCAGCAAGAUAUUGAAGGUUUUAUCAAUAUGUUGAGAAUAGACCGGGCCAUAGUUUUCCCUAAUGACAUCUCACAAAAAAUAGCAUAAAGUGGGUAAACAAAUUAUUGUUGGGCAAUUGACGGAAAAGCGGAUAGUUAUGCGAUGUUCACGGAAAUGAUCAUGUGUAUAUAGGCAUCACGUCCAUAAAAAAAUAGGCCAACUCCUGCCUGCACCUAUUACUAUUACUCCACUCAUCGACCGCUAUCCAACAUGCAUCUAGAGUAUUAAGUAAAACAUAGGAAUGCAUGGAGAAUAAUGACAUGAUGUAGACAAAGUAAACUCAAGCAAUAUUUAACAAACCCCAUUGUCUUAUCCUUAAUAUCAGCAACACAAAGACGCAUCUUGUCCCCUUCUAUCACUGGGAUAUAGAAGUUCGCCAGGUUGAACCUACCACAACACACCUCUCUCAUGGAAGAAAUAUCGAUCUAGUUGGCCAAACUGUUUCAAUAGAUUGGAGAGAAUUAUGAAGCUACCAUAAUCAUGCACAUAAGAAUGAUAUAAGUAUUCAGAGGAGUCUCAAAUAUUUGUCAUGAAUAAUCUGAACAUAAACCCACAAUUCAUCGGAUCCAACAAAUGCACCGCACAAAAGGAAUUACGUCAUAUGGAUCAAAGCGAAGAUGUGAUGAUCGUUGUAUUGAAGAUCAAAGAUAGAGAGAUUGACAUCUAGCCGCUCGCCACGAACCCGCAGGCCUGUGGUGAACUACUCACACAUCAUCCUGAGGGCAACAAGGUUGAUAAAGAGGCCCUCUAUGAUCGAUCCCCCUCCGACAGGGUGUUAGAACAGAGCUCUAGAUGGCCUCCCGUUGGAACAGAGACUUGCGAUGGCGUAAAUAGUGUUUCACGACUCCCCAUGAUGUUUUUAGGGUAUAAGAGAAUUUAUAAGCCACAGAAAGGAGUCGGGAGUGCCACGAGGGAGGAAGAAUCCAUCAAGGCGCCCCCAGGCUACACCCUGUUGGCUUGUGGGCCCCAUGUGCAGCCUUCAGCCUUCUUCCGAUACUCCUGGGUCUUAUUUUGCUCGAGAAAAAAUGACCAACAAGUUUCACGUUAAUUGGGCUUCGUUUGGUAUGGAAUACCUGAAAUGUGAAAAAUAUGCAGAAAAACAACAACUCGCACUGGGCACUGGGUCAAUAGGUUAGUGCUCAAAAAUAAUAUAAAUUGGUAAAUAAAUACCCCAAAAGUAUUCUAAAAUGAUAAUAUAUCAGCAUGGAACAAUAAAAAAUUAUAGAUACGUUGGAGAAGUAUCGAGCAUCCCCAAGCUUAAUUCCCGCUCGCCCUGGAGUAGGUAAAUGAUAAAAAUAGAAUUUUUGAUGUGAGAUUGAUGUAACCUUAUGAAUGUAUGCUCAUUGAGAAAUGAUGAAUUAACAACUAUUAACACAACGAUACUUAUAGGUAUAAGUAGCAAAAUUAUUAUUCUUUCAAAGUAUACGAUCCUCAAAGAUUGUUUUACCCCUAUCCAUCUUAUUAUAUUAGCAAGGCAUGGCUCCAUCUUCACCACAUCAAUACAAAUAUUAAGCACCACGGUGUCCAAGUCAGGCAAUUGGAUCGUACUUUCUCAAUAUGCAUCAACUUUUUAUUCUUCACGCAAUACAUGAGCGUGAACCAUUGGACACAACAUAAAGGUGGAAUAGAAUAAGGUGGUAGGUUUCAAAGGGGUAAAAGUGGAGAAGAUAGUCUCACAUCAACUAGGCGUACCAACGGGCUAUGGAUAUGCCUGUCGAUAGAUAUCGAUGCGAGGAGUAGGCAUUGACAUAUAAAUGAUGAACAAGAGCUAUAAGUGUAUGAAAGCUCCACUGAAGCUAAGUGGGGUGUGCAUCCAACUUGCUUACUCAUGAAGACCUCGGGCAUUUGAGGAAGCUCGUCAUCGGAAUUUACAAGACAAGUUUAUGAAAAAGUGAUUCCCACUAGCGUAUGAAUGAUAUAACAUGAGACUCUCUAUAUGAAGAACAAAGUGCCACUUUGAGGCACAAGUGUGGUAAAUAAUAGUAGCAAAGUCCCUUCUCUCUUUUUCCAUGGUUCAUUUUUUUUCUUCAUUUUUUCANUAUUAUUAUUAUUAUGAUGGGAUCAUUUGCCCCCCCCCAUUUCUAUUUCCUCACUAGGACAAUGCUCUAAUAAUGAUGAUCAUCACACUUUUAUUUACUUAUAACUCAAUAUGAAAAUUGAUAGGACGAUAUGACUAUGUAUGAAUGCCUCUAACAGUGUAUGGGGAUGUGCAAAGAUCUAGCAUGACAUGUAUAAAAAAUAUUAUGAACGGUGGCUUUGACACAAAUACUAUGCUAGCUCUAUAUGAUCAUACAAAGCAUUAUGAUGAUGAACGAACUAGUCAUGUGAAGUGACGAUGGCAUUUGCAUGGCAAUAUAUCUCAGAAUGGCUAUGGGAAUGCCAUGAUAGGUAGGUAUGGUGGCUGGUUUGAGGAGGAUAUAAAAAGGUUUAUCUGCAAUAGAGCGUGUCAUAUCACGGGGUUUGGAUGAACUGGCGAAAGUUGCACCGAUCCUCAAGUGGGAACAGGCGAUGCACGAUACCGAAGAGGCUAGCAUGUGAAGUUACGAUGGCAUUUGCAUGGCAAUAUAUCUCCGAAUGGAUAUGGGAAUACCAUGAUAGGUAGGUAUGGUGGAUGGUUUGAGGAGGAUAUAAAAAGGUUUAUGUGCAACAGAGCAUGUCAUUUCACAGGGUUUGGAUGCAUUGGCGAAAGUUGCACCAAUCCUCAAGUGAGAACGGGCGAUGCACGAUACCGAAGAGGCUAGCAAAUAUGAGGAGGUGAGAUUGCAUAUGUCCAUGGUGUCACAUUAGUCAUGAAGAACUCAUGUAUUUAUUGAAAAGUUUUAUUAGUUUUAAAACAAAUCAAAGUACUACUCACAUGCCUCGAGGGAUAGGGUUGGUAGGAAUUAACCAUCGCGCGACUCCGACUCAAAACAACACUAGGAUUUCAACGAGGAAUAGAAAUGCUCACACAUCAUCACUAUGCUCGUUUAUUUUUUAGAUGAACAAUAAGUUCAACAAAUAUCAACACCUCUCUGAAUUAAAAAUUGUGCACUCACACGAUAUCAUUAACCCACAGUUUCUCUAUAUGUGCUACCUAAUGGUUUUAAUUAUCACUAAUUGAAUACCCAUUAUAUUUGAUCUAGUCUUAUGGCCCAUGCAAAUUACCGUCACUUUUUAUCCAGAUCUCAAACCAAUAUAAGUGAAGAACUAGAACAUACUAUUCUAUGAAAUCUCCACGCCACCAUGCUCAAAAAGAUAUAAGUGAAGUACGAGAGCAAGUGCGAAGCUCAAAAGAUAUAAAUGAAGCACAUAGAGUAUUCUAACAAAUUGUGAUGAUGUCGUAUCUCUCUCAAAUAGGUGUAUUCAGAAAACAAUGAUUGUGGAAAACUGAAAGUAAAAUCAAACAAAAUCAAAUGACACUCGAAGCAAACUCAUAUCAUGUGAUGAAUAAAAAUAUAGCUCCAAGUGACAUACCGAUGGAUUGAGACGAAAAGAGGGGAUGCCUUUCAGGGCAUCCCCAAGCUUAGACGCUUGAGUCUUCCUAUAAUAUUACCUUGGGGUGUCUUGGGAAUCCGAUUCUUUGGCUUUUGCUGCUCCUCAAUCCUUUGUCCAUCGGGAUAAUACCCAAAACUUGAAAACUUCAGUCAGGUAAAACUCAACAAAACAUCAUGAUAUCCGUUAGUAUAAGCAACAUAUCAAAUACUUUCAGGUACUAUUUAUAAGUUAUUUCUUAUUUUAUUUUGGCAUAGGGUACUGUAUCUUAACUCUUCCAUGGAUUCUACCCCCGAUACAAUCCAUAAAAUCAUCAAAACAAGCAAGCUAUGCAUGCAAGAAACAGAAUCUGAGCGAAACAGGACAAUUUGUAGUAAUCUGUAAUGAACUUAUACUUCUGUACCUCCAAAAACUCUGAAAAAUUAGGACGACAUGAGGAAUUUUUAUAGUAAUACUGUGUAUAAAAUUCAACUUAAAAAUAUGUUCUAGUAAAAUCAGAGAAAUUCUGCAGUGAAUGUCAAAGUUUCUGUUUUUGCACCGUAUAAAUUAUACUCAUCAUGCAAAUCAUCCCAAAGGCUUUACUUGGCACAAACACUAAUUAAAGCAUAAAACACAAUAAUUAUAGAUGCAAUAAUCAUGUUAUCACAACCAACCAUAAAGUAAAAAAAUAAAAAAAAAGAUAACUACGGGGUUGCCUCCCGACAAGCAUUAUUGUUUUACGCCCCUAGCUAGGCAUAUUGCGUAGUUUCUAGUGUUGUCAUCUUUGUCAUCAAGCUCCUUAAUAGUACAACCAUGGAUAAUAGAAACAAGAGAAGGCGUGAUAAUAUGAUCUUUUAUUAUGUCUACAAAUUUGGGUGAACAUAAUCAUUUUGAGAUCUUCGUCUCUUUUAGUAGGAGGUGUACUAAUGCUCUUAGGAAUGUAUAUGAACUUGCGACUUUUAUUUUGAGAAGUACUAGCAUUAGUUUUAGAUGGUGUGAAGGCAGACCACACUCUGCCAAUGACCUCCUCCAUUUUAUCAAUUUUACUGAAACCUUGUUCUACCCUUUCAUCAAUGAUAGUGUCCUUUUCCCUUAUAGUUUGCAAAGUCAUUCCUACACGUGACCCAGGUUGAGUGAUAUGGUUAUGCAGUUUUUUUGUCUAACUCCUCAAUUGGUUCAUGAGUAAUCAUUUUUAUUUCAAUAGCAUCAAACCUUUGCAUAACAUGUUCCAAAGUUAAAUUGGUUCCAUUAAUGAUAAUGGGUGGUGUUCCAACAAGAUUUUCAAUGGCAUUAUAUACACCCGAAGUGUGACACAUUAAGAAGUCCCCACCGGUGAUGGUGUCAAGGACAAACCUAUACCAAGUUUUCAGACCAACAUAAAAAUUAUGGAACAAGGUAUUAGUGGAUAGCUUAUUAGUUGUUUUAUUUUGAGCAUAGAAAAUGCUAUACCAUUUAUCUUUCAAACUUUCUCCCCCUUUGUUUAAAAUUGACAACAUCAUUAUUGGGAAUAAUGCGAACAAAGGAUCCUACGCUGAAAGAAGACUUCCAGGAGGUCCAUUCCAUUGAGGCCCUUGCGCAUCACAACAACCAUCACAAUCACUAGAAUCUCUACAUCAACUUUCUCUGCCUUCAAAACGGCCAAGGCAGGAGCCGACUAAACCCUAUCGGUGGAAUAUGGUGGAAGACCCGAAUGACCCUCUCCAAUAGAAACAUCCUGGCAGUAGAACCAAGAGUCCUGUCACCCCUUCAUGGAAUCGGGAAAGUUCAUUUGGGGGAAGCUACUCUUGCCCCUGAGUUGAAUACCUAGACCUCCAUAGAGCUGCACUACGUUGGUUUUGCCCCCCGACUAAGAGGACUUCUUAAAAGUCAUCACUCGGCAAGUAAACAGGUGUUUGUACAAAGCCAAGUGCGGAUGGCAACCGAGGAAGUUCUCACACACAGAAACAAAAGCACCUAAGUAGGAGACAACAUUCAGAGGAAGAUCAUGCAACUGUGCACCGAAGAAGGCUAGGAAAGCUUGGAGGAAAGGAUUUGGAGGCAGGGAGAAACGUCUCUCGACGCGAGUGACAAGAAGUACUCGCUCAUCGUCUAUUGGUGCUGGCUCGAACUCGCUAGCGCCGGGCAGCCGCCAGCUCCCCAGAGCAAUGAGACACUCACCCUCAAGCUCCUACACGCGCCUGGCUAUGACCCAGGACGACAACCAACCGACCUGGAUCCAGCCCGGCGGGAGCAUCCGAGUGCUCGAGUAAGAUCCACGUGAUCCCCUCUUGGCUCGCUCGGCCUUCACCGUCUCCCCUUUCACCGUGGCGCUCGGUGGAAGUAGAGGGACGAACAGAUGCCAGCGCCGGAACACGUUGGGUGUUUUCUACUGCGAGGCUUGGAAACGAGGAGAAGAGUCUAGAUCUAAGGCACGAUACCUCCCCCCUCUCAGCUGAAGGCCUUAAAUACCAUCAGAGAAGAUGCCCCAUCAAGUGCGCUGCCGCCCCGAGGAAGAUCCAGAGGAUCCCGGAGACAAUGCACACUGUAGCACGGCGCGAUAGUGUAGGCGCGAAAAUAGGGGCAUCGCGCCACUACCUCCACUAACCACGCCGCCUCCAAUUUCGCCGCCCCUACACGUGCAUUAAAUCAAAAAUCUACGAAGGAAACCGCUCUCCCUCGCGACCCAAAUGGAAUCUGCACCACGGCGUGUUACGAGAUUGGACGAGCACCAAAGUUGUUAGAAUGGUGACUCAAGUCUUAGAGUCUUACGAUCUUACGAUCCAAACUAGGCUAUCCGAUUCUACGAUUUUGCUCAUAGAAUUUAAGUUUCUACUAUCCUGAUAGUUAUGAUUCUAUGAUUCAUGAUCCUAGCAACGAAGCUCCGAUCCAAUUCAAAAUCGCGAUUCUGACAACUUUGUCGAGCACUCUUCCCACCUGUCCCUCUGUGGGACCCCGAUCAUUCGGGCAACACAAAGAGGCGAUCAGGUCGCCCCUACACUGGUACGAGUGGAUCCGUUGCAUCUCACCGACUGGAUACAUGGAGCUCUGGGCCCAUGAUCUCCGAAUCAUCGAAAAAAUCUCCCCGAAAGGUGUUUGAUCUUACCGAAUGUGAACUUACCAGCACGCCCGGACAUUCAGGAUUUCUCGUUGUUGAAUCUGUAGAGGAUAUCUAAGAGUCCGAAUGACGCUGCCUCUGUCGGCGACCCGUGUGUCUCCGAAACACCAAGGGAGUAAUUCACUCGGCCAGAAAGCUCUACCGAUUCGAGGGCCAAUGAAGGGGUUAUACUUAAGGGGUAGGCGUACAGACCCGUUUUCGUAGGACCCACCUAAGUACCCGUAAGGACAUUAGUGUGCUACAAGUCAUCAUGAUGGGCUCAACCUCACUCGGUCAUCGUGCUCUCACUCGGCCACAUGAGGUCACUCGGUCUGCUUUGUGGCCAUCGGACGCUCCCCAACACUUAGUCCACAGCAAGGCAAGGACAAUGAAGGGACUGCAACGACCAAGGACUUGAACACAUGCGUGAAGGCCCAUGAAGACCCGUGUUACCUAUAACAUUGUAAUUAAAGCCACCGUUUCUAGUAACUCCCUUAGUUAUUAGCAUUUAUUGCCUUGUAAAGGUGCUCGGCCGGUCGUGGCAGCCACUAUAUAAGCCACUCCCGGGCACCGACUCAAGGUUCAUCACUUGUAGUCUUUUACACCCCCAUAAGAAAACACCAGCCUGCGGGCUCGAGACGUAGGGCUAUUACCACUUUCGAGUGGGGCCUGAACUCAAAAAUACGAGUGCAUCCACUGCGCCUAGCUAGACUUCUCCCCUUAGUUCGUACCCCUCAUAAUAUUGUCAAGAUCAUUCCCACGACACUCGCGGCUGCAGAAAUGGAACAAGCAUGUGGUGACCCGCCAGGCCACUUCAAGACAGGUGGCUAUGCUCAGUUCCGAUGAGCCCGCCGUCAACCUCUUCCUGUUGUCGAGCGACGAGUAACUCGACGAUUCCGUUUGGGUAAGUAGUGGAGACUGUCGGAUUUCGGGCUCCGCAAAGACCUAAAGAUUCGAACUCACGGGCGUGCAUGAAGAUCUCUCACUGGCUCGCCUCACCUAACUCGCUACUCGCUGUAAAUGGCAAGGAACUCACUAGAUGGCGAGGAAGACACUAUACACGACCAUUAACCCAGGUUUGGGCCGCUCAGAAGCGUAAUACCCUACUGUUGCUUUGGUGGAUUGCCCCUCGUGGAGGUUGGUGGAUGAAUAAGUAUAGUUCUCGAGAGCCUCCGGAGGCUGGAUGGCCUUUGUGUGGUGCCGGUGGGUGAAUGAAUGAUUCGGACCCCCCUGUGCGAAGUAACAUACUCUAUAUAUAUAGUGGCGUCCCCGGUCCUCUUCCCUUAUCGUUUCGGUGGGAAGGGAUCCCACAUCGGCCAAGUUUUGAAGGGGAACAUGGGAACAUGCUCCCCUGCCCAAAGGUGCUCUUCGCCUACAAAGUGGUUGCCCGCGCUGUAGGGACGGGCCCGGGGAUGACGUAUGUCCUGCUGGCGGGCGGCAACGACCUUGUUGCACCAGAAAUGAAACCUUUGGAAGAUGCCUUGGGAACCCCGGUACGUCGUUGCCCCCUUUGCACUAACGGGGGAAUUGUUCCGUCUCGCUGCCUGCUGCUCGCACGUCCUUCCUCUGCGUCAUCCUUGACUCCUGAGGCUAGGCCUUGCCUCAAAAUAUCCGCCGUUACGGAGGGGUCCUAAGGAGGCCCCUACGAGUCUUGAUACUGUCCCUCCUUGCGAGGCUUGGCCCCUCGCAAGGGCCUUGUCUCGAGCGGUGCCGGGCCUGUCUAUUUGCUCGAUGAAGUGAGCCAUCCCUGGGCCACAGGCGGGCAGGUCUAGGUACCCCCAUUCCCAGAACGCCGACAGUAGCCCCUGGGCCCAUGAUGCACUCGGGUUGGCUUCUCGGCGAAGCCUCGGGGGGCGGCCUGGGGCUCCACGGGCCGUAAAUGCCUCUGGGCCAGGCCGGUGCGCGUCACGCGGCUAAUGCUGGUUAUUCCUUGUCUUAUGUAUUUACCCGAGCUAUUAGGAGCCUAGCUCGUUGCGUCCGUGCAUUAUUGCUUUCCUUCUCCCACACUCGCUCUUCCUCCUCGGUCUCCAACUCCAACCGGCGCCUCCUAGAUCCAUCACCACGUCGUUCUCUUGUUGAUACAGUGAUGGCACCCGCCGGCAAGCAGAAGCCCGAGGCACAAGGGCAUGCGCUAGCUCUUCCGAUCCUGGAGUGCGCCCUUUCCAAGGAUGCGGAUCUUGCCCCCCGUGCUUCCUUGGACUGCAGCCAAGUCCAACGAGCACGGACGGAGCCUGAUCUGGCCCGGCGCCACAACAAAGUGGCCUGCGUCAAAAGCGGUAUAGCCCUUCUUCCUCCACAACGUCUACGACAGGCUGGUGCCGCCUUUCUCCUUGUUCUUCACCGCCAUCUUGGACCACUAUGGGAUCCAGGCUCUUCCCCUCCAGCCCAACUCCAUCUUGUUCCUGUCCGUCUUCACUUUCUACUGUGAGGCCUUCGUUGGCGUGCGGCCUUCAGUCGCCCUCUUCCUCCAUUUCUCCAGCUUGCGUCUGCACGACGACGCCCAUUUGUCGGCAUGCGUCUCCUUCAUAGAGGCCCAGAGCGGCAAUUUGCUCUUGAAGGCCGGGAAGAAGGUGGAAAACUUCAGGCACCGCUGGGUUCUCAUGAGCCUCAAGGACGCCAAUGUGACAGCCCGGUGCCGACGUUCCAGAAGAUUCCCCUUUUCUUUCCGUUUUCGCCGUGUGUCUAUUUUUUCUUUUGUUGCAUCAUCAUCGCAUCAUGCACAUCAUCUGCACUGCAUCGACAUCUCCAUUGCCGCUAGUUUUCAAAAGUUGCAUCGUUGUUAGUUGCCGGUUCUCGUCGUUGUCCGUUCUGAGCCCGACCGCACACACACGCGCCCGCGGCAUCGUCAAAACCCUUUUUUAAAAGUGUGCGUAAAACUUUCUCUGAUCAGGGUGAAACUUGGCAUGCGGUCGUAAUUAGAUAUAGCUAGGUCGCCUGUCGAAUUUCAUCGCGAUCGGAGUCCGUCUGGUACCCGAACGGUCGACCGUAGCGGCAUCGUAUUCGGUCUAUCGUCGGAUGUGUCUUGGUGUUUUAAAUCGCGUUGCCGCGUCGCCGGUUUUCCCUCUCAUCCCCGGAUAACCGCUCUUCACAGCCCACUAGUUCCACCUAGCCACUUCCUCCGUUCGUGGUCGUCGGAUCGCGAUCGGACGGACGAGGUCCACCCUACCAGAGGCCAAACCCUAUAUUAAGACCACCCCAUGGAGAGACCUCUCUCACUUCACUAGGGUUCCCCCUAGUCAUUUUUGCAGCCACCCCCCUAGAAAACCCCACCUGCUAGCCCACACCCUUGAAAUCCCGCAGCCCUAAGCUCCAUAGCCUUUCUCAGCCUUCGGAUCUGAGAUCUCGGGCUCAGAUUCGCCCAAAUCCCCACCUACCGGACAUGUCCGCGGUCAAACCGGACACGUCCGGAUGUCCGCAGUGCCAGCCGAUCCCAUCCCGAGCAGGAGCUCCGUGCAGCCUUGCCCGCAUGCGUCGGCGUGCCGACGCCGCUUCCUCGCCGGAACCAGGCCGGACCACCUCGCCCUGCUCCUNCGCCUGGGCCUCGCCCUGUUUGUGGGCCGCAGCCUCCCCUCGCUCUGUGGCCGGCCCAGCUCCCCAACCUCCAGCUGGUCCCACCGCUUCGGCCCAAGUCGCCCCUCACCAAGCCGCGGCCUAGCUCCUUUCGGCCCAAGGUGAGCCACCCCGAGCCUCUUUAUUUCGCGCCCUAGGCGCUUCUUAGUAUGUUGCGCUCAUGUAUCUGUUGUAGUUUCGGCCCAAUAGGUUGUUAUUAUUUAGUUUUCGAAUUAGUUAUUUCAGGAAAUAUAGAUAUAUUAGAACGGCCGUAACUUUUUAACCGUAAUUCGGAUCGUGUUGAAUUAGAUACGUAUUUGGUGUAGUUUUGCGCGUAGAAUCCGAUUAUAAAACUUGCAUAUUUGUUUGACGUGGUCUGCCGUGCCAUAUGCCUAGGUUUAUGUGCUGUCUAGAUAGGAUAGACGCCCGUAUUUUUUUUCGCGCAAGACCGUAUAGCCCGAAUGCCGUAUUAGAAAUGCCCAUGUUUUAGGAACCCUCUUGCUAUGAAUUUUAGCGCGGUUAUUGGUAUUUUUGCGUGUAGGGAUUUUCCGUUAGUUUAUUUUCCCGUGUAUAGUUUUUAUCUUGCAUUUACGUGUGGCAUUAUUUAUGUUGUGCAACUCCACUUAUUUUAUAUGUUUUCGGGGUAGAAAAAUCCAUAGGAUUUUUCUGUGCAAUUAGUUUUAGCUUUUGAGCAAGUUAGUUUGCGUGAUAUUUUGCUAUGUUGCCCUCUUGUUUAUUUCGUAGGAUUUAUUCCGUGCUUCGUUUGAUUAAGUUAUCAACUAGGGAGUUGUUCUUUGAUGUUUAGUCUAGCCCCUGGUAUUUUUAGUUGCAUUAGAAAUGCAUGUUUAGGUGUGGUUUGCUUGCUCUCAAGUUGCUAGAAAUAGUGCUGAUUUGGAGGUGCUGAAAUAUUUCUAAGUCUGAAAUCUGUUAUAUUUUGUUGAUGUCUUGUCUUGCUUGUAUCUUGUGAUCUGUAGCUGUUUUGAGGUUGGUGCAAUGGAGUAAGUUGUAGACCUUGUGAUUCUCUGGCAUGCUGUGAAUUUUCAUGCCAUUUGGAGUCCUGUAGAUAUUGGUUUUGCUGCUGUCAAUAUGCCUUCAGAUCGAAAACUGCAGCUUCAUAAACUGCUAUUUUCACUAAGUCUGAAAUAGUGUUUGGGAAGCCAUUUUGGGACUUCUUUUCCUUGUGUUCCUUGCUGCCAUGCUAGUUGUUGUUAGUUGUUCGUUGUAGUGCUUCUUGCCCUCUUUCGUGUCAUGCCUUGGUUGAAUAUAUUUGAUUUGUGUAGCUCGUAGUUGUGGGGCGUAAAAAAUGCUAGGUGACUGAUUUUGGUAGUUUGUAGUGAUUUCUUGUUUUGCUCGUAGAUGUUGAACCGUAGCUCCGAUUUGAUCGUGUCCUACAUGAAACUUGCUUAGAAUCUUGUGUAGCUUUAUUUUCUCUUGCUGGUUGUAUGUUUUGAAGUGCUCGUGACCGUCGUUGCACACAUAUUGCAUUGAUGCCAUCAUAUCUUGCGGUGCUUGUAUCUUUUGAACCCUAGCUCCGUUGGAGAUGAUCUCUAUGUGUAAAUUGCUUGUCUCGACGCGUAGAAUCACGUGAACCUAUUUGUUUUGCUGUUUAACAAUUAAUUAAAUGUGUUAGUUCAGAUCUGGACAAAAUUGUAAAUUAACAUGUGAGGUCGUUUCGGAGGUGCUAUAUGUCAUUUCCGACCUCAUUUAAAAUGCCUAGGUAGGUAGUUUAAUUGCUCUUCACCUCUUGCCAUGUGUAACCACAUUUAAUAUUGCCGUGUACCUAAUCGGGAUAGAACUAAAUAAAUAAACGUGGAGUUUCGUCAAUAUGUAACUCGUUGCAUAUUGAACUUCACUUAAUGUGUAGUGCUUGUUUGUCGUGAAUUGUCGUGCCGUGUCUUGCAUGUUUUCAGCUGCUCAUGCAUCAUAUGUGUUGUGCAUCAUGUGGUGUAUUCGUGUGUUAAUGCUUGUUUCCGGUUUGCUUCGUCUCGAUAGAGUUCCGCAAGCGUGUCGGAUGUGAGGACCCGUUCGACUACGUCGGUUCGUCUGCUUCACGGAGGCAUUCUUCUUCCAAGCGGGAUCUCAGGCAAGAUGACCAUUUCCCCAGAUACCAUUACUAUCAUUGCCAUGCUAGUUUUAUCGCUUCUAUCGAUUAUGUCUCGUUGCCUACCACAUGUUAAAUAUCAGCCUCUCAACAAUGCCAUGAAAACCUUCAACCUGUUCAACCUAGCAAACCACUGAUUGGCUAUGUUACUGCUUGCUUAACCCAGUGUUAGCGUUGCUAGUUGCAGGUGCAGUUGCUUCCAUGUGAAAACAUGGGUUCCUUGUUAUAUCACCAUAUUAAUGCUAUUUAAUUUAAUGCACCUAUAUACUUGGUAAAAGGUGGAAGGCUCGGCCUUUCUAGCCUGGUGUUUUGUUCCACCUUUGCCCCCUUAGUUUCGGCUACCGGUGUUAUGUUCCAUAAUUGAGCGCUCCUAACACGAUCGGGGUUGUUAUGGGGACCCCCUUGAUAAUUCGUUUUAGAUUAAAACUGGUCUGGCAAGGCCAAACAUUGGUACUACAGUUGCCCAACAUAAUAAUUCUGUUAAAUUGAAAUGCAUAGGGAGUUAGCGCUACCCGAGGAGUAAUUCUACAUAAUACAUGGAGGGCCAGUGCUAAUGGUGCUGGUCCAAAACAGGGCACCGUGCGGGGCCAACUCGGGGCAACUCAGGAGAUUUCUAUCAGGCCACCGUACGCUUUGCUUAUCUGUCGUGUCCUGAGAACGAGAUACGCGGCUCCUAUCGGGAUCGUCGACACAUCGGGCGGCCUUGCUGGAUUAGUUUUACCUUUGACGAGAUAUCUUGUGCAUCGGGAUUCCGGUGAUGCUUUGGGUAAUCUCAGAGUUGAGGUCUUGCACUAGGGAUCCGACGAGAUCACGAGCUUCGUGAUUGAGGAUUUCUAUGCGGCUUGUGGUAAUUUGUGAUGGACUAGUUGGAGCACCCCUGCAGGGUUAAAUCUUUCGGAAAGCCGUGCCCACGGUUAUGUGGCAACGUGGAAACUUUGUUCAACACUGGUUCUAGAUAACUUGAAGUUAACUUAAUUAAAAUAUGCUAACUGUGUGCGUAACCGUGUCUGUCUCUUUCGUGAGUUCCUUCUCUGAUCGAGGACAUGGUGGGGUUAUGUCUGACAUAGGUAGGUGUUCAGGAUCAUUCAUUUGAUCAUCCGUAGUUCCCUCCGCUAUGCGUAGAUCUUCCCUCUCUUAUUUCUUGUACUCGUAAGUUUAGCCACCAAAUAUAUGCUUAGCCGCUGCUGCAACCUCAUCACUUAACCAUGCCUCACAUAAUAAGCUUUGCUAGUCUUGAUACCUUUGGAAAUGAGAUUGCUGAGUCCCCUGUGGCUCACAGAUUACUACAACACCAGUUGCAGGUACNNNNNNNNNNNNNNNNNNNNNNNNNNNNNNNNNNNNNNNNNNNNNNNNNNNNCUUCUUCUUCUUCAUCGAUCUAGGAUGGGUUCCAGGCCGGCAGCCUGGGAUAGGAAGGAUGGACGCUAUUCUUCUUUUCUCGUUUGUUUUCGUCCGUAGUCGGACCCUGUUCUUCUUCAUGAUGAUUAUGUACUGUACUGCUAUGACUCUGAUGUAGCUUGUGGCGAGUGUAAGCCAAUUCUAUAUAUAUAUAUCUCUUCUUUUUAUUACAUGUACUUGUAACGAUAUCCAUUCUUGCGACACGACGAGAUGCGCUUCUAUCCCUGGUGAGGCCUUCGUGCCAAAUUGAGGAUAGGGUCGCAUCUUGGGCGUGACAGCCAACCCCUGGCUGGAGGAGCCGAAGGGGCUGUCGGAGAAGACUUCUACGUGGAGCUCGACAAAGCUCUCCGACCCUCGGGCCGUGCCCAUCCUGGAGCGCUUCUCCCGCGACAUCAGUGCCAAGAGGCUGACCGGAGGGAUGAUAGUGAAGGAAUUCUUGGCGGAGCGCCUAGCGCCCCUUCAGGCCCACUCCAGGCCCCUGUGGGACUACCGGGCAGGUGACGAUGAGCUCAGGCUCUGGUCCCAGGACCUUCUCACGGAGGAGCUGAACAGGGUCAUGGCGAUCUUGUUGGGUGGUGACCCUGGUGACCUGCCUGAUGCUCUAGGUCCGCUGUACCAUCUUGACGACCGGGCCGACGUGAUCGCCGGGCUGCCUGUCUUCGAUGAGCAGGGGCUCCUCCCGUCCGAGGGCUCUGGUCCUGUAGAGGUGUCAUCUAGCGACACCUCCGGUGAGGGGGACUCAGAGAAGACCGUCGACGACUGCCCAGCGAGCGCGCCUCUCCCGUCACAGGCCGUCCUUCUACGCGAACUUGAAGAUGAUGAUGCCGCCGGCGAGGUAUCCGCGGGGAUCUCCUCGCGCCCAACCCCGCGCGCUAUGUGUUGUGCGUGCGUGCUUGCCUCCCAGAAGCUCGGGACUGAGCCGUCCCCGGCGCAUCCCGCCUGUGCUGGUGGAACAUCUGAGGCGUCGGGCUCGCCUCCCUCCAUUGGGGGCCUUGUCAUCUCUGCCGCCGUAGGGGCGGAGAGGAAGAAGAGAUGACGCGAUGUCGAAGAGUAAGUUACUUGUCCUAGCACGCCUCGCGCGUCCAUCGUCUGCGCUUGGUUUAUUCCUCCCUUCUUGCCUGAUGUCCAGGGGCGUUGUCUUGCUGGGGGGGAAGUGGAAGAAGACGGUCGUCAACCCAAAGGCGACUCCCGAGGCACCGCCGGCCCUUGUCAAUGCAUCAUCGCCUGGCGAUGGGGAAGGGAAGGCUCAUGUGGUGACCUCUUGGGCCUUGGUCGCCGUGCCCCCCGAGCCCUCGAGGUGUCAUGAGGUGGGUGUGGUGGCGCCGUUGCCCGAGGGGAAAGAUCUUGAGGGCCCUCAUCCCACUGAUGCGCUAAUACUCGCAACCUCCGAGCAAUCUUCGGAGCCUCCUACCCCUCGUGACGAUGCCUCCCUGACGGCACCGCCCGAGACAGCUGUAGAAACUCCUCAAGGGGAAAUCCAGAGGACCUCGGUAUUCACCCAGGGCGUCCUGAACGAGGCAUUCCGUGUUGUGGGCAAGGUCGCAGUCAUGAUGGCCAGUGGCGAGAAGGAGGCUAAGGAAGCUCGCGCCGGGCGCGAGGAGGCGCUGAAGGAAGUCAAAUAUGCUCGCACCACGCACGAGGAGGCGAUGGAAGGAGCCGCCGCGGCUGCGAAAUGCUACAAAGAGGUGGAGGCUCGCCUGAAUGCCCUCCAGGAAGAACAAGCCAAGAUUGCCGGGCAGCGUCGCUCACGGGAGGAAGAGCUCGAUGCCCACAAGACCAAGCUUGCCGCCCGGGAAGAGGAGCUGUCCCAAGAGGGAACUCGUUUAGGCACGAAGCAAACGUGCCUGGGCGAGCAGGAGAAGGAUGUCGCAUCAAGGAAGACCCUUUCUCGAUGCCAAGAGGGAAGCCCUCGCUGCGGCCGAGAAGAAGAAGGCCGCAGAGCUGGUCGGCUUCCCUGAGGUUGAGCUACACACCCUUUGCCGGGACGGGUUUGGCGAGGCUUUGGCCACCCCGGAGAGUGGCUUCGCCGUGCUCGCGGCGGAGCUCGCCGUGGUGUUGGAGGACGCCGUCAUCCAGGUGGACAAGAUCUUGGACAGUGAGUGCCGCGACCUUUUUUUUGAGGCCACGACGCGCAUCUUCAGUCACCUUCAUCUUCGUUAUCCGGGGUUCAACUUCAACUCUGUGAUCCUAUCGGUCCCGGCCGAGGCCUGCGACUGUGCUGCGGAGGCGGUGAAGGGCCCCGUGGAGGUGUUGGCGAAGAGGUUCGCCCGUGUCGCAGCUCCCACAUCUCCGGAUGCCGCUGAAGCCGAAGGCGGGGGAGACGACGCCACUGACGCCCACGACGAGCCCCAUGAAGAUGCGGCGAUUGGCGGCGACGGCUCCUCUUGAUUUCAUCCUCGUGUUUUUUCCUGCAAUGCUCACCAUGCCUCGUGGAGGCGUCAAAGUCAUUUGCGUUUUCAAGAAAUUGUUAAGGCUUGUAAUAACUGGCUGAAUGCUUGAAUGUUUUCUUUGCCUCGUUUCUUUCAUGUUUGCUGUGAUACUCUGCGUUGGCAGGGCCCGCCCCGCGCGUACCUUUGCCAUAGUUGGACCGACCGGAAUUCCAGGAUGACCCAAAAGGGGAAGGGUCUACGAGCGUAGUUAGGCCCCUGAGUCGCGAUGCUCAGGAGUCCCCCUUGACGUGCGAGCUGCCCUCAUGAGGGGAAUGCGGUGAGGGUUUCAAAACUUCAGAAUACAUUUAGCACUCUGCGUCGGCAGGGCCUGCCCCGCGCGUACGUUCACCGCAGUUGGACCAACUAGAAUUCUAGGAUGGCCCAAAAGGGGAAGGGGCUACGAGUGCAGUUAGGCCCCUGAGUCGCGAUGCUCAGGAGUCCCCCUUGACGUACGAGCGACUCCAAUGUCCCUCCUAAGAAACUAACAAUCUGAGACUCCCGAACUCCUUCUACACUCUGCGUCAGCAAGGCCCGCCCCGCGCGUACCUCCGCCGUUGUUGGGCCGCUUGGACGACCCAAGAGGGAAGGGGCUACAGGCGUAGUUCAGGCUCCUGAGUCGCGAUGCUCAGGAGUCCCCCUUGACGUACUAGUGACUCCAGCGUCCUCCCCAAGAUAUGUUGGGUGGCUUAUUGAGAAGACUGGGCUUUGCGUCGGCAGGGCCCGCCCCGCCCGUACUUCCACUACCGUUGAACCGACCAGAAUUAUAGGAUGGCCCAAGAGGGUAGGGGCUACGGGCGCAGUUUGGCUCCUGAGUCGCGAUGCUCUGGGGUCCCCCAUGACGUACGAGCGGCUCCGUACCUCCAGUUCUCUGUCCCCCGCACUAGGCGUGGGCGUAGUUGCGGGUGGACUGUGUUGAUUUCCAUGCCAACUGUAGGCAUAGUCAUUGGCGGACUGUGUUGGUGCGAGCUGCGGGCAUAGUCAUUGACGGACUAUGUUGGUGCCAGCUGCGGGCAUAGUCAUUGGUGGACUAUGUUGAUUGCCUUUGCCUUCUCCCUAGCGCAGAGCGUAGGGCUGCCACUAGGUGUGGGCUGGACCCCUCCGCGUCCUCGGGGGGCCUUGGGGAUAUACAGCCUCGGCUCGUUAUUACGUGAGAGUGUCAUGGUGGGAGUUGUAUAUGGGAGGUCGCGAGGAUGCUUUGGCCUCGCGAGUGUCCCUACCCCCGAGGCAUGGGCGCAUGAGUCCAAUUGGGUCAUUGGCAAACCCGGCUGACUUGUUCUUCUUCGAGAGUGAGACAGGGUGUCCGUCUGUUGCCUCAGGAGGCCUGCAAGGAUAAGCUUCGACCGGAGCCCCCAAGCGUGGGGCCGCCGCCCGAAAAUACAAGCAAGGUAGAACAUUAGGGUUCAAAAUGGGUACGAUAGAAAUAAUUGAAAGGUGCGUAAAUGAAAGUAGCGGCUGGGGAGUGCCCUGAGCUCCUUGAGGCCGCAUGGCCCUGGGGGCACCCUCGGACAAAGUGGGCCAAAAAGUUACCUUGCAGCAACCAACAAAAAGUCACCUGGCGGCCAUGUCGCUAAAGUGCCAAAGGUGCCGUCGUCGCCUGAUUUCCUACCUCCACGAUCGCGACCCUCACAGGUCCAUCAUCUCCCGAGGUUCGGGGCCUUCGCUUGGCCCAAGCAUCUCCUCUUCUUCCUCACCACGCCCGAGCAGGCAUGGCAUGAGCAUGGCCCACUGGAGCCUUCAGUAGGUAGCAGCCACGUUCCCCAGCCCGAAGGGCAUGAGGGUGCAGGCGCCCGGGUACACCCACCGAUGGUCAGCUUGCGCGGGCCAAAAGGGGCCUUGAGCCACGACUUUAUCGAUUGCGAGCACGUUGAUGCAGAUGCGGGGCUGAUCGACCGUGCCGCCGAAGACGACUGCGAUUGGUGGUGUAGGGCUGUCUCCGCCUUGCACGGCUUGGGCCUCCUGAAGUUCUUGGAUUUCUCUAAUGACGGACUCACAAGAGCUGAGCGGACGUGUGCCGAAGUGCGCCCUCGGGAUGUUCUCGAACGCCACCCUCGCCUCAUUGGUCAGGCCGGGGACCUCCCCGGUGGGAGCCCCCAGUCCUGACCCAAGGGGGCGCCGAGCGCACCUUCCUAUACGAUGGGGGGCAUGACCCAGUCCCCCGGCAUGGAGCCCGAAGUCCCAGGGUGCUCCGCGGGGAGGAGAUGCUUCUUCUUCUUGCGUGGGUCCUCGCGAGGUGGCUCAUCUUCUUCGUCGUCCAAGCGUUCCGCCGCUGCGACGCGGUAGGCGCGCUCGAGCGUACAAACGACAUCCUUCUCGUCGCAGGCGAUGGUGAUGACGCCGCCGAUCCUUGGCAUCUUGAGGGCAUUGUAGCCGUGGUGGGUCACUUCCAUGAACUGGGCGAGAGCCGGGCACUAGAGGAACGCAUUGUAUGGCAGGUGGAUGUGCGCGACGUCGAAGACGAUGAUCUCAGUGUGGUAGUUCUUGCGCGCGCCGAAUGUGACUGGCAGACACACAUGCCCGAUGGGUAGGGUGGACCCUUCUGUGUCUCCUGAGAAGGGCUUGGUCGGCAUGAGCUGUUCGUAUGGUAGCUAGAGUGUCUCGAAGGUCUUGACCGAGAGGACAUUGAGUCCCGCUCCAGUGUAGAUGAGGGUCUUGGUGACGAGGACCUUGCUGAUGGUCGGGUUGCACAUCAUGGGAACCUUGCCAGCCAUGAACAAGCACCUAAGUUGAUCACUUGGGUCUAAGGUGAUGGUGGUCUGGGACCAGUUGAGGAGGCGCAUCGCUUCGGGCAUCGGGAGAGCGGCAUGCACCUCCCAGGCGAACUUCCUGAAGGCGCGGUUCGAGGUCCGAUGUCUGGGCGCCGCCUAGGAUGGAGGCCACCACCCUGACCUCCUCGAAGCCCCCAUCCCCAUUGUUCUGCCUGUCUUCAUCUCUCCUUCUGGGCGGCGGAGGCACAGGAGGCAGCCCGGCCUCACGAGGGCGAACUUCGCGAGGCUGACCGUGUCCUUGCCCCUCCUGAGGGUCGUCGUGCCAGUGGUCAUCCCGAGCCUGGCCGCGCCAGCGAUGCUCCUGAGGCUGGGCGCACCAACGAACUUCAUGAGGCUGUUCAUGCCACCCCUGACGCGGUUCUCAGUCAUCCCAACGGCCUCCACUGUAGACAUAGCCGCAUGCGGGACCUCUAUCGACCCGUCUGGGGCACGUGCUGAAGUGCUCGACACAGACCAGUCUGAGCUCUUGGCACUCGAAGGUAUCAUGGCCUUUGGUGCCGUGGAAGAUGCACGUUGGCUCCCCUCCUCACGGACGCUCUCCCCCUCAGCCGUGCUUCGCCUCAGGAUCGGCUUCGAGCACCACCGGAGCCUUGCGCUUCGCCUCCUUGGCCUUGAUCUUCUUCUCUUCUCAUUCCAUCGCAUGGGGACCGAGGAGGGACAUGCGACCUUCUUCAGCCUUGGCGCACUUAUUUGCUAGGUUGAACAUCUCCAAUGGAGUGCUCAUCUCAUCACUCAUGGCGAGCUCCUCCUUCAUCUUGAGGUCGGUGACUCCAUCGGAGAAGGCAGAUAUGAUGGCUUCGUCCGUCACCUUAGGGAUCUUGAGGCGCAUGACCGUGAAGCGCGAUAUGAACUUGUGCAGGGUCUCCCCCUCCUGCUGCUUGAUGCGCCACACAUCGUUCACGGUGGGAGCGUGAUACGUCUCAAACAUAUCUAUAUUUUUUGAUGGUUUCAUGCUGUUAUCUUGUCUUCUUUGGAUGUUUUAUGUACCUUUUAUAUCUUUUUUGGGACUAACUUAUCAAUUAAGUGCCAAGUGCAAGUUCCUGUUUUUUCCGUGUUUUUGACUCUUUUCAGAUCUGAUUUUGGAACGGAGUCCAAACGGAAGAAAAACCCUGAAAUGAUUUUUUCCUGAACGGAAGAAGAUUAGCGGGCCUUUGGGCUAGCCCAGGUGGGCUCCAGGGAUCCCACAAGCCCCCACUCCGCCACCAGGGGGGAGGCGGCGGUGGGCAGGCUUGUGGCCUCCCUGGACGCCCCGUGACCUAGGUCUUUGGCCUAUAAAUUCCCAAAUAUUCCGCAAAAAAUCAGGGGAGCCUCGAAAAUAAUUUUCCGCCGCUGCAAGCUUCUGUUUCCGCGAGAUGUCAUCUGGAGACCCUUCCCGGCGCCCUGCCGGAGAGGACUUUGGAGUUGGAUGGCUUCUUCAUCAUCAUCAUCGCCCCUCCAAUGACUCGUGAGUAGUUCACUUCAGACCUACGGGUCCGUAGUUAGUAGCUAGAUGGCUUCUUCUCUCUCUUGGAUCUUCAAUACAAAGUUCUCCAUGAUCUUCAUGGAGAUCUAUCCGAUGUAAUCUUCUUUGGCGGUGUGUUUGCCGAGAUCCGAUGAAUUGUGGAUUUGUGAUCAGAUUAUCUAUGAUAUAUAUUUGAGUCUUCGCUGAUUUCUUAUGUGCAUGAUUUGAUAUCCUUGUAAGUCUCUCCGAGUCUUGGGUUUUGUUUGGCCAACUAGAUCUAUGAUUCUUGCAAUGGGAGAAGUGCUUGGUUUUGGGUUCUUCCAUGUGGUGACCUUUCCCAAUGACAGUAGGGGCAGCAAGGCACACAUCAAGUAGUUGCCAUCAAGGGUAAAAAGAUGGGUUUUCUAUCAUUGGUUUGAGAUUAUCCCUCUACAUCAUGUCAUCUUGCUUAAGGCGUUACUCUGUUCUUAUGGACUUAAUACACUAGAUGCAUGCUGGAUAGCGGUCCACAUGUGGAGUAAUAGUAGUAGAUGCAUACAGUAUCGGUCUACUUGUUUUGGCCGUGAUGCAUAUAGAAAUAAUCAUUGCAUAAAUAUCGUCAGGACUUUGCGCGGUUCUAUCAAUUGCUCGACAGUAAUUUGUUCACCCACCGUCUACUUGCUUUCAUGAGAGAAGCCACUAGUAAACACUACGGCCCCCGGGUCUAUUCACAUCCAUCGUUUACAUCUCCGCUUUUACUUUGCUUUUUUACUUUGUUGCUUUCCGUUCUCACUUGGAAAACUAUCUAUUAGGGAUUGACAACCCCUUCAUAGCGUUGGGAGCAAGCUUUUGUGUUUGUGCAGGAUCUUGAGAUACUCCUCCACUGGAUUGAUGCCUUGGUUCUCAAACUGAGGGAAAUACUUACCACCGCUAUGCUACAUCACCCUUUCUGCUUCGAGGGAACACCAAUGCAAGGCUCCAGGGCCAUGGGGGAAAUCCUUUGCAUAAUUGCCUAGGAAGUUCCUUAAGGCGUAGCCGCAGCAGAAAGAUCAAGCCAAGUAUUCUCCUGUCGACAUGCCUAUUUCUGGCGCCGUUGGAAGGUCUUUUGUUGCAGUAGCAGAAGUAUUUCUGGCGCUGUUUCCAGGGAUACACAGCUGGCAUCAGAAGUAUUUCUGGCGCCGUUGCCGGGGAGGAGAAAUCAAGAUCUAUCCAAGUAGGUCUCACAAACUCUUCUCUUGCAUUUACUUUUGUUGCCAGUUGCCUCUCAUUUUCCUCUCCCCGACUUCACAUUUGCCAUUUUCAUUCGCCUUUCGCCUUCGCCGUUUUCUUUUGCCUUUGCCGGUUUUCUUGCUCGCUUGUGUGCCAUGUGCCUUCAAUAUUAUUUCAUCUUCGCUUGUUGAAAAUCUAUUGAUAUGGAUCCUCAUCCACCAUCUAGUCUCUUUAAGAAACCCACUAUUGUUGAGCGGAUUGCUAGUGAGUUGAGGGAAAUUGACUAUUUCUAUGGAGUUUUGCUUAAGAUGCGUGAAUCUGAAAAUUGUGAGGAAGAAAUUCAUGAAGUGAUUCACGAGGGCUCCUUGGAUGAAAAGCAUGAUUUCAAUGGUUUCACUAUAAAUUCUAUUAGUGACAAUCAUGCUAAAAAUAUGCAAAACCCUAAGCUUGGGGAUGCUAGUUUUUCUUUGACCACUACUUGUUGCAAUAAUCAUGAUUGGGGUGAUGAUCUUUCUUAUGAUCUUGAAAAUUUGUUUAAGCCUCAUGAUGAGUAUGAUAUUUGCAACUUUACUAAAAGUGGGAUUGGAGAAGUCAUUACUUUAUUUGAUGAUAAUCCCACUAUUUUUGAAGAGCGUAAACUUUGCAUGCAUGUGGGUCAUGAAAAGGAUAUCCUAUGGGAUAGCUAUAUUGUUGAAUUUGAAUAUGAUCCCACAUGUAAUUGCUAUGAGUGAGGAAAAUAUUUUGGUAGAAACUUUCAUGUUACAAAAUCACCUCUCAUGAUGUUGUGAUUGCUCUUGUCUCUUUCUUCUUCCUUGCAUAUGGCAACUAUUGGUUGUCUUGACAAUCUGUUUUCCUAUAAAAUGCCUAUGCAUAGGAAGUAUGUUAGACUUAGAUGUGAUUUUCACAUGCUUUAGGAUGCUCUCGUUGUGCUUCAAUUCUUGUCUUUUGUGAGAGCAUCAUUAAAUGCCUAGCUAAGGGCGUUAAACAAAAGCGCUUGUUGGGAGGCAACCCAACGAAUCUAUCUUUUUUCUUUCCGUUUUGUGUUUUCCACACUUUCAUAAUUCUGUUAUUAUUGUGUUUUUUGUGUUUCUUUUUGCGUUUGUGCCAAGCAAAACCGUUAUGAUUAGUCUUCGGGAUGAUCGUUUGGUCAUGCUGGAAAAGACAGAAACUUUCUGCUCACGAAAAGAAUUUUCGUUUUUUUUCUGUAAGAUAUUUUGAGUUGAUUCUUUCUGAUGAGGAUUUCUACGCAAAUUCUGCAGACUCUCGUAAGUUUUCAGAAUUUUUCGAGUACCAGAGGUAUACGGAAUAUACAGAUUUCUACAGACUGGUCUGCUGUUAACAGAUUCUGUUUUUGUUGUGUUGGUUGCUUAUUUUGAUGAAACUAUUGAUAGUAUCGGGGGGUAUUAGCCAUGGAAGAUUGAAAUUACAGUAACCCAACAUCAGAACAAGUAGAAUUUAAGUUUGCUACAGUACCUAAGGAAGUGGUGGUUUGCUUUCUUGUACUAAUGUUAUCACGAGUUUUUGUUUAAGUUUCGUGUUGUGAAGUUUUCAAGUUUUGGGUGAAGUUCUUAUGGACAAAGAGAUAAAGAGUGGCAAGAGCUCAAGCUUGGGGAUGCCCAAGGCACCCCAAGAGAUUUAAGAAUUCCGUAAAAGCCUAAGCUUGGGGAUGCCCCGGGAAGGCAUCCCCUCUCUCGUCUUCAAUCAAUCGGUAACGUUACUUGGGGCUAUAUUUUUAUUCACCACAUGUUAUGUGUUUUUGCUUGGAGCGUCUUGUAUCGUAGGAGUCUUUUAUUUUUUUGUGUCACAAUCAUCCUUGCUGCACACCUAGAGAGAGAGACAUGCACACACCGUGAUUUUGUCGAGCUUCACUUAUAUCCUUUGGUAAACAAUUCAGCUCACAUGUGCUUCACUUAUAUCUUUUGAGCUAGAUACUUUUGCUCUAUGUGCUUCACUUUUAUCUUUUAGAGCACAGGGGUGCGUGGCUUGUUAGUUGAUCUAUGCUUUGAAAGUAGUCUCAAAAGGGGUAGUUAUCCAGAGGGAUACGAAAACUUCCACCUUCUUGUGCAUGGAAUAGUUAGAGAAGUUUGAUUCAUCUCAAUUAGUUUUGAGUUGUGGUUAUGGUAAUAUUGAAGUCAUGCUAGUAAGGUGUUGUGGAUCUAGAAAUACUUGUGUUGAAGUUAGUGAUUCCCGUAGCAUGCACGUAUGGUGAACCGCUAUGUGAUGAAAUCUGAGCAUGAUUAGUAAAUUGAUUGUCAUCCUUUGCGUGGCGGUCGGGAUCACACGAUGGUUUAUACCUACCAACCCUUCUCCUAGGAGUAUGCGUUGAAUGCUUUGUUUCGAUUACUAAUAAAACUUUUGCAAAAAGUAUAUGAGUUCUUCAUGACUAAUGUUGAGUCCAUGGUUUAGAUGCACUUUCACCUUCCACCAUCACUAUCUUCUUAGUGCCGUGCAACUUUCGCCGGUGCACAAAACCCACCAUUAGCCUCCCUCAAAACAGCCACCAUACCUACCUACUAUGGCUUUUUCAAAGUCAUUCUGAGAUAUAUUGCCAUGCAACUACCACCAUGACAUGUGCCACCACGUCUACAUUGCCAUUUCAUGAUCGUAAGAUAGCUAGCAUGAUGUUUCCAUUGAUGUCUAUGCCAUGCUAGAUCAUUGCCACGGUACACUACCGAAGGAAUUCCAUAUAGAGUCAUAGUUGCUCUAAGUUUUGAGUUCAAAGUGUGAUGAUCAUAAUUAAUGGUGCAUUGUCCCAUGUGAGGAAAUAAAAGAGGCCAAAGAAUCCCACCAAAAUAAAAAAAAGAGGCCAAAGAGCCCACCAAAUAAAAAAAAUAUGAGAGAAAAAGAGAGAAGGGACAAUGCUACCACUUUUUCCACACUUGUGCAUAUUAAGCACCAUGAUCUUCAUGAUUGAGAGUCUCUCGUUUUGUCACCACCAUAUAGCUAGUGGGAAAUUUUCAUUAUAUAACUUGGCUUGUAUAUUCCAAUGAUAGGCUUCCUCAAAAUUGCCUUAGGUCUUCGUGAGCAAGCAAGUUGGAUGCACACCCACUAGUUUUCCUUAAGAGCUUUCACAUACACUUAGCUCUAUUGCAUCAUUUGUAUGGCAAUCCCUACUCAUUUACAUUGAUAUCUAUUGAUGAGCAUCUCCACACAGCUCAUUGAUAUGCCUAGUUAAUGUGACCAUCUUCUCCUUGUUCGCCUUGCAACCUCCACCACACUCCACACCAUCUAUAGUGCUAAAACCAUGGCUCACGCUCAUGUAUUGCGUGAGAGUCGAAAAAGUUUGAGAAAGUAAAGGUGUGAAAACAAUUACUUGGUCAUUACCGGGGUUGUGCAUGAUUUAAAUUCGUUGUGCAAUGAUGAUAGAGCAUAGCCAGACUAUAUGCUUUUGUAGGGAUAACUUUUUUUGGCCUUGUUAUUUUGAAAGUUCAUGAUUACCUUGCCAGUUUGCUUGAAUUAUUAUUGUUUCCACAUCAAUAGCAAACUAUUUUUUUGAAUCUAACGGAUCUGACCAUUCAUGUCACGUGAGAUGAGUUACAAAGGACACCUAUGCUAGGUAGCAUGAAAGCAUAAAAAAUUCAUUCUUAUCACUUCCCUACUCGAGGACGAGCAGGAGUUAAGCUUGAGGAUGCUUGAUACGUCUCAAACGUAUCUAUAAUUUGUGAUGGUUUCAUGCUGUUAUCUUGUCUUCUUUGGAUGUUUUAUGUACCUUCUAUAUCUUUUUUGGGACUAACUUAUUAAUUCAGUGCCAAGUGCGAGUUCCUGUUUUUUCCGUGUUUUUGACUCUUUUCAGAUCUGAUUUUGGAACGGAGUCCAAACGGAAGAAAAACCCCGAAAUGAUUUUUUCCCAAACAGAAGAAGAUCAGGGGGCCUUUGGGCUAGGCCAGGUGGGCUCCAGGGAGCCCACAAGCCCCCACUCCGCCACCAGGGGGGAGGCGGCGGUGGGCAGGCUUGUGGCCUCCCUGGCCGCCCCCUAACCUAGGUCUUUGGCCUAUAAAUUCCCAAAUAUUCCGCAAAAAAUGAAGGGAGCCUCGAAAAUACUUUUCCGCCGCCGCAAGCUUCCGUUUCCGCGAGAUCUCAUUUGGAGACCCUUCCCGGCGCCCUGCCGGAGGGGACUUUGGAGUUGGAGGGCUUCUUCAUCAUAAUCAUCGCCCCCCUCCAAUGACUCGUGAGUAGUUCACUUCAGACCUACGGGUCCAUAGUUAGUAGCUAGAUGGCUUCUUCUCUCUCUUGGAUCUUCAAUACAAAGUUCUCCAUGAUCUUCAUGGAGAUCUAUCCGAUGUAAUCUUCUUUUGCGGUGUGUUUGUCGAGAUCCGAUGAAUUGUGGAUUUGUGAUCAGAUUAUCUAUGAUAUAUAUUUGAGUCUUUGCUGAUUUCUUAUAUGCAUGAUUUGAUAUUCUUGUAAGUCUCUCCAAGUCUUGGGUUUUGUUUGGCCAACUAGAUCUAUGAUUCUUGCAGUGGGAGAAGUGCUUUGUUUUGGGUUCUGCCAUGUGGUGACCUUUCCCAGUGACAGUAGGGGCAGCAAGGCACACAUUAAGUAGUUGCCAUCAAGGGUAAAAAGAUGGGGUUUUUAUCAUUGGUUUGAGAUUAUCCCUCUACAUCAUGUCAUCUUGCUUAAGGCGUUACUCUGUUCUUAUGGACUUAAUACACUAGAUACAUGCUGGAUAGCGGUCGACGUGUGGAGUAAUAGUAGUAGAUGCAUACAGUAUCGGUCUACUUGUUUUGGACGUGAUGCCUAUAGAAAUAAUCAUUGCAAAGAUAUCGUCACGACUUUACGCGGUUCUAUCAAUUGCUCGACAGUAAUUUGUUCACCCACCGUCUACUUGCUUUCAUGAGAGAAGCCACUAGUAAACACUACGGCCCCCGGGUCUAUUCACAUCCAUCGUUUACAUCUUCGCUUUUACUUUGCUUUGUUACUUUGUUGCUUUCAGUUCUCACUUGGCAAUAAAUCUAUAAGGGAUUGACAACCCCUUCAUAUCGUUGGGAGCAAGCUUUUGUGUUUGUGCAGGAUCUUGAGAUACUCCUCCACUGGAUUGAUACCUUGGUUCUCAAACUGAGGGAAAUACUUACCACCGCUAUGCUACAUCACCCUUUCUGCUUCGAGGGAACACCAAUGCAAGGCUCCAAGGCCAUGGGGGAAAUCCUUUGCAUAAUUGCCUAGGAAGUCCCUUAAGGCGUAGCCGCAGCAGAAAGAUCAAGCCAAGUAUUCUCCUGUCGACGUGCCUAUUUCUCGCGCCGUUGGAAGGUCUUUUGUUGCAGUAGCAGAAGUAUUUCUGGCGCCGUUGCCGGGGAUACACAGCUGACAUCAGAGCGCGGUCACGAGUGCCCUGAAAGUUUGCAACGAAGCAUUCCCGUAGGUCAUCCCAGGAGGUGAUGGAUACAUUUGGGAGGUUGAGGAGCCAAGAGAGCGCGCCACCCUUGAGCGCCAUGGGGAACCAGCACGCCAUGACCUUGUCGCCUCCUCCUGCCGCCCUAAAUACUCAGCGUGUAGAGUUGCAGGAAUUCGGCAGGGUCCAGGGUGCCGUCGUAGGGCAGGGGUAGGUCGGUCUUGAACUUGCAGGGCCACGCAGUUGGGUAGAGCUCAGGGGCGAUGGCGAGACACCCCACCGGCCCGGCAGGUGCAGUGCGCGCGGGAGCGACCUGGUCCUGUUGCUCCAAUGGGUCUGUUUCAGGCGGGGCUCGCUCGCAGUACGAGACUUGCAGCGUCGGGAGCGCACGCACGUCGGCGCAUGGCCGAGGAACCACUUGACAGCUUGCUUCAUCUCCUGGCCUCGCCCUGGGUUCGCGAGGUUGUUCGCGGGGCCGCGCUUCCUGCGUGGGCUUGGGGUGCGCGCCACGCCGCGAAGGUGGGGGUGGCGUGUCUUGCUCCUCGUCAUUCGCUUGGGAUGGUUGGGGCCGAAAUGAGAAGGAGAGCGCCACGGAAUCACCGACAGCGGCAACGAGCUCCUCGAUGCGUUGGAGCCAGUCGUUGUGGCGGUUAGGGGUGGGCCGGUAGCGGAGCAGCUCGGUGGUCAUGGCAAGCGCGCGUCAACCGUGUGGCAUCUUCGGCCGGGCGUGCGAGGACGACCCCGGAGCCCGGAAGAGCGACGGGUGGCGGUGCGGCCGUCAGGGUGCUCGGUAGCCGGCUGGCAGGAACCUUGCUGUUCUUGAGCAUCGGGGCUCGUGGCGGCGUUCACCACGAGCGAUGGUGACCGACGAGCGUAGGCAGGGCCUACGGGGCCUGCGGGCGCCGUCUGAGGAACGCGGGUGGCGUGGCGCUCGGUGCGAGCCUGGCGAGCGUCAGCCAUCGGAGCGGCGAAGCUUGGCGAAGGCGGAGCUUGGAGGAAACCUUGACGCGCCCCCUACAUAGCGCGCCAAAUGUCGGACUUCGGGCUCCGCAAAGCCCUAAAGAUUCAAACUCAGGGGCACGUAUGAAGAUCUCUCACUGGCUCGCCUCACGUAACUCGCUACUCGCUGGAAAUGGCAAGGAACUCAUUCAAUGGUGAGGAAGACACAGAACACGGCUACCUAGGUUUAGGCCACUGAGAAGCGUAAUACCCUACUCCUGCUUUGGUGGAUUGCCCCUCGUGGAGGUUGGUGGAUGAACAAGUACAGUGCUCGAGAGCCUCCGGAGGCUGGAUGGCCUUUGUGUGGUGCUGGUGGGUGAAUGAAUGAAUCGGAUCCCCCUCUACGAAGUAACCUAAUCUCUAUAUAUAGUGGCGGCCCCGGUCCUCUUCCCUUAUCGUUUCAACGAUAAGGGAUCCCACAGCGACCAAUUUUGAAGGGGAACAGGGGAACAUGCUCCCCUGCCCAAAGGUGGUGUUCGCGUGCAAAGUAGCUACCUGCGUUGCAGGGACGGGCCCGGGGAUGACUUCUGUCCAGAUUGCGGGCGGCGACGACCUUGUUGCACCAGAAAGGAAACCUAUGGAAGAUGCCUUGGGAACCCUGGUACAUCCUUGCCCCCUUUGCACUAAAGGGGAAACUGUUCCGUCCUGCCGCCUGCUGCUCGCUUGUCCUUCCUGUGUGUCAUCCUUUACUCGUAAGGCUGGGCCUUGCCUCGGAAUAUCUGCCCUUCUGGAGGUGUCCUGAGGAGGCCCCCUACGGGUCUUGAUGUUGUUCCUCCUCGCGAGGCUUGGCCCCUCGUGAGGGCCCUGUCUCGAGCGGUGCCGGGCCUGUCGGUUUGCUCGAUGAAGUGGGCCAUCCCUGGGCCACAGGUAGGCAGGUCUGGGUACCCCCAUUCCGAGAACGCCGACAAAGACACCGCGAAGGUCUUGAUGGCCAACACGACUAGGGGAGGUGGCCCUAGAUUCAUCAUGGAGAACUCUCUCGGGCGAGAUGAUGGAGAGCGUCGUCACGGUGAUGGCAGUCAUCAUUUUCCGCAGCCAAUAAGGGAGCAGUAGCGGCUAGAACUUCGACGAAGGAGCGAGCAAGCUCUUUGUACCCCCAUCACCAGAAACGCCUAGAGGAGAUAGCGCUGGAGAACAUGCGUUAGGCCACUCUAGCUGAGCGCGAGCGUCUCGAGCGGCUCGAGUAGUCACUCGAUGCUUGGGGCGAGGGAUCAGCACGACUCCAGUCGCAAUCGCCGUGAGUUGUUUCGGAUCGAUCUCCCGCGUCACAUUGAGGUGAUGUGAACAUCUCUGCUGAACUUGGCCGCCGCCAUUCGGAUCGCUAAUUCCAUUUAGCCAAGUGAGUCUACGGCUGGAGAAGGCAUUCGACAGAUCCAGGCUCUCCUGAAGACUGCCAUGCAAAAAAACUCCGUAGUGUCGCACCAUAGCAGGUCCGUCCAGGUGGACAUAGUGUGGUCGGCUCAUAGCCCGCAUGCACUCGGAAGACGUCAAAGAUCUCCUCCUCCUCUAAGAGGCUCGCAUGGGGAUCGGCGACAUAAUCAUCGGGUUCAUAGCAGAACACCUCCUCCGAGGAGUGGUUCACUUGGACACCGACCCCAUGACCGCAUGCCGAGCCCCAAUCGGCACAGGGUUUAUGGAGACGACGGCUACCGGGCCCCUGAAUUCAAUGCGAGGUCCCUAAUCACGCAAAACAUGAUUGACCGACCGCGAGCAGGCCGUGGAGUAUAUGACCUCGAGUGCUUCGGUCGGCACAUCCGCGAAGCGGAGAUCCCGUGCAAUUACCGAUUGGCCAUGUUGAUUGGCAAGUUCAACGAUGAGUCCAAGCCGAAGACUUGGCUCGAGGAUUACUGAGUGGCCGUCUAGAUAGGCAAUGGCGACGACUUUGUCGUGAUGAAUCAUCUAACCCUUAUGCUAGAGGGAUCGACAAGGGCAUGGCACAACUAGCUUCCCUCCAGCAGUAUCCACAGUUGGGGAGAUUUGGCCUGAGUGUUUGUCAAAACAUUCGAGGGCUUACAAGCGCCCAAGUGGCUUAACUAAGCGACAACAUUGUGUUCAGAAGAGCAACGAGACCCUCCGGGAGUAGAUCCAAUGGUGGACCACGUUGCACAACACAACGGAAAACGUCAUCGAGCAUCAGGCCAUGUGCGCUUUCAAAGCGGGCACUCAGUACCGGGAGCUGAUCCUCAAGUUCGACCGAUCGGGGGAUUUGUCCCUUAGUUGGGCGACGGAAAUCGCCAAUUGGUAUGCGAAUGGCGAAGAAGAAGACCGCCUCCUCAACGGCAAAGGUCGAGCCAGCGAGGCCCCUCAAUCAAGCAGUACCGGGAAAAAACAGAAACGAAAGAGCGACCCAUUGGGUAAAGCUGAAGUAGCCGCUAUCCCGGGGCAUAGCCAAAGAAGGCCCAAGAAGAAGAAGAAAGAUUGGGCACGCAAGAAGAAGGCCAAUUCCAAGAGCCACCUUAUGUACCAACCAUGUCCAUUCCAUGUUAGGAAGGACAAGGAGGGGGGAGAUCAUCCCCGCCAAGCACAUGGCUCGAGACUGUCACCCGCUCCCGCACGAGAUGGACGGAGAACCCUCCGGGGAUAAAAGUGAUGAGGACAACCAAGAGGCUACCCCUGGGUAUCCAAACAUAGAGAAAGUCAUCAUGAUCUUUGCCAAUGUAGAGAGCAAAAGCCAAUUUAAAGAUAUCAAUCGAGAGGUAAACAUGGCGGCCCCGGCUAUCACAAAGUACCUCGAUUGGGCGAAGACGCCCAUCACAUUCAACCAGUCGGACCACCCAGGCAACGCGCCACCCCUGGGAGGUAGGCGUUGGUCGUCGAUCUAGCUAUCAAUGGGGUCUGACUGCGAAGGGUCCUCACGGACAACGACAACGGCCUCAACAUCCUCUAUGCCGACAUGCUCAGAGCAAUGGACAUUCCAUUGUCCGGGUUGAGAAAUAGUAAUAUGCAGUUCCACGACGUCAUCCCCGGGAAGAAGGCCGAAUCACUCGGUCAGAUCACCCUGGAUGCCGUAUUCGGCAGUGAGAAGAAUUACAGGAAGGAAAGACCGACCUUUGAAGUGGUCGAAUUCCUAAGAACCUAUCACUCCAUCCUUGGUAGGCCUGCCUACGCGCGUUUCAUGGCCCGAUCAUGUUACGUGUAUCUUAAACUUAAGAUGCCACUGCUGAAAGGCGUGAUUACAGUUAUCGGCAACCGGAAGAUCGCCGAAGAAUGCCUACAGCAGGGCUCUUGGAUCGCCAACGAGCAAGUCCUAGCGGUCAAGCUUGAAGGGUACAAGAAGGCAAUGGACACUACUAACUUGCUCAGGUCCAACCGGUCGGCUACUAAGUCCAUCUUUCAGUCGGCCGGUGAGACCAAGCAGGUUCACGUCCACCCUACCAACCCGAGUGCCUCUGGGACAAACAUAUCCACUUCAGUCAACGACAAAUAGGAAGCUGAGCUCAUCCAGUUCCUCCAUGAGAAUUGGGACAUCUUCGCAUGGAAGCCCUCUCACAUGCCAGGUGUUCCCAGGGAACUGGGUGAGCACCGCCUCCGAGUGGACUCCAAAGUCAAGGCCGUCAAGGAGCACUUGCGCCGCUCCUCCAUGGAGAAGUGCAAGGCAAUCCACGAGGAGAUUGCUCGGCUGCUAGCUGCCGAGUUCAUUCGCGAGGUGUACCAGUCCGAGUGGUUGGCGAACGUGGUCAUGGUGCCCAGGAAGAACAAUUCACUCCGAAUGUGUAUUGACUUCAAGCACCUCAAUCGGGUCUGCCCGAAGGACCAUUUCCCUUUACCUCGAAUAGAUCAGAUCGUAGAUUCAACUGCUAGAUGUGAACGCGUGUCAUUCCUGGAUUCGUACUCUGGGUACCACCAGAUCGGAAUGUAUGGACCUGAUGAAAUAAAAAUGGCCUUCAUCACCCCAUUCGGCUGUUUUUGCUAUAUCACCAUGCCAUUCGGCCUAAAAAUGAUGGGGCUACUUUUCAGUGCAUGAUCCAAGAGCGUGUGCAGGAACAGAUCAGUCGGAACGUCGAAGCAUACAUGGAUGACAUCAUGGUCAAGUCCAGGAAAGGUUCCAACCUCCUGACCGACCUCGCUCAAACCUUAGCGAACCUCCGGUGUUUCAGUAUAAAGCUUAAUCUGGCCAAGUGCACUUUCGGAGUGUCGGCCGGUAAGUUACUCGGUUUCCUCGUUUCUGAACAAGGCAUUGAUGCCAAUGCCGGUAAAAUCGGUGCCAUAGUCCAAAUGAGACGCCCAGAGCGCAUCCAUGAUGUGCAUUGACUUACGAGUUGCCUCGUGGCUCUGAGCCGCUUCAUCGCAAGACUCGAUGAGAUGGCACUACCUCUUUACCGUUUGAUUAAGAAAUCUCACAGAUUCGAGUGGACCAACGAAGCGCAAGUCGCUUUCGACCAACUCAAAGCUUUGCUAUCCACCCAGCUGGUGUUAGCUACUCCGAGCAGCCACGAGCCCUUACUCCUCUACAUUGUUGCCACUAGCCAAGUGGUUAGCACCAUCCUCAUCCUGGAGCACGAAGAAGCGAGCAAACCAUACAAGGUACAAAGACCCAUUUAUUACAUCUGAGAGGUACCGACUCCCUCCAAGCAAAGGUAUCAGCAUUACCAGAAGCUGGUUUACGGUAUCUAUCUAACAGUGAAGAAGGUAGUCCAUUACUUCCGUGAACACUCGGUCACCGUCAUCAGUGACGCUCCCUUGGCAGAAAUCCUGCACAACAGGGAUGCCACUGGAAAAGUGGCUAAAUGGGUGAUACGUCCAUUUUGCAUCAUGCUUUCAUGUUGAUAUUUAUCGCUUUAUGGACUGUUAUUAUACUUUGUGGAACCUUACUUAUGCCUUUUCUCUCUUAUUUUGCAAGGUUUAUUUGAAGAGGGAGAAUACCGGCAGCUGGAAUUCUGGACUGGAAAAGGAGCAAGUCUGAGUGCUCUAUUCUGCACAGCUCCAAAUGCCCUGAAAAUCAACAUGGAUUUUUUUGGAUUUUAUAAAAAAUUCUGGGCGAAAGAAGUGUCAGAGGGGAGCAACCAGGGGCCCACAAGCCUGGUUGCCGCGGCCUACCCCCUGGCCGCGGCAACAGGGCUUGUGGCCACCCUAGCGGCCCACUGGCCCCCCUCUUUUGCUAUAUGAAGGGUUUCGUCCGUAAAAAAAUCAGGGUGGAGCUUUUUCGUGGAUUCUCCGCCGCCACGAGGCGGAACUUGAGCAUAUCCAAUCUAGAGCUCCGGCAGGACGAUCCUGCCGGGGAAACUUCCCUCCUGGAGGGGGAAAUCGUCGCCAUCGUCAUCACCAACACUCCUCUCGUCGGAGGGGAGGCAUCUCCAUCAACAUCUUCAUCAAAACCAUCUCCUCUCCAAUCCCUAGUUCAUCUCUUGUAACCAAUCUCCGUCUCGCGACUCCGAUUGGUACUUGUAAGGUUGCUAGUAGUGUUGAUUACUCUUUGUAGUUGAUGCUAGUUGGAUUACUUGGUGGAAGAAUUUAUGUUCAGAUCCUUGAUGCUAUUCAUUGCACCUCUGAUCAUGAUUAUGAUUAUGCUUUGUGAGUAGUUACUUUUGUUCCUGAGGACAUGGGAUAAGUCAUGCUAAUAAUAGUCAUGUGAAUUUGGUAUUCGUUCGGUAUUUUGAUAUGCUGUAUGUUGUUUUUCCUCUAGUGGUGUUAUGUGAACGUCGACUACAUAACAGUUCACCAUAUUUGGGCCUAGAGGAAGGCAUUGGGGAGUAGUAAGUAGAUGAUGGGUUGCUUGAGUGAUAGAAGCUUAAACCCCAGUCUAUGUGUUGCUUCGUAAGGGGCUGAUUUGGAUCCACUAGUUUAAUGCUAUGGUUAGACGUUGUCUUAAUUCUUCUUUCGUAGUUGCAGAUGCUUGCGAGAGGGGUUAAUCAUAAGUGGGAUGCUUUUCCAAGUAAGGGCAGUACCCAAGCGCCGCUCCACCCACAUAUGAAACUUUCAAAGUAACGAACGCGAAUCAUAUGAACAUGAUGAAACUAGCAUGACAGAAAUUCCCGUGUGUCCUCGGGAGCGCUUUUCCUCUUAUAAGACUUUGUUCAGGGUUGUCCCUUUCUUCAAAAGGGAUUGGGCCACUUGCUGCACCAUUGCUACUACUUUUUACUUGUUAAUUUCCGCUUGCUACGUUUCACCUCACUAUACCAUCACUUGUUACCGCUACUUUUAGUGCUUGCAGUUAUUACCUUGCUGAAAACCGUUUAUGAGAGCCUUCUCCUCCUCGUUGGGUUUGACACUCUUACUUAUCGAAAGGACUACGAUUGAUCCCCUAUACUUGUGGGUCAUCAAGACUCUUUUCUGGCGCCGUUGCCGGGGAGGGAGCGCCUUUGGUAACUGGAAUUUGGUAAGGAAACAUUUAUAUACUAUGCUGAAAUUUAUUGUCACUUGUCACUAUGGAAACUAUUCCUUUGAGGAGUUUGUUCGGGGUAUCUUCACCACGAACGGAAGCACGAGGAGUUGCUCCUCAACCUAAGGUACCUACUGAAAAUAUCUUUUAUGAAAUUCCUUCGGGUAUGCUUGAGAAACUGCUGGCUAAUCCUUUUACGGGAGAUGGAUCUUCACAUACAGACUUGCAUCUAAUAUAUGUAGAUGAAGUUUGUGGUUUAUUGAAGCUUGCAGGUUUGCCUGAGGAUGAGGUAAAUAAGAAAGUCUUCCCUUUAUCUUUGAAGGAUAAGGCGUUGACAUGGUAUAGGUUAUGUGAUGAUACUGGAUCAUGGGACUACAAUCGGUUGAAAUUGGAAUUUCAUCAAAAGUUCUAUCCUAUGCAUUUAGUACAUCGUGAUUGGAAUUAUAUUUAUAACUUUUGGCCUCGUGACAGGGAAAGCAUAGCUCAAUCUUGGGGGAGGCUUAAAUCAAUGCUAUAUUCAUGCCCCAAUCAUGAGCUCUCGAGAGAAAUUAUCACUCAAAACUUUUAUGCUCGGCUUUCCCAUGAAGAUCGUACCAUGCUUGACACUUCUUGUACUGAUUCUUUUAUGAAGAAGGAUAUUGACCACAGGUGGAAUUUAUUGGAAAGAAUCGAAUGUAACUCUGAAGAUUGGGAGCUGGAAGAAGGUAAGGAGUUAGGUAUGAAUUUCCAGUUUGAUUGCUUUAAAUCUUUUGUUGAAACAAACACUUCUAGAGAGUUUAGCACUAAGUAUGGACUUGACUCUGAGAUAGUAGCUUCUCUAUGUGAAUCUUUUGUUGCUCAUGUUGAUCUUCCCAAAGAGAAGUGGUUUAAAUAUCAUCCUCCUGUAGAAAUCAACAUAGUUAAACCCAAUCUAGUUGAGGAGAAAGUCGUUGCUUUUAGUGAUCCUAUUGUUCCUUGUGCCUACGCUAAGAAAGCACCAUACCCUGCUAGGAAAAAGGAUUAUUCUGAAGCUCCAACUGUGAUACAUAGGGGUUACAUUAGACCAGUUGCACCCCCUGAGGAAAUUAGAGUUGAACCUAGUGUUGCUAUUAUCAAAGAUCUCUUAGCCGAAGACAUAGAUGGGCAUGUUAUCAAAUUCUGUGAAGACUCCGCUAGAAUAGCUAAACCUCACGCGAAAGACAAAUACGGACCUGUAGUUGGCCUGCCCGUAGUUUCUGUCAAGAUAGGAGAUCACUGUUACCAUGGUUUAUGUGAUAUGGGUGCUAGUGUUAGUGCAAUACCCCGUUCCCUAUAUGAUGAAAUCAAAGAUGAGAUUGCACCUGCUGAGUUAGAACCCAUUGAUGUCACUAUUACGCUAGCUAAUAGAGACACUAUUUGCCCUGUGGGAAUUGUGAGAGACGUAGAAGUCCUGUGUGGUAAGACGAAGUAUCCUACUGAUUUCCUCGUCCUUGCUACUGCACAAGAUUGCUUUUGUCCCAUCAUAUUUGGUAGACCCUUUAUCAACACUAUCAAUGCUCACAUUGAUUGCAUUAAACAGACUGUCACUGUUAGUUUCGAGGGUGUGUCUCAUGAAUUUAACUUCUCCAAGUUUGGAAGACAACCCCAUGAAAAAGAGUCAUCUGGUAGGGAUGAAAUCAUUGCUCUUGCCUCUAUUGUUGUACCUCCUACGGAUCCUUUAGAGCAAUAUCUGCUUGAGCAUGAAAAUGAUAUGCAUAUGGAGGAAAGAGAUGAGAUAGAUAAAAUUGUCUUAGAACAAUAUCCUAUUCUCAAGAAUAAUCUGCGUGUUGAACUGCUUGGGGAUCCUCCCCCACCAAAGGGUGAUCCUGUGUUCGAGCCAAAACAGUUACCAGAUACUCUUAAGUAUGCCUAUCUUGAUGAGAAGGAGAUAUAUCCUGUUAUUAUUAGUGCUCACCUCUCGGAUCACGAAGAAAAUAAGUUAUUAAAAACCUUGAGGAAGCACUGUGCUGCUAUUGGAUAUACUCUUGAUGAUCUUAAGGGUAUUAGUCCCACACUAUGUCAGCACAAGACUAAAACUGAUCCUGAUUCUAAGCCAGUUCUUGAUCAUCAAUGGAGACUAAAUCCGAGGAUGAAAGAGGUCGUGAGAAAAGAAAUAUUAAAGCUUAUGGAAGCAGGAAUCAUCUAUCCUGUUGCUCAUAGUGAUUGGGUAAGUCCAAUACAUUGUGUACCUAAGAAGGGAGGUAUCACCGUCGUUCCUAAUGAUAAGAAUGAACUAAUCCCACACAGGAUUAUUACUGGCUAUAGGAUGGUGAUAGACUUCCAUAAACUGAACAAGGCAACCAGGAAGGACCAUUAUCCUUUGUCAUUCAUCGACCAGAUGCUAGAAAGGCUAUCUAAACACACAAACUUCUGCUUUCUAGAUGGUUAUUCAGGUUUCUCGCAAAUACCUGUUGCACAAUCUGAUCAAGAGAAAACCACCUUCACAUGCCCCUUCGGUACCUUUGCUUAUAGAUGCAUGCCUUUUGGCUUGUGCAAUGCACCUGCCACCUUUCAAAGAUGUAUGAUGGCUAUAUUCUCUGACUUUUGUGAAAAGAUUGUUGAGGUUUUCAUGGAUGAUUUCUCUGUCUACGGUUCUUCCUUUGAUGAUUGCCCCAGCAACCUUGAUCGAGUCUUACAGAGUUGCAAAGAUACCAACCUCGUCUUGAACUGGGAGAAGUGCCACUUCAUGGUUAAUGAAGGCAUCGUCUUGGGACACAAAAUCUCCGAGAGAGGCAUUGGAGUUGAUAAGGCUAAGGUUGAUGCAAUUGAGAAAAUGCCUUGCCCCAAAGAUAUUAGAGGUAUACGAAGUUUUCUAGGUCAUGCUGGUUUCUAUAGAAGGUUCAUUAAAGACUUCUCUAAGAUUUCUAGGCCUCUUACCAACCUCUUGCAGAAGGAUGUUCCUUUUUUUUGAUGAGGAUUGUGAGGAAGCUUUCGAAAUCAUGUGCGAUGCUAGUGAUUAUGCUGUUGUUGUUGUUCUAGGACAAAGAGUUGACAAGAAGUUGAAUGUCAUUCACUACGCUAGUAAAACUCUAGACAGUGCCCAAAGAAACUAUGCCACUACGGAGAAGGAGUUUUUAACAGUCGUGUUUGCAUGUGAAAGGUUCAGAUCUUAUAUAGUUGACUCCAAAGUCACUAUUUACUCUGAUCAUGCUGCUAUUAAGUACCUCAUGGAGAAGAAGGACGCUAAGCCUAGGCUAAUCAGAUCCGUUCUCCUGCUACAGGAAUUUGAUCUGCACGUUGUUGACUGAAAGGGUGCUGAUAACCUUGUAGCAGAUAACUUGUCUAGGCUAGAGAAUGUCCUUGAUGACCCACGACCUAUUGAUGACAUCUUUCCUGAUGAGAAAUUGAAUGUCAUCCGCACUUCACAUAAUGCAUCGUGGUAUGCUCAUUACGCAAACUAUAUCAUAGCCAAAUACACACCACCAAGUUUCACCUACCAGCAAAAGAAGAAAUUCUUCUUCGAUUUGAGACACUACUUUUGGGAUGAUCCUCACCUUUAUAAGGAAGGAGUAGAUGGUGUUAUUAGACGUUGUGUGCCUGAACAUGAACAGGGACAGAUCCUGUAGAAGUGUCAUUCCGAGGCUUACGGAGGACACCAUGCUGGAGACAGAACUGCUCAUAAGGUAUUGCAAUCAGGUUUCUAUUGGCCCACUCUCUUCAAGGAUGCCCGUAAGUUUGUCUUGUCGUGUGACGAAUGUCAAAGAAUAGGGAACAUUAGCAAACUUCAGGAAAUGCCUAUGAACUAUUCACUAGUCAUUGAACCAUUUGAUGUCUGGGGCUUUGAUUAUAUGGGACCCUUCCCGAGUUCCAAUGGGUACACUCACAUCUUAGUUGCUGUGGAUUAUGUCACUAAGUGGGUAGAGGCUAUCCCCACUAAGAAUGCUGUUCACCACACCUCUAUUAAGAUGCUUAAAGAAGUCAUUUUCCCAAGAUUUGGAGUCCCUAGAUAUCUAAUGACUGAUGGCGGUUCACACUUCAUUCAUGGUGUUUUCCUUAAGAUGCUCGCUAAGUAUGAUGUCAACCACAGAGUUGCAUCUCCUUAUCAUCCUCAGUCUAGUGGUCAAGUGGAGUUGAGUAAUAGGGAGAUCAAAUUGAUCUUACAAAAGUCCGUCAAUAGAUCUCAAAAGAAUUGGUCUAGCAAACUUGAUGAUGCACUAUGGGCUUAUAGGACUGCCUAUAAGAAUCCCAUGGGCAUGUCACCGUAUAAAAUGGUUUACGGUAAGGCCUGUCAUUUACCUCUUGAGCUUGAACACAAAGCUUAUUGGGCAAUCAAAGAGCUCAACUUCGAUUUCAAACUUUCCGGUGAGAAGCGGUUGUUUAAUAUCAGCUCAUUAGAUGAAUGGAGGGCCCAGGCAUAUGAGAAUGCCAAGUUGUUCAAGGAAAAGGUUAAGAGGUGGCACGAUAAAAGAAUACAAAAAUGAUAGUUCAAUGUAGGUGAUUAUGUCCUGCUAUACAAUUCUCGUUUAAGAUUCUUCGCAGGCAAGCUUCUCUCUAAAUGGGAAGGUCCCUACAUUGUCGAGGAAGUAUAUCGUUCCGGUGCCAUCAAAAUCAAUAACACGGAAGGCAAUUUUCCUAGAGUGGUAAACGGGCAAAGAAUCAAGCAUUACAUCUCUGGUACUCCCAUAAAUGUUGAGACCAAUAUCAUCAAUAUCAUAAUUCCAGAGGAGUACAUAAGGGAUGUUUAUCACCCUGUUUCAGACCCUGAAAACCAAGAGGUAUCUGUUUCGGUAAGUAAAUGGACUCCGAAACUUUUCCAAUAGGAAAUUUUAUCCGUUUUGGAAUUUAUGGAAAAUUAGAAAAAUAAAAAGCAAUCCGGAGAGCGCACGAGGCGUCCACAAGCUUGGUUGCCGCGGCCUCCCCCUGGCUGCGGCAACAUGGCUUGUGGGCAGCUCGUGUGCCUCCCGGACUCCGUUUUCUUGCGGAGCACUCCUUCUGGUCCAGAAAAAAAUCAUUAUAUAUACGCCCGAGGGUUUUGAUCUCCGUAUCGUGUAGUUUUCCUUUGUUUUCGUUUCGAGCCUGUUUCUGCUGCAGAUCACUACAAGAAAUCUGUCAACUAACGACCUUCAAUAUUGGUCACUGAAUGGUCAUUGAUUUCCAUUUAUGACCUUUUUAUGACCAAAAAGAGAAGGUCUAAAGCUAAGGGUCUUUUAAUGAACUAUAACGACCUUUUUUGUGGAUUGGUCGUAAGAUUUUAUGACCAAAUAGAAGGUCGUAGAUUAAACGACCAAAUGGUUUGGUCACUAGCAAUCUGCCCGCACCACGUCAGAUCCACCAUGGCAGCCUGACGUGGCAGAAUUAUGACCAAAUGAAAAGGUCGUAAAUAAGAUUCAGCCCGGUCCAUUCCGAUCGUCUACAUGGGCCGGGCCCAAUAAUUUGGCCUUUUAUUUUCUGGGAUAGAAUCUUUUACUAAGCAGGUUUUUUAUUAGUCCACUUUUCUUUUGGGCCUUGGCCUACUCUUUUUCUAGGCCCAAGCCUUCUUAGUCUAUUUCUUGUUUGGGCCUCGGCCUUUUUGCUGUCAAAACUAACUUUAGUGCCCAAAGAAAAUGGUCCAAACAAAACUUAAAUAAUUGACAACUUCACCCGUGCACAACUUCACAAAAUAGAGAAAGACAUUGUUUGAUCACCAGAAUGACCAAUCAAGUGGGCUAACUUCAUCAGGUUCUUGAGAAGUUAGCCCACUUCACUGUUUCUAGGACAUGUUCUACAACAGGUUCAACUUCUACAAUGCUUUAGCGCCGAAGAGAGCCAUCAAGUGGGCUAACUUCUCUUCCUGUUCCUGAUACUUCUUGCGCAGCAGCUCAAGUUCCUUGUCGUGUGCAGCUUCAUAUUCUUCCGCCUUUAGCUUGAUUGCUGCCAUUUCUUCUUGCAUCACUUCAGCUUGAAGCUCCGACCUCUCCAGCUUCUCCUGAAGAUCACGAACAUGAGCAGCCACAACAGUAGUUCCUUUGCGAGAGUUCUUACUAGAUGACUUGAGCCCAACAUUCCUGAGGAAUGUGCUUUGGUUGACUUCGGUCUUGAGCACUUCUUCAACAAUCUCAGCAUCAGACUUUGGUUCUUCACCUUCUGGUAUCGGCGCGUCCUUCAUUUUUUCCAUCUCAAGCUAGCAUAUGGAGGAAAAUGAUAGACAUUAGUGGCAGAUCUAUUUCACAUUCUGCAAGAGAAACCAAACAAUAAUUCCACCAAACCAGACCAAGAAAUGGAUUAUUUGAAGUAAUCAAACCAGCACACAAAAUCUAUAUAUAGAUAUUUUACUCAAACUUAAACAGAAGUAGAUGAUAACUACUAAACUUAUAGCAUUAUUUGAAUCUGGCUACAACAAGUGUACACACUUAUGUGAUCUAGAGACAUGCAAUCGGAACAAUAUGGUGGUUCUAUAUAAUAUGGCUUCUUUGUUGAGAACUAACAUUCAGAUCAAUUUUCAUCAUAUCAUAAAAAUGCGACAAAUAGCUACAACAAAUUCUGAUAUCUUUGUUGAGAACUGUACAACAAAUUCCGAUAUCUUCGUUGAGAUACCAAACCUAUCUUAGGCUCUAGCAAACAUCAUCAAAUCAUGGAACAUAGUGUGUGUUCUUGCUGGCUGUGAAUCAAACAGGGCUGAGGUCUAUAGACAAAAGUUUGAAUUAGCUGGACAAAAGCAUGGAGUGACUUACUAUAGCAAUCUUGACUGGCUCCGAAAACCCGUGCUUCUUGCUGUUGUGGGUGGCCUUGAACAAGUCAAUCGCGGACAGCUCCUCACCCUUACGCUCUUCUUUCUGAAAUGUUUUUCAACAAAAAUCAAAAUGUUAUUCAGCAAGAAUAAGAAAUGAUAUUCAACGAGGAUCAAACGGUAAGGUCUUUAGAAAAAUGUACUCACAGUGGCAAAAAUGUGUGCGGUGUAGUGCGUGGAACCAGUUCUGUGUUGGUACACGACCUUUUCUCGAUUAAUCUUGUUCGACACACAGGUUUCCUACAAAAACGCAUAAUGUUAUUUGCCAAGUUGAAAGAAAGUGGAAUAGGAAGUAGUAUAGUAGGACAAUACGAGUCUGAGCAUAUUUGACUUGGAAAUAUUUCAGUUAUCCUGCACUAGCACAAGUACAUGAACAACCAGUACUAUAUAAGAGUCAGUGUAUUACAUAUGGUGUUGAUUUUGAAAGUUGAUGCUCUCUAUUGUUCCUACUCUGAUCAGAAACAUGGAAGAGGAAGAAGUGGACCAUGGCCCAUUCCCAUCCCGAUGUGUAGAACAUAAAUCAGCAAACAGAGCAUAUACAUACCUUGUAUCUUGGGGUAGACCACAUCUGCACUAGAGCUUUCCAUUCACCGUCCGUCAGAUCUGGCACCGGAGACUUGGUGCUCACUUUGUUUGCUGCUACGGUAUCAAAAUACUUCUUCUUGAUAUUAUGGCGUCGAUUCUUUGAACUUUUCUACAGAACAUCUUUGCACGCGUACUUGAUGGUCUCCGAGUCUGUGUUUAUCUCAAAAUUUGCCUACCAAGACAGCAAACAAGGAAGGAACAACAUUAGUGAUCAUUAACUACAUAACAAAAAAUAGAGUAGCACAUUAACUAUAAAACAAGUAGCUUACAACAACUUUCCCAAUGUAGUCCUCCACUAGAGUAGCAUUAUUUUUGUAUUCCUUAAAGUGAGGAAAAACCGGCAAAUGAAUUCUUGCAAUGAGUCCACACUCAGAAGCAAACUUUGUUGCCUGUAGAGGCUUCUCUGGAUGCUUCAUCCCUUGGGCAAUUUGGAUAGGCACCUUUGUGCCAAGCGCCUUGGUGAUUCUCUCUAGCCCUUUGCCCUUUCUAAGUCUAUGCUUGUUAGUCAUUGCAUCUGAAAAUGAAAUUGAACUCGUAAAUUAGAAGAGAAAUCGACAAAUGCAGGAAUGGUUCUGCUAAACACGUAAGCAUACAUGAUCACUUCCAUUUGCAAAAUGCACUAGUAAAAGAGAAGGUGAACUUGCCUGGUUGAAGCACAAGCUGCUGUUCUUCUUCACUGACGACAUCAUUCCUGUCAAUAGAAGGUGCACCACUCCUGAGGGGUACGCACACAGUGCCUCUCUCAUCCAUGCAGAGAGUGGUUUCUUCGUCCAUCGGCGAAAACUCAUCACACAUUUCCACCGAGCUCUCAAAGUCCAUGCCCAGCGGACUUUCCUGAUGGUCCAUCGCAGCCGCCAUAGUUGCUUUCUGCCUUGUGACUCUAUCAGGUUCGUCAGGUUCCAGGAUCCUCUUUGUUUGUCCUGGAGGUGGGGCCAUCACCCUUCGUGGAGGCAUUGCAGCAGAUGCUUCUGAGCUCUUCCUAUUCUUGCUCGUUGUCUUCUUAACACCAUGCCUCUUCGUUCUAGAUUCCUUCAGUGCCUUGUAUAAAUAGCACAGAAAAAAUUAGAUCACAAGAUAAAUAUGUGAGCACAAGGAAACACAGAGCAUACAAGAACCCGAACCCUCCAAGCAAGACAGAGUUUGCACCUUAACAGUCUUGUGCACUACAACUUCAUCCUCCUUAGGAUUGUACUCUGGGUCAUCACUGAUAACUCCACUACCUUCUUGAACCCCAUUAUUUGUACCUUGUUGUACAUCAUUUGUUUUCCUAAUCAUUGACGCUAUUGCAUCAAUGCCAAGGGACUGGAAUAUCCGAUUGUUCCUCAUCAUAUUUCUAGCCCUAACCUUCUCGUACUCGGUGAGAGGAGGCUCAUCUUUGUAAGGCAAAGGAAACAUAAUUAUUAGGUUAAUUGUUGGAAUGCAUGGAUAGACAGCCAAACAUAUCUUAUGAUAUUUUAUUAUCAUUUAAUCCUACUUAUUCAGCUAAGGAAGAGUAACAGCACACAGGCACAUCUAAGACAACUAAUUCAGAUUACAGCAAUACAUUUGCAUAAUAAAAUCUGAUAGUAUUUUACAUCACCAGCUUCCAAGAUAUUUAUAAAUCUGACAGUAUAACCACAAGGAGCAACUUGCAUACCACUGGUUGGCCUCGGGUUUGACCUUGUCAUCCUUGACAUGGAUGAUCUUGAGGUGGUGCUUGCAAAAUAGAAUAAACAACAAUGAGAUACAACAUGGAUAAAGUAAAAUGAUGCACUUAUAUCAAUAAAGGAAAGCAUUUAGACCAACAUGCAUCAGUAUUAAUACAUGUAAAACACUUGGACCAGCAUGCACAUACACGUGUAGCAAUGCACAUACAGUUAAUGCAUCAGUACUAAACUGACAGUUGAAGCAAGCAACUAAAUUGAAGCACUUGGACUAGCAUGCACAUACAAGUGUAGCAAUGCAUGGAAACUCUAAUUAACCAUGUAUGCUAGCAAGCAAGCAAGCCAUAGUAGUCAAGCAACAUGAACCCUAACCCUAUGAACCACGUGAGCGGACAUAUUUACCCCAUGAACCCUAACCCUAACCCCAUGAAUGUACUGAACCAUCCCCAUUGAUCCAGCCCCAUGAACCCUAGAAGAACACAUGAGGGGGAUUUAUCAAACCCUAGAAGGUCUACUAGAAGAACACAUGAGGGGAUCUAUCAAUGGGAGAUGGGUCGAGGGGAGAGGUACUGUCGUCGUCGAUGUAGUCGUAGCCGUCGACAUCGAUGUAGAUGUAGCCGUCGUCGUUGAUGUAGAUGUAGCCGUCGACGAUGUAGAUGUAGCCAUCGACGUUGUCGAUGUAGUCGUCGUCGGGGAGAGGGGAGAGGGGCGGAGGGGCGGCAGGGCGGCGCGGAGCAGGGAAGGGGCGGCGGAGUGGGGAGUGCGGAGUGGGUAGUGGGGAGUGGAAUGGAGAUGGGAGUGGUGGGUCCCGCUUGGUAGUGGGAGAGGCAGUGGAGGGAAAUUUUGGUUGGGUGAGAGGGAAAAUUUGGUGCGGUGGGAGGGAAAAUUUUCACUAGUUUUUUGGGGUUUGGAGGCAGACUUUUUCUUUUUCCNNNNNNNNNNNNNNNNNNNNNNNNNNNNNNNNNNUAAUGGUUAAAAUCAUACCGAAUAGUUCAAGAAGACAUCGGUACCAAAAUUUAUAUAUCUUUUCUAGUUGGCAGGUCACAUGUGAUGAUGCGACACGAAGGUUUCCCAUUUUUUUGAUUUUUUUGAAUUUUUCAUGGCCAUUUCAAAAUGCGGUCGAAACGGCGGGCAUGACCGUUCCUACCUAGUGAUUGAAUCUUGGAAACUUUUUGGUGUUUAUAUGUUUAAGUAGAUACUUGUGUACCUAGAAAUGAUUUUUGGAAAAAAUAAAGAGCAAACUAUAAGGCAGCCGCAAUUCAAAUUUGACCCGCUUCGAGCUGAUUCGACAUAUAUUUGUCUUUUUCACGAGAGAUGGAUAAAAGCUUUUGACACCCAACCAUUUUGUCAAUUGUAAAUUAAAUAAGGCCUAGUAUGUUAGAAAAAUGAUUUGGACCAAUUUUGAAACAAAUAUAUGGUAGGUCCUUCACAAAAAAAAACUAAUUUCGGGCACUUGAAAAAUGAAAAAUGAAUUUUUCAUACAAGGAAGAUGAAAACUUCCUUAAUCAACAUUGUUUGUCAUUCCAACAUGCACCAUUAUUCAAAAUAUGAGACCAUUUCAACAAACUAUGCCAUGAAUAUGGCCAUGAAUUGAUCAUGUGGAUUGAAAGCCAUGAAUCUUCACACAUGAUAGCUCAUUUGUGUGAACACUUUUUAAAAAUAAUUGUCGUAUUACAAGUUUAUUAUUUUACAUGGUAACUUUAUCACAUAUCAUGACAUAAUGCAAAGGUUUCCCAUUUUUUUUUGAUAUUUUUGAAUAUUUCUUGGCCGUUUCAAAAUGCGGUCGAAACGGCGGGCAUGACCGUUCCUACCUAGUGGUUGAAUCUUAGAAACCUUUUGGUGUUUCUAUGAUUAAGUAGAUACUUGUGUACCUAGAAAUGAUUUUUGGAAAAAAUAAAGAGCAAACUAUAAGGCAGUCACAGUUCAAAUUUGACCCGCUUCCAGCUGAUUCGACAUAGAUUUGUCUUUUUCGCGAGAGAUGGAUAAAAGCUUUUGGCAGCCAACCAUUUGGUCAAUUGUACAUUAAAUAAGGCCUAGUAUGUUAGAACAAUGAUUUGGACCAAUUUUGAAACAAAUAUAUGGUAGGUCCUUCACAAAAAAACUCAUUUCGGGCACUUGAAAAAUGGAAAAUGAAUUUUUCAUACAAGGAAGAUGAAAACUUCCUUAAUCAACAUUGUUUGUCAUUCCAAAAUGCACCAUUAUGCAAAAUAUGAGACCAUUUCAACAAACUAUGCCAUGAAUAUGGCCAUGAAUUGAUCAUGUGGCUUGGAAGCCAUGAAUCUUCACACAUGAUAGCUCAUUUGUGUGAACACUUUUUAAAAUAAAUUAUCGUAUUACAAGUUUAUUAUUUUACAUGGUAACUUUAUCACAUAUGAUGACAUAAUGCAAAGGUUUCCCAGUUUUUUGAUUUUUUUUGAAUAUUUCAUGGCCGUUUCAAAAUGCGGUCGAAACGGUGGGCAUGAUCGUUCCUACCUAGUGGUUGAAUCUUGGAAACCUUUUGGUGUUUCUAUGAUUAAGUAGAUACUUGUGUACCUAGAAAUGAUUUUCGGAAAAAAUAAAGAGCAAACUAUAAGGCAGCCGCAGUUCAAAUUUGACCCGCUUCCAACUGAUUCGACAUAGAUUUGUCUUUUUAGCGAGAGAUGGGAAAAAGCUUUUGGCACCCAACCAUUUUGUCAAUUGUACAUUAAAUAUGGCCUAGUAUGUUAGAAAAAUGAUCUGGACCAAUUCUGAAACAAAUAUAUGGUAGGUGCUUCACAAAAAAACUCAUUUCGGGCACUUGAAAAAUGAAUUUUUCAUACAAGGAAGAUGAAAACUUCCUUAAUCAACAUUGUUUGUCAUUCCAACAUGCACCAUUAUGCAAAAUAUGAGACCAUUUCAACAAACUAUGCCAUGAAUAUGGCCAUGAAUUGAUCAUGUGGCUUGAAAGCCAUGAAUCUUUACACAUGAUAGCUCAUUUGUGUGAACACUUUUUAAAAAUAAUUGUCGUAUUACAAGUUUAUUAUUUUACAUGGUAACUUUGUCACAUAUGAUGACAUAAUGCAAAGGUUUCCCAUUUUUUUGAAUUGUUUUGAAUUUUUCAUGGCCGUUUCAAAAUGCGGUAGAAACGGCGGGCAUGACCGUUCCUACCUAGUGGUUGAAUCUUGGAAACUUUUGGUGUUUCUAUGAUUAAGUAGAUACUUGUGUACCUAGAAAUGGUUUUUGGAAAAAAUAAAGAGCAAACUAUAAUGUAGCCGCAGUUCAAAUUUGACCCGCUUCCAUCUGAUUCGACAUAGAUUUGUCUUUUUCAUGAGAGAUGGAUAAAAGCUUUUGACACCCAACCAUUUUGUCAAUUGUACAUUAAAUAUGGCCUAGUAUGUUAGAAAAAUGAUUUGGACCAAUUUUACAAGGUAACUUUAUCACAUACGAUGACAUAAUGCAAAGGUUUCCCAGUUCUGAAAACAACACGAACAUGCAACAUCUCAAUUCAGUUCUGUGAUGUAGAUAGCAACAACUCUCUCAUGUAGUUCUGAAAACAACAUCUCAAUUCAAUUCAAAAAAACUUCAGGAACAUCACAACCAACAGUUUGCAAUAUUUUGCAUUACAACACAACAGUUUGAAUCAGGAUCACAUCACAACCAAUAGUUCUCACCAAAACUAAGAAAAUGGCACCAAAACUACAUCAUUUUGCCUCUCCAGCCAUUUAUGAAUACAACAUUUUGCCUCUCCAGCCAUCAUGAUCUUCACCACCUGCCUCUCCAUCACUACAACCAUCAGUCUCAUGCAUUUUGCUACCUGGAGAGAAUUGUAGUACAAAAACUACAUCAGGAUCACAACAACAAAAACUAUAGAGAAGGUUGAUACCAAAACGUUCACUUCUGUUUUCCAAGGAGACAACAUUUACCUUCAUGUAUAUUCUCUACUCAUCGUCGUCGAUACCAAAACCAGGAACUCUAUGCCCAGUUAUGUUUUCCUCAUCGUCACUACAAUAAUGCAGCAUAGUAUGAUCAGUCCUGUUUUCCUCAUCCUCGCUCUCAUGUCCAUCCGCUACCACCUUUCUUCUUUUCUUGAUGCCUUCAACUGUUGCAGCAUCAAUGAGCACACGUUCCCGGUCCCUACGCACUCUGCUUUGCACCGGAACUUCCGUAGAGUCAUCACCAGCUUGCACCGGAACUUCCAUAGAGUCAUCACCAGCUGCACCGGAACUUCCGUACAGUCAUCAUCCUGACAUGUUAGGCCACUAGCACCGGGGCCCUUUUACACUUCAGUUUCAGUUUCAGUCACACGCCACAAGUGUCUGUGCUCAAAGUUUUGCACAACUCGCCAUUUUCCAUGCAAAAGAGUGUCUGGCAGGUAAAACACCAUUGUUGCUUGUGCUGUUAGAAUAAAGGGAUCACUCUUAUACCAGCACCUUGAAGUGUUGAUGCUUUUGAAGUGGCCAUCAUACUUGACACAAGAGCGUCUCUUCUUCUUGUUACCAAGAUCAAACUAGUCACAGCGAAAUAAGACAACCAAGCGAUGGAUGCCUCCACUAGAGUUGUACUGCAACUCUAUGAUGCUUCUCAGCUGACCAUAGAAGCCAAUGUUCUCACGAGUAUGUGACCCCUCAGUUACGAUUCCACUAUUUUGUGUCUUCCUUUUUUCCUCGCGAUCAACGGUGUGGUACCGGACACCACCAGCAACGCAUGCUGAAUACACUUGCACUCGCUUAUCCGGUAAGCAUGCCAAAGCAAAUAGAUCAUCACUGGCUUUCUUCUCCUCAUGCAAAUUUCCAACAUGAUUCUUAAACCAUUUAGCAAAUCCCUUGGCAACCCUUGUAUCAACAUUGAUCUGGCUUUCUUCCUGAUUUAACUCUUCCUUGCAUUUCCUGCAAUGCCAACAAAACAUGUGAAUUAAAAUAUUAGGCUGGUGCCAACAACCCAAACAAAAGUAAAUAAAUAACGAGUGCACAAGAUAUAACGUAUUCGAUAUAUGGUAUAACCUCGUCGCAAUUGCUGAGCACAUACCAAACCAUCUUAUCAUACUCAUCACCAGCCUCCAAGUAUCGCGAGGCUCCAAGAAAGUUCACACCAUGGUUGAACACCGAGACAUCACCAAUAUGCGAAUCAGACCGCUCUCUAUUUCUGCCCGGCCGGUUCCAUCUUGUUUCCACAUCACCAAAGUAUCUAGAGCAAAAAUUCAAGCACUCGUCAACGACAUAUGCUUCAGCAAUCGAACCUUCAGGUCUUGCCGUGUUUCGCACAUAACGCUUACAAGUAAGCAGCCUUCUUUCGAUUGGGUACAUCCAACCGUAUUGCACAGGGCCUCUAAGCAUUGCCUCUUUUGGUAAGUGCACCGCCAAAUGGAUCAUCACGGUGAAGAAAGCUGGAGGGAAAAUCUUCUCAAGCUUGCAAAGAAUAAUUGGGAUUUCUUUUUCAAGUCUUUCCAGAACAGUUAACUUGAGUGUUUUGCAGCACAGUUCUCUAAAGAAAUUUCCCAGCUCAGCAACCGCUUCAUAUAUAUCAUUGUCCAUGAUUCCACGGAGGCCAGCCGGUAAAAUCCUUUGGAGGAGGAUGUGACAAUCAUGGGUUUUCAGUACAGAAAGCUUGAAUCCAUCAGAAGUAACACACUUUUCUAGGUUAGAAGCAUAACCAUGUGGAAAUCUCACCGCUCUUAUGAAUUCACAGAAUGCUAGCUUUUGUUCUUUAUUCAUUGUAUACCAUGCUUGUGGCAUUUCAAAUGUAUGUUCAGCUUCAUCAUGUUGUAGAUGCAAAUCUUCUCUUAUGCCCAUGUACUCCAAAUCAAGCCUAGAACUAACCGUGCCCUUUGUCUUCCCUUCAAUGUUCAGAAACGUCCCUAGUAGAUUCUCACAUAUGUUUUUCUCAAUGUGCAUUACAUCGAGAUUAUGCCUUAAUUUCAGACCAGCCCAGUAUGGAAGGUCCCACAAACGAGACCUCUCGUCCCAACAUUGACCUUCCGCGCGCUUUCUUUUCUUUGCAAGCUUUCUUGGUCUUACAUCCUUCACCUUCUCAAGUUGCUGCUCUAGCUCUUGCUUAGUGAAUUUAGCUGGCUUGGCACGGGUUUCAUUCUCACCAUUAAAAUAUUUGCUUCUUCACCAGCGAUGGUUUCGGGGAAGAAAGCGGCGAUGCCCAAUAUAGCAGAUCUUGCUCCUUAUUCUCUUUGAGCAAGGGUCUUUGUCACAAUGCACACAUGCCUGAUAACCUGAUGUGAUCCUCCCAGACAGAGUGUGCAGUGCCGGGAAAUCAUUGAUGGACCAUAUAACUGCAGCACGUAGAUUGAACUUUUCUUUCGGACUAGAGGCAUCGUAUGUACGUACACCAGUCCAGAGCUGGAGCAGUUCUUCUACGAGGGGCUCCAUAAAGACAUCAAAAUCCUUUCCUGGAGACUCUGGACCAGGGAUAAGCAGUGACAUCAUGAAGUUGGACUCAUCCAUGCAUGCCCAUGAUGGCAGGUUGUACAGCACCACAAAAACGGGCCACAUGCUAUAAGACGUGUUCAUGUUCCCAAACGGAUUAAGGACAUCUGUGGCAAUGCCGAGUUUUAUAUUCCUUGGAUCCGCAGAAAAAUCUCCAUGUUCACUGUCAAAUUCUUUCCAUGCCUCUCCGUCCGCUGGAUGGCUCAGCUCAUUGUCCACAGGUUGCCGCUGAAGCUUGUGCCAUUGUACCUCCAACGAUGAUUUCUUCGAGAUAAAGAUCCGCUUCAGCCUUGGUAUCAACGGAAAGUGCCUCAGUACCUUCCCUGGUAUUGACUUCUUGCCAUCAACAUCUUUCCACCUUGAGACAUUGCAUUUUGGAUAGUUGUCAUGCUUCGCAAAAUCCUUCCGAAACAAGACACAGUUAUUUGGGCACACACGUAUUGAAACAUAACCUAGCCCCAGCCUGCGGAUUAUGCUCAAUGCUUCAUCAUAAGACCUGGGAACACAUCUAUCAGGGAAUUGCAAGGUCAAAAGGUGGAGUAUUACGUUGAAUGCAGCAUUUCUAAUCCGGUAGAAAGACUUGAUGUGGAGUAACUUCACGGUGAAGGUAAAUCUUGAAAAUUUACCCCCUUCAUUAGUUGUGCACUUAGCUUCCUCCAACACCUCAGCAAACAUCGACUUCUGCCCAUCAGCACGAUCUUCAGCAUCGUACAGAUCCUUCAAUAGGCCAUGAAUCCUAUCAUCUUCAUGCCCAUCCUCUUCAUCCAAACCAGCAUUCUCUCGCAAAAUAUUUUCCGUAAAAUUAAUGCCAGCAUCACCACCACCCAUCAUAUGAGGGGCCUGUGUAUCAGGCUCAGUAUGUUGAGGUUGUCCGGCUAAAGGUUCUCCAUGAUAUAUCCAUCUAUCAUAUGUGCUGGCCAUCCCAUUAAGAAGAAGAUGAUCUUCCACUACUCCUUGAGCUUUUAUCGACCGGUUGAGGCAAUUACAACAUGGGCAAACAAUGACAACAUCCUUGGAAAAAUUUGCCCGAACAAAUUGCAUGAAUUCAUCUACUCUUUUCAUAUGUUCUUUCGAAAACCUUCUAACUCCUUUUCUAAUCCAGCUUCUGUCCGGAGGCAGCAGCGAAUCCCCCAUGCUCGGCGGUGAGUCCCUCAUGCUCGGCGGCGGCACCACCACCACUACCAGUGGGAGAGGUGGCUGAGGCGAGCGAAACCACCAUCGCUACCUCCACUGGCCGGGCGAGGUCGUCGUGGCCGAGGCGUGGCCGAGGUGGCCGUGGCGUCGGCACCACCACCACUGCCGAUGGGUGAGGUGGCCGUGGCGUUAACANNNNNNNNNNNNNNNNNNNNNNNNNNNNNNNNNNNNNNNNNNNNNUUGGCCAAGUGUUGUCCGUCCCCGUCGGUCCCACUUGUCAAUGAUACGAGAGACCCGCGAUUUAAUAUAAUAUACCCCCAAAUACCGAUACCUGAGCAACAGUCCCUCUCUAGCCCAGCGGUAGCAAACACUUAUAAACUUAUAAGAGCUCGGUCGUGGGUUCGAGUCCCCGCUCGCGCAUGUUUUUUCGGGAAUUAAGCGAGGCUCGCGCAUGUCCCCGCUCGGUCGCCGGCCCCUCACCUGCCUGUCAAACGGGUCCUACCUCAGUGACAAGUAAGCGAGGCUGCUGAGGUGGCUGCGUAACCAGCCUAUUGCAUUUGAACUAUUCAGUAACGACCAUUCAUAUUGGUCAUUAUCACCUAGAAAUAAGGCAGUGCCAGGUGCUAUCCGCUUUAUGACCUUUUCCAGUAAGCAAGUGAUGACCUUUCUGAUGAAAAUGGUCGUUGGUUUUUGGGGCUAGGACCCCUCCAGACAGCUUACGACCAAAUGAUGUCAAAUGGUCAUAGAUUUAUGACCAUUCCUUCCAGGGUCACUCACAAAAGGUCUUUAGUUGACAUAUUUCUUGUAGUGGAUCUAGAUCGUCAUGACUUCCCCAAAAGUUCCUAAGGACAAGAUCUUAGAGAAGGUCAUCAAUCCUUACCUCACGGAAGUGUUGCAGCACCCCAAUCUAUCAAGAUGAGCGAGGGGAUGUUGCAUAUCCGUGAUGUUGAGGGGCCUAAGAAGAUCGGAAGCAUGGAGACGAGGCUCGAAGCAAUGGAGCAACAAGUCUUCAAGUGCCAAGGGAUGGUGAAGCGUGGACUCAACGCCAACCACAUGAUGAUCACGGAGUUCACCAGCAAUCACAAGAUGGAUGCCAUUGACAUUGGGAAGCACCUCUCCAGGCUCUAUGACAGGGUUGAUCAAUUCAGGGCCAGAUCUAUGACCUGCAGAACCAAAACUAUGAGUAUGAGUAUAGAUUUAAAUCAAUACGGUUGGCUGCAGAUUUGAGGAUUCCGGUGACUCGUUCAUCCUGCCAUGAUGGAGCACCUAUGCCUUGGAAGACGGAGGAUCAGACUACUUCAACAACACCACCACCAUCACCACCAAAGGAAGACAACUAAGCAUUGGUAUGGGCAAUCCCCUUGGCUUUUGCCAAGCUUGGGGGAGUUGCCCUGGUACCGUAUCACCUUUAUAUCUUUUGAUUUUACCUUUGUUUUAGUUCUUUCCUUUUUAGUUUUAUUUCUUCUCUUAGUGGAAUAAGUCUUUAGUGUUUAGUUUGAGUCUUUUGCCUUGUGUUUCCCCCGAUGUAUUCGAGCUUGCGAGCUAUAUAAUAAAGAGUAUCUUAGUCAAGGGCUUUGUUUUGUGCCGUGAUCAAAAGUAUGAAAAGAACGAUAGCUUGAGAGAUCAUGAGAUAAUCUUAUGGAAAGAGAUAGUUUCACAUAUAACAAGUAAGAUGAUGGGAACUUGUUGAGAGUAGACCAACAUAGACCUCAGUCAUUGUUGCAAUUAAUUAGAAGUAAUAAGGAAAGAGAGGUUCACAUAUAAAUAUAUCAUCUUAGACACUUUCUAUAAUUGUGAGCACUCACCAAACUAUUACAUGCCUAGAAGUAGAUGUUGGACAAGGAAGACAACAUAAUGAAUUGUGUUUGCUUGGUUCCAAACAAUGUUAUAUGAUUAGAGAUCCCUUAGCAUGUGACGAUUGCUUCCACCUCAUAUUAGCCAAAACUCCCGCACCAAGUAGAGAUACUACAUGUGCAUCCAUAAACCUUCAACCCAGUUUUUCCAUGAGUGUCCACCAUACCUACCUAUGGAUUGAAUAAGAUCCCUCAAGUAAGUUGUCAUCGGUGCAAGCAAUAAAAAUUUCUCUCUAAUAUGUAUGAUCUAUUAGUGUGUGGAAAAUAAGCUUUGACGAACCUGUGAUGAGGAAGACAUAAAAGCGACAGACUACAUAAUAAAGUUCUUUAUCACAGGAGGCAAUAUAAAGUGACGUUCCUCCGCACUAAGAGGACACGCAUCCCAACCUCAAAAGCACAUGACAACCUCUUUUUCCCUCUGCGAAGGGCCUAUCUUGUACCUUCACUUUUUUCCCUUGUAAGAGUCAUGAUGAUCUUCACCAAUUCCUUAUUUCGCCUUUAUCUUGGCUAACGUCAUAUGCUCGGUAAAUAUCUAUAUUCAUAUAUCAACUUGGAGCUGAGUACUUAUGCUUUAUUAUUGUUGACUUUACCCUUGAGGUAAAUGGUUGGGAGGCAAAAUUAUAAGCCCCUAUCUUUCUCUAUGUCCAACUGAAACUUCGAUACCAUGAGUACCACGUGAGUAGUAACAAUUGUGGAAAACAAAAGAGAUGAUUGGGUAUGUUGAUUUGACUUACAAGCUCUUAUUGGACUCUUUCUGAUAAUAUGAUAAAUUGCAAUUGCUUCAAUGACUAUGGACUAUUGUUGGCUACUUCUCGGUAAGUUUUUUGUUUCAUACUUUGCUUUAUGAAGGAAUUGUUACUUUCCCGUAAGAAUCUCUAUGAUGUAUUGCUGUUCUAUGUGUGAUCAUGAUGCCCUCAUGUCCCUAUUAUGUUUUAUCGACACCUUCAUCCCUAAAAAUGUGGACAUGUUUUGGGUCUUGCUUUUCGCUUGAGGACAAGUGAGGUCUAAGCUUGGGGGAGUUGAUGCGUCCAUUUUGCAUCAUGCUUUCGUGUUGAUAUUUAUCGCUUUAUGGACUGUUAUAAUACUUUCUGGAACCUUACUUAUGCCUUUUCUCUCUUAUUUUGCAAGGUUUAUUUGAAGAGGGAGAAUACCAGCAGCUGGAAUUCUGGACUAGAAAAGGAGCAAGUCUGAGUGCGCUAUUCUGCGCAACUCCAAAUGCCCUGAAAAUCAACGUGGAUUUUUUGGAUUUUACAAAAAAUACUGGGCGAAAGAAGUGUCACACGGGAGCAACCAGGGGCCCACAAGCCUGGUUGUCGUGGCCUACCCCCCUGGCCGCGGCAACAGGGCUUGUGGGCACCCUGGCGGCCCACUGGCCCCCCUCUUUUGCUAUAUGAAGGGUUUCGUUCGGAAAAAAAUCAGGGUGGAGCUUUUUCGUGGAUUCUCCGCCGCCACGAGGCGGAACUUGAGCAGAUCCAACCUAGAGCUCUGGCGGGAUGAUCCUGGCGGGGAAACUCCCCUCCCGGAGGGGGAAAUCAUCGCCAUCGUCAUCACCAACACUCCUCUCGUCGGAGGGGAGGCAUCUCCAUCAACAUCUUCAUCAGCACCAUCUCUUCUCCAAUCCCUAGUUCAUCUCUUGUAACUAAUAUCCGUCUCGCGACUCCGAUUGGUACUUGUAAGGUUGCUAGUAGUGUUGAUUACUCUUUGUAGUUGAUGCUAGUUGGAUUACUUGGUGGAAGAGUUUAUGUUCAGAUCCUUGAUGCUAUUCAUUACACCUCUGAUCAUGAUUAUGAUUAUGCUUUGUGAGUAGUUACUUUUGUUCCUUAGGACAUGGGAUAAUUCAUGCUAAUAAUAGUCCUGUGAAUUUGGUAUUCGUUCGGUAUUUUGAUAUGUUGUAUGUUGUUUUCCCUCUUGUGGUGUUAUGUGAACGUCGACUGCAUAACACUUCUCCAUAUUUGGGCCUAGAGGAAGGCAUUGGGGAAUAGUAAGUAGAUGAUGGGUUGCUGGAGUGACAGAAGCUUAAACCUAGUCUAUGCGUUGCUUCGUAAGGGGUUGAUUUGGAUCCACUAGUUUAAUGCUAUGGUUAGACAUUGUCUUAAUUCUUCUUUCGUAGUUGCAGAUGCUUGCGAGAGGGGUUAAUCAUAAGUGGGAUGCUUGUCCAAGUAAGGGCAGUACCCAAGCACCGGUCCACCCACAUGUCAAACUAUCAAUGUAACGAACGCGAAUCAUAUGAACAUGAUGAAACUAGCAUGACAGAAAUUCCCGUGUGUCCUCGGGAGCGCUUUUCCUCUUAUAAGACUUUGUUCAGGCUUUUCCCUUGCUACAAAAGGGAUUGGGCCACUUUCUGCACCAUUGCUACUACUUGUUACUUGUUACUUUUCGCUUGCUACGUUUCACCUCACUAUACCAUCACUUGUUACAGCUACUUUCAGUGCUUGCAGUUAUUACCUUGCUGAAAACCGUUUAUCAGAGCCUUCUCCUCCUCAUUGUGUUCGACACUCUUACUUAUCGAAAGGACUACGAUUGAUCCCCUAUACUUGUGGUUCAUCAAUGGGCGGUUGAACUCCUUCCACCGGAGAUCAAGUUUGAAGCCAAAAAGGUGAUCAAGUCCUACGCCUUAGUCGACUUCCUAGCCGAAUGGGUAGAACAAGAGUAGCCAGCCCCUGGCGUUCCCAAACAUUGGAAAAUGUUCUUUGAUGGGUCCAAGAUGCACCAUGGUUCAAGGGCUGGAGUGGUUUUCGUUUCCCCCAUGCGAGACCGACUAAACUAUGUGCUCCAAAUCCACUUCGACUCAUCUAAUAAUGAGGCGGAAUACGAAGCCCUCCUAUAUGGACUCCGUAUGGCCAUCUCACUCAGCGUGUGACAUUUGAUGGCCUAUGGCGACUCAGAACUCAUUGUCAAUGAGGUGAUGAAGGAAUGGGACGUUCAAAACCCAGCCAUGACAGUCUACUGCAAUGCAGUUAGAAAGCUAGAGAGUAACUUCGAAGGGUUGGAAUUGCACCACGUGCCCCGAGCCAAGAAUCAAGCGGCUGAUGACUUGGCAAAAAUUGGCUCCACGCAGAAAGUCGUUCUAAUAGGCGUGUGCCUCGAACACCUCCACGCCCCCUCAGCCAAAGAAGACCCUUUUACGAAAGAGCCUCCACAAGUAAUAGGUCCAUCAAAUCUGAGUGAAAUCGAUGUCCCGGCCAUGGUCGACCUCAUCCACGAGAUCCUGUUCAUCACACCCGAAUGGACUCAGCCUUAUUUGGCUUACUUGCUCUGGAAAGAACUUCCUAAAGAUGAAGAGGAAGCCCGCCAAAUCAUUUGGCGGUCUAAAGCUUUCGAAGUCCUCGUAGACAAACUAUACAAGAAAUGUGUUACAGGAGUCAGGCCAAAGUGCAUUUCCCGAGAGGAAGAAUUGCAGAUCUUGCACGAAAUUCACUCGGGAACCUGUGGACAUUAUGCGUCCUCUCGGACAUUGGUGGCCAAGGCCUUUCGAGCGAGUUUUUGUUGGGCCCGAGACAAUGAGGCAGCAAGAGACGUGGUCGAACUAUGCGUUGGAUGCCAGUUCUCUAAAAAUCAGUCGCACAAGCCUGCAUCCACAUUGAAAAUGAUUCUGCUCACUUGGCCAUUCGCCGUGUGGGAUCUCAACAUAGUUGGCGCUUUAUGGACCGAGACGAGUGGAUUCACCCAGCUGCCAGUUGUGGUGGAUAAGUUCACCAAGUGGGUUGAAGCGAUGCCCAUCAAAGCCCUGGAUUCAACGACUGCCAUCAGCUUCAUUCGGCAGAUAAUCUUCAGAUUCGGAGUUCGGCACGACAUCAUCACUAACAACGUAACCAGCUUCGACUAGGCGGAAUUCUAUGAGUUCUAUCACUCCUAGGGAACACGGGUCAAUUACGCCUCCGUGUCUCACCCGCAGUCAAAUGGACAGGCAGAAUGGGUGAAUGGUAUGAUACUGCAGGGAUAGAAGCCCCGACAGAUGAGAGGUCUCGAGUAUGCCACGGGAGCAUGGGUAGAAGAGUUACCAUCCGUCUUGUGGGUAUGUGAACGACUCCUAAUCGUUCAACCAAGCGUACUUCUUUCUUCAUGGUGUAUGGGUCUAAAGAUGUUCUGUUGAGUGACUUAUGUCACACCCCCAAGUGGAGGAUGACAAGAAAGCUGAAGCCGAAGCAGCACGACAAGACAGUUUGGAUCUCUUGGAAGAAGAGACAGAGAGCUAGCCCUCAUUUUUUCCACACUGUACCAGCAAGACCUGAGGCGCUACCAUGACAACCAAGUAAGGGACGGAGUGUUUCAAGAAGGGUACUUGGUCCUCCGGUUGGACCAACAAAAACCCCAUAAGCUGGCUCCUCCGUGGUAAGGCACAUACACCAUCUCCAAAGUCCCGCACAAUGGAGCUUAACGAUUAUACAACCUCGAGACUGGAGUGGAAGAGCCCAGAACCUGGAAUGCGGACCCGCUCUGCAAGUUCUAUAAUUAGAAUGUGUCAUUUCAUUCAUGUAAUGAAUUUGAAUGGUUAGAGGAAUAAAAUAAUUUCUUUCUUCAACCAUGGUCAGACCUCUCGCUUCGGUGAAACACACCCUGAGUGGGUGAAAAUCCUUAGCUGCAUUAUCAUUCUUGCCUAAGGUAAAACCUGCCCCGGGUGAGGAUAUCCUCCACACUCGGGGACUUUGCCAUGAGCCAGCCUUUGCCUAAGUUAAAAUGGUCCCGAAUGAGGGCACACUCUUCAUUCACGCACCAAGAUGGACAGGACCAUCACCAAGUUUGCAAGAACUAGCUUCUCAUCUUGGUAGCGAACCUGUUUUCGCCUGAGGAAGAAAAAACCCGGCCCCAAGUGAGGCCAGCCUCCACGCUCGGGGACUUAGCCGCGAACCAGCCUUCACCUAAGUUAAAACGGUUCUGAAUGGAAGAAAGUUCUUCAUUCAGUCACCAAGAUGAACAGAACAAUCAUUCCUUAGCAGCAAACCAGCUUUCGCCUAAGUUCAAAACAAUCCCGAGUGAGAAAAUCUCCACACUCGGGGGCUUACCUUGAACCAGCUUUCACCUAAGUUAAAAACAACCCCCGAGUGAGGACAACCUCCACACUCGGGGGCUUAGCCGCGAACCAGCUUUCGCCUAGGUUAAAAACAAACCCGAGUGAGGACACCCGCCAUCCUCGGGGACUUAGCCGUGAACCAGCCUUCGGCUAAGUUAAAACGGUUCCGAAUGGAGGCAAGUUCUUCGUUCGGUCACCAAGAUGAACAGAACAAUCAUUCCUUAGAAGCGAACCAGCUUUCACCUAAGUUAAAAGCAAUCCCGAGUAAGGAUAACCUCCACACUCGGGGGCUUAGCCGCGAACCAUCUUUCUCCAAAGUUAAAAACAAUCCCGAGUGAGGAGAACCUCCACACUCGGGGGCUUAGCGAUGAACCACCUUUCGCCUAAGUUAAAAAUAAUCCCGAGUGAGGACAACCUCCAUACUUGGGGGCUUAGCUGCGAACCAGCUUUUGCCUAAGUUAAAAACAAUCCCGAGUGAGGACAACCUCCAUACUUGGGGCUUAGCCGUGAACCAGCUUUCGCCUAAGUUAAAAACAAUACCGAGUGAGGACAACCUCCACACGCGGGGUCUUAGACGCGAACAAGCUUUUUCCUAAGUUAAAAACAAUCUCGAGUGAGGAAAACAUCCAUACUCAGGGGCUUAGCCACAAACAAUCUUUCGCCUAAGUUAAAAAAAAUAACGAGUGAGGACAAACUCCACACUCGGGGGCUUAGCCCCGAGCCAGAUUUUGCCUAAGUUAAAAACUGCCCCUAGUGUGGACAACCUCCACACUGGGGGCUUUGCCGGGAACCAGCUUUCGCCUAAGUUAAAAACAAUCCCGAGUGAGGACAACCUCCACACUCGGGGGCUUAGCCAUGAACCACCUUUUGCCUAAGUUAAAAAUAAUCCCGAGUGAGGACAACCUCCAUACUCGGGGGCUUAGCUGCGAACCAGCUCUUUCCUAAGUUAAAAAAAACCCGAGUGAGGACAACCUCCACACUCGGGGCUUAGCCGUGAACCAGCUUUCGACUAAGUUAAAAACAAUACUGAGUGAGGACAACCUCCACACGCGGGGUCUUAGCCGCAAACAAGCUUUUGCCUAAGUUAAAAACAAUCUCGAGUGAGGAAAACAUCCAUACUCACGGGCUUAGCCGCAAACCAGCUUUUUCCUAAGUUAAAAAAAAUACCGAGUGAGGACAACCUCCACACUCGGGGGCUUAGCCCCGAGCCAGCUUUCGCCUAAGUUAAAAACUGCCCCUAGUGUGGACAACCUCCACACUGGGGGCUUUGCCGGGAACCAGCUUUCUCCUAAGUUAAAAACAAUCCCGAGUGAGGACAACCUCCACACUCGAGGGUUUAGCCGCGAACCAUCUUUCGCAUAAGUUAAAAACAAUUCCGAGUAAGGACAACCUCCACACUCGGGGGCUUAGCUGCGAACCAGCUUUCGCGUAAGUUAAAAACAAUCUCGAUUGUUGGGGAUAUUAUCUCGUUAUAAGACCCGCCCUAUAAGGUCGGGUCAGAAUAAUGGCGGCUCUACCUCCAUGGACAAGACGGGUAAUACGUCUCCAAUGUAUCUAUAAUUUUUGAUGGUUCCAUGCUAUUAUCUUGUCAACUUUGGAUGUUUUAUAUGCAUGAAUAUGCUAUUUUAUAUCCUUUUGGGACUAACCUAUUAACUCAGUGCCAAGUGCCAGUUUCUGUUUUUUCCGUGUUUUUGGCCCAUUUUCAGACGGAGUCCAAAUGGAAUGAAACUUUACGAUGAUUUUUUGGACCAAAAGAGACCCCCGAAGCUUUGGGAGAAGGCCAGAUGGGCCACGAGGGAGUCACAAGCCCUCAUGUCGCCACCACCACCCCCCGGUGGUGGCGCGCAGGCUUGUGACCUCCUCGUGGGCCCAACUGACACAAUUCCACUCCCAUAAAUUCCUAUAAAUUCAGAAACCCCCAAAAAGAAACGUAGAUCGGGAGUUUCGCCUCCGCAAGCCUCUGUAGCCACCAAAAACCAAUCUGGAGCCUGUUCUGGCACCCUGCCGGAGGGGCAAUCCAUCUCCGGUGGCCAUCUUCGUCAUCCCGGCGAUCUCCAUGACGAGGAGGGAGUAGUUCUCCCUCGGGGCUAAGGGUAUGUACCAGUAGCUAUGUGUUUGAUCUCUCUCUCUCGUGUUCUUGAGAUGUCUUGAUCUCGAUGUACCAUGGGCUUUGCUACUAUAGUUGGAUCAUAUGAUGUUCUUCCCCCUCUCCUUCUUGUAAUGAAUUGAGUUUCCCCUUUGGAGUUAUCUUAUCGGAUUGAGUCUUUGAGAACACUUGAUGUAUGUCUUGCACGUGUCUAUCUGUUGUGAUCAACUUGCGGGUUUGUGACAAUUGGGAACCUAUGCAUAUGGGUUGGCACACGUGGAUUCAUGUGAGUACUUGAUGUAUGUUUUGGUGAUCAACUUGCGGGUUCGUGACAUUGGGAACCUAUGCACAGGGGUUGGCACACGUUUUGACUCUCUCGUAGAAACUUUGGGGCACUCUUUGAAGUUCUAUGUGUUGCUUGAAUAGAUGAUUCUGAGAUUAUGUGAUGCAUAUCGUAUAAUCAUGCCCGCGCAUACUUGAGGUGACAACGGAGUAUCUAGGUGACAUUAGGGUCUUGGUUGAUAUGUAUCUUAAGGUGUUAUUCUAGUACGAACUCUAUGACGGAUCGAUCAGAAAGAAUAACUUCGUGGUGGUUUUGUACCCGACAAUAAACUCUUUGUCUGUUCCCCGCUAUUAGUGACUUUGGCGUGACUCUUUGUUGCAUGUUGAGGGCUAGUUAUAUGAUCCAAUUAUGUUAUCAUUGUUGAGAGAACUUCACUAGUGAAAGUAUGAACCCUAGGCCUUGUUUCCACGCAUUGCAAUACCGUUCGUGCUCCCUUUUGUUAUUUGUUACCUUGCUGUUUUCGUAAUUUCAGAUUACAAAGACCUAUAUCUACCAUCCAUAUUGCACUUGUAUCACCAUCUCUUCGCCGAACUAGUGCACCAAUACAAUUUACCAUUGUAUUAGGUGUGUUGGGGACACAAGAGACUCUUUGUUAUUUGGUUGCAGGGUUGCUUGAGAGGGACCAUCUUCAUCCUACGCCUCCCGCGGAUUGAUAAACCUUAGGUCACCUACUUGAGGGAAAAUUGCUACUGUCCUACAACCCUCUGCACUUGGAGGCCCAACAACGUCUACAAGGAGAAGGUUGCGUAGUAGACAUCAAGCUCUUUUCUCACGCCGUUGCCGGGGAGGCUAGGUAAGCGACACUCACCUCCCGUCAACGAAGCUCUUUUCUGGCAUCGUUGCCGGGGAGGUUAGCACUUGAAGGUAUAUCUUUAGAUCUUGCAAACGAAUCUUUUUCUUUGUUGUUCUUUCGCUAGAAAACUACAAAAAAAUGGAAUUGAGGAUGCCUCAUAUGCUCCAUCUUUUCAAUGUCUUUCGUGAGCAUGAUGGGAAGGAAAAUUGUGCUCAAGUGAUGAAAGAAGAAUUACAUAAAAUGCUUGGCAUAGAAUAUGUGAAUGAUGAGCAUGAUUAUAAUGUUCUUAGCAUGAAUUAUUUGAAUACCCAUGAUGCUAAUGAUAUGCAAAGCCACAAGCUUGGGGAUGCUAUAUUUGAUGAAGAUGAACUUUUUUGUUCUUCCACUUUGAAUGAUCAAAAUUAUUUUGAUGAAAGCAUGCCCCCUAUCUAUGAUGAUUAUUGUGAGGAUACUUAUGCUUUAAAGAAGAGGGAUGAUAAAACUAGUCAUACUCUCGAAACCCCUUUGCUAAACCUUGCUUUUUCAUUGUGGACACAAUUUUUAGUGCUCAAGUCUUUCACGAUACUCCCACUACUAUUCUUGAGAAUAGAUUUCCUUAUGUGGAGAGUAGUAAAAUUUCUAUGCUUAUAGAUCAUGAAAAGAAUGCUUUAGGUGCUGGUUAUAUUGUUGAAUUCAUUCAUGAUACUACUGAAAAUUAAUAUGAGAGAUGAUCAUAUGCUUCUACUUAUUGCAAUAGUAUCAAGCUUCCUCUCCAUAUGUUGAAAUUUUUGAAGCUAUGCUUGUUUUGCCUUGCUAUGCUAGUUGAUUCUUGCUCCAAUAAAUUGUUUGAUCACAAAAUCCCUAUGCAUAGGAAGUGGGUUAGACUUAAAUGUGCUAGCCAUUUGCUCCAUGAUGCUCUCGUUGUAAUUCAAUCCUUACCUUUUAUGUGAGCAUCAUUGAAAUCAAUGCCUAGCUAACGGCGUUAAACGAUAGCGCUUGUUGGGAGGCAACCCAAUGAAUAAAUUUUUCUUUGCUUUUUGCUUCCUAUUUUCUUUUCUCCACACCAUCAUAAUUCUGUUAUGAUUGUGUCUUUUGUGUUUCUUUUUGUGUUUGUGCCAAGCAAAACCGUUAUGAUUAGUCUUGGUGAUGAUUGUUUGAUCAUGCUGGAAAAAGACAGAGACUAUCUGCUCAUGAAAAGAAUUUUCAUUUUUAUUCUGUAAGAGAUUUUGAGUUGAUUAUUUUUACAGCUGAUUUAUAUGCAAUUUAUUCAGACUGUAGUAAGUUUAAAUAUUUUUUGAAGUACGAGAGGUAUACGAAAUAUACAGAUUGCUACAGACUGGUCUGCUGUUAACAGAUUCUGUUUUUGUAGUGUUGGUUGCUUAUUUUGAUGAAACUAUAGAUAGUAUCGGGGGGUAUUAGCCAUGGAAGAUUGAAAAUACAGUAACCCAACAUCAGCACAAGUAGAAUUUAAGUUUGCUACUGUACCUAAGGAAGUGGUGGUUUGCUUUCUCAUACUAAUGUUAUCACGAGUUUCUGUUUAAGUUUCGUGUUGUGAAGUUUUCAUGUUUUGGGUGAAGUUCUUAUGGACAAAGAGAUAAAGAGUGGACAGAGCACAAGCUUGGGGAUGCCCAACGCACCCCAAGAGAUUCAAGAAUGCCGUAAAAGCCUAAGCUUGGGGAUGCCCCGGGAAGGCAUCCCCUCUUUCGUCUUCAAUCCAUCGGUAACGUUACUUGGGGCUAUAUUUUUAUUCACCACAUGAUAUGUGUUUUGCUUGGAGCGUCUUGUAUCAUAGGAGUCUUUUAUUUUUGUUGUGUCACAAUCAUCCUUGCUGCACACCUAGAGAGAGAGACAUGCACUCACCGUGAUUUUGUCGAGAUUCACUUAUAUCCUUUGGUAGACAAUUCAACUCACACGUGCUUCACUUAUAUCUUUUGAGCUAGAUACUUUUGCUCUGUGUGCAUCACUUAUAUCUUUUAGAGCACAGUGGUGCGUGGCUUGGUAGUUGGUCUAUGCUUUGAAAGUAGUCCCAAAAGUGGUAGUUAUCCAAAGGGAUACGAAAACUUCCACCUUCAUGUGCAUUGAAUAGUUAGAGAAGUUUGAUUCAUCUCAAUUAGUUUUGAGUUGUGGUUUUGGUAAUAUUGAAGUCAUGCUAGUAAGGUGUUGUGGAUCUAGAAAUACUUGUGUUGAAGUUAGUGAUUCCCGUAGCAUGCACGUAUGGUGAAAUGCUAUGUGAUGAAGUCUUAGCAUGAUUAGUCUUUUGAUUGUCAUCCUUUGCGUGGCGGUCGGGAUCGCGCGAUGGUUUAUACCUACCAACCCUUCCCAUAGGAGUAUGCGUUGAAUGCUUUGUUUCGAUUACUAAUAAAACUUUUGCAACUAGUAUAUGAGUUCUUCAUGACUAAUGUUGAGUCCAUGGUUUAUAUGCACUUUCACCUUCCACCAUCACUAUCUUCUUAGUGUCGUGCAACUUUCGCCGGUGCACGAAACCCACCAUUAGCCUCCCUCAAAACAGCCACCAUACCUACCUACUAUGGCUUUUUCAAAGUCAUUCCGAGAUAUAUUGCCAUGCAACUACCACCAUGACAUGUGCCACCACGUCUACAUUGCCAUUUCAUGAUCAUAAGAUAGCUAGCAUGCUGUUCCAUUAAUGUCUAUGACAUGCUAGAUCAUUGUCACGGUACACCACCGAAGGCAUUCCAUAUAGAGUCAUCGUUGCUCUAAGUUUUGAGUUGAAAGUGUGAUGAUCAUCAUUGAUGGAGCAUUGUCCCAUGUGAGGAAAUAAAAGAGGCCAAAGAAGCCCACCAAAAAAAAGAGGCCAAAGAGCCCACCAAAAAAAAAUAUAAAAAAAUGAGAGAAAAAGAGAGAAGGGACAAUGCUACCACUUUUCCACACCUGUGCAUAUUAAGCACCAUGAUCUUCAUGAUUGAGAGUCUCUCGUUUUGUCACCACCAUAUAGCUAGUGGGAAAUUUUCAUUAUAUAACUUGGCUUGUAUAUUCCAAUGAUAGGCUUCCUCAAAAUUGCCUUAGGUCUUCGUGAGCAAGCAAGUUAAAUGCACACCCACUAGUUUUCUUUAAGAGCUUUCACAUACUCCUAGCUCUAGUGCGUCAUUUGUAUGGCAAUCCCUACUCAUUCACGUUGAUAUCUAUUGAUGAGCAUCUCCAUAGCUCAUUGAUAUGCCUAGUCAAUGUGACCAUCUUCUCCUUGUUUGCCUUGCAACCUCCACCACACUCCACACCACUUAUAGUGCUAAAACCAUGGCUCGCGCUCAUGUAUUGCGUGAGAGUCGAAAAAGUUUGAGAAAGUAAAGGUGUGAAAACAAUUACUUGGCCAUUACCGGGGUUGUGCAUGAUUUAAAUUCGUUGUGCAAUGAUGAUAGAGCAUAGCCAGACUAUAUGCUUUUGUAGGGAUAACUUUUUUUGGCCUUGUUUUUUUGAAAGUUCAUGAUUACCUUGCCAGUUUGCUUGAAUUAUUAUUGUUUCCACAUCAAUAGCGAACUAUUUUUUUGAAUCUAACGGAUCUGACCAUUCAUGUCAUGUGUGAGGAGUUACAAAGGAAAACUAUGCCAGGCAGCAUGCAACAUAAAAAUUCAUUCUUUAUCACUUCCCUACUCGAGGACGAGCAGGAGUUAAGCUUGGGGAUGCUUGAUACAUCUCCAACGUAUCUAUAAUUUUUGAUGGUUCCAUGCUAUUAUCUUGUUAACUUUGGAUGUUUUAUAUACAUGAAUAUGAUAUUUUAUAUAUUUUUGGGACUAACCUAUUAACUCAGUGCCAAGUGCCAAUUUCUGUUUUUUCCGUGUUUUUGGCCCAUUUUCAGACGGAGUCCAAAUGGAAUGAAACUUUACAAUGAUUUUUUUGGACCAAAAGAGACCCCCGAAGCUUUGGGAGAAGGCCAGAUGGGCCACGAGGCAGUCACAAGCCCUCACGCCGCCACCACCCCCCCGGUGGUGGCGCGCAGGCUUGUGACCUCCUCGUGGGCCCAACUGACGCAAUUCCACCGCCAUAAAUUCCUAUAAAUUCAAAAACCCCCAAAAAGAAACCUAGAUCGGGAGUUCCGCCACCGCAAGCCUCUAUAGGCACCAAAAACCAAUCUGGAGCCCGUUCUGGCACCCUGCUGGAGGGGGAAUCCAUCUCCGGUGGCCAUCUUCAUCAUCCCAGCGAUCUCCAUGAUGAGGAGGGAGUAGUUCUCCCUCGGGGCUGAGGGUAUGUACCAGUAGCUAUAUGUUUGAUCUCUCUCUCUCUCUCGUGUUCUUGAGAUGUCUUGAUCUCGAUGUACCAUGGGCUUUGCUACUAUAGUUGGAUCUUAUGAUGUUCUUCCCCCUCUCCUUGUUGUAAUGAAUUGAGUUUCCCCUUUGGAGUUAUCUUAUCGGAUUGAGUCUUUGAGAACACUUGAUGUAUGUCUUGCACGUGUCUAUCUGCUGUGAUCAACUUGUGGGUUUGUGACAAUUGGGAACCUAUGCAUAUGUGUUGGCACACGUGGAUGCAUGUGAGUACUUGAUGUAUGUUUUGGUGAUGAACUUGCGGGUUCGUGAUAUUGGGAACCUAUGCACAGGGGUUGGCACACAUUUUGACUCUCUGGUAGAAACUUUGGGGCACUCUUUGAAGUUCUAUGUGUUGGUUGAAUAGAUGAUUCUCAGAUUAUGUGAUGCAUAUCGUAUAAUCAUGCCCAUGGAUACUUGAGGUGACAAUGGAGUAUCUAGGUGACAUUAGGGUCUUGGUUGAUAUGUAUCUUAAGGUGUUAGUCUAGUACGAACUCUAUGAUGGAUCGGUCAGAAAGAAUAACUUCAUGGUGGUUUCGUUCCCGACAAUAAUCUCUUCGUUUGUUCCCCGCUAUUAGUGACAUUGGGGUGACCCUUUGUUGCAUGUUGAGGGCUAGUUAUAUGAUCCAAUUACGUUAUCAUUGUUGAGAGAACUUCACUAGUGAAAGUAUGAACCCUAGGCCUUGUUUCCACACAUUGCAAUAUCGUUCGUGCUCACUUUUGUUAUUUGUUACCUUGCUGUUUUCGUAAUUUCAGAUUACAAAGACCUAUAUCUACCAUCCAUAUUGCACUUGUAUCACCAUCUCUUCGCCGAACUAGUGCACCAAUACAAUUUACCAUUGUAUUAGGUGUGUUGGGGACACAAGAGACUCUUUGUUAUUUGGUUGCAGGGUUGCUUGAGAGGGACCAUCUUCAUCCUACGCCUCCCGCGGAUUGAUAAACCUUAGGUCACCUACUUGAGGGAAAAUUGCUACUGUCCUACAACCCUCUGCACUUGGAGGCCCAACAACGUCUACAAGGAGAAGGUUGCGUAGUAGACAUCAAGCUCUUUUCUCGCGCCGUUGCCGGGGAGGCUAGGUAAGCUACACUCACCUCCCGUCAACGAAGCUCUUUUCUGGCAUCGUUGCCGGGGAGGUUAGCGCUUGAAGGUAUAUCUUUAGAUCUUGCAAACGAAUCUUUUUCUUUGUUGUUCUUUCGCUAGAAAACUACAAAAAAAUGGAAUUGAGGAUGCCUCAUAUGCUCCAUCUUUUCAAUGUCUUUCGUGAGCAUGAUGGGAAGGAAAAUUGUGCUCAAGUGAUGAAAGAAGAAUUACAUAAAAUGCUUGGCAUAGAAUAUGUGAAUGAUGAGCAUGAUUAUAAUGUUCUUAGCAUGAAUUAUUUGAAUACCCAUGAUGCUAAUGAUAUGCAAAGCCACAAGCUUGGGGAUGCUAUAUUUGAUGAAGAUGAACUUUUUUGUUCUUCCACUUUGAAUGAUCAAAAUUAUUUUGAUGAAAGCAUGCCCCCUAUCUAUGAUGAUUAUUGUGAGGAUACUUAUGCUUUAAAGAAGAGGGAUGAUAAAACUAGUCAUACUCUCGAAACCCCUUUGCUAAACCUUGCUUUUUCAUUGUGGACACAAUUUUUAGUGCUCAAGUCUUUCACGAUACUCCCACUACUAUUCUUGAGAAUAGAUUUCCUUAUGUGGAGAGUAGUAAAAUUUCUAUGCUUAUAGAUCAUGAAAAGAAUGCUUUAGGUGCUGGUUAUAUUGUUGAAUUCAUUCAUGAUACUACUGAAAAUUAAUAUGAGAGAUGAUCAUAUGCUUCUACUUAUUGCAAUAGUAUCAAGCUUCCUCUCCAUAUGUUGAAAUUUUUGAAGCUAUGCUUGUUUUGCCUUGCUAUGCUAGUUGAUUCUUGCUCCAAUAAAUUGUUUGAUCACAAAAUCCCUAUGCAUAGGAAGUGGGUUAGACUUAAAUGUGCUAGCCAUUUGCUCCAUGAUGCUCUCGUUGUAAUUCAAUCCUUACCUUUUAUGUGAGCAUCAUUGAAAUCAAUGCCUAGCUAACGGCGUUAAACGAUAGCGCUUGUUGGGAGGCAACCCAAUGAAUAAAUUUUUCUUUGCUUUUUGCUUCCUAUUUUCUUUUCUCCACACCAUCAUAAUUCUGUUAUGAUUGUGUCUUUUGUGUUUCUUUUUGUGUUUGUGCCAAGCAAAACCGUUAUGAUUAGUCUUGGUGAUGAUUGUUUGAUCAUGCUGGAAAAAGACAGAGACUAUCUGCUCAUGAAAAGAAUUUUCAUUUUUAUUCUGUAAGAGAUUUUGAGUUGAUUAUUUUUACAGCUGAUUUAUAUGCAAUUUAUUCAGACUGUAGUAAGUUUAAAUAUUUUUUGAAGUACGAGAGGUAUACGAAAUAUACAGAUUGCUACAGACUGGUCUGCUGUUAACAGAUUCUGUUUUUGUAGUGUUGGUUGCUUAUUUUGAUGAAACUAUAGAUAGUAUCGGGGGGUAUUAGCCAUGGAAGAUUGAAAAUACAGUAACCCAACAUCAGCACAAGUAGAAUUUAAGUUUGCUACUGUACCUAAGGAAGUGGUGGUUUGCUUUCUCAUACUAAUGUUAUCACGAGUUUCUGUUUAAGUUUCGUGUUGUGAAGUUUUCAUGUUUUGGGUGAAGUUCUUAUGGACAAAGAGAUAAAGAGUGGACAGAGCACAAGCUUGGGGAUGCCCAACGCACCCCAAGAGAUUCAAGAAUGCCGUAAAAGCCUAAGCUUGGGGAUGCCCCGGGAAGGCAUCCCCUCUUUCGUCUUCAAUCCAUCGGUAACGUUACUUGGGGCUAUAUUUUUAUUCACCACAUGAUAUGUGUUUUGCUUGGAGCGUCUUGUAUCAUAGGAGUCUUUUAUUUUUGUUGUGUCACAAUCAUCCUUGCUGCACACCUAGAGAGAGAGACAUGCACUCACCGUGAUUUUGUCGAGAUUCACUUAUAUCCUUUGGUAGACAAUUCAACUCACACGUGCUUCACUUAUAUCUUUUGAGCUAGAUACUUUUGCUCUGUGUGCAUCACUUAUAUCUUUUAGAGCACAGUGGUGCGUGGCUUGGUAGUUGGUCUAUGCUUUGAAAGUAGUCCCAAAAGUGGUAGUUAUCCAAAGGGAUACGAAAACUUCCACCUUCAUGUGCAUUGAAUAGUUAGAGAAGUUUGAUUCAUCUCAAUUAGUUUUGAGUUGUGGUUUUGGUAAUAUUGAAGUCAUGCUAGUAAGGUGUUGUGGAUCUAGAAAUACUUGUGUUGAAGUUAGUGAUUCCCGUAGCAUGCACGUAUGGUGAAAUGCUAUGUGAUGAAGUCUUAGCAUGAUUAGUCUUUUGAUUGUCAUCCUUUGCGUGGCGGUCGGGAUCGCGCGAUGGUUUAUACCUACCAACCCUUCCCCUAGGAGUAUGCCUUGAAUGCUUUGUUUCGAUUACUAAUAAAACUUUUGCAACAAGUAUAUGAGUUCUUCAUGACUAAUGUUGAGUCCGUGGUUUAGAUGCACUUUCACCUUCCACCAUCACUAUCUUCUUAGUGCCGUGCAACUUUUGCCGGUGCACGAAACCCACCAUUAGCCUCCCUCAAAACAGCCACCAUACCUACCUACUAUGGAUUUUUCAAAGUCAUUCCGAGAUAUAUUGCCAUGCAACUACCACCAUGAGAUGUGCCACCACGUCUACAUUGCCAUUGCAAGAUCGUAAGAUAGCUAGCAUGAUGUUUCCAUUAAUGUCUAUGACAUGCUACAUCAUUGUCACGGUACACCACCGAAGGCAUUCCAUAUAGAGUCAUCGUUGCUCUAAGUUUUGAGUUGAAAGUGUGAUAAUCAUCAUUGAUGGAGCAUUGUCCCAUGUGAGGAAAUAAAAGAGGCCAAAGAAGCCCANAGCACCAUGAUCUUCAUGAUUGAGAGUCUCUUGUUUUGUCACCACCAUAUAGCUAGUGGGAAAUUUUCAUUAUAUAACUUGGCUUGUAUAUUCCAAUAAUAGGCUUCCUCCAAAUUGCCUUAGGUCUUCGUGAGCAAGCAAGUUGAAUGCACGCCCAUUAGAUUUCUUUAGGAGCUUUCACAUACUCCUAGCUCUAGUGCAUCAUUUGUAUGGCAAUCCCUACUCGUUCACGUUGAUAUCUAUUGAUGAGCAUCUCCAUAGCUCAUUGAUAUGCCUAGUCAAUGUGACCAUCUUCUCCUUGUUUGCCUUGCAACCUCCACCACACUCUACACCACUUAUAGUGCUAAAACCAUGGCUCACGCGCAUGUAUUGCGUGAGAGUCGAAAAAGUUUGAGAAAGUAAAGGUGUGAAAACAAUUACUUGGCCAAUACCGGGGUUGUGCAUGAUUUAAAUUCGUUGUGCAAUGAUGAUAGAGCAUAGCCAGACUAUAUGCUUUUGUAGGGAUAACUUUCUUUUGGCCUUGUUAUUUUGAAAGUUAAUGAUUACCAUGCUAGUUUGCUUGAAUUAUUAUUGUUUCCACAUCAAUAGCAAACUUUUUGUUUGAAUCUAACGGAUCUGAACAUUCAUGUCAUGUGAGAGGAGUUACAAAAUACAACUAUGCCACGUAGCAUGCAACAUAAAAAUUUUAUUCUUUAUCACUCCUACUCGAGGACGAGCAGGAGUUAAGCUUGGGGAUGCUUGAUACGUCUCCAACGUAUCUAUAAUUUUUGAUGGCUCUAUGCUAUUAUCUUGUCAACUUUGGAUGUUUUAUAUGCAUGAAUAUGCUAUUUAUAUCUUUUUGGGACUAACCUAUUAACUCAGUGCCAAGUGCCAGUUUCUGUUUUUUCCAUGUUUUUGGCCCAUUUUCAGACGGAGUCCAAAUGGAAUGAAACUUUACGAUGAUUUUUUUGGACCAAAAGAGACCCCCGAAGCUUUGGGAGAAGGCCAGAUGGGCCACGAGGGAGUCACAAGCCCNCUCUGUAGCCACCAAAAACCAAUCUGGAGCCCGUUCUGGCACCCUGUCGGAGGGGGAAUCCAUCUCCGGUGGCCAUCUUCAUCAUCCCAGCGAUCUCCAUGACGAGGAGGGAGUAGUUCUCCCUCGGGGCUGAGGGUAUGUACCAGUAGCUAUGUGUUUGAUCUCUCUCUCUCUCGUGUUCUUGAGAUGUCUUGUUCUCGAUGUACCAUGGGCUUUGCUACUAUAGUUGGAUCUUAUGAUGUUCUUCCCCCUCUCCUUCUUGUAAUGAGUUGAGUUUCCCCUUUGGAGUUAUCUUAUCGGAUUGAGUCUUUGAGAACACUUGAUGUAUGUCUUGCACGUGUCUAUCUGCUGUGAUGAACUUGCGGGUUUGUGACAAUUGGGAACCUAUGCAUAUGGGUUGGCACACGUGGAUUCAUGUGAGUACUUGAUGUAUGUUUUUGUGAUCAACUUGCGGGUUCGUGACAUUGGCAACCUAUGCACAGGGGUUGGCACACGUUUUGACUCUGUGGUAGAAACUUUGGGGCACUCUUUGUAGUUCUAUGUGUUGGUUCAAUAGAUGAUUCUGAGAUUAUGUGAUGCAUAUCAUAUAAUCUUGCCCACGGAUACUUGAGGUGAAAAUGGAGUAUCUAGGUGACAUUAGGGUCUUGGUUGAUAUGUAUCUUAAGGUGUUAUUCUAGCACGAACUCUAUGAUGGAUCGAUUAGAAAGAAUAACUUCAUGGUGGUUUCGUACCCGGGAAUAAUCUCUUCGUUUGUUCCCCGCUAUUAGUGACUUUGGAGUGACUCUUUGUUGCAUGUUGAGGGCUAGUUAUAUGACCCAAUUAUGUUACCAUUGUUGAGAGAACUUCACUAGUGAAAGUAUGAACCCUAGGCCUUGUUUCCACGCAUUGCAAUACCGUUCGUGCUCACUUUUGUUAUUUGUUACCUUGCUGUUUUUGUAAUUUCAGAUUACAAAAACCUAUAUCUACCAUCCAUAUUGCACUUGUAUCGCCAUCUCUUCGCCGAACUAGUGCACCUAUACAAUGUACCAUUGUAUUAGGUGUCUUGGGGACACAAGAGACUCUUUCUUAUUUGGUUGCAGGGUUGCUUGAGAGAGACCAUCUUCAUCCUAUGCCUCCCACAGAUUGAUAAACCUUAGGUCACCCACUUGAGGGAAAAUUGCUACUGUCCUACAACCCUGUGCACUUGGAGGCCCAACAACGUCUACAAGGAGAAGGUUGCGUAGUAGACAUCAAUGGGUCGUUAUCCAAGAAGCAAAAGGCGCCUGAUGAGAUGGUUGGCCCAAGAAUCAGCGAAAGGCGACUUGCGUCCCACGUAAGGAAAGAGACACGAGAAGCUUCCUUGCGUGAGAGAAAAAGGCGAGUUAGAGAUAGACCAGUUUACGAAUUGUAAUGAGAGUUGGACUCUUGUAAACCUAGAGCCUCGAUUUGUAUAUAAAGGCGAGUCUCUAGGGUUUAUAGGGUUAAGUUAACAUCAAUCGAGAGCUAGGUCAGGCGAUUCCGCACCCUUGUAAUCGAUUCCCGCAACAAUAUACACAUACCAGGACGUAGGCUUUUACCUCAACCUAAGGGGCCAAACCUGGGUAAACUCGCCUCCCAUUUCCCGAUCAACCCCUUUGAGUCGCCACAUAGUUGCGAUGGCUUCAUGACUAAGUCCUUUCACGAGGACAUCUGUCAUCACAAAACCAUGACAAUUGGCGCCCAUCGUGGGGCCUACACACGGUGGAGUAGAGUUCUCAAAGGGAGCCCCUCCAGGGUUCGGGAGCUAUGCGGUCGGCCUUAUGACAAAGAGCCGCCGCGGAAAGUACUAUAUCAACAAUUCAAGCUGGGGUCCCGACGCCGAAUCAAUCGAAUCUGGGUAACGGGUCCCCUUCGGCAAGAUCCACUUCUUCAUCGGCAAGAUUGAAACGUCGGUUCCCGAGCCGAACAUCUGCACCGACAUUGUUGAGCCGGCUUGGCUCGCCCAACCCGCCACGCGUUAGCUCAGACGACAUCGUGCCUUCGUCGGCUUCACGCAAGGAGUCGCCCUCCUAGGGGAGCCGGAAGCUGGCGGAGACACCCUUGUCAACUCCGAUGGCGAGUCGUCAAUUGGAGACACUGAUUCAAUCUGUCCUCUCCAUGAGGGACGGUUGGGAGGUCUUCCUGAGGCGGCGAUCUCCGAAGAACCACAGGAACACCACCGCCAAAUCGCCAUCUAUAUGACAGGGGAUACAGUGGCUCAGGACCAGCCAAACACGGCGAGUCCCAACUGGGCCAGCGGAUCGGGAAAAAACCUAGUUCAGGCCAUGUCAGGUCUGAUGGAAGAGAUGUCAAAACUCAUGGAGCUGGUUCUGACAGCUGACAAUCAGGCAGAGAUUAACGCCGAAUUAGCUAAACUUUCUGAAGAGAUGGCCCAAAUACAACGCCAGAUCAAUGCAGUGAAAACCAGGAUGACGGAUCAACAAGCCCAGAUGGACGAGGAGGAGGAACGUCUGAAAUUGGCGGCAUGGCGACUUGAGCACCGACGAGUGAUAACCCACAAGUAUAGGGGAUCGCAACAGUUUUCGAGGGUAGAGUAUUCAACCCAAAUUUGUUGAUUCGACACAAGGGGAAGCCAAAGAAUAUUCUCGAGUAUUAGCAGUUGAGUUGUCAAUUCAACCAAACCUGAAAAACUUAGUAUCUGCAGCAAAGUAUGAGUAGCAAAGUAGUGUCAUAGCAACAGUAGCAACGAUAACAGCAGUAGCGACAGAGUAAUAGUAGCAACAGUGACAGCAGUAGUGACAGAGUAACAGUAGCAGCAGCGACAGCAAUAGCGGCAAAGUAACAUAGCAAGGACCAGUAGGAAAAACUCGUAGGCAUUGGAUCAGUGAUGGAUAAUUAUGCCGGAUGAUAUUCAUCAUGCAAUAGUUAUAACACGGAGAGAUAUGUAACUAGCUCCAGUUCGUCAAUGUAAUGUAGGCAAGCAUUCCGUAUAUAGUCAUACGUGCUUAGGGAAAAGAACUUGCAUGACAUCUAUUAUCCAUCCCUCCGGUGGCAGCGGGGUCCUAAUGGAAACUACGAGAUAUUAAGGUUCUCCUUUUAAUGGAGAACCGGAACAACGCAUUAGCACUUAGUGAACACAUGAACUCCUCAUACUAUGGUCAUCUCCGGGAGUGGUUCCGGCUAUUGUCACUCCGGGGUUGCCGGGUCAUAACACAUAGUAGGUGACUACAACACACAUAUAUUGACGAGAACAUAAUAGGUUCAGAUCAGAAAUCAUGGCACUAGAGCCCUAGUGACAAGCAUUAAGCAUGGCAAAGUAGUAGCAACAUCAAUCUCAGAACAUAGUGGAUACUAGGGAUCAAUCCCCGUCAAAACUAACUCGAUUACAUGAUAGAUCUCAUCCAACCCAUCACCGUCCAGCAAGCCUAUGAUGAGAUUACUCACAAACGGUGAAGAGCAUCAUGGAAUUGGUGAUGAAGGAAGGUUGGUGAUGACGAUGGCGACGAUCUCCCCUCUCCGGAGCCCAGAACGGACGCCAGAUCUUCCCUCCAGAGAAAGAACAGGAGGUGGCGGCGCCUCCGUAUCGUAAAAUGCGAUGAACUCUUCUCCUUGAUUUUUUCCGGACGAAAGGGACUAAAUAGAGCUGGAAUUGGAGGCGGUGGAGCUCUGAGGGCCCCAUAAGCCUGCUAGGCGCAACCAGGGGGCCGCGCCUUGUGGGCUUGUGGGCUCCUCGCUCCAACCCUCCGAUUGAUUCUUGCGCCAGUAUUUUUUAUAUAUUCCACAAAACAUCCUCGUAAAUUUCCAGGUCAUUCCGAGAACUUUUAUUUCUGCGCAAAAACAACACCAUGGCAAUUCUGCUAGAAACAACGUUAGUCCGGGUUAGUUCCAUUCAAAUCAAGCAAAUUAGAGUCCAAAACAAGGGCAAAAGAGUUUGGAAAAGUAGAUACGACGGAGACGUAUCAACUCCCCCAAGAUUAAAGCCUUUCUUGUCCUCAAGCAAUUCAGUUGACAAACUGAAAGAGACAAAAGAAAAACUUUUACGAACUCUGUUUGAUCUUGUUGUUGCAAUUAUGUCUAACUCAUAUUCAGAUUUUCAGCAAGAUCACAAGCUAACCACAUAAGCAAUGACAUUUAGGUCUCAAGAGGAACUCAUAUCAAUGGCAUAAUCCACUAGCGAGCAAUAAUAAUAAGUUUCAAACGUCAACACUUGAAUGAAAACAAUCAUGAAGUAGUACGAACAGAUGGUAUCUCGCUAGCUCUGUCUGAGACCGCAAAACAAAAAUGUAGAGCACCUUCAAAGACCAAGGGCUGACUGAACAUUGUAAUUCAUGGCAAAGAAGAUCCAGUCACAGUCAUACUCAAUAACAAUUAAAAGCAAAGCAUAAAAAUGACAGAGGUGCUCUCUAAUUGGUGCUUUUAUAAGAAGAGGAUGACUCAACAGAAACAUAAAUAGACAAGCCUUUCGCAGAGGGAAGCAUUGAUUUGCACAGGUGCUAGAGCUCAAGCUUUGAAGACAAAGAUAAAAAAAUUUGGGUGGCAUGCUUUCAUUGUCAACGCAAUGACCAAGAGUUUUCACCAUCUUCCAUGCUACACAUACUAUAGGCGGUUCCCAAACAGAAAAGUAAAGUUUUGACUCCCCCACCACCGAUCAAUCACACUCCACGACUAGCCGAAUAAUCGGGUGCCAUCCAUACCAACAACAAUCCAGGGGGAGUUUUGUUUGCAAUUAUCUUUUCGAUUUGAGCAUUGAACUGGGCAUUCCAAUUACCGGCCCCUUUCUCGUGAGUGAUAGUGAAUAAACACAUAUCGAGGAUAACACGCCUAGCAUGAGCGGUUCGGGCAUGCAAAACAUAUUAUUUCUUGAAGGUUUAGAGAGUGGCACAUGCAAACUUAAUUGGAACGGAAGGUAGAUACCGCAUAUAGGUAGGUAUGGUGGACUCAUAUGGAACAACUUUGGGUUUAUGGAAGUGGGCGCACAAGCAGUAUUCCCGCUUACUACAAGUGAAGGCUAGCAAAAGAUUAGGAAGCGACCAACUAGAGAGCGACAACAGUUAUCAAUAUGCAUUGAGAUUAACCAACAUUGAGUGCAAGCAUGAGUAGGACAUAAAUCACUAUGAACAUGAAUAUCAUAGAGGCUAUGUUGAUUUUGUUUCAACUACAUGCGUGAACAUGUGGCAAGUCAAGCCACUCGAAUCAUUCAAAGAAGGAUACCAUCCUAUCCUACUACAUCAUAAUCAUCUCAAAAUUCAUGUUGGCAUCCAAGACAAACCAUUAUAAGCUCCUAGCUAAUUAAGCAUGGCAUCAGAACCUAUGAUCUCUAAGUUGUCAUUGCAAACAUGUUUCUCUCACAACAAAGCUGAAUUUGAAACGAUGAGUUAGUCAUAUUUACAAAAACAAAAUAGAUCGAGUUCAUACCAACUUUUCCAGGCUCAGUCACUUCGUCAUAUAUCGUCAUUGUUGCCUUUCACUUGCACGACCGAAUGAUGUGAACAAUAAUAAGAGUGCUCGUGCAUCGGACUAAGCUGGAAUCUGCAAGCAAACACAAAGGAGAAGACAAAGUAAUAUGGCUCUUUGACAGAUAAACAGAUAUGCAUGCGAGAGCCACUAAACAUUGUAACCAUGGUCUUCUACCUUGACCCAAAGAAAAAGAAAACUAUUUACACGGGAAAGCUCCCAACAAGCAAAUGAAGAACAAGAAAUCUUUUUGGGUUUUCUCAAACUAGACAAACACACGAGAAGAAAAUGAGAAAAAGAAAUAAACUAGCAUGGAUGAUACAGUGGCAAAGUGUGAACACCGACUAUCAAAGUGAAAGUGUGAGCAUGAAUGUAAAGUCGGUGAGAAACACGUACUCCCCCAAGCUUAGGCUUUUGGCCUAAGUUGGUCUACUCCCAAGGAGGGAAAUAACGAGCUCCGGGGUACUCUGGAGUGUACUGAGGGUGGCACUGCUGGGUGAGCUCCUCUGGCUCCCACUGAUAAACUAGCGUGUGGUACUCGACUGGUAGCUCGGGCACAGGCGCCUGUGGUGGGGCUAUGCCCCAAUAUGCGUAGAUGUCCGAGGGCAUAAUAAUGUACCUGCUUAGAUGAAGAUUGAACAAAGAAGGAGUAGGCAAAGUAAUAGUCUCACGAGUACCCUGACUAAAUACCAGGUUAUAAAUCAUCCUCUUAUUUAUAUCUUUAUCAAGAAAGUCAUGGCGAACCAUGCUAUCCUAAUCUAUAUAUCUCUCAGGAAGAAGCAUCUCUUCUUCCUCGUGCAGUCUAAUAGGUAUCUCAAAAUGUCUAGAAAGACGAGUAGCAUAGAUACCUCCAUAAACAACGCCUUUAGAAUGGUUCGUGUUCUACCGUUGAGCUACUAUAGCACCCAAGCUAUAAGUUUUAUCAUUAUAAAGGGCUUCGCGCAAAACCGCAAGAUCUGGGGAGGUAAGGGCUCUAGCUUUCCCACGGCCAAUCAAACAUUUUCCCUCGAAUAAUGAGAAGUACCGAAGCAUGGGAAAAUGUAUGCUAGCAGCUCUAGCGCAAGACACUCCUCUAUCCUCUCCUACAUCAAUAGUAUCUAUGAAAGCCUCCAAGUCCCGUGGACGAGGUUCAUGAAUAUCCCCAACAUAAGGUAAUUUGCAAACAUAGCAAAGAUCCAGAAGUGACAUGCGCUGGGGGAUAUCAUAUAAUUUGAACUCAACCAUAGGAGGACUCUUCCUUGGAUAGAAAUUAAAGAUUUGCAUGAAAAUAUUAGUGAGGAGGAGGUAUUGUGGACACUUAUCUUCAACAAAGGCGGUAAGGCCAGCGUUCUCCAUGAAGUAGUAAAAGUCCUCAUAAAGUCCGGCGGUGCGUAAGAACACAUUGCUUGGCCACUCGAACGCUCGAACUUCUCCAACUCGGGGGACCGGAUGCUUGGGAUUCCUCCUCUCAUUUUCAUCAUCCUUGGGGUCACGGCUUGAAGAGCCUCUUAAGAACCUCCUCAUCUUUUCCUUUUUCUUUCUCCGAAAAUUUCUGAAAGUUUUAGUGACUCUAAGGAAAAGUGAACAAGGCUCAACAAAACUCAUAGAAACUACUCCGACAUGUGCCUAGGGGUCAUAUCACGCAUCAACACUACUUGGGACCAGCUAAAAUUAGCAUGCAAAGCUCAAGAACAGGGUCACCAAGGCAGCAAAAAUACGCAACAAAUAAGGCAGUGGAGAAAAAACUAAUUGGACCAAUGGAGGAGUCACAUACCAAGCAGCAGUUCCCCAGAAUAGUUUGGUGAAUGGGGCUUUGCACAAGGAGAUCGAAAAUCACAGCAAGCAGAGCAAGAACACGGGUUUGAGCUGCGGGAUGAUUUUUUCUGGAGGUAGGAGAAGGAGAUGGGAGCUGGAAUAAGUGGAGGGGGACACGUGGGCCCCACAAGCCUGGUAUGCACGGCCAGGGGGGUGCCUGUGCCUCCAAGGCUUGUGGCCCACUGGUGCAUCCCCCUGACUAGCUCUCCGUCUCAGAAUUUUUCAAAAAUUUCAGAAAAAAUCAUACUUGAUUUUCAUGGCAUUCGGAGAACUUUUAUUUUCAGGACAUUUUUAUAUGGGACGCAAAAAGCAGAAAACAGGGAAAACUAAAGCUAAAUCUAUCAUUUUUCUUCUAAACAACCGAAGGUGAAAGCUUGGAACAGAGGGUUGUGACUCCUUGAUUCAUCCAUCCCAUGGUCAUCGAAAGAAAUCCGUCAAUGAGGUUGAUCAACUCUCCUUGACAAACCUUUUCGAAUCAUAGAAAAAGUCACUAGGUUACCUCAAUGGGGAUGUGCAUAUCCCCAACAAGCAAAUCAUACAUCAUCUUGAUAGUAGGUAUAGGGCAUUCAAAGCUCCCAAUAAGAAUCGAUGAAGUUUUUUCAAUAGCAUUGAUACAAUGUACUCUUUAUUGUUUCUUCGGAAAGUGCACCAUAUGCUCAUUACCGUUGACAUGGAAAGUGACAUUGCCUUUGUUGCAAUAAAUAACAGCCCCUGCAGUGUUUAAAAAGGGUCUUCCAAGGAUGACCGCCAUGGCAUCAUCCUCGGGAAUAUCCAGGAUAACAAAGUCCGUCAAGACAGUAACGUUAGCAACCACAACAGGCACAUCCUCGCAAAUGCCGAUAGGGAAAGCACUUGAUUUGUCGGCCAUUUGCAGAGAGAUUUCAGUGGGUGUCAGCUUAUCCAGUUCAAGCCUACGAUAAAGAGAGAGAGAGGCAUAACACUAACACCAGAUCCAAGGUUGGAUAAAGUAGUUCUAACAUAGUUUCCUUUAAUGGAGCAUGGUAUAGUGGGCACUCUGGGAUCACCUAGUUUCUUAGGAGUUCCACCCUUGAAGGUGUAAUUAGGGAGCAUGGUGGAAAUGUCAACCUCAGGUAUCCUCCUCUUAUUAGUCACAAUAUCCUUCAUGUACUUGGCAUAGGGAGCCAUUUUGAGCAUAUCUGUCAAACGCAUUUGCAGAAAGACAGGUCUAAUCAUUUCAACAAAUCGCUCAAAAUCCUCAUCGUCCAUUUUCUUGGAUAGUUUGGGAGGAAAGGGCAUGGGUUUCUGAACCCAUGGUUCCCUUUCUUUACCAUGCUUCCUAGCAAUAAAGUCGUUCUUAUCAUAUCUCCUAUUCUUUGGUUGAGGGUUAUCAAGAUCAACAUGUUCAAUCUCCACAUCCUUAUCAUUGCUAGGUUGAGCAUCAUCAUGAACACCACUAUCGAUAUUAUCAUUAGGCUCAUGUUCAUCACCAGAUUGUGUUUCGGCAUCAGAAACAGAGACAUCGUUUGGAUUCUCAGGUGUAACAGCAACAGGGUUGCUAGCAUGCAAGUUCCUAUCAUCGUUCUUCUUCUUCCUAGGAUGACUAGGUGCAUCGGUGCUAACUCCUUGAGAAUCUUGUUCAAUUCUCUUAGGAUGACCCUCAGGAUACAAAGGUUCCUGGGUCAUUCUACCACCUCUAGUGAUGACUCUGACAGAAUUGUCAUUCAACUCAUUGAGAAAGUCAUUUUGAGCCUUAAGUACUUGUUCUACUUGAGUAGUAACCAUAGAGGCAUCUUUACUCAACAACUUAAGAUCAUUGACGUUUCUGUCCACACAAGCACUUAAAUGACUAAGCAUACGAGCAUUUUGUUCCAACUGUGUGCUAACAUAAACAUUGAAACUUUGUUAUUUGGCAACAAAGUUAUCAAAUAAAGACCUCUACUACCUAUGUCGGGUUAUAAAGACCAUGUAUCUCUACGAUAGGUGGUAGAUUUUUGACAUCUUCAGAUUUAAUGCCUUUCUCUUUCAUAGAUUUCUUAGCUUCUUGCAUAUCUUCGGGACUGAGGAAUAGAAUACCUCUUUUCUUAGGAGUUGGCUUCAGAGGUGGUUCGGGAAUAGUCCAAGCAUUCUCAUUGCACAAGAUAUUAUUCAAUAGAAUCUCUGCUUGUUCCAUAGUUCGUUCCCUAAAAACACAACCAACACAACUAUCUAGGUGGUCUCUAGAAGCAUCGGCUAGUCCAUUAUAAAAGAUAUCAAGUAUUUCAUUCUUCUCAAGAGGGUGAUCGGGCAAAGCAUUCAGUAGCUAGACGAGCCUCCCCCAAGCUUGUGGGAGCCUCUCUUCUUCAACUUGCGCAAAGUUAUAUAUUUCCUGCAAGGCAGCUUGCUUCUUAUGGGCAGGAAAAUAUUUCUCAGAUAAGUAGUAGAUCAUAUCCUGGGGACUACGCACACAACCAGGAGCAAGAGAAUUGAACCAAGUCUUAGCAUCAUCCUUUAGUGAGAAAGGAAACAACUUAAGGAUAUAGUAGUGGCGGAUCUUUUCCUCACUCGUGAAUAGGGUGGCUAUAUCGUGCAGCUUAGUAAGAUGUGCUACAGCCGCUUCAGACUCAUAACCCUGAAAAGGAUCAGAUUCGACCAGAGUGAUUAACUCACGGUCGACAGAGAAUUCAUAAUCCUUAUCGGUCACAAAGAUAGGCGAAGUAGCAAACUUCGGGUCGUAUUUCAUCCUAGCGUUGAAAGAUUUUUCUUUCCACUUGCGCAGUAAUUUCUCAAGAUCAUAGCUAUCCUUACAAGCAAGAAAGUCCUCAACUAUCUCUCCCUCCAUAACAUAACCCUCAGGCAUAUCAGGCAAUUCAUAUCUAGGAGAGCUAGUUCUAACAGGUGAAAUUGCAGGUUCUACUUCAAUAAUCUCAGCAGUUUCAGAAGUAUCAUCACAUCUAGCAAGAACUCUAGCCAUUUGUGCAUCAAGGAAUGCACCUAGUGGCAAAGACGUAUCAAGCAAAGCAUCAUCACAAGCAUCAUGGAUAGCAGAAGUAGCAUCAUCAAGCACAUACGACCUAUCAAAAUUUCUAGUAGGAGGUGGUGUCGCAAACUUACCCAUAACUGAAGGUGAAUCAAGUGUAGAGCUAGAUGGCAGCUCCUUUCCUGUCCUCGUAGUUGAGGGCAAGACUUUAGUUUUUGGAUCUCUCGGAUUCCUCAUAGUGAUCAACAGACGUAAAUCCCAAGUGACUUAGAGAAUAGUGUUAUGCCUCCCCGGCAACGGCGCCAGAAAAUAGUCUGUUGACGGGAGGCUAUUCUUGACUUGAUACUCCCCGGCAAUGGCGCCAGGAAAUAGUCUUGAUAAGCCACAAGUAUAGGGAUCGCAACAGUUUUCGAGGGUAGAGUAUUCAACCCAAAUUUGUUGAUUCGACAAAAGGGGAAGCCAAAGAAUAUUCUCGAGUAUUAGCAGUUGAGUUGUCAAUUCAACCACACCUGAAAGACUUAGUAUCUGCAGCAAAGUAUCAGUAGCAAAGUAGUGUGAUAGCAACAGUAGAAACGGUAACGGUAGCAGAAGCAACAGAAGUAGCGACAGAGUAAUAGUAGCAGCAGUGACAACAGUAGUGACAGAGUAACAGUAGCAGCAGCGACAACAAUAGCGGCAAAGUAACGUAGCAAGGACCAGUAGAAAGAACUCGUAGGCAUUGUAUCGGUGAUGGAUAAUUAUGCCGGAUGAUAUUCAUCAUGCAACAGUUAUAACACGGAGAGAUAUGUAACUAGCUCCAGUUCGUCAAUGUAACGUAGGCAUGCAUUCCGUAUAUAGUCAUACGUGCUUAGGGAAAAGAACUUGCAUGACAUCUAUUGUCCAUCCCUCCCGUGGUAGCGGGGUCCUAAUGGAAACUAUGGGAUAUUAAGGUUCUCCUUUUAAUAGAGAACCGGAACAACGCAUUAGCACUUAGUGAAUACAUGAACUCCUCAUACUAUGUCAUCUCCGGGAGUGGUUCCGGCUAUUGUCACUCCGGGGUUGCCGGGUCAUAACACAUAGUAGGUGCCUACAACUUGCAAGAUAGGAUCAAGAACACACAUAUAUUGACGAGAACAUAAUAGGUUCAGAUCUGAAAUCAAGUCACUCAGGCCCUAAUGACAAGAAUUAAGCAUGGCAAAGUAGUAGAAACAUCAAUCUCAGAACAUAGUGGAUACUAGGGAUCAAUCCCCGUCAAAACUAACUCGAUUACAUGAUAGAUCUCAUCCAACCCAUCACCAUCCAGCAAGCCUACGAUGAGAUUACUCACGAACGGUGAAGAGCACCAUGGAAUUGGUGAUGAAGGAAGGUUGGUGAUGACGAUGGCGACGAUCUCCCCUCUCCGGAGCCCAGAACGGACUCCAGAUCUAUCCUCCAGAGGAAGAAUAGGAGGUGGCGGCCCCUCUGUAUCGUAAAACGCGAUGAACUCUUCUCCUUGAUCUUUUUCCAGAUGAAAGCAACUAAAUAGAGCUGGAAUUGGAGGCGGUGGAGCUCUGAGGGCCCCACAAGCCUGCUAGGCAUGGCCAGGGGGGCGCCUGCCUGGUGGGCUUGUGGGCUCCUCGCUCCACCCCUCCGGUUGAUUCUUGCGCCAGCAUUUUUUAUAUAUUCCACAAAAAUCCUCGUAAAUUUCCAGGUCAUUCCGAGAACUUUUAUUUCUGCGCAAAAACAACACCAUGGCGAUUCUGCUGAAAACAGCGUUAGUCCGGGUUAGUUCCAUUCAAAUCAUGCAAAUUAGAGUCCAAAACAAGGGCAAAAGAGUUUGGAAAAGUAGAUACGACAGAAAUGUAUCAACGAGUUGCGUCAGAAGCCGUCUACGAGCGGCGGCACCAGGGUUGCAUCCCGCCUAACCUUAAUCCAACCCGCUUGUUCAACGGCCCACAAACGCUAGGCGCGGAUCGCAACCCGGCAGGCCAAGGCGAUCCACCUGGGGAGAUCGUCCAAUAGCCUAUGCAACCCCCGCUGAACCCGCAGGCGGGUCAGCACUGCCGAACACCUCAGGGUCACUUCUCCAAUCCGGUGGAUAACGUGCUAGCUGCAACCCACCAUCUGGAGUCUCUCCCCAUCUGUGGGAAUAGUACCCUGGAGCUGGAGGCAUGAAUCGCCAUAGAGAUGUUAAAAACGGUGGCCGUCCAGCAGGCUCUAUUCUCAUACAACCGCGAUCGUCUGCACUCCAUGCCACAGGCAAGCCGCAAGAAGAGCCGCCCAGGUGACCCUCCGGCGAUUUCCAGCGACGCCCGUCGACAUGAACCUCUGGCUAAUCUGCCAGAGCCGCCAACUCCCAAUGCUCAGGCACUUGUCAUCGCUUCCCGGGCCGCUCGGUUGGCCUAGGCGGAAGCGGCAGCGGCCGUGGCGAGACAAGGAGUUCCGGGUUAUGCUCAACUAGCCUCGGGACAUGGUGGGCAAGGUAGGAAUGUUGGAGUUCCUUGCCUAUCUCUCGCCCUGCGGAAUGAACUUCAAAGGUCCCCGUAAGGUGCCCAACUACACUCCUGAUCUCGAGCCGGGGGCGUGGGUGGAAAGUUAUGAGCUAGCCAUGGACAUGCUCGAUGCUAGUGAUGCGGUCUGCGCCAAGUACUUCACCAUGAUGUUGGAAGGGUCGGCUCAUACGUGGUUAAAGAACCUACCGCCAAACUCCAUCAACACUUGGGCAGAACUCAAAGAGUGUUUUGUCAAGAACUUUCGCGGGACUUGCAAGCGUCUGAUGACUAUUGUAGAUCUCCAGCACUGUGUUCAGCAGGCAGAUGAAUUCGCUCAUCAUUGGACCCGACGGGUCGCGGAAAUUAUCCACUCCUCGAACGAUAUCUCGGCGGCUGAGGCCAGUGUUGAUUUUGGAGAAGAACUGUCAUUUCAAACCCCUCGUGUUGAAGCUUGGCCGCCUCAAGUGAAAGGUGUAGGGUAUGGGCAAGUUGAUGGAUACCCUCACCAGGUAUGUUGAGUCGGACGGGACGAAGGACGCCGGCUCUUAUGACGAGAAGAUCAGUGAAGCUAAAAUAGGUGAAGGAGGCAAGGGCCACCACCAACACUCCGGGCGCAAUAAUAACCAAGGAGGUCACGGAAAGAGGAGGCAGCAGGAUGGCGUCUCUGAUUUUGUUGCUAACACCAAUAUCAGGCCACGAAAUCAACGACGGAACACGAAUCAGGGCGGUUUCCAAGACCAAGGCUUCACUAGGAGGAAGCCGCGUAAUUAUGAGGAUAUGCUCAAGGGACCUUGCCCAAGCACAGUACCCCAGGUGCCCCGUCUACUCAUUCUUGGGAAAAUUGCUUUGUGAUGCAGGAAUUUCGCCUUCAGGCGUCCUGGGCCAUCAAGGACGUGGCGAAGGUGCCCAGCAGGAUCCGUUUGGUCCGGGCAGGUCACGUGGCUCCUCAUACGGUGAUUUUGUUAACCCGGGGGCUCAAGGGCAAGGCGACUCGCACCACAAUGGUGGACAACCGUCAGGCCCAGGUGGACAGCAGUAUAACGACCGGGGCGAGUUCUAGCAGCCAAAUAACCAGGGCGGGUUUCAGAGCAACCCUAAGCAGCUGAAUGCUGGACAAUACCAUGUCUUUACCACGAGAUCUUGCAAGAGAGACAAGAAGGUGAGGCAGAGGACUAUCAGUAUGACUGAGCCGACAGUUCCGAGAUACUUAAAUUGGUCUGAGCAGCCUGUGACAUGGAGAAGGGCCGAUCAUCCGCCUCAGAUUGAUAACCCUGGCGAGUUGGCAUUAGUGGUGGCGCCUCAGGUUGGAGGGUAUACCCUUUCUAAGGUCCUUAUGGACGGAGGUAGCAAUAUCAAUAUUUUAUACUAUGACACCUUCCAGCAGAUGAAUUUCACUGAAAAGAACUUAAUGCCCUCGACCACGGUCUUUCUAGGCAUCGUACCGGGUAAGUCGGUAUACCCCGUUGGGCGGAUUAAGUUGAAUGCGACUUUCGGUGAUGAGUCCAAUUACAGAAGCGAGUCAUUGACGUUCGAAGUCGUCAAGAUCAAGAGCCCUAAUCACACUUUGUUUGGACGGUCGGCUUACGCCCGUUUCAUGGCCUGACCUUGCUAUGUGUACCUGAAGUUCAAAAUGCCGGGUCUCAAUGGCACCAUUAUGGUCGAUGGAAACAAAAAGAUAGCCCAUGAGUGUGAAGAAGGGGAUGUCGCUUACGCUGAGUCGGCAUGUGCUAUCGAAGAGCUGAAGUUCCACAAAGAAAAUGUGGAUCCAGCUGAGAUGAGCCCGUUGAAGAGACACACGGUUGACUCUGAACCACCCCUUAAGUUUACACCGGUGGACGAUACCAAGCAGGUGGAUUUUGUCCCUGGCGACUCUUCAAAGCAGUUCACCAUUGGGACCGGCUUGGAUCCCAAAUAGGAAAGCGCUCUCAUCGAAUUCAUCUAUGAGAAUCGGGACAUGUUCGCAUGGAAACCUUCUGACAUGCAAGGUGUGCCGAGAAAAUUCGCCGAGCACCAUCUCAAUGUAGAUCCCAAGAUGAAGCCGGUUCGUCAAUACCUUCGUCAUUUUAAUGAGGUGAGGCGCAAGGAGAUUGGAGAAGAAGUCGCCCGACUGUUAGCUGUUGGUUUCAUCGUCGAAGUCUUUCACCCUGAAUGGUUGGCUAAUCUGGUCUUGGUUCUCNNNNNNNNNNNNNNNNNNNNNNNNNNNNNNNNNNNNNNNNNNNNNNNNNNNNNNNNNNNNNNNNNNNNNNNNNNNNNNNNNNNNNNNNNNNNNNNNNNNNUAUAAUAAUAACCAACUUAUUAUUGCCUCUAGGGCAUAUUUCCAACACCUUCAUUGGUGGAGCCUUCUGUGGACUCGUACAACCGUUAUCCUUUGUGGAUUGACAUCUCCAUCAGCGUGGAUGUACGAUAGCACCACGUACUGAAACCAUACGAAACAAUCUUCAUGUCCCCAUAGCGUUUGCAUAUCUACAAACCCUUCGUCUACUUAGUAUCACUUGCAAAGUCUCUACUUUCUGCUCCUGCUCUAUUGGACUUGCAUGUGUAGGGUGCUUGUGGACUUGUUAGAAUUGCUAAAAUCUGCCCAGAACUAAAAUUAGGAAAAUGCUAGAUUUGUAUUCGACAAGUAGUCUAAUGACCCUCCACUAGACCCACUCAUGAUCCUACGCUAGCCAUGGCCGCACCCCUUCCCCUUCUUCAACGUGCACGACUUGCUCACAGGUGCGACAGAGCGAGCCUGCUUGCCCAUGGGAUUGGGCAUGCCGAUUUUGCGGUGACAGAGGAGGCGUGGGUGGUAGGAGGCACAAGGCCUGCGGGAGGAGGGGCACAUGCGUUGGCGCUCCGCCAAACAACGGCGCACUAGGCAACGGGGUUUGCUACCACAUCUGUUGUGGCACGAUGGUGAUCCCGCAUGUCAAGCAGAGUGAUGCGUGAAGUUUCACGCAGGAGAUGGAAGGUACUUGGCCGCAAGUUUUACAUGACAACUCAUCUUCCAUAACUGGAUAAGAGGUUAGGCAGAUUUUAUGGGAUCCCCUUUUUGUGGACAUAUACGAAAAGAGUUGGAGCACUUUUGUUGCCGAAUUUCUCCUAAAGCACGAUUAUUUUACGGAUACGAGAACUAUUGAAGAUGUUAUUAGAGAAAUACUCCUAAUGCAUUGGGAGUGCCAUAAGAGACUUGAUACCCAAGAAGAACCCUCUAUAGAAAGACCUAGUCUUGGAGAUCUAAAUCAAGGAUUAAAUUCCUCGAGAAAGGAACCAACAACCAGAAGGCACCUUCUCCAUCUGGGUUUAUUAAGUCCCCUCUUGUUUUGGCCUAAAAUUUGACCUAUAAAUUUCACUAAAAAAGGUAAACUACAUGUCAUAAAAAUUAUACCGUUGUAUUUCUGUUCAAACAAAAACCAAACGAAAUAGUUUGUAGCAUAUACUCUAUAUUUCAUUAGUUGUAUAUAGAUUGUCAAUCUGGCUCAAAAUAUGAGGGGAGGUGGUAGUACUCUCUCCGUUCUUUUUUUGUCUCCAUUUUAGAUUUGUUCUAAGUCAAAUUUUAUAUACUUUGACCAAGUUUAUAUUAAAAAAAUCAACAUCUAUAGCACUAAAUAAGUACUCCCUCUGUUCCUAAAUAUUUAUCUUUUUAGAGAUUCAACAAUGAACUACACACAAAGAAAAAUGAAUGAAUCUAUAUUCUAAAUUAUGUCUAUAUACAUUCGUAUGUACUUCCUCCGUUCCUAAAUAUAAGACCUUUUAGAGAUUGUACUAUUAACCACAUAUGCAUGUACAUAGACAUAUUUUAGAGUAUAGAUUCACUCAUUUUGCUACGUAUGUAGUCUUCUAGUAAAAUCCUUAAAAGGUCUUAUAUUUUGAAACGGAGGGAGUAGUUCAUAGUAAAAUCUCUAAAAAGACAAAUAUUUAGGAACGGAGGGAGUACAAUAUAAAAGUAUAUUCCAAAUGCAUGUGAUGCAAUUGAUUUGAUAUUAAGAGCACUAAUAUUUUUCUACAAAUUUGGUUAAACUUUACAAAUGAUAUUUUUAUAGGAGAAAGGUAGGAGCACUAUCCAAUCCAUUAAGAUAGAAAUAGGUGAACAAAGGUUAAUUACAAGACAGAAUCCCAAGAACAAAAAUUCUAGUCCACAAUUACUACAGGCAGAGAGAAUGAAACAGCUAAAAUCGAGAUCCGAAAGCCAGCCUCAGAAGUUUAAUGUGCUCCAUGACAAGGUGGGCAACAUUAAGUACGGUCAGGAAGGAGCAAGUGAACAUAUAACGGUUCCGCUCCUUUCAAAUGGUUCACAACACGUAGAUAAUGCACGAUCAAUUUUAUAAAGCUUGACUUUAGUGAGAGCUAAUGUGCAGAGUAAAAAAGGAUGAGACAGAGUACUAGUGAAACGUUUACAAGUAGUCACGGACUGGUGGCCCGCCGAAUUUAACAGUCUAUGGGUCCGCAUGUCACUAUGUCAGGGACUGUCCCUCGUAAUUUUGGCCGAGCACGCGCUUCAUCUUCAUAUUCCAGGUACGCGCCUACGACCCAGCAGAGCUGCCUACUGCACUAGUACUCUAGUAGGUGAGCCCAUCAGCCUCUUUCUUGUGGUGAGACAGGGAGAAAAUGUGGAUUUAAGCAUGCAUGGAAAGUAGCGAAACCAUUCGGCAUGGAGUGAUUGCGGAGAUGAAAUCGAUGAUGAGAUGAUUGAGGGUGCGAUUGAUGAGAUGGGAAGGAGGCGCUCCGNNNNNNNNNNNNNNNNNNNNNNNNNNNNNNNNNNNNNNNNNNNNNNNNNNNNNNNNNNNNNNNNNNNNNNNNNNNNNNNNNNNNNNNNNNNNNNNNNNNNUACUUAUCAUAAAUUCUAUAGUGCUCCCACUCACUUCUUUGGAAAUACAAGUUUCUCAUAAACCUUGUAAAAACCCAAAAGCUUUGAUCAUCUUAUCAAAGUGUAUAUUCCAACUCCGAGAUGCUUGCACCAGUCCAUAUAAGGAUCGCUGGAGCUUGCAUACUUGUUAGCAUCCUUAGUAUCGACAAAACCUUUUGGUUGUAUCACAUACAACCUUUCCUCAAGGAAACCGUCGAGGAAACAAUAUUUUGACAUCCUAUGUGCAAUAUUUCAUAAAUAAUGCAGCAACCGCUAACAUAAUUCGAACAGACUUUUAGCAUCGCUACGAGUGACAAAGUCUCAUCAUAGUCAACUCUUUGAACUUGUCGGAAACAUCUUUGCGACAAAUCGAGCUUUUCUUAAUGGUGACUUUUCACCAUCAUCGGUUGUCUUCCUUUUAAAGAUCCAUCUGUACUUAAUAGUCUUACGACCAUCAAGUAGUUCUUCCAAAGUCUACACUUUGUUUUCAUACAUGGAUCCUCUCUCGGAUUUCAUGGCCUCGAGCCAUUUGCCGAAAUCCGGGCCCACCAUCGCUUCUCCAUAGCUCGUAGGUUCAUUGUUGUCCAACAACAUGACCUCCAAGACAGGGUUACCGUACCACUCUGUAGCAGUACGUGACCUUGUUGACCUACGAGGUUUGUAGUAACUUGAUCCAAAGUUUCAUGAUCACUAUCAUUAGCUUCCACUUCAAUUGGUGUAGGCGCCACAGGAACUUCCUGUGCCCUGCUACACACUGGUUGAAGUGACGGUUCAAUAACCUCAUCAAGUUCUACCAUCCUCCCACUCAAUUCUUUCGAGAGCAACUUUUCCUCGAGAAAGGACCCGUUUCUAGAAACUAACACUUUGCUUCCGGAUCUGAGAUAGGAGGUAUACCCAACUGUUUUGGGUGUCCUAUGAAGAUGCAUUUAUCCUCUUUGGUUCAAGCUUAUCAUGCUGAAACUUUUCCACAUAAGCAUCGCAGCCCCAAACUUUUAAGAAACGAUAGCUUAGGUUUCUCCAAACCAUAGUUCAUACGGUGUUAUCUCAACGGAAUUACGUGGUGCCCUAUUUAAAGUGAAUGCGGUUGUCUCUAAUGCCUAACACAAAAUGAUAGUGGUAUUUCAAUAAGAAAUAUCAUAGUAUGCGCUAUAUCCAACAGGGCGCGGCUAUCACGUUCGGACACACCAUCACACUAUGGUGUUCUAGGUGGCAUGAAUUGCGAAACAAUUUCCACAUUGUCUUAACUGUGUACCAAAACUCGCAACUCAGAUAUUCAUCUCUAUGAUCAUAUCGUAGACAGUUUAUCCUCUUCUCACGGCGAUCUUCACUUUGAAAUAGCUUUGAACUUUUCAAUAUUUCAAACUUUUGAUUCAUCAAGUAAAUACUCCUGUAUCUACUCAAAUCGCCAGUGAAGUAAGAACGUAACAAUAUCCACUGCGUGCCUCAACACUCAUUGGACUGCACACAUCAAAAAUGUAUUACUUCCAACAAGUUACUUUCUUGUUCCAUCUCAUUGGAAAACGAGGCCUUCAGUCAUCUUGCCCAUGUGGUAUGAUUUGCAUGUCUCAAGUGAUUCAAAAUCAAGUGAGUCCAAACUAUCCAUCAGCAUGGAGUUUCUUCAUGCCUUUAUACCAAUAGGUAUGGUUUGCAUGUCUCAAACGUUUCAAAAAUAAGUGACUACAAAGAUCCAUCAGCAUGGAGCUUCUUCAUGCAUUUUAUACCAACAUGACUCAAGUGGUAGUGCCACAAGUAAGUGGUACUAUCAUUACUACUUUGUAUCUUUUGGCAUCAAUAUUAUGAAUAUGUGUAGCACUAUGAUCGAGAUUCAAAAAACCAUUGAAGGUAAUUAUUCAAGCAAAUAGAAUAACCAUUAUUCACUUUAAAUGAAUAAUCGUAUUGCAGUAAACACGAUCCAAUCAUGUUCAUGCUCAACGCAAACACCAAAUAACAAUUAUUUAGGUUUAACACCAAUCCUGAUGGUAGAGGGAGCAUGCGAUGUUUGAUCGCAUCAACCUUAGAAUUACUUCAACACACAUCGUCACCUUACCCUCGCUAGUAUCCUUUUAAUCUGUUGCUAUAACUUCGAGUUACUAACACUUAACAACUGAACCGGUAUCUAAUACCCUGGGGCUACUAGGAGUACUAGUAAGGUACACAUAAAUAUCAGGUAUAUCCAAUAUACUUUUGUCGACUUUGCCGGCCUUCUCAUCUACCAAGUAUCUAGGGUAGUUCCGCCUCAGUGACCGUUUCCCUCAUAACAGAAGCACUUAGUCUCUAGCUUGGGUUCAACCCUGGGUUUCUUCACUAGAGCAGCAACUGUUUUGCCAUUUCAUAAAGUACCCCUUCUUACCCUUGCCCUUUCUUGAAACUAGUGGUUUUACGAACCAUCAACAAUUGAUGCUCCUACUUGAUUUCUACUUUCGCAGUGUCAAACAUUGCGAAUAGCUCAAGGAUCAUGAUAUGUAUCCUUGAUAUGUUAUAGUUCAUCACGAAGCCCUAGUAGCUUGGUGGCAGUGACUUUGGACAACCAUCACUAUCUCAUCUGGGAGAUCAACUCCCAGACGAUUCAAGCGAUUGUAGCACUCAGACAAUCUGAGCACAUGCUUGAUACGUCCAUUUUGCAUCAUGCUUUCUGAAAGUGCGUUAUAUCGACUAGAGGGGGGGUGAAUAGGAGAUUUUUAGAAUUUCAUCACUGAGGAAAUUCCUUUUGAGGAAAUUCCUCACUGAUGACUAACUUACAGCGGAAACAGUUAAGGAUCAGUUGUGCAAUCGUUCACAAUGGCAGUAUUACAGAGUGAAGAUUAUGAAAACAGAUUGCACAGCAAGCAGGCACGCAGAAUACAGAUGAUGAUUUACUCAAGUGAGGAAUUUGGGGUUGAGGAAAUUCAGAGAAAGUCUUCAGCAAAUUCUUCCAACAGUCACAGUGAAAGUCAUCAACACAUAAUACAGAGAAUGUAAAGAGUUGAGGAAUUAGAACCCGAUUCUUGGUGAAGACUGUUGUUGAUGACCCAGUUCCAACUGCUGUGAUAGUUGUACAUCUGGUUUGGAGCGGCUUGGUAUUUAAACCAAAGGACACCCAGUCCCGGGACACACAGUCCCUACCGUAUUCUCCUUGAGCUAAGGACACACNNNNNNNNNNNNNNNNNNNNNNNNNNNNNNNNNNNNNNNNNNNNNNNNNNNNNNNNNNNNNNNNNNNNNNNNNNNNNNNNNNNNNNNNNNNNNNNNNNNNNNNNNNNNNNNNNNNNNNNNNNNNNNNNNNNNNNNNNNNNNNNNNNNNNNNNNNNNNNNNNNNNNNNNNNNNNNNNNNNNNNNNNNNNNNNNNNNNNNNNNNNNNNNNNNNNNNNNNNNNNNNNNNNNNNNNNNNNNNNNNNNNNNNNNNNNNNNNNNNNNNNNNNNNNNNNNNNNNNNNNNNNNNNNNNNUCUUCACGCUUCAAUUUCUUCAGAACGAUUUUCUUCAGGAACCACCGAUCUUCUCAAUAUCAAUAUCUUCAUGAGGAAUAUCAAUUUCAUCGCAAAUUCUUCGCGAUUCAUUUCUUCAGCUUCAGACCAAUUUCUUCAACUGAAGACAUAUAUUUUUAGGGGUCGAUAUUCUACAAAUAUCUCAAACUCCUCAAUGACUUAUAGAUCCUGUGUACACUUAAAAACACAUUAGAUACUUAACCUAUAAGUCUUCAAACCACCAAAAUCACUAAGGGGCACUAGAUGCACUUACAAUCUCCCCCUUUUUGGUGGUUGAUGACAAUUAGGUUAAGUCUUCAACAGGGAUCAAAAAUAUGAAGUGUAAAUACUCAUUUGAGGAAUUUGAAAACAAGAUUCACAGAGACUCCCCCUGAAGAUGUGCAUACCUUGAGGAUUUUGCUUUUAUAGCAUAUGCACAUUGAUGAUUUAUAUCAUGGAGAUCUCCCCCUGAAUCUUGUAAAUCAUGCAUACAUAUAACAUAUCAUAUGAAGAAAAUGAAGAUGCAUGAUGGCAAAUGGUAUCUGACGAAUUCCAGCAUGCGUGCAUUAAAACUUGAGGAAUAAGCAUGCGAAGAAAAACAUUCAAACAGCGUCAGAGUACCAUCGGGCUUAAGUUACAACUCAUUACAUAAAAACUUCAGAAGAGCCAAGAGUUUGUAACUUAAAUAUAGUUCAUAAGCCCCAAAAAUAAAUCCUGUUUGAAGACUAACUCUCAAGUUUCUCCCCCUUUGUCAUCAAGGGACAAAAAGGGACAAACUGAGGACUAACGCUCGUGAAGACUUCAUUGCUGGGCAGUUGAUGAAGAUCCUUGGCGCUUCUUUGGUGUAGUCUUCUUCCUUGGGCCUAUCGUGGUGUCAAGUUGUUCCUCAUCAGAUUCGGCGGUGCGAAAGGACGAGAAGGAACUGUCUUCAAGAUCUGGCAUAGGAAUGGGCCUGAACUUCUUCUUGGGAGGCCACGACCAGUCAAAGUCCUGCUCAAAGUUCAAUUCUUCAAGCUCAGUCUGGGUCUUCAGAUGUGCAAGGGUAGCCCAGGUGCGAUCAAAAACCUCAUGCAGAUAGUGAUUAUUAAGCUUCACACUGUUCUGUGUCUCAGUGAGGGUUUUCACAAUGGCACCAAACUGGCGUUUGACCCAUUUGUGAUUGUGAUCCACCUUCUGAUGAAGACUGAGGAGAAGUUCUCUGGUGUUUAGCACGCGAGGAGGAACAGGGCUUGGCGGACGUGACUCAGUGUCGUCCCAUGAGGAAUAUGCAUCUGGUUCUUUGAACUGGCCAUCAAGGGGCCUGCUUCCUUCAUCAAUCACAGACUUUCAUUUUCCCUCAAUGGGCUCGAAAGUCUUCUUGUUGACCCGGAUAGGAGGCAUAUAACCAACAUGGUUCUGGAAAUCUGCGUGAAAGUUGAUGCCUAUCCUUGUCUUGAGGAAUCUCAUGAUCCAUGGUGCAUAGAUUUUGUGAUCAUAGGGGCACAUUGCAUUGUCAGCCAAAGUCCUCAAGAAGAAAUCAUGGAUAUUCAUGGGGAUACCGUGAAUGAUGUUGAAGAGGAUGUUCUUCAUGAGGCCGACGACAUCUUCGUCAUCAUCAUGGCCUUUGAUUGGCGCUAGCACACUGCAGAGAAUGCGGUAGACAGACCGUGGUGUGUACUUUAGCUCAUGGACGAGGAAUGUGGUUCUUGAGGGUUUUCCUGCAGCCAAAGGCUUCAUGAGGACUUCCAUCAUUCCAUUUGGCAGCUCACGCUCACCAUAAAGCUUCACUGCCCCUUCUGAAGGAAUUGGUACGGGCAGUUCUCUGAGGAGUUCAGACGCUGGAGCCUUGUAGUGAGUAUUUUGAGUCAUCCAGUCGAACACCCAAGUGUUGAUGUCAUCAGCAUUGCCCGAGAUGUGCAGAGUUGAAUAGAAGUGAAGAAUUAGCUCACUAUUCCAAUCUGAUAUGUCGGAGCACAUAGAGAGCAAACCUGCAUCAUGUAGUACACUGAGGACUGAUUCCAUGCAGGGAAUUUCUUCAAGGUCAGCAUGAGGAAUGUGCCUGUGCUGGAAUAUCUUGUUGCGGCCACAGAGCACAGAAGCAUAGUAGUUCAUAUGCGUCCUUGUCCAAAACUUCAGAUGCCUCAUUUGAGGCUUGUCAUAAGGAUUCUCUCCGAUGAAAUACAUACGUUCCUCAAAGAAAUUCUCUUUCUGAAACUUGGGCCUCUUCGAGAAUGGCAGGCGCUGAACUGGAUUUAGAUUGUGCUGAGGAAUGGGAGGGGAAACAACCAUGGCAGAUUCUGGGUUGAGGACAAUGAAUUCAUUGUCAGGGGCGGGAACAUUUUCUUCAGCAGUUUCCUCAGGAUGAGGAAUUUCUUGUUCUAGCUGAGCAUCAGGCUGAGGAAUUUCUUCAUCCUUCUCAGCUUGAGGAGUUUGAUCAGCUUGUUCAGUGGGAGGAGCCUGCUCAGACUGGACAUUUUCUUCAGCUUGAUUUUCAUCAGCUGACUUUGUGGCAGAAGCAGAUUCAUCAGCUGCUGUAGCUGAGGCUUCAGUAGUCUCUUUCUGAGGAAUAUGAGGUUGAGGACUGUCGUCAAUCUGUAUUUCCUCAUCAGUAUGCUCCUCAGAGGUAGCAUCCUUCAUUUCCUCAUCUGCCCUCGCAGUGUGGUCACCAACGACGACCAUUUCAAAUGAGGGUGCAACAUUAAGAGGCACCGGGUCGAGUGGGGCAGAUUCUUCAAUUUCCUUGAGGCGUUUUGCCUCAAUCUUUUCUUCUGCUGAGGAAGCUUUUCUCUUCUUCUCUUCCUUCUCGGCAGCCCUUGUCUUUUUCGCGUCUGAUGCAGACGGGAUUAACUUCUUCACCUUUGAUGUUUUUGGGGAAGGUGUAUUCUUAACAGAUUCUUCAGCUGGCAGUGAGGAACCAGCUGGAACAUAGUCAUCAGCCUGCUUUGGUGAAGCAGCUGGAUCGGUAGCAGUUUCAUCAGGAGCAGUCUCAGUGAUGAGUUCCUCAAUGGCCGGCUCAUCAGCACGGCGCUCUUGGUAUUGUUCCUCAGCUUGAGGAAUUUCCUCCUCAACAGGAGAUGCAUCUUUUGGCUGUUCAACCAGGGGUUGAGGAGUUGGUGCUGGUGGGGGGUGACGUCUGUUGUAGUCAUCAACAGCACUAGUGGCUAGCUUGAUGAAAUUGCUUUUGAUGCUUCUGCGAUCUGACAGUUUCUCACACUUGUCAGUCAAAACUUGCAGCUCUGCCUGGGUGGACACCAAUGCUUCAGGCGUCAGCUUGAGAACAUUUUGCCUGAGGAAUUUCUCCUUUCUGGCCUUUGCAAUCUUUGCCUGCUUGGCCUUCUGUUCCUUCCACUUGGCUUCAUUUAUGAAAGUAGCCACCAUGUGGCUGACACCAGGAGGAAGUUUCAAAUCAUCAAUAGGUGUGUUUGGGUCUUCGUACCACACAUUGAUGAAAUCGAGGAGGACCUUGGGGUCCAUUGCCAGAGGAAUAGCACUGCCUGAUGCUUGUGCUACCCUUUCUUGCUUGUUCCUGAUGAUGGCUUCCAGAGUUUCAUCAUCAUAUUCUUCACUUCCCUCUGAUGCAGACGGGACUGUGAUGAUUUUGCUUGGGCUGGGCAGAGGUGCAGGUUCAGUAGUUGCCAAAGUCUUCACAUGGGGUGUGCAAGACUUUGUCUCCGAGCUAGUUGCAGCUGGGAGUGAGGAGCUAGAGCUGGCAGUCGUAGUCUUCACGACUUUCUUUUGUACUGGCUUUGGAGGUGGAGCUGAGGACUUUGGUGUAGAUGAGAUUGGUGCUGAGGGUUUUGGCGCUGAUGGUUUUGGUGUGGACGGUUUUGGAACCGAGGGUUUUGGAGCUGAGGGUUUGGUGACUGAAGCCUGUGCAAACUUUUCUUGGGGUUUUGAAGCUUUUGCCUUUGCUGGCACAGACUUUGGUUGAGGAAUCUCGGAGCCUGAGGUUUCUGCUGCUGAGGAAUGAGCAGCACCGGAGGCAGCAGCUGAAGAUUCAUGAAAUUUCUUCACUGCUGUUUCUGCUUGCUUCUUGAGCUUGGCCAGAUGCCUUUCUUUUUCCUCUGGGUAGUCAUCAAGUGUCAUAAGACUUGAGGGAUGAGCAACUUGAUGAUCCUCAAGCGGGGCCCUUCUACCAGGAGGCUUUAAGGCGAAUUUCUUCGCAUACUUUGGAGUCACAAACCUGUACUCCUUCCACUCCUUUGCCCAUCUGCGUUCAAUUUUCUACAGCCUAAUCUUCCUUUUAGGCAUAGUCUCAGGUUCAUCAUCAGGCGUGCAGUAGUCUAGGUAUAUGUUAUCAGGAAUGUCCACAGCUGUGUUCUGCUCCAGUUUCUUUCCUCCCUUCUGUUUCCUUUCUUCCUCCAUUUUCUUCAGACGAGGAACUUUCUGAGGAUUUUGAACUCUUGAGGAUUCUGAUGAGCCUUGAAGAGUUUCUUCCAGAAACGCUGCAAAUGAGUUAAUGUGAUGAGAACCGAGAGAUUCAUCAGCUGACAUGUGUGUACCUGUGAACAGAGUAUAGUUGCGAGGAAUUUGGAGAGGUCAUAUGCGUUCUCAAAUUUGAAGAAAAAGGAAAGGUUUGACAGUUUGAGGAAUAUAACCAGUGGUUGAGGAAUUUGCUUAAGCAUUCUGUUCUUGGGUUCCAGAGNUUGCAGCUGGGAGUGAGGAGCUAGAGCUGGCAGUCGUAGUCUUCACGACUUUCUUUUGUACUGGCUUUGGAGGUGGAGCUGAGGACUUUGGUGUAGAUGAGAUUGGUGCUGAGGGUUUUGGCGCUGAUGGUUUUGGUGUGGACGGUUUUGGAACCGAGGGUUUUGGAGCUGAGGGUUUGGUGACUGAAGCCUGUGCAAACUUUUCUUGGGGUUUUGAAGCUUUUGCCUUUGCUGGCACAGACUUUGGUUGAGGAAUCUCGGAGCCUGAGGUUUCUGCUGCUGAGGAAUGAGCAGCACCGGAGGCAGCAGCUGAAGAUUCAUGAAAUUUCUUCACUGCUGUUUCUGCUUGCUUCUUGAGCUUGGCCAGAUGCCUUUCUUUUUCCUCUGGGUAGUCAUCAAGUGUCAUAAGACUUGAGGGAUGAGCAACUUGAUGAUCCUCAAGCGGGGCCCUUCUACCAGGAGGCUUUAAGGCGAAUUUCUUCGCAUACUUUGGAGUCACAAACCUGUACUCCUUCCACUCCUUUGCCCAUCUGCGUUCAAUUUUCUACAGCCUAAUCUUCCUUUUAGGCAUAGUCUCAGGUUCAUCAUCAGGCGUGCAGUAGUCUAGGUAUAUGUUAUCAGGAAUGUCCACAGCUGUGUUCUGCUCCAGUUUCUUUCCUCCCUUCUGUUUCCUUUCUUCCUCCAUUUUCUUCAGACGAGGAACUUUCUGAGGAUUUUGAACUCUUGAGGAUUCUGAUGAGCCUUGAAGAGUUUCUUCCAGAAACGCUGCAGAUGAGUUAAUGUGAUGAGAACCGAGAGAUUCAUCAGCUGACAUGUGUGUACCUGUGAACAGAGUAUAGUUGCGAGGAAUUUGGAGAGGUCAUAUGCGUUCUCAGAUUUGAAGAAAAAGGAAAGGUUUGACAGUUUGAGGAAUAUAACCAGUGGUUGAGGAAUUUGCUUAAGCAUUCUGUUCUUGGGUUCCAGAGUUGUACAGAUCCGAAAAUUCGCACAAUUGAGGAAUCUCGUGAAAAUCUUAAAUGCUUAGCUAGUUCAUCAACGAUUGUGGUGAUGGAUAGUGUGUGAGGAAUCAUGUGUGCAUCGUAUCUUGAAGAAAAACAGAUUUCACAAGGGAGAGGUAAAAUUUUAGAUCUAAUCUGUUGUAAAAAUGGGAUAUAUUUACCCUGGAAGGUGCGAACGAAGAACACAAAAAGGUGGUGUUGAAGAGGCUCUUCGUUCAAGUGUCCAAUGUACCCUAACUUGGCAGCAGAGGACGUCUACGGCGGCGGCGGACGUAGAUGUUCCGUCUCCGGCGUGAUCCUGGCGGCGAGAAGGUUGAGGCAGUGAAGCUCUUCCUUGCCGGCGUCAAGACUUCCAGCGGUGGCGCUAGGGUUCGGUGUGCUGUGGCAGGAGAGUGAUGAGGCGAAGAAGAUGAUACCGAGGGGGUUAAGGACAUAUUUAUAGCCCGAAAGUUACUGUUUGGCGCGAAAGUUUCGGACCGAAUAGCCCUUGCCUCUACGUCUCCGCAGGACACGUGUAGCUCCCGUACGAUGCGGUGGAGAUAGUGGAGAUCGUGGCUAUCCAAUCGUGGGAAGUGGGGGUUCAGUUACUGUUCCUUUGAAGAAAACAAUUUUUCGAAGAUUUGAGGAUUUUCGUUACAAAAUCAUCAGCUGACAAGGAUGCAGUGAGGAUUUGGAACAAAGUUUCAAGUAGAACGCAUAUGAAGAAUUGAAUAGACUGGAUAAGUAUAGCAUAGAGGGAAGAUCGGGUCCGAUCACAUUCACUUAGCAGAAACAUCAACUUGAAGAAAUAGCAAUAAGUGAAUGCUGUUGAGGACUAGAAAUCUCAGUCUACCUAGGCAAAUGAAAGUCAUCAAGUGUUUUUGAAGAUUUUGCAAUAGAUCAUCACAAUGAAGAACAACUGUUUUGAAGAAAAAUGCAUUGUGAGGAAUUUCACAUUGGGCGGUGGCGUUGCCCACCAUAUAAGAAAGUUGAUUACAGACGCCGCGUACAAUUGUCGUAGGGCCCUGAGAAUCAAUUUCUUCGUUAAUUUCUUCACAUUCAGAGUGACUUUCUUCAUCGGUUGAAGAAAAUCGUUUCAUCAUGUGUUGCACAUCUAAGUCAUCAACUUUGCGUAAGUGUUAGGAUGUGUGCAUGUUUUUACAAAACAUUUGAAGACUCUAGGAUAUUUAGCUCACACCGCAACUUGCAAAACCUUUUCUCAUCCAAGGGCUUAGUGAAGAUAUCAGCCAGUUGAUCAUCAGUCUUCACAUGGUCGAUGAGGAUAUUGCCCUUGAGGACAUGGUCCCUAAGAAAAUGAUGACGAAUCUGGAUGUGCUUGGUCUUCGAGUGUUGUACUGGGUUGUAGGCAAUCUUGAUGGCACUCUCAUUGUCACAGUAGAGAGGCACAUUCUUCAUGUUGAUGCCGUAGUCCUUGAGGGUUUGCUUCAUCCAUAGUAAUUGAGCACAGCAAGAACCAGCAGCAAUGUACUCAGCUUCGGCAGUGGAGAGUGAUACGCAGUUCUGCUUCUUUGAGGACCAGCAAACAAGUGAUCUUCCGAGGAAAUGGCAUGUGCCAGAUGUUGACUUGCGAUCCACACGGUCACCAACAUAGUCUGAAUCAGAAUACCCUACCAGAUGAAGAUUGGAGCCCUUGGGAUACCAUAAUCCUAGUGUUGGUGUGUGAGCUAAGUAUCGAAGAAUAUGUUUCACAGCCUUAUGGUGUGAUUCCUUCGGUUUUGCUUGAAAACGUGCACACAUGCAAACACUAAGCAUUAUGUCUGGCCUAGAUGCACAUAGAUAUAAUAAAGAGCCAAUCAUAGAACGGUAUACCUGCUGAUCGAAAUCUUUACCAUUUUCAUCAGUGCCGAGGUGACCAUUGGUAGGCAUUGGAGUCUUGGCACCUUUGCAUUCAUGCAUGUCGAAUUUCCUCAGAACAUCCUUGAGGUAUUUCUCCUGUGAUAUGAAGAUUCCAUUGUUUUGUUGACGAAUUUGAAGACCUAAGAAGAAUUUCAGCUCCCCCAUCAUAGACAUCUGAUAUUCUUCACUCAUCAUAUAGGCAAAUUCAUCACUGUAUCUUUUGUCAGUACAACCAAAUAUGAUAUCAUCAACAUAAAUUUGACAUACAAACAGUUCAUUAUCAUAAGAUUUUGUGAAAAGAGUUGGAUCGAGUGAACCAGGUUUGAAGCCUUUCUUCAUGAGGAAUUCCUUCAAUGUAUCAUACCAUGCCCGAGGGGCUUGCUUGAGGCCAUACAGAGCCUUCUUGAGUCUGAAGACUUUGUUUGGAUUCUUUGGAUCCUCAAAACCUGGGGGCUGAGCAACAUAUACUUCUUCCUCAAGCUUACCAUUGAGGAAUGCACUUUUCACAUCCAUUUGAUAUAAGAUGAUGUUAUGAUGAUUAGCAUAAGCAAGUAGAAUUCGAAUAGCUUCAAGUCUAGCAACAGGUGCAAAAGUUUCAUCGAAAUCUAUUCCUUCAACCUGGGUGUAGCCUUGGGCUACAAGUCGUGCCUUGUUCCUCACCACUUGACCGUCCUCAUAUUGCUUGUUUCGGAAAAUCCACUUGGUGCCGAUGAUGUUAUGCUUGCGAGGAUCGGGUCGUUUGACGAGCUCCCAUACGUCAUUCCGCUUGAAUUGAAGAAGUUCGUCUUGCAUGGCUUGGAUCCACUCCGGUUCCAGAAAAGCCUCAGCUACUUUUGAGGGUUCUGUGAUAGAUACAAAAGAGAAAUGCCCACAAAAGUUAACUAAGUGUGAAGCUUUUGAGCGAGUGAGAGGACCUGGCGCGUUGAUGUCGUUGAGGAUUUUGUCAAGUUCUACUUCAUUUGCAAUCCUCGGAUGAGCUGGUUGAGGAUUUUGUCUGGGCUGAGGAAGUGGUGUUGUUGCAAUUUCCUCAGGAACAUCUUCUUGUCUUUCAUCAGUGAUGGGGAUUGUUUCUUCACCAAUUUCCUUAGUGGGAACAAUGUCUUCAUUAGGUUUAAGCUUUAUUGCUUCCUCAGGAGACAGCUUAUCUGGAUCAGAAGGCAAUUGCUCUCUUUGCGAGCCAUUAGUUUCAUCGAACCGCACAUCUACAGUCUCAACAACUUCGUUGUGAUAGUUGUUGAAGACUCUGUAGGUGUGCGAGUCCUUUCCGUAACCGAGCAUAAAACCUUCAUGUGCCUUAGGUGCAAAUUUUGAGCUAUGAUGAGGAUCUCUAAUCCAGCAUUUUGCACCGAAGACUUUGAAAUAACUUACAUUGGGUUUCUUGUCAGUGAGGAGUUCAUAUGAGGUUUUCUUGAGGAAUUUGUGAAGAUAUACCCUGUUGGUGAUAUGACAUGCAGUGUUGAUUGCUUCAGGCCAGAAGCGACGAGGAGUCUGAUAUUCUUCAAGCAUAGUUCUUUCCAUUUCAACCAGAGUCCUGUUCUUUCUUUCAACGACACCAUUCUGCUGAGGAGUAUAAGGAGCAGACAAUUCGUGAGUAAUACCAAGUUCAUCAAGAUAAUCAUCAAGACCAGUGUUUUUGAACUCGGUUCCAUUAUCACUCCUAAUAUGUUUGAUCUUGAUGCCGAAGUUCGUCGAGGCCCUUGAAUAAAAUCGUUUGAAGAUUUCCUGCACUUCGGUUUUAUACACUAUGAUAUGCACCCAGGUGUAUCUGGAAUAAUCAUCAACUAUGACAAAGCCAUAUAGAGAUGCUGCAUUGGUUAGUGUUGCAUAGUGAGUAGGUCCAAACAAAUCCAUAUGAAGCAAUUCAAAUGGACGGGUAGUGGUCAUGAUGGUUUUGGAGGGAUGCUUGGAUCUAGUCAUUUUCCCAGAUUCACAAGCACCGCAGAGAUGAUCCUUGAGGAAUUUGACAGAUUCGAUGCCAAUGACAUGCUUCUUCUUCGCAAGUGUGUGCAAAUUCCUCAUGCCUGCAUGACCUAGUCUUCGGUGCCACAGCCAUCCUUCUGAGGUUUUUGCUAGUAAGCAAGUGGCCGGUUGAGGACCUGUAGAGAAGUCAACAAUGUACAAAUCCCCUCUUCUUACACCUUCGAAGACUUUGGAUCUGUCAGAUUCCAUGAUGACUACACAUCUAUAUCUACCAAAGAUAACAAUCAUAUCAAGAUCACAAAGCAUCGAGACUGACAUGAGGUUAAAACCAACGGAUUCAACAAGCAUCACUUUGUCCAUAUGCCUAUCCUUGGAAAUAGCUACUUUGCCAAGUCCCAAUACCUUGCUUUUACCUUGAUCAACAUAUGUGAUUUGCUUCAGAGGUGAUGGAGUUAGUGGCAUAUUCAUCAGUAGGCUUUUAUCACCAGUCAUGUGAUGUGUGCAGCCACUAUCGAGAACCCACUCAGUAUUUUUGGGUUUGUCAUCCUGCAAAUGAAUUAGUACAGCUUACCAUCUCAUAUGCUUCAAUGUUUGAAGAAUAUGAUACUAAUUUCAUCAUAACAGAAAUGUAAGGACGUGUGAAAUAUUUCUAUUUCAUCAAUCAUUAGCUUGCGUCCUAUCAAGCAUUUCCUCAGGUCUCCAGCAAAUUCUUCAGAUGAUGAUUUUCAUCUAGAGACCUGCCCUGCAGAAGUGAUUAGUUUGAUUUCUUCACCACCCACAUAUGAAGGGGUGGCAAAGCGUUCAUCAUCCUGCGAGCACCAUAUGAGAAAGGUGGCAUUGAAGUUAAUGCACUUCUCUUAACACUAGGGGGGUUAAAGUACUCAUAUGAGUAUGCAGAGAACUGGUUUGAGGGUUUAUGAACAUAAUGAUUUGAAGAAUAGCGCUCAUAAUCAUAUUCCUUGUAGUUUCCCUGCAUGUUAGACGCAUAAGCACGUGUAUGAGCAUAGUUUUGACCAGUUGAGGAUUUUGAUCCUCUUGAAGACUUUGGUCCUCCUGAGGAAUUUGAUCUAGGGUUCAGAUUCUUCAGAGGUGAUGUCAUGAGGACAUUCACUUGAAGAUUUUCAAGACAACUUUUGGGAACCCAGAUUUUCCUCAGAGGAGGGCCAUUCCUGCAGUUAGUUCCAACAUAUCGAGCAAAUACUUCACCAGAUUGAUUUUUGAACAGUUUACAGUUGGAAUCAAAUGACUCAUCAGAGGAAUAGGAUAAUUCACAUGAGAAGCCAGUUAGAUUUGAUGGAUCAAAAGGAGGCCCAGUAGCAGCAACCCAUGAGGUUUUGGGAUACUGCUCAGGUUUCCAAUAAGAUCCAUCAGCAUUCAGUUUCCUCUCAAAGGCAAUUCCUUCUUUCCUCGGGUUCCUGUUCAAGAUCUGCUUUUUGAGCACAUCACAAAGGAUUUGAUGUCCUUUAAGGCUUUUGUACAUGCCUGUCAAGUACAAUUCCUUCAACCCUGCAUUUUCAUCAGUGACAUUUGUAUUUUCCUCAAGUGAGGAAAUAGACACAACAGGUGCAGUUGAAGAAUUUGUAGCAGUGGUAGCAUUUGAAGAUUCUGGUGAAGAAUUAGCAGUUUCACGAUCAAUGCAUUUAAGACAUGGAGGAAUAAAUUCAACUUGACUAGCGCUGAUCUGUUGAGCUAGUAAUGAAUCAUUUUCAGUACGAAGAUCAUCAUAAGACAUCCUCAGCUUCUCAAGAUCAAGCUUCCUUUGAAGAAAUUCGUAGGAAAGCUUCUCAUGAUCAGUGAGGAGUGUAUCAUAACGAUCCUGAAGAAUAUCAAAUCUAGACUGAAGAUUUUUCAUGUCAUCAGCGAGGAUUUGAUUAAGAUUCAUUUCAUCAUUCAACAGAUCAUCACUUUUGUCUAGCAGUUUUUGAAGCUUUUCCAGAGCAGUUUGUUGUUUAGUGGCAAUGAUGGCAAGUUUACUGUAACUGGGUUUUUUGUAAUCAUCAUGUUCACAGUCACUUGAAUCAGAUGAGGAGGCAUUAUGUGAUACCUUUGAACCUUUUGCCAUGAAGCAAUAGGUUGGAGCAAAGUCAUCAGCAUAGUCAUCAGUAUGGAUGGUGCACUCAUUUUCUUCAUGAUUGAAGAUUGACUUGCUGACGAAAUUGGUUGCUAGUGCAAGACUAGCCUGUCCGGAUUCUGAAUCUUCUCCAGAGCCUUCUUCAUCAUCACAUUCUUCUGAUUCUGCCUCGGAAUCCAUUUCCUUGCCAAUAAGUGCCCGAGCCUUUCUGAAGCUAGUCUUCUUGUGUGAGGAGGACUUUGGAGAUGAGGAUUUUGAAGAUUUCUUUUUCUUCUUUGAGUCAUCAGAACUGUCAUCCUUGUAUUUCUUCUUCUUUGAUUCCUUUCCCCAGCGAGGACAAUCAGCAAUGUAAUGACCUGAUUUCUUGCACUUGUGACAGGUCCGUCUCUUGUAGUCCUCAGAUGCAGAUUCUGAUUUCCUCAUGUCUCUUCUUGAUGAUUUACCGAACUGGCCUCGUCGUGUAAAUCUCUGGAAUUUCCUCACAAGCAUUGCAAGUUCCUGACCAAAUUCUUCAGGGUCACAACUGCUGUCAUCUGUGUCUUCUUCUUCAGAUGAGGAAAUUGCUUUUGCCUUCAGUGCACGUGGUCUGGAAUAGCUUUGUCCAUAUAGAUCUCUCUUUUCUUCUAGCUGGAAUUCAUGAGUAUUUAGCCUUUCGAGGAUAUCAGCAGGAUCUAGCAUCUUGUAGUCUGGUCUUUCUUGAAUCAUCAGAACUAAAGUGUCAAAUGAAGAAUCCAAAGAUCUCAGCAGUUUCUUCACAACUUCGUGAUCAGUGAUGUCUCGAGCUCCCAGUGCUUGCAGUUCAUUUGAUAUGUCAGUGAGGCGAUCAAAGGUGUCUUGACAGCUUUCAUUGUCAUGUCUCUUGAAGCGAUUGAAGAGAUUGCGAAGAAUAUCAACACGAGAGUCGCGUUGGGUUGAUACUCCUUCAUUUACCUUGCACAGUCUCUCCGAAAUCAGUGUUGCAGAGCCUAAGGCACUUACUCUUCCAAACUGGCCAGGGCUCAGAUGACCACAGAUGAUGUUCUUCGCUUGAGAAUCGAGUUGCUUAAAUUUCUUCACAUCAGCUGCAGUGACACUAGGAGAAAUGAUGGGGACACCAUUUUCCACAAUAUACCAGAGAUCAUUGUCUAUAGCUUGUAGAUGCAUUUGCAUUUUGUUCUUCCAUAAGGGAAAGUUCUUUCCCUCGUAGGUAGGACAUGUUGCAGUCACCUUAAACAUGCCUGCAGUCGACAUAACUAAAACUCCAGGUGGUUAAACCAAAAUCACACAGAACAAGGGAGUACCUUGCUCUGAUACCAAUUGAAAGUGCGUUAUAUCGACUAGAGGGGGGGUGAAUAGGAGAUUUUUAGAAUUUCAUCACUGAGGAAAUUCCUUUUGAGGAAAUUCCUCAUUGAUGACUAACUUACAGCGGAAAUAGUUAAGGAUCAAUUGUGCAAUCGUUCACAAUGGCAGUAUUACAGAGUGAAGAUUAUGAAAACAGAUUGCACAACAAGCAGGCACGCAGAAUACAGAUGAUGAUUUACUUAAGUGAGGAAUUUGGGGUUGAGGAAAUUCAGAGAAAGUCUUCAGCAAAUUCUUCAAACAGUCACAGUGAAAGUCAUCAACACAUAAUACAGAGAAUGUAAAGAGUUGAGGAAUUAGAACCCGAUUCUUGGUGAAGACUGUUGUUGAUGACCCAGUUCCAACUGCUGUGACAGUUGUACAUCUGGUUUGGAGCGGCUUGGUAUUUAAACCAAAGGACACCCAGUCCCGGGACACACAGUCCCUACCGUAUUCUCCUUGAGCUAAGGACACACAGUCCUCGCCCAACACUCGUGGUAAGUCUUCAGGGCAGACUUCCAAACCCUCACAAACUCGGUCACCCGGUGAUCCACAAUUGACUGCUGGAUUGCUCUAGACCAUGACGCCUAACCGUCUGGAGGAUGCACAGUCCUCAAAGGUAAAAGGCUUAAGUCCCACACAGGAACAACUUCUUCAGUGAUGCUCAAUCACUAGAUUUGGUUUGUGGUUUCGGUGGGUGGUGUAUUUCCUCACUGAUGAUUUACUCUCGAAAGCUCUGAGGAAUUGGGUUGCUCUUAUGACAAGUGUCAGUUUCUAGCGGAGCAGCCAACCAGCUAGUGGUUGUGGGGGGGCGGCUAUUUAUAGCCUGGGAGCAUCCCGACAUGAUUUGACAUUAAUGCCCUUAAAUAAUACGACCGUUGGAGUGGAUAAGAUCAGUGACUUGGCGUGGCUUAUCGAAACGGUCGGGACUCUCAACUGUGAGAGUCCUCAUGUCACUCAUAUUCCUCACUUGAGGCUUUUGGUAGGAUUUGGCUUGGGCUGAGCAUCAUGAGGAAAUCCAUUCCAUAGUGUUACUUUAACCCCCUUUAACAGUACGGUGUUCCUAUUCAUCAAAUGCGAAGAAAGUAAAACAGAAAACGUAAAUCUUCACGCUUCAAUUUCUUCAGAACGAUUUUCUUCAGGAACCACCGAUCUUCUCAAAAUCAAUAUCUUCAUGAGGAAUAUCAAUUUCAUCGCAAAUUCUUCGCGAUUCAUUUCUUCAGCUUCAGACCAAUUUCUUCAACUGAAGACAUAUAUUUUUAGGGGUCGAUAUUCUUCAAAUAUCUCAAACUCCUCAAUGACUUAUAGAUCCUGUGUACACUUAAAAACACAUUAGAUACUUAACCUAUAAGUCUUCAAACCACCAAAAUCACUAAGGGGCACUAGAUGCAGUUACACUUUCAUGUUGAUAUUAAUUGCUUUAUGGGCUAUUAUAUUACUUUGUGGUACCAUAUUAAUGCCUUUUCUCUCUUAUUUUGCAAGGUUUAUUUGAAGAGGGAGAAUUCAGGCAGCUGAAAUUCUGGACUGGAAAAGGAGCAAAUCUUAGUCCACUAUUCUGCACAUCUCCAAAUGCCCUGAAAAGUUACGUGAAUUUUUUUGGGAUUAUAUAAAAAUAUUGGGCUAAAGAAGUACCAGAGGGGCCUACGAGGGCGCCACAAGCCCUACCACCGCCACCCCCCUGGUGGCGGAUGGCAAGCUUGUGGGCUCCCUGGCGGCCCACUGGCCCCCCUCUUUUGCUAUAUGAAGGGUUUCAUUCCAGAAAAAAUCAAUCGGGAGCUUUUUCGUGGUUUCGCCGCCGCCACGAGACGGAACUUGAGCAGAUCCAAUCUAGAGCUCCGGCAGGACGAUCCUGCCGGGGAAACUUCCCUCCCGGAGGGGGAAAUCGUCGCCAUCGUCAUCACCAACACUCCUCUCGUCGGAGGGGAGGCAUCUUCAUCAGCACCAUCUCCUCUCCAAUCCCUAGUUCAUCUCUUGUAACCAAUCUCCGUCUCACGACUCCGAUUGGUACUUGUAAGGUUACUAGUAGUGUUGAUUACUCUGUAGUUGAUGCUAGUUGGAUUACUUGGUGGAAGAGUUUAUGUUCAGAUCCUUGAUGUUAUUCAUUACACCUCUGAUCAUGAUUAUGAUUAUGCUUUGUGAGUAGUUACUUUUGUUCCUGAGGACAUGGGAUAAGUCAUGCUGAUAAUAGUCAUGUGAAUUUGAUAUUCGUUCGGUAUUUUGAUAUGGUGUAUGUUGUUUUUCCUCUAGUGGUGUUAUGUGAACGUUGACUACAUAACACUUCACCAUAUUUGGGCCUAGAGGAAGGCAUUGGGUAGUAGUAAGUAGAUGAUGGGUUGCUGGAGUGAUAGAAGCUUAAACCCCAGUCUAUGUGUUGCUUCGUAAGGGGCUGAUUUGGAUCCACUAGUUUAAUGCUAUGGUUAGACGUUGUCUUAAUUCUUCUUUCGUAGUUGUGGAUGCUUGCGAGAGGGGUUAAUCAUAAGUGGGAUGCUUGUCCAAGUAAGGGCAGUACCCAAGCGCCGGUCCACCCACAUAUCAAACUGUCAAAGUAACGAACAUGAAUCAUAUGAACAUGAUGGAACUAGCAUGACAGAAACUCUCGUGUCUCCUCGGGAGCAUUUUUCCUCCUAUAAGACUUUGUUCAGGCUUGUCCCUUGCUGCAAAAGGGAUUGGGCCACUAGCUGCACCAUUGCUACUACUUGCUACAUGUUACUUUUUGCUUGCUACAUUUCACCUCACUACACCAUCACUUGUUACCGCUACUUUCAGUGCUUGCAGUUAUUACCUUGCUGAAAACCGUUUAUCAGAGCCUUCUCCUCCUCGUUGGGUUCGACACUCUUACUUAUCGAAAGGACUACGAUUGAUCCCCUAUACUUGUGGGUCAUCAAUGCUCAAUGAUUGAGUUUUCUCCCUUACUUUGUAGACAAAGAAUCUUGUCGGAGGUCUCAUACCUCUUAACAAGGGCACGAGCAUGAAAUUCUAAUUUCAUCUCUUGGAACAUCUCAUAUGUUCCGUGGCGUUUGAAAACGUCUUCGGCGCCCCAAUUCUAAGUCGCUAAGCAUUAUACACUGGACUAUCACGUGUAUGUCAGAUGUUCGCAAAAUCCAUAGACGACGCUCGAGGUUCAGCACACCGAGCGGUGCAUUAAGGACAUACGCCUUCUGCGCAGCAAUGAGGACAAUCCUCACUUCACGGACUCAAACCGCAAAAUUGCUACUACCAUCUUUCAACUAAAUUUUCUCUAGGAACAUAUAAAAAAGUAGAGCUACAGCACAAGCUACAACAUAAUUUGCAAAGGCCUUUUUGACUAUUUUCAUGAUAAUUGAAUUUAGCUAAUCAUAUUACUAAUAACUCCCACUCAAAAUAGACAUCCCUCUGGUCAUUUGAGUGGCGCAUGAUCCAAAUCCACUAACUCAAGUCCGAUCAUCACGUGAGUUGAGUAUAGUUUCAGCGGUGAACAUCUCCAUGUUGAUCAUAUCAACUAUAUGAUUCAUGCUCGACCUUUCGGUAUCUUGUGUUUUGAGGCCAUGUCUGUACAUGCUAGGCUCGUCAAAUUUAACCCGAGUGUUCCGCGUGUGCUACUGUUUUCCACCCGUUCUAUGUGAACGUUGAGUCUAUCACACCCGAUCAUCACGUGGUGUCUCGAAACGAUGAACUGUCGCAACGGUGCACAAUCAGGGAGAACACAAUUUUAUCUUGAAAUUUUAGUGAGGGAUCACCUUAUAAUGCUACCGUCGUUCUAAGCAAGAUAAGGUGCAUAAAAGGAUUAACAUCAGAUGCAAUUCAUAACUGACAUGAUAUGGCCAUGUUCUUGUGCUUCUUGAUCUCCAUCACCAAAGCACCGGCAUGAUCUUCAUCGUCACCGGCGCCACACCAUGAUCUCCAUCAUCGUGCCGCCAUCAGGUUGUCGUGCUAUCUAUGCUAUCACUACUAAAGCUACAACCUAGAAAUAUAGUAAACGCAUCUGCAAGCACAAACAUUAGUUUAAAGACAACCCUAUGGCUCCUGCCGGUUGCCGUAGCAUUGAUGUGCAAGUCGACAUUUAACUAUUACAACAUGAUCAUCUCAUACAUCCAAUAUAUCACAUCAUGUCUUUGGUUGUAUCACAUCACAAGCACACCGUGCAAAAACAAGCUAGACGUCCUCUAAUUUGUUCUUGCAUGUUUUACGUGGCUGCUAUGGGUAUCUCGUAUGAUCGCAUCUUACUUACGCAAAACCACAACGGUGAUGUGCAAAUUGCUAUUUAACCUCUGUCCGAGGACCGCCUCAGUCAAAUCCAAUUCAACUAAAGUUGAAGAAACAGACACCCGCCAGUCAUCUUUAUGCAAUAAGUUGCAUGUUAGUCGAUGAAACCGGUCUCUUGUAAGCUUACGAGUAAGGUUGGUCUGGGCUGCUUCAAUCCAAGAAUACCGCCGAAUCGAGAAAAGACUAAGGAGGGCAGCAAAACGAACAUCAACGCCCAGAAAAACUUUUGUAUUCCACUCGAGAUUACAUCUACGAAUGAACCUAGCUCAUGAUGCCACUGUUGGGGGAUGUUGCAUGGGAAACAAAAAAAAUUCUACGCACACGAAGACCUAUCAUGGUGAUGAUCAUCUAUGAGAGGGAGGGAGAUCGGGUCCACAUACCCUUGUAGAUCGCUAAGCGGAAGCGUUAAUAAACGCGGUUGAAGUAGUGGUACGUUUUCACGAUACGUCCCACGAACCGUCCCACGAUCCGUCCCAUGAACCGUCUCACGAUCCGUCCUGAUCAAGUGUCGAACGGACGGCACCUCCGUGUUAUGCACAGUACAACUCGAUGAAGAUCACCGCCUUCUGGAUCCAGGAAGAGAGACGGGGAUGUAGAUGAGUUCCCCAGCAGCGCGACAACGCUCCAGUGGUGGUGGUGAUCUAUUCCUGCAGGGCUCCGCCCGAGCUCCGCAAAAAAUGCGAUCUAGAGCAAGAACUAUGAUCUAGAGGAGAGGGAAGCACGUGGCAAAGUUGUGUCUCAAAUAGCACUAAACCUCUAGUAUAUAUAGGAGGAGGGAGGGGUAGGCCUUGCGCCACAAGGGAGGAGCCCUUGGGUUGGCCAAAGUAGAGGAGGGAGGAGCCCUCUUUCACGCCCAAGAUGCGACCCUAUCCUCAAUUUGGCACGAGGGCCUCGUCAGGGAUAGAAGCGCAUAUCGUCGUGUCGCAAGAAUGGAUAUCGUUACAAGUACAUGUACUGAAAAGAAGAGAUAUUUAUAUACAGAAUUGGCUUACACUCGCCACAAGCUACAUCAGAGUCACAUCAGUACAAUACAUAAUCAUCAUGAAUAAGAGCAGGGUCCGACUACUGAUGAAAACAAACGAGAAAAGAAGAACGACGUCCAUCCUUGCUAUCCCAGGCUGCCGGCCUGGAACCCAUCCUAGAUCAUAUAAGAAGAAGAAGAACGCAAACGAUAAUGUGACCGUUUAUAAACUUGACUUGUGGCAAAGGGUUUUUCACAAGUUCAAGGAGUUGACUACGAUAAGACUNGUAUCAAGACUACCAAAGCUUAAUAGGUGAGGUAAGGUUAAGUGGUGAGGUGGCAGCAGCGACUAAGCAUAUAUUUGGUGGCUAAACUUACGAGUACAAGAAAUAAGAGGGGGGAAGAUCUACGCAUAGCGGACGUGAACUACGGUUGAUCAAAUGAAUGAUCCUCAACACCUACCUACGUCAGGCAUAACCCCAUCGUGUCCUCGAUCGGAGAAGGAACUCACGAAAGAGACAGUCACGGUUACACACACAGUUGGCAAGUUUUAAUUAAGUUAACUUCAAGUUAUCUAGAACCAGUGUUGAACAAAGCUUCCACGUUGCCACAUAACUGCGGGCACGGCUUUCCGAAAAGAUUUAACCCUGCAGGGGUGCUCCAACUAGUCCAUCACAAAUUACCACAAGCCGCAUAGAAAUCCUCAAUCACGAAUCUCACGAUCUCGUCGGAUUCCCUAGUGGAAAACCUCAACUCUGAGAUUACGCAAAGCAUCACCGGAAUCCCGAUGCACAAGAUAUUUCGUCAAAGGUAAAACUAAUCCAGCAAGGCCGCCCGACGUGUCGACGAUCCCGAUAGGAGCCGCAUAUCUCGUUCUCAGGACACGACGAAUGAGCUAGACGUCGGGAUCGCUAAACCUCUAGGUCACCAGGGGGGUGUCGGACAUCGCUCAGGUGGGACCAACACUCAUGAGGAGCACUGACCCGGGGGUUGAUUAAAUUUCCUCGGGUUAAUUACUCCCUAUGUAGUUCAUUAGUUGUUAGGCAAAUGUAGUACCAAAGUUGGGCCUUGCCAGACCAGCUUUAAUCUAAAACAAAUUAUCAAGGGGGUCCCCAUAACAACCCCGAUCAUGUUAGGAGCGCUCGUUUAUGGAACAUAACACCGGUAGCCGAAAACUAAGGGGGCAAAGGUGGAACAAAACACCAGGCUAGAAAAGGCCGAGCCUUCCACCUCUUACCAAGUAUAUACGUGCAUUAAAUUAAAUAGCAAUUAAUAUGGUGAUAUAACAAGGAACCCAUGUUAUCACAUGGAAGCAACUGCACGUGCAACUAGCAACGCUAAUACAUGGUUAAGCAAGCGGUAACAUAGCCAAUCAGUGGUUUGCUAGGUUGUGAAAAGUUGAAGGUUUCAUGGUAUUGUUGAGAGGCUGAUAUUUAACAGGUGGUAGGCAAUGAUACAUAAACGAUAGAAGCGAUAAAACUAGCAUGGCAAUGAUAGUAAUGGUAUCUAGGGAAAUGAUCAUCUUGCCUGAGAUCCCGCUUGGAAGAAGAACAACUCCGUGAAGUCGGCGAACCAACGUAGUCGAACGGGUCCUCACAUUCCGACACGCUUGCGGAACUCUAUCGAGACGGAGCAAACCCGAAACAAACAUCAACACAGAUAUUCACCACACGAUGCACAACAUGAUGCACAACCUACUAUGAUGCAUGAUCAGUUCACUGAUGCAAGGCAUGGCAUAGCAAUUCACCCCACGCAAACACUACACAUUAAGUGAAGCUCGAUAUGCAACGAGUUUCAUAACGAAGAAACUCCACGUUUAAUUAUUAGUUCGCUCCCGGUUAUUUACACGACAAUAUUAAAUUGUUGUUAACAUGGCAAGGGGUGAAGCGGUGAUCCUACAUGUCAUCCUAGUCGGUUAACACGCGGAACAGAUCGGAGCUCCAUCACAAGAAACAUGCAACACAAGAUAUUAUGCCAUGAAUGCGUCAUGCAUGCAAGUUCACAACAACACGGGCAAGAAGACAAGAAGCAUGUGUCGCCAUGGCAAACGAAAGGGAACCAUGGCGGCAAGACGGAAACGAAGCCACGGCAACGUUCCUAUCCCGAGAACUCAAUGAGAUAUCGGUGCCAACGAAUUGGAAGCGUGUACGUGUCAAGCCAAAUAAAGAUGGGGUGAUCCCGGUUACCGGGUUCCCAUGUGUCGGUGGCACAACAAAAGAGGGUCAACGUGCAACGGGCAACAUAUAUGGCGCACACAUACGGUUCAUCUCAUACAUCAUAUGCAUUCGGUACACGACACGUCCCAUUGGUAUACCUUCGAAGCGUGCGAAUCGGAGGGGUUCGGAUCGUAGCGGUGUGAGCAUAGGUUGUCGUGGACGUCAUGGAAGUAGUGGAAGUCGUGGUACUCGGGUCUCGUCGACGGUAGUCGUACACUUGGCGUCGGUACAUGGGUCUUCGCAUCGGUAGACGUACACGCUCGGUAGAUGGUCGGGGUCGUCGAGGACGUCAUGGGACUAGGCGAUCUUGUUGGGUCCACGAUGGCGGGGAUGGUGCACGCGGCGACGGCAGACGACACAACAGCAACAUCGGCGGCAGCAACUAACAGCAUCAGCAAAGCGGCAUCUAGCACUAGCAUACUAGAGCGGCGGCAACAGGCAAGCAACAACAACAAUCGUCGGCGACGGCAGCAAGCAAGCAACAUCAACAAUCUUUGGCGGUAGGCAGGCAAUAGCAAGAGCAGCAGGCAAUAGCAGCUAACAGCAACAUGCAUCGGCGCAGGCAAGCUUCAGCAUCUAGCAGGCUAUUACAGCUAGCAGUAACAGCACAGGUAGGCAAGCACAGCAAGCAGCAACAUAGCAGCGGCUACAGCAUGCAUCAGCGACGAUAGCAAGCAGCUACAGGCAGGGUAGCACAGGUUACGCCAGCAGCAGCAACUCGGCAGCGGCUGCUAGCAGCCUAGCAGCAAACGUGACAGCAACAGCAACUGCUCGCAGCACGCAAACACAGCAGCAGCCGGCAACAACAAUAGGAAGCACAGCAACAGCGACAGGCUUCAGCAACAGGCGGCGGUCAGCAGCAGCGACAUGCCGCAGCGACAGCAAGCAUCGGCAGCAACUGGACGAUGGCGGGCACGCGGGGAUGGAAGGGGUCACUCCUCACCUUGUUGGGGAUGACGCGGCACUCCAGGGUGACACGAGUGUUCGAGGAGGAGGUCGGGGCCCUGGAUGGCUUGGCACGGGGCGACCAUGGCGGCGGCUGCGCGAGCUCGGGAGNACUAUAAUAACAAGUUUUUACAUAGGUUCAGUACAAGGCAAAAAGAAAAUCUACAUAAGAUGAAAACAUCCAUCAACCGACAAGGAAGUCCAGACUUACUUUAUACCAGACGGUGAAAAGGAUUAAUUAAAAACAUAAAAGGUUCAAAAAAAGAAAAAAAUAGUCGGUUAAAAUAAAAAGAAAAAGAAAGGAACAAAUAAAAUAAAAUACCACAACCAAAAGGAUAAGAAAUUUUUAACUAAAACAAAAAAAAUAGUCUCCUUAAAACAUGCCCCAAUAAAUAAAAAUAGAUUGGGACCUUUUUAACGAAUAAAAAUAAAACCUUUUUUUUGAAGAAUAAAAUAAAAACCCUUUUAUAAAUAAAAUGAGACUCAAAUUUUAAAAAUAAACAAAAGGAAAAAUAAAGGAAACCCAAGGGGUUGCCCCCACAUUUAAUAAAAGGAUUUUUAAAAGAAGACGAAAUUUUUUAAAGGGGUUAAAACUGAAACUCUAACGCAGCCACAAAACAAAAUAAGAGAGGAGAGAAGGGAGUUUCCUAUUGCACUAAAGACUCUGAGAGCACUCACAACUCAGAUCACACCACGCAACAGACGAUGCAAGAUGUCAUGCAUGAUGCCAUGAUGCGCAAGAUGAAUGCAACGAUAGAAACGGAAAUAAAGGGGAAUCUUCUAGGGCGUCGGCAUCGGGUGUCACAUCCUCCUCCAAUCCCACUUGGAUUAGGACUCCUUCCUUAAUUUCCCACCUCUUUUGGAUUUUCCACUUUUUCCUCAUGGGCUUUCCUUGGAUGACUUUGUCAAUCCAUUAUGCCUUAUUGCGCAUCCAAUAAACCCAUGUGGACUCCUUGGGGCGUGGUGGGCCCACCCAGUGGGCCCCCGGAACCCAUUCAUCACUCCCGGUACACUCUCGGCAAUGUUUGAAAACCUUCCGGAAUCCAAAUACCAACUUCCUAUGUAUCAAUCUUCGUUUCCGGGCCAUUCCGGAACUCCUCGUGACGUCCGGGAUCUCAUCCGAGAUUCUGAACAAAACUUCGGUCACCAACACAUAUAACUCAACUAUACCGAAACGUCACCAAACCUUAAGUGUGCAAACCGUGCGGGUUCGAGGACUAUGCAGACAUAACCUGAGACACUCUCUGGUCGAUAACCAAUAGCGAGACCUGGAUGUCCAUAUUGGCUCCCACAUAUUCUACAAAUAUCUCUAUCGGUUGAACCUCUUUGUCAAGGAUUCAGUUAAUCCCGUAUGUUGUUCCCUUUGUCCUUCGGUAUGUUACUUGCCCGAGACUCGAUCGUCGGUAUCUCCAUACUGCUAUUGCAACAAAAGACCUUCCAACGGCGCCAGAAACGCGUGCUGACGGGAGACUGUUCUUGUCUUGAUUCUCCUCAGCAACGGCACCAGGAAUCCUUCUGCUACGGUUACGCCUUUAGGCACUUCCUAGGCAAAUAUGCAAAGGAUUUCCCCGUGGCCUUGGAGCCUUGCAUUGGUGUUCCCUCGAAGCGGAAAGAGUGAUGUAGCGCAGCGGUGGAAAGUAUUUCCCUUAGUUUUGAGAACCAAGGUAUCGAUCCAGUGAAGGAGUAUCACAAGUGCCUGCACAAACACAAAGAACCUGCUCCCAACGCUAUAAAGAGGUUGUCAAUCCCUUAUAGAUUGUUCGCAAAGUGAGAUCUGAAAGCAACAAAGUAACAAAGCAAAGUAAAAGCGGAGGUGUAAGAUAGAUGUGAAUAGACCCACGGGCCCUAGUGUUUACUAGUGGCUUCUCUCAUGAAAGCAAGUAGACGGUGGGUGAACAAAUUACUGUCGAGCAAUUGAUAGAACCGCGCAAAGUCGUGACGAUAUCUAUGGCAAUGAUUAUAUCUAUAGGCAUCACGUCCAAAACAAGUAGACCGAUACUUUCUGCAUCUACUACUAUUACUCCACACGUCGACCGCUAUCCAGCAUGCAUCUAGUGUAUUAAGUCCAAAAGAACAGAGUAACGCCUUAAGCAAGCUGACAUGAUAUAGAUGGACAAUCUCAUAUCAACGACAGAGCCCACCUUGUUACCCUUGAUGGCAACCACUCAAUGUGUGUCUUGCUGCCCCUACUGUCACUAGGAAAGGUCACCACAUGGUAAGAACCCAAAACCAAACACUUCUCCCAUUGCAAGAAUCAUAGAUCUAGUUGGCCAAACAAAACCCAAGACUCGGAGAGACUUACAAGGAUAUCAAAUCAUGCAUAUAAGAAAUCAGCAAAGACUCAAAUAUAUAUCAUAGAUAAUCUGAUCACAAAUCCACAAUUCAUCGGACGUCGACAAACACACCGCCAAAGAAUAUUACAUCGGAUAGAUCUCCAUGAAGAUCAUGGAGAACUUUGUAUUGAAGAUCCAAGAGAGAGAAGAAGCCAUCUAGCUACUAACUACGGACCCGUAGGUCUGAAGUGAACUACUCACGAGUCAUUGGAGGGGCGAUGAUGAUGAUGAAGAAGCCCUCCAACUCCAAAGUCCCCUCCGGUAGGGUGCCGGGAAGGGUCUCCAGAUGAGAUCUCGCGGAAACGGAAGCUUGCGGCGGCGGAAAAGUAUUUUCGAGGAUCCCUUGAUUUUUUUUCUGAUUUUUAGGGAAUAUAUAGGCGCAAGAUCUAGGUUAGGGGGGCGCCAGGGAGGCCACAAGCCCUGCCAUCACCGCCUCUCCCCUGGUGGCGGAGUGGGGGCUUGUGGGCUCCCUGCAGCCCUCCUGGCUUGGCCCAUACGCCCCUUGAUCUUCUUCCGUUCGGGAAAAAAUCAUUUCGGGGAUUUUAUUCCGUUUGGACUCCGUUCCAAAAUCAGAUCUGAAAAGAGCCAAAAACACAGAAAAAAUAGGAACUGGCACUUGGCACUGAAUUAAUAAGUUAGGCCCAAAAAAGAUAUAAAAGGCACAUAAAACAUCCAAAGAUGACAAGAUAACAAUGUGAAACCAUCAAAAAUUAUAGAUACGUUUGAGACGUAUCACAUACCUCGUUCAAUCUCGUUACCGGCAAGUCUCUUUACUCGUUCCGUAAUACAAGAUCCCUUAACUAACUCCUUAGUCACAUUGCUUGCAAGGCUUGUUGUGAUGUUGUAUUACCGAGUGGGCCCCGAGAUACCUCUCCGUUACACGGAGUGACAAAUCCCAGUCUUGAUCCAUGCCAACCCAAUAGACACCUUUGGAGAUACCUGCAUAGCACCUUUGUAGUCACCCAGUUACGUUGCGAUGUUUGAUAACCCACAAGGUAUUCCUUCAUUGUCCGGGAGUUGCAUGAUCUCAUGGUCAUAGGAACAGAUACAUUGACAUGCAGAAAACAGUAGCAAUAAACUGACACGAUCAUACGCUACGUUUAUAGUUUGGGUCUUGUCCAUCACAUCAUUCUCCUAAAGAUGUGAUCCCGUUAUCAAGUGAAAACACUUGUUUAUGGUUAGGAAACCUUAACCAUCUUUGAUCAACGAGCUAGUCAACUAGAGGCUUACAAGGGACAGUGUUUUGUCUAUGUAUCCACACAUGUAUUUGUGUUUCCAAUCAAUACAAUUAUAGCAUGGAUAAUAAACGAUUAUCAUGACCAAAGAAAUAUAAUAUUAACUAAUUUAUUAUUGCCUCUAGGGCAUAUUUCCAACAAGUUCUUCUUACAACCAUAUAUGACUAUAUACAGAAUACAUGCCUACAUUACAUUGAUGAAUUGGAGCUAUUGUGUAUCGCUCCGGGUUGUGAGUGAUAUAUGAUCAAUGUCAUCCAACAUAAAUAUCCAUCACUGAUCCAAUGUAUACACUUUUAUCAUAUCAAUCUUUUCUAAGUUACAACUUCCUCCGAUGUUACAAUCGUCAAAAACUUCUAGUGUUACUGUUCAUGUUACUAUUGCUACUCUUACUAAAACUAUCAAAACUAUCAAACUAAUAUGCUACUAAAAACUUUUCUAUAGAGAUAUUAUAUUCCAAGUGUUCUUGAAUUGACAACUGAACUGCUAAGGCUCAUAAAUAUUCUUUGGCUCCCAUUAUCUCAAAUCAAAAAAUUGGGUGAAAUACUACCCUCAAAGAUUGUCGAGAUCCCCUAUACUUAUGGGUUACCACAGAUUUUUCUACGCUAUUUCUGGGGAGCAUAGCUUUAUUUAUUGAGUUCACUUGGGAUAUCUAUUGGUCAACAUUAAUAAACUAAAAGACCCUGGAACUAAUAUCAUUGGCCUCAAAGACGAGGGGAAGUAAGGAACUGCCAUGUAACUUCGCAUUUGAUUCACCUUCCGUUUUGAGUAUGCUUAUGACACCUCCACCUGCUAUUUAGUCUGAUAUGUCUCAAGUAAUAGACACUGCUUCUACUAUGGGGAUGUUCAUAAUGCUUCUACAGCUAUGCUAGAUAUGCCACUAAGUGAAUUGUUUGAUGAUCAUAUUGCGAGGUCUAAAGAAAUUAAGAAUGGUGAAACUAGUGAAAAUUAUGAUUCACCUAUUAUGCCUAGCUCUCCUACUACAGUUUAAAUGCUUGAGAUACUUCAUGGUCAUGUUAUGGAUGGUAGACAGCUAGAGAAUUUUUUGCUUGUAAUGAUAGAGAUGAUCUUAAGAAUUACUGACUAAGGUGGAAAAAAAUCUAUUAUAGAGAGAAUGAAAUAUGACCCUAAGUUUGCUACUUCUCCUAUCUUUAUUACUGAUAAGGAUUGUGAAUUCUAUGUUGAUCCUAAGUUAAUUUAGUUAGUACAAUCUCACCCCUUUCAUGGUUAUGAAACUUAAACUAUCGUGGCACACCUUACCAAAUUACAUGAUAUUGCCACCCUAUUUGCUCAUGAGGGGAAAAUCGCUACUACUAUAUUCUUAAGCUUUUUUCCUUUCUCAUUAAAGGGUGAUGCCAAUAAAUGGUUUAAUACCCUUGCUCCUGGUUGUGUGCGUAGUCCAUAUAAUACGAUAUAUUACUUUUCUUCAAAAUAUUUUUCCUUCUCAUAAGAAACAAGAUGCCUUACACGAAAUAUUUAACUUUGUGUAAUGUAGAAUCUCCCUUGAUCUUGGGAUAGGCUCCUCCAAUUAUUUAAUGAUUUGCCUCAUUAUCCUUUUAAGAAAAAUAAAAUACUUGAUAUCUUUUAUAAUGGACUAACCUAUGCUUCUAGGGACUACCUAGAUAGUUGUGUUGGUUGUGUUUUCACGAAAUGAAUUGUUGGACAGGAUUAAGAACUAUGGAAUAAUAUAUUUAAGAAUAUGGAUCAUUGGCACUUCCUGGACCUCUACCAAAAUUAACUCCAGCAAAGAGAGGCAGUAUAUUCCUAAGUCCAAAAGAUAUUCAAGAAGCUAAGAAAUCUAUGAUUAAUAAUUUACCACCUAUUGAAAAAAUACAUGGACUCGAUACCCCGACACGGGUAGUAAAGGUAAAUUAUGUUUAUAUAUUCAAUGAGGGUGAUAUACCUUAUAAUAAAUCUGCUAGUCAAUUCCUGGAUGAAUUUGGUAAUUACAUUGUUAAGCAAGAGAGCUUCAAUAUGUACGUUACAAUCAAUUGAAACAAAAUGCCAGGAUGAUUGAUUGUUUGAGUGACUUGAUAUUUAGGAUUGAUAAUGAUGUUAAUGGAUUAAGUAAACAUUCAUACAUGGUCCAUACUCAUUUAGAACAAGUCUCCAAAUCACAAAAUGAUUUGCUUAAUGAAAUGAAUAAUAAAAUGAAAUAGCAUGAUGUUAGAGUUGUGACUAGAUGAGGCAGAAUGACUCAGGAUCCUCUAUAUCCCAAAGGUCAUCCUAAAAGAAUUGAGCAAGAUUCUUCGACGGUUAAUAUUGAUGCACCUAGUCCACCUAAUAAAAAACUAAAAGAAACAUGAUAGGACUUUGCAUGCUUCUAGUGAACCUAUGAUAGAAAAACCUUUUGACAAUCAUAAUGAUGUUUCUAUUUUUGAUGUUGAGACACAAUCUAGUAGUGAACACCAUCCGAUAAUGACAAUGAUAAUGACGGUGUUCAUGUUGAUGCCUAAACAGACAAUAAUAAAUAACCUGAUAAUGAAGUAGAAAUAGAACCUAUUGUUGAUCUUGAUAACCCACCACCUAAGAAUAAAAGAUAUGAUAAAAGAGAUUUCAUUGCUAGAAAAAAUGGUAGGGAAAGAGGGGCGCUGCUACGAAUCAGUCGAAUGAUUUCUUAUUGAAAUCAUCCACCUGUUCAGCCGUACGAUCUGUGUCCGUUGGAUCACAGCAACCAGCAGCGCGGUGCCACAGCUUCAGCUAGCGCGAUUGCAGCCCCACGCGGUGCUCCAAUAAAGCAUCGACGAUGUCCGGUGAGCUUCAUUGUAGCCCCGAUGAAGCUUCCUUGCAACUCCGGUCGAGUUCCAUUGCAGCACCGACGCUCCGGUGAAACUCCAUUGCAACUCGGGCCGAGCUCCACUGCAACAUCAACGGCUCUGAUGAAGCUCCAUAGAAACUCCGGUGGAGCUUCAACGCAGCACAGGUGAAUCCGAGGGAGCUCUAUUGCAACUCCGGCCUUCAUUGUAGUGUUGGAGCUCGCAUCAUCGGCUGCCUCCAUCGCUGAUGACCCUGGCAACCCUACAUUGAUGCUCCGUUGCAGCACAAACACAACGGCUUUUGGAGGCACGGCUUGCAACAUCCCUAUAGCGCGAUAGGGGAGGAGGAUAAGAAGGAGGGGGCAAGUCUCAAACAAUGGCGAUGGCCGGCUCUGUUUCCCUCCCCGGCGGUCUCCAUCACAGAGAUGAAAGGGAGAGAGAGAGAAGGAAGAGAGACGCUGGGGAGGGAGAUGUCUCGUGGCUGUGUGAGUAUGAGAUAGAGAAGGGAUGAAUAUAAGGCUGGACAUGUGUCAAAUGGAAGAGGAGGUUUACGAGAGACAGAGAUCACCCGGUUGAUUCUGAUCGUUUUCCGGGAAAGAGAGCCAUGGGUUCAAAAACCCUUGACUUUUCCUAGUAAACCUCCAAAAAAUAAGGAUGGGGAAGAUUUUAAGUGCUUUACUGAAAUUCUUAGACCCAUCUUUUUGCGAACACAUUUGACAGAUAUUUUGAAAAUGCCUCCUUAUGCUGAAUACAUGAAAGAUAUUUUCACUAAUAAAAAGAAAAUACCUGAAACUGAAAUCCUCACCAUGCUUGCAAAUUAUUCAUUUAAAGGGGGUAGUUAAGAAGUUAGGAGAUCGAGGAAUAUCUACUAUACCUUGCUCCAUUAAAAGAAGUUAUGUCAAAACUGAUUUAUGUGAUUUAGAAAUUGGUUCUAGUGUUAUGCCUUUCUAUUUAUAUGGAAGACUUGAUUUAAAUAAACUAACAUCUACUGAGAUAUCUUUGCAAAUGGCUGAUAAAUAGACUAGUAUUACUAUUGGUAUUUGUGAGGAUGUUCUUGUUGUAGUUGUGAAUUUUAUUAUCUUAACGGCCUUUGUUAUUCUUGAUAUGCCCGAGGAUGACAACAUGUCGAUUAUCAUUGGUAGACCUUUUUUGAAUGUUGCAGGGGCUAUUAUAGAUUGAAACAAAAGUAAGGUCACUUUCCAUGUCAAUGGUAACCAACAUACGCCAUACUUCUCGAAGAAACAAAGUUUAGUAAAUAGUAUCAACUCCAUUAAAAAAGUUGUGACUAGUACUAUUGGAGGGUUUAAAUUUCCUCUUCCUAUCGUCAAAAAGAGAUAUGAAAUACUUAUUGUUGGGGAAGUGCAUAUCCACGUUGAGAUAACUUAGUGUUAANNNNNNNNNNNNNNNNNNNNNNNNNNNNNNNNNNNNNNNNNNNNNNUCGACAAACACACCGCCAAAGAAGAUUACAUCGGAUAGAUCUCCAUGAAGAUCAUGGAGAACUUUGUAUUGAAGAUCCAAGAGAGAGAAGAAGCCAUCUAGCUACUAACUACGGACCCGUAGGUCUGAAGUGAACUACUCACGAGUCAUUGGAGGGCCGAUGAUGAUGAUGAAGAAGCCCUCCAACUCCAAAGUCCCCUCCGGUAGGGUGCCGGGAAGGGUCUCCAGAUGAGAUCUCGCGGAAACGGAAGCUUGCGGCGGCGGAAAAGUAUUUUCGAGGAUCCCUUGAUUUUUUUUCUGAUUUUUAGGGAAUAUAUAGGCGCAAGAUCUAGGUUAGGGGGGCGCCAGGGAGGCCACAAGCCCUGCCAUCACCGCCUCUCCCCUGGUGGCGGAGUGGGGGCUUGUGGGCUCCCUGCAGCCCUCCUGGCUUGGCCCAUACGCCCCUUGAUCUUCUUCCGUUCGGGAAAAAAUCAUUUCGGGGAUUUUAUUCCGUUUGGACUCCGUUCCAAAAUCAGAUCUGAAAAGAGCCAAAAACACAGAAAAAAUAGGAACUGGCACUUGGCACUGAAUUAAUAAGUUAGGCCCAAAAAAGAUAUAAAAGGCACAUAAAACAUCCAAAGAUGACAAGAUAACAAUGUGAAACCAUCAAAAAUUAUAGAUACGUUUGAGACGUAUCACAUACCUCGUUCAAUCUCGUUACCGGCAAGUCUCUUUACUCGUUCCGUAAUACAAGAUCCCUUAACUAACUCCUUAGUCACAUUGCUUGCAAGGCUUGUUGUGAUGUUGUAUUACCGAGUGGGCCCCGAGAUACCUCUCCGUUACACGGAGUGACAAAUCCCAGUCUUGAUCCAUGCCAACCCAAUAGACACCUUUGGAGAUACCUGCAUAGCACCUUUGUAGUCACCCAGUUACGUUGCGAUGUUUGAUAACCCACAAGGUAUUCCUUCAUUGUCCGGGAGUUGCAUGAUCUCAUGGUCAUAGGAACAGAUACAUUGACAUGCAGAAAACAGUAGCAAUAAACUGACACGAUCAUACGCUACGUUUAUAGUUUGGGUCUUGUCCAUCACAUCAUUCUCCUAAAGAUGUGAUCCCGUUAUCAAGUGAAAACACUUGUUUAUGGUUAGGAAACCUUAACCAUCUUUGAUCAACGAGCUAGUCAACUAGAGGCUUACAAGGGACAGUGUUUUGUCUAUGUAUCCACACAUGUAUUUGUGUUUCCAAUCAAUACAAUUAUAGCAUGGAUAAUAAACGAUUAUCAUGACCAAAGAAAUAUAAUAUUAACUAAUUUAUUAUUGCCUCUAGGGCAUAUUUCCAACAAGUUCUUCUUACAACCAUAUAUGACUAUAUACAGAAUACAUGCCUACAUUACAUUGAUGAAUUGGAGCUAUUGUGUAUCGCUCCGGGUUGUGAGUGAUAUAUGAUCAAUGUCAUCCAACAUAAAUAUCCAUCACUGAUCCAAUGUAUACACUUUUAUCAUAUCAAUCUUUUCUAAGUUACAACUUCCUCCGAUGUUACAAUCGUCAAAAACUUCUAGUGUUACUGUUCAUGUUACUAUUGCUACUCUUACUAAAACUAUCAAAACUAUCAAACUAAUAUGCUACUAAAAACUUUUCUAUAGAGAUAUUAUAUUCCAAGUGUUCUUGAAUUGACAACUGAACUGCUAAGGCUCAUAAAUAUUCUUUGGCUCCCAUUAUCUCAAAUCAAAAAAUUGGGUGAAAUACUACCCUCAAAGAUUGUCGAGAUCCCCUAUACUUAUGGGUUACCACAGAUUUUUCUACGCUAUUUCUGGGGAGCAUAGCUUUAUUUAUUGAGUUCACUUGGGAUAUCUAUUGGUCAACAUUAAUAAACUAAAAGACCCUGGAACUAAUAUCAUUGGCCUCAAAGACGAGGGGAAGUAAGGAACUGCCAUGUAACUUCGCAUUUGAUUCACCUUCCGUUUUGAGUAUGCUUAUGACACCUCCACCUGCUAUUUAGUCUGAUAUGUCUCAAGUAAUAGACACUGCUUCUACUAUGGGGAUGUUCAUAAUGCUUCUACAGCUAUGCUAGAUAUGCCACUAAGUGAAUUGUUUGAUGAUCAUAUUGCGAGGUCUAAAGAAAUUAAGAAUGGUGAAACUAGUGAAAAUUAUGAUUCACCUAUUAUGCCUAGCUCUCCUACUACAGUUUAAAUGCUUGAGAUACUUCAUGGUCAUGUUAUGGAUGGUAGACAGCUAGAGAAUUUUUUGCUUGUAAUGAUAGAGAUGAUCUUAAGAAUUACUGACUAAGGUGGAAAAAAAUCUAUUAUAGAGAGAAUGAAAUAUGACCCUAAGUUUGCUACUUCUCCUAUCUUUAUUACUGAUAAGGAUUGUGAAUUCUAUGUUGAUCCUAAGUUAAUUUAGUUAGUACAAUCUCACCCCUUUCAUGGUUAUGAAACUUAAACUAUCGUGGCACACCUUACCAAAUUACAUGAUAUUGCCACCCUAUUUGCUCAUGAGGGGAAAAUCGCUACUACUAUAUUCUUAAGCUUUUUUCCUUUCUCAUUAAAGGGUGAUGCCAAUAAAUGGUUUAAUACCCUUGCUCCUGGUUGUGUGCGUAGUCCAUAUAAUACGAUAUAUUACUUUUCUUCAAAAUAUUUUUCCUUCUCAUAAGAAACAAGAUGCCUUACACGAAAUAUUUAACUUUGUGUAAUGUAGAAUCUCCCUUGAUCUUGGGAUAGGCUCCUCCAAUUAUUUAAUGAUUUGCCUCAUUAUCCUUUUAAGAAAAAUAAAAUACUUGAUAUCUUUUAUAAUGGACUAACCUAUGCUUCUAGGGACUACCUAGAUAGUUGUGUUGGUUGUGUUUUCACGAAAUGAAUUGUUGGACAGGAUUAAGAACUAUGGAAUAAUAUAUUUAAGAAUAUGGAUCAUUGGCACUUCCUGGACCUCUACCAAAAUUAACUCCAGCAAAGAGAGGCAGUAUAUUCCUAAGUCCAAAAGAUAUUCAAGAAGCUAAGAAAUCUAUGAUUAAUAAUUUACCACCUAUUGAAAAAAUACAUGGACUCGAUACCCCGACACGGGUAGUAAAGGUAAAUUAUGUUUAUAUAUUCAAUGAGGGUGAUAUACCUUAUAAUAAAUCUGCUAGUCAAUUCCUGGAUGAAUUUGGUAAUUACAUUGUUAAGCAAGAGAGCUUCAAUAUGUACGUUACAAUCAAUUGAAACAAAAUGCCAGGAUGAUUGAUUGUUUGAGUGACUUGAUAUUUAGGAUUGAUAAUGAUGUUAAUGGAUUAAGUAAACAUUCAUACAUGGUCCAUACUCAUUUAGAACAAGUCUCCAAAUCACAAAAUGAUUUGCUUAAUGAAAUGAAUAAUAAAAUGAAAUAGCAUGAUGUUAGAGUUGUGACUAGAUGAGGCAGAAUGACUCAGGAUCCUCUAUAUCCCAAAGGUCAUCCUAAAAGAAUUGAGCAAGAUUCUUCGACGGUUAAUAUUGAUGCACCUAGUCCACCUAAUAAAAAACUAAAAGAAACAUGAUAGGACUUUGCAUGCUUCUAGUGAACCUAUGAUAGAAAAACCUUUUGACAAUCAUAAUGAUGUUUCUAUUUUUGAUGUUGAGACACAAUCUAGUAGUGAACACCAUCCGAUAAUGACAAUGAUAAUGACGGUGUUCAUGUUGAUGCCUAAACAGACAAUAAUAAAUAACCUGAUAAUGAAGUAGAAAUAGAACCUAUUGUUGAUCUUGAUAACCCACCACCUAAGAAUAAAAGAUAUGAUAAAAGAGAUUUCAUUGCUAGAAAAAAUGGUAGGGAAAGAGGGGCGCUGCUACGAAUCAGUCGAAUGAUUUCUUAUUGAAAUCAUCCACCUGUUCAGCCGUACGAUCUGUGUCCGUUGGAUCACAGCAACCAGCAGCGCGGUGCCACAGCUUCAGCUAGCGCGAUUGCAGCCCCACGCGGUGCUCCAAUAAAGCAUCGACGAUGUCCGGUGAGCUUCAUUGUAGCCCCGAUGAAGCUUCCUUGCAACUCCGGUCGAGUUCCAUUGCAGCACCGACGCUCCGGUGAAACUCCAUUGCAACUCGGGCCGAGCUCCACUGCAACAUCAACGGCUCUGAUGAAGCUCCAUAGAAACUCCGGUGGAGCUUCAACGCAGCACAGGUGAAUCCGAGGGAGCUCUAUUGCAACUCCGGCCUUCAUUGUAGUGUUGGAGCUCGCAUCAUCGGCUGCCUCCAUCGCUGAUGACCCUGGCAACCCUACAUUGAUGCUCCGUUGCAGCACAAACACAACGGCUUUUGGAGGCACGGCUUGCAACAUCCCUAUAGCGCGAUAGGGGAGGAGGAUAAGAAGGAGGGGGCAAGUCUCAAACAAUGGCGAUGGCCGGCUCUGUUUCCCUCCCCGGCGGUCUCCAUCACAGAGAUGAAAGGGAGAGAGAGAGAAGGAAGAGAGACGCUGGGGAGGGAGAUGUCUCGUGGCUGUGUGAGUAUGAGAUAGAGAAGGGAUGAAUAUAAGGCUGGACAUGUGUCAAAUGGAAGAGGAGGUUUACGAGAGACAGAGAUCACCCGGUUGAUUCUGAUCGUUUUCCGGGAAAGAGAGCCAUGGGUUCAAAAACCCUUGACUUUUCCUAGUAAACCUCCAAAAAAUAAGGAUGGGGAAGAUUUUAAGUGCUUUACUGAAAUUCUUAGACCCAUCUUUUUGCGAACACAUUUGACAGAUAUUUUGAAAAUGCCUCCUUAUGCUGAAUACAUGAAAGAUAUUUUCACUAAUAAAAAGAAAAUACCUGAAACUGAAAUCCUCACCAUGCUUGCAAAUUAUUCAUUUAAAGGGGGUAGUUAAGAAGUUAGGAGAUCGAGGAAUAUCUACUAUACCUUGCUCCAUUAAAAGAAGUUAUGUCAAAACUGAUUUAUGUGAUUUAGAAAUUGGUUCUAGUGUUAUGCCUUUCUAUUUAUAUGGAAGACUUGAUUUAAAUAAACUAACAUCUACUGAGAUAUCUUUGCAAAUGGCUGAUAAAUAGACUAGUAUUACUAUUGGUAUUUGUGAGGAUGUUCUUGUUGUAGUUGUGAAUUUUAUUAUCUUAACGGCCUUUGUUAUUCUUGAUAUGCCCGAGGAUGACAACAUGUCGAUUAUCAUUGGUAGACCUUUUUUGAAUGUUGCAGGGGCUAUUAUAGAUUGAAACAAAAGUAAGGUCACUUUCCAUGUCAAUGGUAACCAACAUACGCCAUACUUCUCGAAGAAACAAAGUUUAGUAAAUAGUAUCAACUCCAUUAAAAAAGUUGUGACUNGUGCAUGUGGUCGACAAAGUUAGUAAACACAACCUAUUGUACCCAUAGUUUACUUUCUGUUAUUUACAGUUUUAAUAAAGUAGAAUGCCAUCAUUAUCAUGUUUUCUGAAUUAUCCGUGCAAUAAAAAAUGUCCCAAAAAUAAAAGUUCUCGCAAUGACCUAAAUAAUUAGUAUGUUUUUUUAUAAUAUAUAAUAAUUUUUGGCACUAAAUACACCCCAGGGGGUGCCACGGGGCACACCUACCCCCUCGGUGCGCCUAGCAAGCUCGUGGUCCCACACGGACCCACUCACUUAGUAGACCAGCCCAUUGCCUUCUCCUACCUCAAGAAAAAAAUCACCCUUGCUUCCUAGCCCGGGUUCUUGCUCAUUUUCGGGUGAUUUUCAAUCUCUUUGCUCGGAGCUCUAUUUCUGAACCUGUUUUGAGAAAUUCCUCCUUGGUAUGUGACUCUUCCAAUGCUCCAAAUAGUUUUUGUUCUAGUGAUUCAUGUUUUCCAAGCUUUGCUACUGUUGGUGACCAUGUAUAUGAGCUUGCAUGUUGAAUUUGUAUGGUUCAAAGUAGUUUUGAUGCAUUAUAUAGCCUCUAGACACUUGUGGGAGUAGUUUCUAUCAAUUCCGUUGAGUUUUGUUCGCUUCAUUUUGAGGGACUAAAAAUUUCAGAAUUUUUUCACAGAAAAGGGAAAAGGUUAUGAGAAUAUUCCAUGGGGGUUCUUCGAGCAAUAGCUCCUCGAGGGCCGCAAUUUGUGAGCCGGAUGUUGAACCUCCAUGGGAUGCCCUCAUGAAACCGUGUGAAUGGUCAUCUGAUGCCUUCAUGACCAAAGCGGACAUCAAGGAAGAAUUUGAUAUGUAUGUACAAAAUGCAGAGUUGAAGGGAUUUUUGUCAGGUAACUGCCCAGAGUACAAUGUUCUUACUGAUCCCUUUGUGUGGAAAUUUAAGUAUGUAUCUCAGUGCUCAUCUCAUGAUGUUAUGUUUCAUCUAUAUCAUAAAUCUUUUAACAUGUGUGUUCCAUAAUUUAGUGAAGCUUGUAGAAUUCUAUUUUGGGGAACUUGCCUUGAACCUCAUAAACCUGACUUUAAUGAAUUUCUCAUGAGUAUUACACGAGGUGAAACUAGGGGCAUAAUACAAGCUUCAUUUUCCUACCAUCCACUAUUUUGCCAUAUUUAUAAGAGAUGCAUUGAUGGCAAACAUGACCUAAGUACCUUGUGCGCACCAGAUCUAAGCAUUCUUAAAAGCGCAAUAUUAAGUGAUAGAAAAUUUAACAUGGGAUCCAUCAUUACACGUCGUUUACAUAAAAACUUACUUGAUGAUGAUCUUUUUGGUUUACAUAAAAACUUACUUGACGAUGAUCUUUUUGGUGGAAUCUAUGCCACUCGCUUAGUUGCUUAUCUCGGUGUACCCAUUAGAGAAAAUGGUUCAUUGUUGCCACCUAGCUACCUUGAUUAUGAGGCCAUGCGGCAUCGUGUUUCUUGGAAGAGAGACUUCACCAUUCCAAUACAGGCUAAUCUUUAACAAAGUGUUGUGUUUUCCAUAUUACUUUGCCUCCUCUUGCCAUCUCCAGCUGUCAGGNNNNNNNNNNNNNNNNNNNNNNNNNNNNNNNNNNNNNNNNNNNNNNNNNNNNNNNNNNNNNNNNNNNNNNNNNNNNNNNNNNNNNNNNNNNNNNNNNNNNNNNNNNNNNNNNNNNNNNNNNNNNNNNNNNNNNNNNNNNNNNNNNNNNNNNNNNNNNNNNNNNNNNNNNNNNNNNNNNNNNNNNNNNNNNNNNNNNNNNNNNNNNNNNNNNNNNNNNNNNNNNNNNNNNNNNNNNNNNNNNNNNNNNNNNNNNNNNNNNNNNNNNNNNNNNNNNNNNNNNNNNNNNNNNNNNNNNNNNNNNNNNNNNNNNNNNNNNNNNNNNNNNNNNNNNNNNNNNNNNNNNNNNNNNNNNNNNNNNNNNNNNNNNNNNNNNNNNNNNNNNNNNNNNNNNNNNNNNNNNNNNNNNNNNNNNNNNNNNNNNNNNNNNNNNNNNNNNNNNNNNNNNNNNNNNNNNNNNNNNNNNNNNNNNNNNNNNNNNNNNNNNNNNNNNNNNNNNNNNNNNNNNNNNNNNNNNNNNNNNNNNNNNNNNNNNNNNNNNNNNNNNNNNNNNNNNNNNNNNNNNNNNNNNNNNNNNNNNNNNNNNNNNNNNNNNNNNNNNNNNNNNNNNNNNNNNNNNNNNNNNNNNNNNNNNNNNNNNNNNNNNNNNNNNNNNNNNNNNNNNNNNNNNNNNNNNNNNNNNNNNNNNNNNNNNNNNNNNNNNNNNNNNNNNNNNNNNNNNNNNNNNNNNNNNNNNNNNNNNNNNNNNNNNNNNNNNNNNNNNNNNNNNNNNNNNNNNNNNNNNNNNNNNNNNNNNNNNNNNNNNNNNNNNNNNNNNNNNNNNNNNNNNNNNNNNNNNNNNNNNNNNNNNNNNNNNNNNNNNNNNNNNNNNNNNNNNNNNNNNNNNNNNNNNNNNNNNNNNNNNNNNNNNNNNNNNNNNNNNNNNNNNNNNNNNNNNNNNNNNNNNNNNNNNNNNNNNNNNNNNNNNNNNNNNNNNNNNNNNNNNNNNNNNNNNNNNNNNNNNNNNNNNNNNNNNNNNNNNNNNNNNNNNNNNNNNNNNNNNNNNNNNNNNNNNNNNNNNNNNNNNNNNNNNNNNNNNNNNNNNNNNNNNNNNNNNNNNNNNNNNNNNNNNNNNNNNNNNNNNNNNNNNNNNNNNNNNNNNNNNNNNNNNNNNNNNNNNNNNNNNNNNNNNNNNNNNNNNNNNNNNNNNNNNNNNNNNNNNNNNNNNNNNNNNNNNNNNNNNNNNNNNNNNNNNNNNNNNNNNNNNNNNNNNNNNNNNNNNNNNNNNNNNNNNNNNNNNNNNNNNNNNNNNNNNNNNNNNNNNNNNNNNNNNNNNNNNNNNNNNNNNNNNNNNNNNNNNNNNNNNNNNNNNNNNNNNNNNNNNNNNNNNNNNNNNNNNNNNNNNNNNNNNNNNNNNNNNNNNNNNNNNNNNNNNNNNNNNNNNNNNNNNNNNNNNNNNNNNNNNNNNNNNNNNNNNNNNNNNNNNNNNNNNNNNNNNNNNNNNNNNNNNNNNNNNNNNNNNNNNNNNNNNNNNNNNNNNNNNNNNNNNNNNNNNNNNNNNNNNNNNNNNNNNNNNNNNNNNNNNNNNNNNNNNNNNNNNNNNNNNNNNNNNNNNNNNNNNNNNNNNNNNNNNNNNNNNNNNNNNNNNNNNNNNNNNNNNNNNNNNNNNNNNNNNNNNNNNNNNNNNNNNNNNNNNNNNNNNNNNNNNNNNNNNNNNNNNNNNNNNNNNNNNNNNNNNNNNNNNNNNNNNNNNNNNNNNNNNNNNNNNNNNNNNNNNNNNNNNNNNNNNNNNNNNNNNNNNNNNNNNNNNNNNNNNNNNNNNNNNNNNNNNNNNNNNNNNNNNNNNNNNNNNNNNNNNNNNNNNNNNNNNNNNNNNNNNNNNNNNNNNNNNNNNNNNNNNNNNNNNNNNNNNNNNNNNNNNNNNNNNNNNNNNNNNNNNNNNNNNNNNNNNNNNNNNNNNNNNNNNNNNNNNNNNNNNNNNNNNNNNNNNNNNNNNNNNNNNNNNNNNNNNNNNNNNNNNNNNNNNNNNNNNNNNNNNNNNNNNNNNNNNNNNNNNNNNNNNNNNNNNNNNNNNNNNNNNNNNNNNNNNNNNNNNNNNNNNNNNNNNNNNNNNNNNNNNNNNNNNNNNNNNNNNNNNNNNNNNNNNNNNNNNNNNNNNNNNNNNNNNNNNNNNNNNNNNNNNNNNNNNNNNNNNNNNNNNNNNNNNNNNNNNNNNNNNNNNNNNNNNNNNNNNNNNNNNNNNNNNNNNNNNNNNNNNNNNNNNNNNNNNNNNNNNNNNNNNNNNNNNNNNNNNNNNNNNNNNNNNNNNNNNNNNNNNNNNNNNNNNNNNNNNNNNNNNNNNNNNNNNNNNNNNNNNNNNNNNNNNNNNNNNNNNNNNNNNNNNNNNNNNNNNNNNNNNNNNNNNNNNNNNNNNNNNNNNNNNNNNNNNNNNNNNNNNNNNNNNNNNNNNNNNNNNNNNNNNNNNNNNNNNNNNNNNNNNNNNNNNNNNNNNNNNNNNNNNNNNNNNNNNNNNNNNNNNNNNNNNNNNNNNNNNNNNNNNNNNNNNNNNNNNNNNNNNNNNNNNNNNNNNNNNNNNNNNNNNNNNNNNNNNNNNNNNNNNNNNNNNNNNNNNNNNNNNNNNNNNNNNNNNNNNNNNNNNNNNNNNNNNNNNNNNNNNNNNNNNNNNNNNNNNNNNNNNNNNNNNNNNNNNNNNNNNNNNNNNNNNNNNNNNNNNNNNNNNNNNNNNNNNNNNNNNNNNNNNNNNNNNNNNNNNNNNNNNNNNNNNNNNNNNNNNNNNNNNNNNNNNNNNNNNNNNNNNNNNNNNNNNNNNNNNNNNNNNNNNNNNNNNNNNNNNNNNNNNNNNNNNNNNNNNNNNNNNNNNNNNNNNNNNNNNNNNNNNNNNNNNNNNNNNNNNNNNNNNNNNNNNNNNNNNNNNNNNNNNNNNNNNNNNNNNNNNNNNNNNNNNNNNNNNNNNNNNNNNNNNNNNNNNNNNNNNNNNNNNNNNNNNNNNNNNNNNNNNNNNNNNNNNNNNNNNNNNNNNNNNNNNNNNNNNNNNNNNNNNNNNNNNNNNNNNNNNNNNNNNNNNNNNNNNNNNNNNNNNNNNNNNNNNNNNNNNNNNNNNNNNNNNNNNNNNNNNNNNNNNNNNNNNNNNNNNNNNNNNNNNNNNNNNNNNNNNNNNNNNNNNNNNNNNNNNNNNNNNNNNNNNNNNNNNNNNNNNNNNNNNNNNNNNNNNNNNNNNNNNNNNNNNNNNNNNNNNNNNNNNNNNNNNNNNNNNNNNNNNNNNNNNNNNNNNNNNNNNNNNNNNNNNNNNNNNNNNNNNNNNNNNNNNNNNNNNNNNNNNNNNNNNNNNNNNNNNNNNNNNNNNNNNNNNNNNNNNNNNNNNNNNNNNNNNNNNNNNNNNNNNNNNNNNNNNNNNNNNNNNNNNNNNNNNNNNNNNNNNNNNNNNNNNNNNNNNNNNNNNNNNNNNNNNNNNNNNNNNNNNNNNNNNNNNNNNNNNNNNNNNNNNNNNNNNNNNNNNNNNNNNNNNNNNNNNNNNNNNNNNNNNNNNNNNNNNNNNNNNNNNNNNNNNNNNNNNNNNNNNNNNNNNNNNNNNNNNNNNNNNNNNNNNNNNNNNNNNNNNNNNNNNNNNNNNNNNNNNNNNNNNNNNNNNNNNNNNNNNNNNNNNNNNNNNNNNNNNNNNNNNNNNNNNNNNNNNNNNNNNNNNNNNNNNNNNNNNNNNNNNNNNNNNNNNNNNNNNNNNNNNNNNNNNNNNNNNNNNNNNNNNNNNNNNNNNNNNNNNNNNNNNNNNNNNNNNNNNNNNNNNNNNNNNNNNNNNNNNNNNNNNNNNNNNNNNNNNNNNNNNNNNNNNNNNNNNNNNNNNNNNNNNNNNNNNNNNNNNNNNNNNNNNNNNNNNNNNNNNNNNNNNNNNNNNNNNNNNNNNNNNNNNNNNNNNNNNNNNNNNNNNNNNNNNNNNNNNNNNNNNNNNNNNNNNNNNNNNNNNNNNNNNNNNNNNNNNNNNNNNNNNNNNNNNNNNNNNNNNNNNNNNNNNNNNNNNNNNNNNNNNNNNNNNNNNNNNNNNNNNNNNNNNNNNNNNNNNNNNNNNNNNNNNNNNNNNNNNNNNNNNNNNNNNNNNNNNNNNNNNNNNNNNNNNNNNNNNNNNNNNNNNNNNNNNNNNNNNNNNNNNNNNNNNNNNNNNNNNNNNNNNNNNNNNNNNNNNNNNNNNNNNNNNNNNNNNNNNNNNNNNNNNNNNNNNNNNNNNNNNNNNNNNNNNNNNNNNNNNNNNNNNNNNNNNNNNNNNNNNNNNNNNNNNNNNNNNNNNNNNNNNNNNNNNNNNNNNNNNNNNNNNNNNNNNNNNNNNNNNNNNNNNNNNNNNNNNNNNNNNNNNNNNNNNNNNNNNNNNNNNNNNNNNNNNNNNNNNNNNNNNNNNNNNNNNNNNNNNNNNNNNNNNNNNNNNNNNNNNNNNNNNNNNNNNNNNNNNNNNNNNNNNNNNNNNNNNNNNNNNNNNNNNNNNNNNNNNNNNNNNNNNNNNNNNNNNNNNNNNNNNNNNNNNNNNNNNNNNNNNNNNNNNNNNNNNNNNNNNNNNNNNNNAAGGUAAAAGCAAGGUAUUGGGACUUGGCAAAGUAGCUAUUUCCAAGGAUAGGCAUAUGGACAAAGUGAUGCUUGUUGAAUCCGUUGGUUUUAACCUCAUGUCAGUCUCGAUGCUUUGUGAUCUUGAUAUGAUUGUUAUCUUUGGUAGAUAUAGAUGUGUAGUCAUCAUGGAAUCUGACAGAUCCAAAGUCUUCGAAGGUGUAAGAAGAGGGGAUUUGUACAUUGUUGACUUCUCUACAGGUCCUCAACCAGCCACUUGCUUACUAGCAAAAACCUCAGAAGGAUGGUUGUGGCACAGAAGACUAGGUCAUGCAGGCAUGAGGAAUUUGCACACACUUGCAAAGAAGAAGCAUGUCAUUGGCAUCGAAUUAGUCAAAUUCCUCAAGGAUCAUCUAUGUGGUGCUUGUGAAUCUGGGAAAAUGACCAGAUCCAAGCAUCCCUCCAAAACCAUCAUGACCACUACCCGUCCAUUUGAAUUGCUUCAUAUGGAUUUGUUUGGACCUACUCACUAUGCAACACUAACCAAUGCAGCAUCUCUAUAUGGCUUUGUCAUAGUUGAUGAUUAUUCCAGAUACACUUGGGUGAUAUCAUAGUGUAUAAAACUGAAGUGCAGGAAAUCUUCAAACGAUUUUCUUCAAGGGCCUCGACGAACUUCGGCAUCAAGAUCAAACAUAUUAGGAGUGAUAAUGGAACAGAGUUUAAAAACACUGGUCUUGAUGAUUAUAUUGAUGAACUUGGUAUUACUCACGAAUUGUCUGCUCCUUAUACUCCUCAGCAGAAUGGUGUCGUCGAAAGAAAGAACAGGACUCUGGUUGAAAUGGCAAGAACUAUGCUUGAAGAAUAUCAGACUCCUCGUCGCUUCUGGCCUGAAGCAAUCAACACUGCAUGUCAUAUCACCAACAGGGUAUAUCUUCACAAAUUCCUCAAGAAAACCUCAUAUGAACUNAUCAACAGGAUAUAUCUUCACAAAUUCCUCAAGAAAACCUCAUAUGAACUUCUCACUGACAAGAAACCCAAUGUAAGUUAUUUCAAAGUCUUCGGUGCAAAAUGUUGGAUUAGAGAUCCUCAUCAUAGCUCGAAAUUUGCACCUAAGGCACAUGAAGGUAUUAUGCUCGGUUAUGGAAAGGACUCGCACACCUACAGAGUCUUCAACAACUAUCACAACAAAGUUGUUGAGACUGUAGAUGUGCGGUUCGAUGAAACUAAUGGCUCGCAAAGAGAGCAAUUGCCUUCUGAUCCAGAUAAGUUGUCUCCUGAGGAAGCAAUAAAGCUUAAGCCUACUGAAGNUGUCUCCUGAGGAAGCAAUAAAGCUUAAGCCUACUGAAGACAUUGUUCCCACUGAGGAAAUUGGUGAAGAAACAAUCCCCAUCGCUGAUGAAAGUCAAGAAGAUGCUCCUGAGGAAAUUGCGACAGCACCACUUCCUCAGCCCAGACAAAAUCCUAAACCAGCUCAUCCGAGGAUUGCAAAUGAAGUAGAACUUGACAAAAUCCUCAACGACAUCAACGCGCCAGGUCCUCUCACUCGCUCAAAAGCUUCACACUUAGUUAAAUUUUGUGGGCAUUUUUCUUUUGUAUCUAUCACAGAACCCUCAAAAGUAGCUGAGGCUUUUCUGGAACCGGAGUGGAUCCAAGCCAUGCAAGACGAACUUCUUCAAUUCAAGCUGAAUGACGUAUGGGAGCUCAUCAAACGACCAGAUCCUCGCAAGCAUAACAUCAUCGGCACCAAGUGGAUUUUCCGAAACAAGCAAGAUGAGGACAGUCAAGUGGUGAGGAACAAGGCACGACUUGUAGCCCAAGGCUACACCUAGGUUGAAGGAAUAGAUUUCGAUGAAACUUUUGCACCUGUUGCUAGACUUGAAGCUAUUCGAAUCCUACUUGCUUAUGCUAAUCAUCACAACAUCAUCUUAUAUCAAAUGGAUGUGAAAAGUGCAUUCCUCAAUGGUAAGCUUGAGGAAGAAGUAUAUGUUGCUCAGCCCCCAGGUUUUGAGGAUCCAAAGAAUCCAGACAAAGUCUUCAGACUCAAAAAGGCUUUGUAUGGCCUCAAGCAAGCCCCUCGGGCAUGGUAUGAUACAUUGAAGGAAUUCCUCAUGAAGAAAGGCUUCAAACCUGGUUCACUCGAUCCAACUCUUUUCACAAAAUCUUAUGAUAAUGAACUGUUUGUAUGUCAAAUAUAUGUUGAUGAUAUCAUAUUUGGCUGUACUGACAGAAGAUACAGUGAUGAAUUUGCCUAUAUGAUGAGUGAAGAAUAUCAGAUUUCUAUGAUGGGGGAGCUGAAAUUCUUCUUAGGUCUUCAAAUUCGUCAACAAAGCAAUGGAAUCUUCAUAUCACAGGAGAAAUACCUCAAGGAUGUUCUGAGGAAAUUCGACAUGCAUGAAUGCAAAGGUGCCAAGACUCCAAUGCCUACCAACGGUCACCUCGGCACUGAUGAAAAUGGUAAAGAUUUCGAUCAGCAGGUAUACCGCUCUAUGAUUGGUUCUUUAUUGUAUCUAUGUGCAUCUGGGCCAGACAUAAUGCUUAGUGUUUGCAUGUGUGCACGUUUUCAAGAAAAACCGAAGGAAUCACACCAUAAGGCUGUGAAACAUAUUCUUCGAUACUUAGCUCACACACCAACACUAGGAUUAUGGUAUCCCAAGGGCUCCAAUCUUCAUCUGGUAGGGUAUUCUGAUUCAGACUAUGCUGGUGACCGUGUGGAUCGCAAGUUAACUUCUGGCACAUGCCAUUUCCUCGGAAGAUCACUGGUUUGCUGGUCCUCAAAGAAGCAGAACUGUGUAUCACUCUCCACUGCCGAAGCUGAGUACAUUGCUGCUGGUUCUUGCUGUGCUCAAUUACUAUGGAUGANNNNNNNNNNNNNNNNNNNNNNNNNNNNNNNNNNNNNNNNNNNNNNNNNNNNNNNNNNNNNNNNNNNNNNNNNNNNNNNNNNNNNNNNNNNNNNNNNNNNAGUCAUCAGUGAGGAAUUUCCUCAAAAGGAAUUUCCUCGGUGAUGAAAUUCUAAAAAUCUCCUAUUCCCCCCCCCCCCCCUCUAGACGAUAUAACGCACUUUCAAUUGGUAUCAGAGCAAGGUACUCCCUUGGUCUGUGUGAUUUUGGUUUAACCACCUGGAGUUUUAGUUAUGUCGACUGCAGGCAUCUUUAAGGUGACUGCAGCAUGUCCUACCUACGAGGGAAAGAAUUUUCCCUUCUGGAAGAACAAAAUGCAAAUGCAUCUACAAGCUAUAGACAAUGAUCUCUGGUAUAUUGUGAAAAAUGGUGUCCCCAUCAUUUCUGCUAGUGUCACUGCAGCUAAUGUGAAGAAAUUCAAGCAACUCGAUUCUCAAGCAAAGAACAUCAUCUGUGGUCAUCUGAGCCCUGGCCAGUUUGGAAGAGUAAGUGCCUUAGGCUCUGCAACACUGAUCUGGGAGAGACUGUGCAAGGUAAAUGAAGGAGUAUCAACCCAACUCGACUCUUGUGUUGAUAUUCUUCGCAAUAUCUUCAAUCGCUGCAAGAGACAUGACAAUGGAAGCUGCCAAGACACCUUUGAUCGCCUCACUGACAUAUCAAAUGAACUGCAAGCACUGGGAGCUCGAGACAUCACUGAUCACGAAGUUGUGAAGAAACUGCUGAGAUCUUUGGAUUCUUCAUUUGACACUUUAGUUCUGAUGAUCCAAGAAAGACCAGACUACAAGAUGCUAGAUCCUGCUGAUAUCCUUGAAAGGCUAAAUACUCAUGAAUUCCAGCUAGAAUAAAAGAGAGAUCUAUAUGGACAAAGCUAUUCCAGACCACGUGCACUAAAGGCAAGAGCAAUUUCCUCAUCUGAAGAAGAAGACACAGAUGACAGCAGUUGUGACCCUGAAGAAUUUGGUCAGGAACUUGCAAUGCUUGUGAGGAAAUUCCAGAGAUUUACACGACGAGGCCAGUUCGGUAAAUCAUCAAGAAGAGACAUGAGGAAAUCAGAAUCUGCAUCUGAGGACUACAAGAGACGGACCUGUCACAAGUGCAAGAAAUCAGGUCAUUACAUUGCUGAUUGUCCUCGCUGGGGAAAGGAAUCAAAGAAGAAGAAAUACAAGGAUGACAGUUCUGAUGACUCAAAGAAGAAAAAGAAAUCUUCAAAAUCCUCAUCUCCAAAGUCCUCCUCACACAAGAAGACUAGCUUCAGAAAGGCUCGGGCACUUAUUGGCAAGGAAAUGGAUUCCGAGGCAGAAUCAGAAGAAUGUGAUGAUGAAGAAGGCUCUGGAGAAGAUUCAGAAUCCGGACAGGCUAGUCUUGCACUAGCAACCAAUUUCGUCAGCAAGUCAAUCUUCAAUCAUGAAGAAAAUGAGUGCACCAUCCAUACUGAUGACUAUGCUGAUGACUUUGCUCCAACCUAUUGCUUCAUGGCAAAAGGUUCAAAGGUAUCACAUAAUGCCCCCUCAUCUGAUUCAAGUGACUGUGAACAUGAUGAUUACAAAAAACCCAGUUACAGUAAACUUGCCAUCAUUGCCACUAAACAACAAACUGCUCUGGAAAAGCUUCAAAAACUGCUAGACAAAAGUGAUGAUCUGUUGAAUGAUGAAAUGAAUCUUAAUCAAAUCCUCGCUGAUGACAUGAAAAAUCUUCAGUCUAGAUUUGAUAUUCUUCAGGAUCGUUAUGAUACACUCCUCACUGAUCAUGAGAAGCUUUCCUACGAAUUUCUUCAAAGGAAGCUUGAUCUUGAGAAGCUGAGGAUGUCUUAUGAUGAUCUUCGUACUGAAAAUGAUUCAUUACUAGCUCAACAGAUCAGCGCUAGUCAAGUUGAAUUUAUUCCUCCAUGUCUUAAAUGCAUUGAUCGUGAAACUGCUAAUUCUUCACCAGAAUCUUCAAAUGCUACCACUGCUACAAAUUCUUCAACUGCACCUGUUGUGUCUAUUUCCUCACUUGAGGAAAAUACAAAUGUCACUGAUGAAAAUGCAGGGUUGAAGGAAUUGUACUUGACAGGCAUGUACAAAAGCCUUAAAGGACAUCAAAUCCUUUGUGAUGUGCUCAAAAAGCAGAUCUUGAACAGGAACCCGAGGAAAGAAGGAAUUGCCUUUGAGAGGAAACUGAAUGCUGAUGGAUCUUAUUGGAAACCUGAGCAGUAUCCCAAAACCUCAUGGGUUGCUGCUACUGGGCCUCCUUUUGAUCCAUCAAAUCUAACUGGCUUCUCAUGUGAAUUAUCCUAUUCCUCUGAUGAGUCAUUUGAUUCCAACUGUAAACUGUUCAAAAAUCAAUCUGGUGAAGUAUUUGCUCGAUAUGUUGGAACUAACUGCAGGAAUGGCCCUCCUCUGAGGAAAAUCUGGGUUCCCAAAAGUUGUCUUGAAAAUCUUCAAGUGAAUGUCCUCAUGACAUCACCUCUGAAGAAUCUGAACCCUAGAUCAAAUUCCUCAGGAGGACCAAAGUCUUCAAGAGGAUCAAAAUCCUCAACUGGUCAAAACUAUGCUCAUACACGUGCUUAUGCGUCUAACAUGCAGGGAAACUACAAGGAAUAUGAUUAUGAGCGCUAUUCUUCAAAUCAUUAUGUUCAUAAACCCUCAAACCAGUUCUCUGCAUACUCAUAUGAGUACUUUAACCCCCCUAGUGUUAAGAGAAGUGCAUUAACUUCAAUGCCAACUUUCUCAUAUGGUGCUCGCAGGAUGAUGAACGCUUUGCCACCCCUUCAUAUGUGGGUGGUGAAGAAAUCAAACUAAUCACUUCUGCAGGGCAGGUCUCUAGAUGAAAAUCAUCAUCUGAAGAAUUUGCUGGAGACCUGAGGAAAUGCUUGAUAGGACGCAAGCUAAUGAUUGAUGAAAUAGAAAUAUUUCACACGUCCUUACAUUUCUGUUAUGAUGAAAUUAGUAUCAUAUUCUUCAAACAUUGAAGCAUAUGAGAUGGUAAGCUGUACUAAUUCAUUUGCAGGAUGACAAACCCAAAAAUACUGAGUGGGUUCUCAAUAGUGGCUGCACACAUCACAUGACUGGUGAUAAAAGCCUACUGAUGAAUAUGCCACUAACUCCAUCACCUCUGAAGCAAAUCACAUAUGCUGAUAAAGGUAAAAGCAAGGUAUUGGGACUUGGCAAAGUAGUUAUUUCCAAGGAUAGGCAUAUGGACAAAGUGAUGCUUGUUGAAUCCGUUGGUUUUAACCUCAUGUCAGUCUUGAUGCUUUGUGAUCUUGAUAUGAUUGUUAUCUUUGGUAGAUAUAGAUGUGUAGUCAUCAUGGAAUCUGACAGAUCCAAAGUCUUCGAAGGUGUAAGAAGAGGGGAUUUGUACAUUGUUGACUUCUCUACAGGUCCUCAACCAGCCACUUGCUUACUAGCAAAAACCUCAGAAGGAUGGUUGUGGCACAGAAGACUAGGUCAUGCAGGCAUGAGGAAUUUGCACACACUUGCAAAGAAGAAGCAUGUCAUUGGCAUCGAAUUAGUCAAAUUCCUCAAGGAUCAUCUAUGUGGUGCUUGUGAAUCUGGGAAAAUGACCAGAUCCAAGCAUCCCUCCAAAACCAUCAUGACCACUACCCGUCCAUUUGAAUUGCUUCAUAUGGAUUUGUUUGGACCUACUCACUAUGCAACACUAACCAAUGCAGCAUCUCUAUAUGGCUUUGUCAUAGUUGAUGAUUAUUCCAGAUACACUUGGGUGCAUAUCAUAGUGUAUAAAACCGAAGUGCAGGAAAUCUUCAAACGAUUUUAUUCAAGGGCCUCGACGAACUUCGGCAUCAAGAUCAAACAUAUUAGGAGUGAUAAUGGAACCGAGUUCAAAAACACUGGUCUUGAUGAUUAUAUUGAUGAACUUGGUAUUACUCACGAAUUGUCUGCUCCUUAUACUCCUCAGCAGAAUGGUGUCGUCGAAAGAAAGAACAGGACUCUGGUUGAAAUGGCAAGAACUAUGCUUGAAGAAUAUCAGACUCCUCGUCGCUUCUGGCCUGAAGCAAUCAACACUGCAUGUCAUAUCACCAACAGGGUAUAUCUUCACAAAUUCCUCAAGAAAACCUCAUAUGAACUCCUCACUGACAAGAAACCCAAUGUAAGUUAUUUCAAAGUCUUCGGUGCAAAAUGCUGGAUUAGAGAUCCUCAUCAUAGCUCAAAAUUUGCACCUAAGGCACAUGAAGGUUUUAUGCUCGGUUACGGAAAGGACUCGCACACCUACAGAGUCUUCAACAACUAUCACAACGAAGUUGUUGAGACUGUAGAUGUGCGGUUCGAUGAAACUAAUGGCUCGCAAAGAGAGCAAUUGCCUUCUGAUCCAGAUAAGCUGUCUCCUGAGGAAGCAAUAAAGCUUAAGCCUAAUGAAGACAUUGUUCCCACUAAGGAAAUUGGUGAAGAAACAAUCCCCAUCACUGAUGAAAGACAAGAAGAUGUUCCUGAGGAAAUUGCAACAACACCACUUCCUCAGCCCAGACAAAAUCCUCAACCAGCUCAUCCGAGGAUUGCAAAUGAAGUAGAACUUGACAAAAUCCUCAACGACAUCAACGCGCCAGGUCCUCUCACUCGCUCAAAAGCUUCACACUUAGUUAACUUUUGUGGGCAUUUCUCUUUUGUAUCUAUCACAGAACCCUCAAAAGUAGCUGAGGCUUUUCUGGAACCGGAGUGGAUCCAAGCCAUGCAAGACGAACUUCUUCAAUUCAAGCGGAAUGACGUAUGGGAGCUCGUCAAACGACCCGAUCCUCGCAAGCAUAACAUCAUCGGCACCAAGUGGAUUUUCCGAAACAAGCAAUAUGAGGACGGUCAAGUGGUGAGGAACAAGGCACGACUUGUAGCCCAAGGCUACACCCAGGUUGAAGGAAUAGAUUUCGAUGAAACUUUUGCACCUGUUGCUAGACUUGAAGCUAUUCGAAUCCUACUUGCUUAUGCUAAUCAUCAUAACAUCAUCUUAUAUCAAAUGGAUGUGAAAAGUGCAUUCCUCAAUGGUAAGCUUGAGGAAGAAGUAUAUGUUGCUCAGCCCCCAGGUUUUGAGGAUCCAAAGAAUCCAAACAAAGUCUUCAGACUCAAGAAGGCUCUGUAUGGCCUCAAGCAAGCCCCUCGGGCAUGGUAUGAUACAUUGAAGGAAUUCCUCAUGAAGAAAGGCUUCAAACCUGGUUCACUCGAUCCAACUCUUUUCACAAAAUCUUAUGAUAAUGAACUGUUUGUAUGUCAAAUAUAUGUUGAUGAUAUCAUAUUUGGUUGUACUGACAAAAGAUACAGUGAUGAAUUUGCCUAUAUGAUGAGUGAAGAAUAUCAGAUUUCUAUGAUGGGGGAGCUGAAAUUCUUCUUAGGUCUUCAAAUUCGUCAACAAAGCAAUGGAAUCUUCAUAUCACAGGAGAAAUACCUCAAGGAUGUUCUGAGGAAAUUCGACAUGCAUGAAUGCAAAGGUGCCAAGACUCCAAUGCCUACCAAUGGUCACCUCGGCACUGAUGAAAAUGGUAAAGAUUUCGAUCAGCAGGUAUACCGUUCUAUGAUUGGCUCUUUAUUAUAUCUAUGUGCAUCUAGGCCAGACAUAAUGCUUAGUGUUUGCAUGUGUGCACGUUUUCAAGCAAAACCGAAGGAAUCACACCAUAAGGCUGUGAAACAUAUUCUUCGAUACUUAGCUCACACACCAACACUAGGAUUAUGGUAUCCCAAGGGCUCCAAUCUUCAUCUGGUAGGGUAUUCUGAUUCAGACUAUGUUGGUGACCGUGUGGAUCGCAAGUCAACAUCUGGCACAUGCCAUUUCCUCGGAAGAUCACUUGUUUGCUGGUCCUCAAAGAAGCAGAACUGCGUAUCACUCUCCACUGCCGAAGCUGAGUACAUUGCUGCUGGUUCUUGCUGUGCUCAAUUACUAUGGAUGAAGCAAACCCUCAAGGACUACGGCAUCAACAUGAAGAAUGUGCCUCUCUACUGUGACAAUGAGAGUGCUAUCAAGAUUGCCUAUAACCCAGUACAGCACUCGAAGACCAAGCACAUCCAGAUUCGUCAUCAUUUUCUUCGGGACCAUGUCCUCAAGGGCAAUAUCCUCAUCGACCAUGUGAAGACUGAUGAUCAACUGGCUGAUAUCUUCACUAAGCCCUUGGAUGAGAAAAGGUUUUGCAAGUUGCGGUGUGAGCUAAAUAUCUUAGAAUCUUCAAAUGUUUUGUAAAAACCUGCACACAUCCUAACACUUAUGCAAAGUUGAUGACUUAGAUGUGCAACACAUGACGAAACGAUUUUCUUCAACCAAUGAAGAAAGUCACUCUGAAUGUGAAGAAAUUAACGAAGAAAUUGAUUCUCAGGGCCCUACGACAAUUGUACGCGGCGUUUGUAAUCAACAUUCUUAUAUGGUGGGCAACGCCACCGCCCAAUGUGAAAUUCCUCAAGUUGAUUUUCUUCAAAUGAUCAAAUUCCUCACAAUGCAUUUUCUUCAAGACAGUUGUUCUUCGUUGUGAUGAUCUAUUGCAAAAUCUUCAAAAACACUUGAUGACUUUCAUUUGCCUAGGUAGACUGUGAUUUCUAAGUCCUCAACAGCAUUCACUUAUUGCUAUUUCUUCAAGUUGAUGUUUCUGCUAAGUGAAUGUGAUCGGACCCUAUUAUCCCUCUAUGCUAUACUUAUCCAGUCUAUUCAAUUCAUCAUAUGUGUUCUACUUGAAACUUUUUUCAAAAUCCUCACUGCAUCCUUGUCAGCUGAUGAUUUUGUAACGAAAAUCCUCAAAUCUUCGAAAAAUUAUUUUCUUCAAAGGAACAGUAACUGAACCCCCACUUCCCACGAUUGGAUAGCCACGAUCUCCACUAUCUCAACCGCAUCGUACGGGAGCUACACGUGUCCUGCGGAGACGUAGAGGCAAGGCUAUUUGGUCCGAAACUUUCGCGCCAAACAGUAACUUUCGGGCUAUAAAUAUGUCCUUAACCCCCUCGAUAUCAUAUUCUUCGCCUCAUCGCUCUCCUGCCACAGCACACCGAACUCUAGCGCCACCGCUGGUAGUCUUGUCGCCGGCAAGGAAGAGCUUCACUGCCUCAACCUUCUCGCCGCCAGGAUCACGCCGGAGUCGGAACAUCUACGUCCGCCGCCGCCGUAGACGUCCUCUGCUGCCAAGUUAGGGUGCAUUGGACACUUGACCGAAGAACCUCUCCAACACCACCUUUUUGUGUUCUUCGUUCGCACCUUCCAGGGUAAUUAUAUCCCAUUUUUACAACAGAUUAGAUCUAAAAUUUUACCUCUCCCUUGUGAAAUCUGUUUUUCCUCAAGAUACGAUGCGCACAUGAUUCCUCAAACACUAUCCAUCACCACAAUCAUUGAUGAACUAGCUAAGCAUCUAAGAUUUUCACGAGAUUCCUCAAUUGUGCGAAUUUUCGGAUCUGUACAACUCUGGAACCCAAGAACAGAAUGCUUAAGCAAAUUCCUCAACCACUGGUUAUAUUCCUCAAACUGUCAAACUUUUCCAUUUUCUUCAAAUCUGAGAACGCAUAUGACCUCUCCAAGUUCCUCGCAACUAUACUCUGUUCACAGGUACACACAUGUCAGCUGAUGAAUCUCUCGGUUCUCAUCACAUUAACUCAUUUGCAGCGUUUCUGGAAGAAACUCUUCAAGGCUCAUCAGAAUCCUCAAGAGUUCAAAAUCCUCAGAAAGUUCCUCGUCUGAAGAAAAUGGAGGAAGAAAGGAAACAGAAGGGAGGAAAGAAACUGGAGCAGAACACAGCUGUUGAUAUUCCUGAUGACAUAUACCUGGACUACUGCACGCCUGAUGAUGAACCUGAGACUAUGCCUAAAAGAAAGAUUAGGCUGCAGAAAAUUGAACGCGGAUGGGCAAAGGAGUAGAAGGAGUACAGGUUUGUGACUCCAAAAUAUGCGAAGAAAUUCGCUUUGAACCCUCCUGGCAGAAGGGCCCCGCUUGAGGAUCAUCAAGUAGCUCAUCCCUCAAGUCUUACGACACUUGAUGACUACCUAGAGGAAAAAGAAAGGCAUCUGGCCAAGCUCAAGAAGCAAGCAGAAACAGCAGUGAAGAAAUUUCAUGAAUCCUCAGCUGCUGCCUCCGGUGCUUCUCAUUCCUCAGCAGCAGAAACCUCAGGCUCCGAGAUUCCUCAACCAAAGUCUGUGCCAACAAAGCCAAAAGCUUCAAAACCUCAAGAAAAGUUUGCACAGACUUCUGUCACCAAACCCUCAGCUCCAAAGCCCUCGGUUCCAAAACCGUCAACACCAAAACCAUCAGCGCCAAAACCUUCAGCACCAAUCGCAUCUACACCAAAGUCCUCAGCUCCACCUCCAAAGCCAGUACAGAAGAAAGUCGUGAAGACUACGACUGCCAGCUCCAUUUCCUCACUCCCAGCUGCAACUAGCUCGGAGACAAAGUCUUCAACACCUCUUUUGAAGACUUUGACAACAACUGAACAUGCACCUCUGCCCAGCCCCAGCAAAAUCAUCACAGUCCCGUCUGCAUCAGAGGGAAGUGAAGAAUAUGAUGAUGAAACUCUGGAAGCCAUCAUCAGGAACAAACAAGAAAGGGUAGCACAAGCAUCAGGCAGUGCUAUUCCUCUGGCGAUGGACUCCAAGGUCCUCCUCGACUUCAUCAAUGUGUGGUAUGAAGACCCAAACACACCCAUUGAUGAUUUGAAACUUCCUCCUGGUGUCAGCCACAUGGUGGCUACCUUCAUAAACGAAGCCAAGUGGAAGGAACAGAAGGCCAAGCAGGCAAAGAUUGCAAAGGCCAGAAAGGAGAAAUUCCUCAGGCAAAAUGUUCUCAAGCUGACGCCCGAAGCAUUGGUGUCCACCCAGGCAGAGCUGCAAGUCUUGACUGACAAGUGUGAGAAACUGUCAGAUCGCACAAGCAUCAAAAGCAAUUUCAUCAAGCUAGCCACUAGUGUUGUUGAUGACUACAACAGACGUCACCCCCCACCAGCACCAACUCCUCAGCCCCUAGUUGAACAGCCAAAAGAUGCAUCUCCUGUUGAGGAGGAAAUUCCUCAAGCUGAGGAACAACACCAAGAGCGCCGUGCUGAUGAGCCGGCCAAUGAAGAAAUCAUCACUGAGACCGCUCCUGAUGAAACUGCAAACCCUGAUGAAACUGCUACUGAUCCAGCUGCUUCACCAAAGCAGGCUGAUGACUAUGUUCCAGCUGGUUCCUCACUGCCAGCUGAAGAAUCUGUUAAGAAAACACCUUCACCAAAAACUUCAUAGGUGAAGAAGUUAAUCCCGUCUGCAUCAGACGCGAAAAAGACAAGGGCUGCUGAGAAGGAAGCAAAGAAGAGAAAAGCUUCCUCAGCAGAAGAAAAGAUUGAGGCAAAACGCCUCAAGGAAACUGAAGAAUCUGCCCCACUGGACCCGGUGCCUCUUAAUGCUGCACCCUCAUUUGAAAUGGUCCUCGUUGGUGACCACACUACGAGGGCAGAUGAGGAAAUGAAGGAUGCUGCCUCUGAGGAACAUACUGAUGAGGAAAUACAAAUUGAUGACAGUCCUCAACCUCAUAUUCCUCAGAAAGAGACUACUGAAGCCUCAGCUGCAGCAGUUGAUGAAUCUGCUUCUGCCACAAAGUCAGCUGAUGAAAAUCAAGCUGAAGAAAAUGUCCAGUCUGAGCAGGCUCCUCCCACUGAACAGGCUGACCAAACUCCUCAAGCUGAGAAGGAAAAAGAAAUUCCUCAGCCUGAUGCUCAGCCAGAGCAAGAAAUUCCUCACCCUGAGGAAACUGCUGAAGAAAAUGUUCCCGCCCCUGACAAUGAAUUCAUUGUCCUCAACCCAGAAUCUGCCAUGGUUGUUUCCCCUCCCAUUCCUCAGCACAAUCUCAAUCCAGUUCAGCGCCUGCCAUUCUCGAAGAGGCCAAAGUUUCAGAAAGAGAAUUUCUUUGAGGAACGCAUGUAUUUCAUCGGAGAGAAUCCUUAUGACAAGCCUCAAAUGAGGCAUCUGAAGUUUUGGACAAGGACGCAUAUGAACUACUAUGCUUCUGUGCUCUGUGGCCGCAACAAGAUAUUCCAGCAUAGGCACAUUCCUCAUGCUGAACUUGAAGAGAUUCCCUGCAUGGAACCAGUUCUCAGUGUACUACAUGAUGCAGGUUUGCUCCCUAUGUGCUCCGACAUAUCAGAUUGGAAUAGUGAGCUAAUUCUUCAGUUCUAUUCAACUCUGCACAUCUCGGGCAAUGCUGAUGACAUCAACACUUGGGUGUUCGACUGGAUGACCCAAAAUACUCACUACAAGGCUCCAGCGUCUGAACUCCUCAGAGAACUGCCCGUACCAAUUCCUUCAGAAGGGGCAGUGAAGCUUUACGGUGAGCGUGAGCUGCCAAAUGGAAUGAUGGAAGUCCUCAUGAAGCCUUUGGCUGCAGGAAAACCCUCAAGAACCACAUUCCUCGUCCAUGAGCUCAAAUACACACCCCGGUCUGUCUACCGCAUUCUCUGCAGCGUGCUAGCGCCAAUCAAAGGCCAUGAUGAUGACGAAGAUGUCGUCGGCCUCAUGAAGAAUAUCCUCUUCAACAUCAUUCACGGUAUCCCCAUGAAUAUCCAUGAGUUAUUCUUGAGGACUUUGGCUAACAAUGCAAUGUGCCCAUAUGAUCACAAAAUUUAUGCACCAUGGAUCAUGAGAUUCCUCAGGACAAGGACAGGCAUCAACUUUCACGCAGAUUUCCAGAACCAUGUUGGUUAUAUGCCUCCUAUCCGGGUCAACAAUAAGACUUUCGAGCCCAUUGAGGGAAAAUGAAAGUCUGUGAUUGAUGAAGGAAGCAGGCCCCUUGAUGGCCAGUUCAAAGAACCAGAUGCAUAUUCCUCAUGGGACGACACUGAGUCACGUCCGCCAAGCCCUGUUCCUCCUCGCGUGCUAAACACCAGAGAACUUCUCCUCAGUCUUCAUCAGAAGGUGGAUCACAAUCACAAAUGGGUCAAACGCCAGUUUGGUGCCAUUGUGAAAACCCUCACUGAGACACAGAACAGUGUGAAGCUUAAUAAUCACUAUCUGCAUGAGGUUUUUGAUCGCACCUGGGCUACCCUUGCACAUCUGAAGACCCAGACUGAGCUUGAAGAAUUGAACUUUGAGCAGGACUUUGACUGGUCGUGGCCUCCCAAGAAGAAGUUCAGGCCCAUUCCUAUGCCAGAUCUUGAAGACAGUUCCUUCUCGUCCUUUCGCACCGCCGAAUCUGAUGAGGAACAACUUGACACCACGAUAGGCCCAAGGAAGAAGACUACACCAAAGAAGCGCCAAGGAUCUUCAUCAACUGCCCAGCAAUGAAGUCUUCACGAGCGUUAGUCCUCAGUUUGUCCCUUUUUGUCCCUUGAUGACAAAGGGGGAGAAACUUGAGAGUUAGUCUUCAAACAGGAUUUAUUUUUGGGGCUUAUGAACUAUAUUUAAGUUACAAACUCUUGGCUCUUCUGAAGUUUUUAUGUAAUGAGUUGUAACUUAAGCCCGAUGGUACUCUGACGCUGUUUGAAUGUUUUUCUUCGCAUGCUUAUUCCUCAAGUUUUAAUGCACGCAUGCUGGAAUUCGUCAGAUACCAUUUGCCAUCAUGCAUCUUCAUUUUCUUCAUAUGAUAUGUUAUAUGUAUGCAUGAUUUACAAGAUUCAGGGGGAGAUCUCCAUGAUAUAAAUCAUCAAUGUGCAUAUGCUAUAAAAGCAAAAUCCUCAAGGUAUGCACAUCUUCAGGGGGAGUCUCUGUGAAUCUUAUUUUCAAAUUCCUCAAAUGAGUAUUUACACUUAAUAUUUUUGAUCCCUGUUGAAGACUUAACCUAAUUGUCAUCAACCACCAAAAAGGGGGAGAUUGUAAGUGCAUCUAGUGCCCCUUAGUGAUUUUGGUGGUUUGAAGACUUAUAGGUUAAGUAUCUAAUGUGUUUUUAAGUGUACACAGGAUCUAUAAGUCAUUGAGGAGUUUGAGAUAUUUGUAGAAUAUCGACCCCUAAAAAUAUAUGUCUUCAGUUGAAGAAAUUGGUCUGAAGCUGAAGAAAUGAAUCGCGAAGAAUUUGCGAUGAAAUUGAUAUUCCUCAUGAAGAUAUUGAUAUUGAGAAGAUCGGUGGUUCCUGAAGAAAAUCGUUCUGAAGAAAUUGAAGCGUGAAGAUUUACGUUUUCUGUUUUACUUUCUUCGCAUUUGAUGAAUAGGAACACCGUACUGUUAAAGGGGGUUAAAGUAACACUAUGGAAUGGAUUUCCUCAUGAUGCUCAGCCCAAGCCAAAUCCUACCAAAAGCCUCAAGUGAGGAAUAUGAGUGACAUGAGGACUCUCACAGUUGAGAGUCCCGACCGUUUCGAUAAGCCACGCCAAGUCACUGAUCUUAUCCACUCCAACGGUCGUAUUAUUUAAGGGCAUUAAUGUCAAAUCAUGUCGGGAUGCUCCCAGGCUAUAAAUAGCCGCCCCCCCACAACCACUAGCUGGUUGGCUGCUCCGCUAGAAACUGACACUUGUCAUAAGAGCAACCCAAUUCCUCAGAGCUUUCGAGAGUAAAUCAUCAGUGAGGAAAUACACCACCCACCGAAACCACAAACCAAACCUAGUGAUUGAGCAUCACUGAAGAAGUUGUUCCUGUGUGGGACUGAAGCCUUUUACCUUUGAGGACUGUGCAUCCUCCAGACGGUUAGGCUUCAUGGUCUAGAGCAAUCCAGCAGUCAAUUGUGGAUCGCCGGGUGACCGAGUUUGUGAGGGUUUGGAAGUCUGCCCUGAAGACUUACCACGAGUGUUGGGCGAGGACUGUGUGUCCUUAGCUCAAGGAGAAUACGGUAGGGACUGUGUGUCCCGGGACUGGGUGUCCUUUGGUUUAAAUACCAAGCCGCUCCAAACCAGAUGUACAACUAUCACAGCAGUUGGAACUGGGUCAUCAACAACAGUCUUCACCAAGAAUCGGGUUCUAAUUCCUCAACUCUUUACAUUCUCUGUAUUAUGUGUUGAUGACUUUCACUGUGACUGUUUGAAGAAUUUGCUGAAGACUUUCUCUGAAUUUCCUCAACCCCAAAUUCUUCACUUGAGUAAAUCAUCAUCUGUAUUCUGCGUGUCUGCUUGCUGUGCAAUCUGUUUUCAUAAUCUUCACUCUGUAAUACUGCUGUCGUGAACGAUUGCACAACUGAUCCUUAAUUGUUUCCGCUGUAAGUUAGUCAUCAGUGAGGAAUUUCCUCAAAAGGAAUUUCCUCAGUGAUGAAAUUCUAAAAAUCUCCUAUUCCCCCCCCCCCCUCUAGUCGAUAUAACGCACUUUCAACAUGACGGCAAAGGAGACUCAGCACAGUAAUGAGGCACACCGCCAAGCACUCGAGGUUGCGAUGGAGUAUAACUCAAACUACCUCCACGAUUUCUACCCCAGCCAGCCAUGGCCAUAGACCAAGUUAGGUCAAAAUCCUAAGCUAGGGGGAAUAUGUAUUUCUCACUAACACUAUGUUCAUGUACCACACAUUCAUUCCACUUGUCGGUAUUCAUCCUCUUUUAUUGUAUAUCCACGUUCAGUUUUGUUUUCACUGUCUUUUGUGUAUUUGAAAAACUUUGAAAAUCCAAAAAUAUUUCUGGCUUCUUUUCGGUUUUUCUUCCUUGCUUUUCUAGUUUGUAGUAUUAAAAAAACUCAAACACAUUUCCUGAUCUUAUUUUGUUUGUAGGGAUCUUUCCCGUGUAAAUGGUUUUUCUAGUUUCUUAUUUUUCUUCUAUUCUUUUUGCUUUCUGCAAAAAAAACUAAAAACUCCAAAAACAUUUUACUGUGUUCCUCUGAAAUUCUUUUAUUUUUCUUUGAGUCAUCGUAAGAAGAAGACCAUGCUAGAAUAGUUUUGAGUCUCUCAUAUGCGAUAAUGUUGAUCUAACGAAGACCCAAUAUUACCUUGUCUUCUCCUUCGAAUAAAUGGUUUUGUAGGUUCCAGCUUAGUCGACGGCACACUUGCACUAUUAUUAUUUUCACAUCAUUCGACCGAGCAAGUGAAAAGGCAAUAAUGAUGAUGAUUUGAUGAAGUGAUUGCGAUGAAGGGAAGCUCGUAUGGACUCUUCUUGUUUUCUGUUUUUGUAAAUAUGCUCAACUCGGUCAAUCUUGAUUCAACAUAUUAUGAGUAAAUAGGUUUGUGAUGAUAAUUAGAGAUUAUAGUUUCUCAUGGCUUGCUUAAAUAGCUAGGAGUGUAUAAUGAUUCAUCGUGUGUGUCAUCAUGCAUUAAAAUGGUUGUGAUGUAAUAUGUUAGUAUGGUAUCCUCCUCCGGACAAUUCAAGUAGCUUGACUUGGCACAUGUGCAAACAUGUAGGUGACUCAAAACCAAUGCAGCGUUCAUGAUAUUUAAUUUCAGAGUGUUUUUAUCCAAUCCAUGCUCGUAUCCCAUGUUAAAUAUUCACAAUGCGUGACUAUGGUUGUUGUCGCUCUCUAGUUGGUCACUUCUCAAUCUAUUUGCUAGCCUUCACCUGUACUAAGCGGGAAUAUUGGUUGUGUAUCCAAAAUCCUAAAAAACAAAGUUUUCCCAGAUGAUUCCACCAUAUCUACCCUAUAUGCGGUAUUACUCUAUGGUUCCAAAUAAAUUUGCAUCUGACACCUCUAAUCAUUUAAAUAAACAUUCUACCGCUCAUGAAGCUACGGGACGGUUAAUAUCUUUCAUGCUAAAUGGAUUAUUCUCAUGAGCGGUGUUUAUUCACCUACCAUUGCACAAGAGAGACUGUAAUUCGAUAUUAUGUAGCACGACUUGGCCUUUCGGCCUAGAACAAAUUAUAUUAACGAGUAGUUAAUUAGCAUGUGGAUUUACAUGUGAUCUGGGGUACGUUGGGGUUUUCGGCAUGUUCGCCUAAAAAAACAUGCCAAGCUGUACAUAUUUUUCUCAUUCAUAUACCAAAUAAAUAAAAUAUGAAAAUUCAUUUCAUGAUUUAAUGAGACUGAUUUGAUAUCAUGUAUAUUGAUAUAUUUUCAUAUAAACUAAGUUAAAUUUAGAAAUUUACAAAAAUAAUACACCUUAUAUUUUGAAAUAGAGGGCAUAAAAUAAUAUGAAAAAUAAACAACACGAACAUCGCAGUGAAGCGCGUCCAACUCUUCUAGUUAAUCAAAAAUAUGACUCGGUCAUUUGAAAAUAAAGGCGGUUGAAAAGACAAGUUUGGCUCCAGCUAAAAGCAAACCCCGCAAUGUGUCAAACGACCACCCUGUGGGCAUUACAAACUGAACAUGAGGGCCUUUGGUUUUGGGACCAUAUACAUUUCCUCAAAUGCGGACAAAGAAACAAGCUUGCAAUUUUGAAUCCAGAAAUGUCGUCAUCGUUUGCCGGUUCUGGAAUAUUCCCAUUCUUAUAAAAUCCUUUGUAUUCCUAGUAAUAAUCAACUCCCUGCCAUGCUUUAUCCUCUUUUGGCUUAGCUAAUUUGUUUGCUUCACCGGGCAUGUGAUGCUACAUUGAAUUCCCAGGCCUACCAAUACAAGAAAAGGACAUGGUCACAUACCUGCACAUGGUCACUCACGGUGUUUAAUUAAGUGAUCAGUCUGGAGCUCACUUAACUUAGGAUCCCUAGAGCUCAACACCAGAACAAUGGAGUGGUUUGCAUGUGUCUGCACUUUAUAUCAUAUAAGUCAUAUAUUUUUCCUUCUUCAUGCAAAUCUAUAGAUUAUUAUGGGAUUAUUUAGCCAGAGCUUGUCAGAGAACAAAACUAGUUGGUGUUUAAUUAAUUUUUCUCUUUAUGCAAGCCUGUAGAAUGUCGGUUAUGAUCAGGUGAUGUGAAUGUGCUAACCAACGGUCGUCCAUGGGAGUGGCAUUCCUUGACAAUCACCACCCACCACAUCUCAGGGCAUCUACAACCGGAAUUGAUAAAUCUGACCUCUCAAACAUCCGCGGAUGCGUCCGGUCAAUUAUCGAACGUGUUCGGUUUGAACCCCAUUUUUUUAUCCGUGCAGCCGUACUUUUUUUUCAUACGCCAGAUCAUUUGCACGUGAUUGAUGAAGAAUAAGAGAGAAAGAAAAAAAAGAAUGAAUAAAUAAAGAGAAAAUGUGGUCUCGUCCUACAUGGCGAACUGACCGGGCGUGUCCGGACGCGUCUGCAAGCCCUCAUAUCGUCCUUAUAUUUAAGAUGAAUAUGAGGGGUGCCAUUCAGUCAUGGUGUUUGAGAUUGAUAUGAAGAAAUCUGUUGGGUCGCAUUUUUGUGACCGGUGAUUGAUCGAACGAUCUGUUCAGACAUUUGAUAGGGAUACGAUGGGUAGAACCUCUCACUGCAUGCUGGGUUGGGAUCUUCUGCCACGCACAUCAUUCGGUCUAUGUCCGGUCGCCCAUUGGAUAUCAAGGGCUGGUAUUAGAUGAGAGCUAAAAAUGAAAGGAUUACGGGCACACAUAAGGACUUGUCUACACGUACUUACCAUGGAUAUCACAUUCCUGACUGGACAUGUAGUUGCACAUUCGCAAGGCAAACCUAUAAGUUUUGAGUUAAAAGGGGAAAGAUUUUGUGCUGUUUCCAGGUCUUCAUCUUCACCACCUCCUUGCACCAACACAUUCCUUCAUUUUUUAUGAUACAGUUCGUCAUCACGGAUAUAUUUGUUUAUCAAUAGAAGACUUUCGUCCUGCUUUAUAUAUGAUGGAACAUAGCCAAAUCGGUAUACGGUGAUGAGAAGAGUCUCUUACAAAAUAGAUCAAUGAAAAACAAGAAUAUAGGAGAACCACCACCCCCCCCCCCCCCNCGGAAGAAGACAAGACACCAAGGGAAAUUACCAGAUCUCGUUCUGCUGUGACACCAAGAUGUCACCGAAGAGGGGCCCCUGCCCUCCCGCUCCGGAUCGUGGAGCCCAAACCUGUCAGUGGACAGCGAGUACAACCACCGAGGCCUUCUGUACAAGAUAAGGAGGCAAGUGCGGCCACCCGUGCCAGAGACGGCGAAGCUUCAAGUGAGGAUCCAAAAAUGUCCGCCAAUGACGACGCGUGUAUCAAAGAAAUAUGGGCUCCAUGAUGGCAUCCUUGGAAGGAAGACGAGGCAAUGCAUUACCACCGUCAAGACCGAGGGUAUGAUCAAGUGUUUCCACCUGAAGCCCUAGCUCGGCAAGAGGAACUACAUCGACGCCCUCAAAAGGGAUGCGACACUCACGAGCAUCACCACUGCUGGCACUGUAACACAAGCCUCUCGCCCGCGGCUUCUCACCUGUGCCACACCAAGGAACCCCAAGCACUAAUCCACCCCGGGGGAAGACAAGCUGCCACCAAACAAGACCUCCACGGCAGGAUCUAGGAACCGCCAGUGCCAUGUCACCGUCAACACCAGCAACAUUGAGCACUACAUCCUCCACUUCUUGCAUGACCAAAAUAUGCAACCAUCACUUUCGCCAAGACGUGUGUUGAAAAGCCAAUUUGGUAGAUCGCAAUCUAGGGCCAUUGCCCCAGCUUUCAAGUUCCCAACUUUACUUCCGCACACCGAUUCCAAACCCGAACAUCUCACUUACUGGCGGCGCGAUGAAAAAUCCCCUCCUUUCCAGUUCCACGGCAUAACAUGGACGAAGGCGCACACCACGCUGGUGCGGUCCCUACCUACGGCGCCGACCAGCGAACCCAAAUCUAUCAGUGAAGACCAAAUAUGGUCGCGAGAAACCAUCCACAUCUUUCCCCACCAUGCAAUGACGAGCACGAGUGACCAUCUCGGAGGUGUCCCAACUACCACAUGAGGAGGAGGGCGUCGCAGCCCCCUGCCUACGGCCGCAACCUUAUAGAAAUAUGAUCCCCUGUAGUACAAGUAGGAAUGUAAAUGGUACGGACAAUUUUCGUUCCGAAACCGCUUCUCCAUACGUUUUUAAGGAUAUGGUAUGCACUUAAACAAAUCCGAUAGAUAUGUAUGCAGAUAUGAAUUUUGGUCAACUCGAUAUCCGGCGAAUAUGAUAGAGGAUAUGGUAUUAAUAAUAUCCGGUGGAUCUGGAUUAUCCAGUGUAUUUUGCGGAUUAUUCGAGGUUGUCAAAUAGGCUUAUGUGAUAAAUUUUGCAGAUUGUUCAAGCAAGGGAGGUGAGCUCUCUCACCUUUCACAUUUUUUAGGUGCAAUGAAUCAUGCAAGUUUAGGGCGUCUAAGGACGAAGGUAGGUAUGUUGUGUGCAUGAAUGAAUCCACGCCAUGCAGGUGGAGCUUCUCCUCUUUGCAUACACAACGGGUCGUGGUGGUAGUCUGGUAGACCACUGUGAGCAAAACCGGUGCUGGUCGCGACCAUGAUCUACACUAAAUCCACACAUGAUGAGGGGUAAUCUAUAUAUACACCGACAUCAAACGCAGAUCUGCGACUGCAUACAUAUACACAGACGGUGCGUCCGGACGGCGGUUUGUGUACAUAUAUACGUAGGAAUUCUAAGUAUGAAUAACACAUAGUUAAUUUGUAGUAGUCGAGUAGAGUAGGCUCCAUGUUCGAUGGCGUGUUCAGGGUGUUGUUCCGGUCUAAUUCGCACAACGAUAAGGGCUUCACUUUUGAUGAGCCACCUUGAAGGUCCGCAAAGAUGCAUAUCAGCGAUGGAGCCGCGAGCUCAGGUGAGGAGGUGAUUCGUCAUUCUUUUCUUUGGUGCCUUCUUUGAUGGUGCCGGAGGCAGGUGACGGAUAUUGGUGUCAAACUUGAAGAUGUUUUUCGAUCUUUUUAGUUUUGUCAUGUGUGUCUUUAUGUGACUUGUACUUUGAUCUUUAUGAUAUAAAUAAGACAUAUAUUACCAAUUAAGAAAAAAGAGUAGAGUAGGCUUCAUCUUAAUAGACUACAAACAGUAUGAACUUAUUAGUACUACAUAUUGUUACUGUAUUGUGUGAGUUAUAACUUUAAGACGCCACUCUCUAGUGUUAUGCGCUUGGAUGGAGGCUUGGAUGGAAACACAUUGUCAUAUUGUUGCAUAGUAGAAAUAAAUCAUGUCUCUUUGCGCGUAUCAUCCGAUAUUUUUUGUCUGUUUCGGGUCCGAAUCGUCUCCGCCUCCGUUCAAAAUAGUAGUACGAUAUAAUUCGCAUUCAAUCAUUAUCCGCUCCGCUCCAAAUCCAGCAAAAAAUAUGGUAAAGCAUUAUCCAAGCUGAUCCAUUUACAUCCAUGAGUGAAAGGACGUGGACGUCGCCUAUAGGGGAGUGAAUAAGCGCUUUAAAAUAAUUACGGUUUAAGCUUGAACAAAUGUGGAAAAAAAACUAACGUUUGACUAGUCAACCAGAAAACCUAAAACAACUAGGCUCACCUAUGUGCACCAACAACUUAUGCUAAAAAAGAUAAACAACUAAGUGAUAGCAAGAUAUAUAACAUGAAACAAUAUGGCUAUCACAAAGUAAAGUGCAUAAGUAAAAGGCUCGGGUAAGAGAUAACUGAGGCACAAGGAGACAAUGAUGUAUCCCGAAGUUCCCACCCUUGCGGAUGCUAAUCUUCGUUUGGAGCAGUGUUGAGGCACAAUGCUCCCCAAGAAGCCACCAGGUCCAUCGUAAUCUCCUCGCACCCUCACAGAAUGCAAGAUGUCGUGAUUCCACUAAGGGGCCCUUGAGGGCGGUCACCGAACCCGUACAAACAAGGUUGGGGAAAUCUCCACAACUUAAUUGGAGGCUCCCAACAACUCCAUGAAGCUUCACCACAAUGGAUUGUGGCUCCGAGGUGACCUCAAUUGCUCGGGGCAAUCUCCACAACCUAAUUGGAGACCCUGACACUUGCCCGGAGCUUUACACCAUAAUGAUUGAGCUUCGAGGCACCAGCAACCGUCUAGGGCGCCAAAGCACCCAAGAGGAACGAGCUCUAGGGUACUAAGCACCCAAGAGUAAUAAGCUUCUUUUCACUUCACUUCCACGUAUCACUGUUCUGGAGCAGUUAUCUUAAGAACUAUUCAAAUAAUAUGAAAAUAUCUUAUAGCAGAUAAGGCAAGCCUACUCAACUAAUCUCAUGUAAACGCCUGUUCGCUAAAAUCCAAAUAGAAAAAGACAACUACUUAUUAAACAUGUAGUUGAGUGCUCCGUCGUUGUUCGGAUCUUGACCGAGUCCGAGCUUCCCAAGCUCUAUGCUGUUUGGGAACUCAGCAAGGGUCUUACCACCUUCUUGAUUGACUAUAUUUGAGUCUUUGGGGUACUUUAGGAUUAUAUUCCGCGCCGAAGAUUUUUGCUUGUGGGCUAGGGUGAAUAUAGCGGACCAGCGGAUCUGGUAGUUGACAAUCGUUCGGACUUGGUAAAGGUUGUCGCAGCACCUGUAGUAGGACAGAGGACUUAUCGCGAUGCCCGCGGACCAAUUUACUAUGUCUCUGUCGCUGACGUUCCAAUGAUAUAGAGAUGUGAAACCGGCAAAAAAAACUCCAGCAUCGAAAACAUUACAAAAGAUGCAUAUGGACUCCAUUUUUUAUGAACUCGAGCUUGUCAUGAAGAUGACCACAAGCUCUAAAACUCAUAAAAAGAAACACCAAGCAAGAACCAAGAAAGAUGAUGCAAGGAUGCAAAUGGUUUGAGCUCUCAACAAGCGAUACGAUCAAGCUACUCACUUGAGAGCCCCCCUUGAUAGUCCGGCAAUCGAUCCUAUAACCCGGUCACCCAACUACCACCAUGAGACCGGUAAAGUAGAAAAACUAUCAAGGGAAAACAUAUACCUUGCACAUAAUCCACUUGAGCUAGAUGAUGAUGAUAUUGACAUUCUCAAGUUGGACCACAUUUCUUGAUUGCGUUGGAUUGAUGAAGACUAGUUGAUUGCUCCCCCAUACUCCACUAUGGGUGAGUCACUCUUCGGCACAUCUUAACAAGUCCAUUGUCACAAUUAUGGACGACAAAUUUCAAGCAUGAUCCCUUCGUGAUGCUCUACUUGAAGUUGCACACCGCAAACUUGAUGACAAUCACCACUUGAUGUCACCCUCCAUGAGUUGUAUGAGGUAUUCCUCUUGACGCAAGCCCGUGAACACAUACCUAACCCCACAUAGAACUCUCACAUAGAUUAUGGAUUAGUACACUAAGCGUAAUGGACAAUGAUUACCAUACCAUGGGAUCACUUGAUCCCACUUGGUGCAUCUUGUACGCUUUGUGUGUUGAUCAACUUGAUUCACUCUUUGACUUAGUCUUGAUCAACCUUGUAUCUUAUGUACUCAAAGACCAAUCUUUGGAUAAAACCUUACAUAGCACCUUGGUCACCAUAUGAACUUCUUAAAACCAACAAAUGGACUCCAAGAAGUGCCUAUGGACAAAUCCUUGGAAUAUAAAUUAAGGCAACCAUUAGUCCAUAGAGGUUGUCAACAAUUACCAAAACCACAUAUGAAGAAUUAUACUCUAACACUAAGUACAAGGGGUACUAAUAGUGCACCAUCGGGCCCCCCGGGCGAUGCGGACGCAGCUGGCACCGAUGACUAGUGGGAUGGACAGUUAUGGAGCCUAGCCACCUGGAUCCAGCAGGAAGUCGAGGAAGGAGGAGUCGGAGACAUAAAUGAUAGAGGAAGAUCACCGCCGCCCAACCGCCACACCCUGCAUCAAAGAGAGGCACCCCCGCCUAGAUGCCAUGCUCGCUCCAUGGUAAAUCAAACGAGGAGGAAGUGGGUCCAUGUCGUAGUCAACGUCGAAACACUGGCGGUGGCGAAGGGGGGUGGCGGUGGCGAAGGGGAGGUGGCGGCACCUAGGGUUUCGGCCAGUCUCUUACAGGAGAAACGUGGAUGUCACGUUAUCGCCGGUCAACAGUCCAUGUACCACUGACAUAUUCAUUUCAUGGAGGAUGGAUUAGAACUCAAAUAAGUGACAAAAGUCAAGAUUUGCUUUUUACAAGUUUUUUUUUUCAGCAAAAACUUGUGGAUGCUAAGUCUAAGGAUGAUGGUAGAAGCUUUUUACAUUUUGAAACGAUUGCGCACUUGGAAUACUUGAAAAGUUAUGCAUGCAAUUCAACAAACCAAUACUCCCUCAGUUUCAUAAUAAGUGUCAUGGUUUUAAUUUCGAACAUGCUCAUGUAUAUAAUUUUAGGGCACCGACAGUAGAACAAUCGUUGCACAGUAAUUUACGCAUCAAAAAAUAUGUACAAUACAAAGUAGCUCACAAAUCACACGGUGGGAGUACGUACAAAGGAAUCGCGGGCAGGCACGGACGUAGGCAAAACCAUCAUAUUUUUGCAAAGGAAGCAAGCAACCUCAACUCCUAGGGUGAUGAUGGGAAAGUAUUCCCUCACAUUCACAGCAAACCCCAAGGCUGUAGCCCCUGGAUACCAUCAGCUGCUAGUGGGCUACCGGGUAAAAAAAAAGUGGGCGCAUCAAGAUUGAAGUUGCAAUCCGCCUAGGAUUUUGUGUCAUGCAAAAGUGGGACCCAUCUCACAUGCCCCAUGCACAUGACAACCACUUGUCUCCUACCACCUCUUGCAUCUCACCAUCAUCUCCGUUUACCCCCGUCCCCUUGUGAGUUGUGACUUCUCCCUUUCACCACCACAGGUUUUUGACAGAGCUACUGCUCUUCCGGGUCCCAGAUAGAUAAGCCACAAUGCGAUGGAGAGAAUUACUAUACUAUAAUAACAAGUUUUUACAUAGGUUCAGUACAAGGCAAAAAGAAAAUCUACAUAAGAUGAAAACAUCCAUCAACCGACAAGGAAGUCCAGACUUACUUUAUACCAGACGGUGAAAAGGAUUAAUUAAAAACAUAAAAGGUUCAAAAAAAGAAAAACUGACCACAAAAAAGCCUGGUACUUUCUUCAAGCUGCUGCCCUGGCCAUUUGCUUUGGUCAAGGGCAUUUUGCUGCCAUGGCACCCCUCAACUCAUGCAGUCCCUUCUCCCCUUCUUAUUUGUUUUCCACUCUAGACCACCAAGGUUCUAACCUCCUUUUUACAUGACGGAGCAGGCGUUUGGGUUCUCGUCGCUGAAGAUCUGCGGCGGGUAGGGUGGGUAGGCCGGCGGCGGAGGGUAGGCGGCGUAUCCCGGCCUCGGCGGGUAGUACCCUCCCGGGAACGCAAACUGAGGGUAGUGCAUGUAGAGGUUGGCUGCUGCGAUGGCGCCGGGGUCUUUCUCCUUCUCCUUCUCCUCGCC
Molecule: long non-coding RNA, 194839 nt
Filed under: Hordeum vulgare
Lineage: Eukaryota; Viridiplantae; Streptophyta; Magnoliopsida; Poales; Poaceae
Description: long non-coding RNA (HVUL_LNC004681)
Rfam family: MIR1120/MIR1122 microRNA precursor family (bases 3540-3670)
Source: RNAcentral